CUCGCCGGCGAGCUUCUCGAAGAUGUCGUUGAUGAAACUGUUCAUGAUCCCCAUGGCUUUGCUCGAGAUCCCGACGUCGGGAUGAACCUGCUUCAGCACCUUGAAGAUGUAGAUCUUGUAGGUCUCGACGCUCUUCUUGGUCCGCUUCUUCUUCUUGUCUCAGAGGGAUCCUUCGGAAGCUUCUUUCCAGCCUUUGGCUUCUUCUCCGCUGCUGCUGCAGCGGUGGUGGUUUCUGCCGCCGGUUUCUUCUCUGCUGGUUUCUUGUCUGCCUUGGCCAUUGCUACGAUUAUUAAGAUGAGAUUAUUGAUGUGAUGGUUUGUUGACUGUUUGAGAGACUAGUCUUCUUUGUUUAUAUAAGAAUAGAGAAAGAGAUUUUAUUGGUCGAGAUACUGAGAUGCGGAUGAGUGACGUGGCAACAUAUGUGCUGUCCAAUGUGAAAGGCUAUUAUGAAUGGAUGGAUCAGAUUGUUUUAUUUUAGCGCGCGUGCGUUUUAAAAAAAAUUGUUAUCAAGAAAUCGAGAUUUGGAAAAAAAUUUGUUACCCGCCAUCAUAGCCGAUGAGCGCCAAUUUUGUUUAUUCUUUAAGAUUUGGUACGGAUAGCUGACGUGGCUGUCUUUGAUCUAUUAUCCAAGGUUGUACGGCUACGAUUACAUGGCUUUAUGUGGCGAUACAAUUUUUUUUGGGCCUUUUGGUUUCUAGAACACAUGGUUUUUCAAAGAAUUUUGGUUUUAGAUAAACUUUAAUUAUCAUUGGUCGAUUAUGUUUCUUCAUUAUCUUUUAAUCUGUAGCAUAUGAACAGGCCGUUGGAAAUAUAUUUUCGAAUAUAAAAUAUAUAAGAGUAAAAUCACAAUGGAUGAAAAUUGCUGCGUAUGUGCAUUUAUAGAGAAGAGAAGAGGGGUGAUCUAGUCUAGCUCAACUUGGUCCGUGAUCAUAAAAGGCAUCUGCGGCGGCAGCCCGUGGGCCAGUGAGUGACCCAAGAACAAAAAUAUAUAUAUAACCUAGUUUAACCUUAUGGAUAUUUAGGUUGAAAAAUAUAUAAAGGUGUAGUGUUGGACAAAAGUCACUGUGAUGAUCCUAUGGUGUAGUGUGUAAUGAAUCAUGAACUUUUUAUUCAAAACGAAUUGAGAAAAAAAAAAAUGAAUUGGUAUAUGUCAUUUAUUAUCUACAAUGUGGGUAUCCCAGCAUGUACUCAUUCAUGUUGUUGCUGCUGUUUAACAACUAAAACAGAAACCCUAGUUUCUAGCUCUUUAGAUGCAAGCAAGUCACCGAUGACUCCUAACUCCGGAAGCUCCAUCCACUCCACCAAACCCGAGUAAUCCAAUGAAUCCUCGUCGUGAUCUCUCCCUACAAUCAUCAAGUCGUUCUCUUCCGCCGCCAUUCUAACGGCUGUGGUCACCGCGGGACCACCUUUGAUUAUCGUCUCCGUAUAUGAGAAAUUUUCAGCGGAAGCAUAUGUUGAUUUCAAAUCGUUCAAGACCUCAUUAUCAACAAGGUACUCCCAAUUCUUGGACUUGUCUGGUUCUUGACCAGACAAGAAUCUGAUCACCGUGAGACGCACGCUAGGGUUCUGUCUCAUCCAUUUCGCAAUAGAGACAGCCUCCCAGUCAUCUUUACCACCAAUGAAGAUCACACCCACUUUAACCGUACCUUUACUCCUUUUAUUGAUCUUCAAUUUACGGUGCCCUCGGCUAUUGAGCACGCCGAUAGAACAUGGAGCACGGUCGAGGAGAGACAUAUUCACACGUCUGAUCAUAACAUCAUCCGAUUCAUAUGAUCCAUCGGGUGACCAUUUUCGUCCAGAAGGUGUAAUGAUCAUCGACGUGAGGUGGUCGAAAGCGAGAUUACAAAUGUCUUGAUCCAUUAGAUUAUCAAUAGAGAAAGCUGUGAAGGAAUUAACAGUCGUAGUUCCUAGAUUCUCUUGUUGGAACUCGUUGAACGCGAGCAUCAUUGUUUGGAUGUAAGAGUUUUGAAGCAGCCUCGGCUUAGAUCGCUUGUCGUGCGGUACUAAGAUGGGGAACGCACGUCCCGCGAGUUUCACGAGGUGUAACACUGUAACCGCGAUAACUCCUUUGUCUUUGUUCUCGUUGUUAAGCGGAGAAGAAAGCAGUUGAAGCAGCGAGAUCAUGCCUGAGAUGUUGUCUGGUCUGUGCAAACACGUUAGUAUCUUGAGGUCUGAAUUUGAUUUUAGAUGCAUAACGUCUCUCUUUACGUAACCAAUAUACUUCCUCUUUGGAUCGUAUAGUGCUUUCACAAUAGUAGGUAAAAUCCCCGCGUUCAUUAACACGUACAUCAUCAAGAACGUGUACGUUGCAUGCGACAGAUUCUGUGUAAAUAAAAAACAUUAGCCCAUUAGUUCGAAAUCAUGCAUGUAAAGCGAGUUAGCGUUUUGUAAUAAAUAAUUAUUACCCAUUUAUUGAGGGCGCCUUCAAUGAAGCAUAGGUCAACAAAACCCUUAUAGUUCAUAAUCAUGGCGAUGAUAAUGGACUCUCUAGUAGGUAAUUUGAAGAUCAAGCAAGGUACAAAAGAGGCGGUCCAUUUCAGGACCAAUGUAAACCCCACCAGAAAUAUGUUAAACGAUAUGUCAUCGAACGCAUAUAAUACCCCUAUAAUGUCACCUUUCAUGGUCAAGACCGCGAUUGAAAUCGGGAAAAAUACGUUUGUAGCCAAGCUCUCGAACUUGGCCUCUAACGCUGACCCCAGAGGUGGACCGUCUGGGAUUGCCAUCCCAACCAUAAAGGCUCCUAGAACGUGUAUUUGGUUGAAAAACGUUGUGUAACUGCUCGCGGCUACUGCCGUCAUGAUUGUUCCGUACAAGUAGAGUUUCCGUACGGACUUGCCUUCUGGGGUAAUGUUGACUAUUCGUUGAGCCGCAGGCCUGAUGAUGAAUAUGAUCACGAGCACUAAGAUGAUCAUUGCCGCUGCAUCGCGGUUGGCUGUUCUCGGCGAUACGUACCUGCACGACCGUUUCAAACUAUAUAUUAUAACGAAUGUUCAAAAAUUGUUAGAUAAGUUAAUGUGGCACUCGAAUGUUGUCUGCAUCUACGUGAAAUAUGAAUAUCAUUUUUAUAUUGAAAAAAAUAUAAUUUUUAUAAAAACGUUGUUUUUUGUAAAUGAAACAUGAUUAGUUUUAUUUUUGGUUGUUGACCAAUCCUUAAACCAGUUUAACCAAAAGUAGAGCACUUACAUUGUUUUGGAUAGCCUAACUUAUUUUAGACUUUUUGAGAUUUUUUCAUAGUUUGCGUAGGUAAAACAAAUUAUUAUCAUCACUUGCAAACCAUCCCCAAUUCAAAUCACAUAUAAUGUUUAUUUUAUUGUUAGUAUUAAUUAGCAAGGGAAUAAACUGUGUAAAUCUCAAACCCGCAUAUUGCAUAAUGUCAUGUUAUGAACAAAAAGAAAACUCUCUUAUAUAAACAAUCUUGAUAUAAAAAAAUGUAUGCAAAUGCACGAUUUAAACCUUUUAUAUCUAUUUGCAUACCUGUAUGUUCCAAUGUAGGAGACGCACAUCAGAUUGAUAAAAGCGAGGAGAUCGUUGAAGGCGGAGAUAGAUAUUGCGAGGCGUCCGAGUUCCGAGUUUGGAAUCUUAAGCUCAUGUAUGAGGUGGGUUACCACCGGUAACAGCGUUAUAGCCUGUAUCGAUACAAUCACGGUGCGUUCUGUUGGGGCCAGCCUCAAAGACAUAUAGAGAGGAUCAACCUUGUCGAUACGGAAGUUUCUGAAAGCCAUCCCUGUGACCAUUGUCAGGACAAAGGACGAAACCGCGAUCACAAUUGGUCGUUUGCCGGUUUGAAACGCUGCUCUUUUGUUGGUCUUGACGCCCAUCAAGAACGUGAACAUUAUCAUCCCGAACUUGGCCACACCUUCCAACGCUGCGUUACCGUCCAAAUCCAACGAUAACCGGUCCGAAGAAAAGUCCACUAAAUCAAUCAGUUGAGGUCCAAGAAGAAAACCAGCCUAAUUUUUAAAACAUAAAUUCAUUAAUUGUGACACAAGAAAUCAUUACCUAUUUACGUACAACACAAGAAACAUAAUUUUUUUGAAGGUUUUAACUUACGAGCAUGUAAGAUACGAACUGUGGUAUGCCAAUAAACCUAAGGAACAUGUGAGAAGAGACGAUAAGGACGAAGAUGAGACUGAUUUGCAUCUCAAGUAGAGGCAAUGCGUAUCCGAAGAUGACACUCGGAGUUUUAUAGGUUUCCAAGAUACCGAAAGAGGAGAUGUUGAAAUUAGCGGCUCCAUAACAAACUUUUUCGUUGCUGAGCGUCGGCCAAAGCGGAGGAGCUAGUGCUGCAGAAUCGGCCAUGGUGAUGAUUGAUCCAAGUAAAAAAGACAGAGAUAUGUAUUGGUCAAAAAAAAUUGUUUUAGAUCGAUUAUGUUUUGAUUUAUCGUUGAAGAUUUUGUUUCUGUGUCUUUGGUCUUUUCUUAACAAACAAAUAUUCAACAGCGUAAUUUGUUUGAAAAUUUGCUGUUGUCUCUCAGUAUUUGGCGGUUCUCUUUUUGACCAGCUUUUUUUUUUUUUUAACAUUUGAGCUGUAAAUUUUAUUUUACGUAUUAACAAAUACUAAAUUUUGACCCGUGCAACCGCACGGGUGCUUGUUUUCACUUUUCUAUACAUAAAUUAUUGUUUUAAAACAUAAGUGGUAUAUAUUUUUAAAGUUAAUCAUGUACUUAAAUAUUUAUAUAACUAUUUCAAAUACAAUAAUUUUAUAAUUUACAUGUUAUAAGUAAUUAAUUGUUUAAACCUUAUGUAUUUGCCGCUUCUUAUUAUAUAUUUAUCUUAUUGUAUUUGCAUUUAGUUAUUAAGCAAAUUAAUAUAUUCAUGAGAAAAUAUAUUUAAAAAAUAUUUUGUAUUUAAUUUAUGCUAAAUUCUGACCCGUAUUUUAAAACUGGAUUUCUUUUUACCAAUAUUUUUAUGCUUAUUCAUUUUAGGUAAUUUAUUAUUGUAUAUAUAAAAGUGUAAGAUAUGUUAAUUUUUAGACAUGUAUUAUAUAGUUUGUUAAUUUUAAGUCGUUCUAUCAUCAUAUUAUAUUUUAAAUAAAUAGUUUAAUAUUUAUGAAAAUAAAAUUUAUAAAUUUAUCAAUUGAAUAUAAUUUUAUCAUAUUUAUUUUAGUAUAAUAAUUAUAUUUUAACAUGAUCAUGACUAUAAAAGUAGAUAAAAUAGGAUAUAAUUUAUUUAUUUUCAUUUCUAAACGAUAACUUAAAAUACAUUAAGUUAUUGUUUAAAUAUUACACAGAUUUAUUAGAAUUUUUAAAAUAUAAUAUAUAAAUAUAUAUUAUAUUUAAAAUGAAAAUAUAUUAUGAUUAAAGUAGUUACAAAGAUUUUAUAUUAUUAACUUUAAAGAAAUACAUGUUAAUUUUUAUACAUGUAUUAUAUAGUUUGAUAAUGUUAACCCAUCUUACCAACAUAUUAGAUUUUAUUUUUGAACAUAAAUAUUUUAUAAUUACGAAAAUAAAAUAUAUAAAUAUAUAAAUUUAAUACAAUUUUAUUAUAUUUAUCUCAAUAUAAUAAUUUUAAUUUAAUAUGAUUGAUUAUGAUUAUAUAAUAACUAAAAUAUUAUAGAUUUUUUUAUUUUUCAUUUUAUAUAACUGAAUAUAUUAAUGUAUAAUAAUAUUUUAAACUAAUUUCGAAAUUAGUGAAAAUAUUUAAAUAUAAUUUCAAAAAUGAAGAUCUUGCAAAAAUCUUCUUAAACAGAUUUGUUAGAAUUUUAAAAUAAAUAUAUUUAUAUUUAAAAUGAAAAGAUAUCAAAAGAUACUAUGAUUAAAAUAUUUUUAAAAUUAUAUUUAUUAUUAGUCUGAAUUAAAAUAUAGUAUGAAUUUCUAUGAAUAGGUCCAUUAGGUCCAUUUCUAAAAAAAUCACACAUGAAUCAAGGUUGUGACUUCUGUUUUAAUAUAUAAGAUGCAAACAGGUAUGUAUGCAUAUACAGGUACACUAUACGAAACAAACAAACACAUGGUACGUGAAAAUACCGAACCAGAAAAUCCGAAUAUAACAUUGACAUAUACCAAAAAAAAAUGUUGAUAGAUCCAACGGUGCAUAGAGAUACGAUUUGAGAAAUCGUGGCUGAAGAUCAAUUAUGUAAAAACCUUAUUUUCUGUGUUUAAUGGAUUCUGUAUAGUCGAUAGUUGCGUGAAACGCAUAUCAACUAUAGAGUUUGAGUGGUGAGGAUAUAAAAAGGAGUGGACCCAUAUAGAGAAGUCAGCAAGAUGGAGGAUCCUAUCCAAUCCUAUCUUGUUCUGCUUUUUUAAAAACAUGACAUUGACAUUGAUGUGGACACACCACCAGGUUCUUGAAAUGGCGAGCCAACUGAACCAAAUCAUUGAUUAUACAAACUCUGGUUUUUCCUUUAUUGAUAACAUAAUUUUUUGUAAUAUGGCAGCAAACUUUUGUUAUUAUUCCUUCAUGCAGUUUCUGAAAUAUAAAUGACUUUCUGGAAAACUAAACACAUAUAUUUUAACAAAAAUGAAACUACGAAUAUCUGAGAUUUCAAUCAAUCGGUUUAGUUCAUAAACAUUAGGCUAAUCUCUCUUUUUAAAAUUCAUUUUCAUUAUGUUUUCUUUGGUUUUCAGAAAACCAUGUCGAUACAAAGUUUUUAUUGUUUUCUCUAAUUUUCGCUUUAGUUUACAGUAAAUGAUUUUUACACGGUUAAAUAUUCCACUUUUCAACCCAAAAAAAUAAUAUUGAAUUGAAAUUUCUUCUUUUUAAUAUAUAAAAAUAAAAAUAUAUAUAUUUAUCUUAAAUUAUUAAGCUAACAAAAUUGGUGAUAUAUAUAAAUAACUGGAUUCAGAAUUUUUUACUUUCAAAUUCUACCCAUGGCAGAUAUUUUUUCCUAAUUACACAGUAUAUAUAUAUAUAUUUUUUUUUUUGACAGCCAGUAUAUUUUAUUUAUUAACGUAGGAUUUUAUAUUAUUACAUAGUUAAUCAACAUAUAUGUGAAAGAAAAUUUACCCAAAAAGUCAAAUCGAGUAUUGCAUAAAAGCGAUAUUUUACCACUAAAUUUAAUUUACCACAGCUUUCAAAUGUGCAUCUAGUUUCAACAUCAAUAAAUAAACAAAACAAAGUUGAGUAUAGAUAAGUAAUGAUUAGGGGAAGAUAAAAAAAAUCUGGCGUGUAGCCGAGUCACCUCUCUCAUCAUCAUCACCUCAUAUAAACAAAUAUCCACCUGCUUCCCUUCUCUUCUCUGCAACUAAACAAACGUCAAAGCAUUUACGUUUUUUCAAUCUUUCGUUACUCCCGAAGAAUCUGAAGCAUCAAAGAUCAAAACUUUACAAGUAAAUAUGGAGAUGGGUUUCCAGGAAAAUCAGCAAAACCAAGAACUUACCAAUCUUAGGGAGAUUGGAUCUGGGCAUUAUGGGUAAACUACAUUCAUAUCCAUCUUUGUUGAAGCUAAAGUUUCAAUCUUUUUUUGUUGAAUUUGAUCUUUAUUGUUGUGUGUGUGUUUAGGUGCUCACAUUAUAGAAGACGAUGCAAGAUCAGAGCACCUUGUUGCGAUGAAGUUUUCGAUUGCAGACAUUGCCACAACGAAGCUAAGGUAUCUAAAACUAAUACUUAAAUGAAUCAUCUUUUUUUUUACUCUGUUCCCAACCAUAUUGUAUCUAAUCUCACUAAGGUAAAACAAAUGAAGACGAUGCAAGAUUAGAUAUCAACAUUCAUUUGUUUAUAGCUCCCUGGCUUUGUAUAGAUGUGUAAGAAAGAACAAGUUUUUGUUAGAGAUGUGAAGCUUAUGUAUGGAACUAAUGUGUUUUAUGUUUUGUUUCGACAGGACUCUCUUCAGACUGAACAGCUUCUUCGACAUGAUCUUCCUCGGCAUGAUGUUUCAAAGGUUAUUUGAAAUCAGAUUUAAUAUUCUGAACAUUUUUUAUUUCUUCACUGUGAUAAAUUUUUGAUUCUGUUUUUUUUUGUGUCAGGUUAUUUGCUCGCUGUGUGAGACAGAACAAGAUGUGAGUAUCUGUUUUUUUUUUUGAAAUAAAUCGAAUGUUAUUUGUGUAAAGAUGUGUCUUGAUGCUGACCUGUGAUUUGUUUUCUUACAGGUUCUGCAGAACUGCUCCAGUUGUGGCGUAUGUAUGGGGAAGUACUUUUGCUCAAAAUGCAAGUUCUUCGAUGAUGAUGUAAGUUUUCUUCAAACCCUUUUCUUAUAAACUGGAAUGUGUAUCAAUGAGAUUCAACUUUGGUUGUUGUUUCAGCUUUCCAAGAAGCAAUACCACUGCGAUGAAUGUGGGAUCUGCAGGUACCAAUUAAAAAAAAAAACAAAACUCUUGUAGGUUUGUGGUAACUGAUUGUUGAUAAGUAAUCAAUCUCAAUGAUGUUGGUUUUGAUAGGACCGGAGGAGAAGAAAACUUCUUCCAUUGCAAAAGAUGUCGUAAGAGACAACAAAAACUUUAUGUGCUACCAUCUCUCUUUGUUUCCAGCUCUUAUUUUGCUUCCUGCUUCAGGAUGUUGCUACUCCAAAGUCAUGGAGGACAAGCACCGAUGUGUUGAAGGUGCAAUGCAUCACAAUUGUCCCGUUUGUUUUGAGGUAAAAAGAAUCAUAUCCGCUAAUUUUUCUUUCACUAAUGCAACAUAACAUAACAGUGUUUUGAUUUUUGGGUUUAUUUGUUUUCAGUAUCUGUUUGAUUCCACAAGAGAUAUCACGGUUUUGAGAUGUGGUCACACAAUGCAUUUACAAUGCACCAAAGAUAUGGGGUUGCAUAACCGGUAAAAGAAGUCUCUCAAGUCUUUUGAUGCAAGUCACUGGGUAAACAAAGAUUAAUACCUUUUUUUUGAUGUUUUGUUGUGUAAGAUACACAUGCCCUGUAUGUUCUAAAUCCAUAUGUGACAUGUCCAACAUGUGGAAGAAACUUGAUGAAGAGGUAAGUAAGGCUUCAUAGUAUAAUGGUAUAUCUUUUUGUAUAGUCUCUUAUGUUCAUUAAGUUUUAACCUUUGCAGGUUGCUGCAUACCCAAUGCCAAAAGUGUACGAAGACAAGAUGGUAAGCUAGAUUGAAUUACAUAUGGUAUUCAUGAGGUUGUGUUAUGUAUGGUUUGGAUUCUAAUGUGAUUUUUUUUUUUUUUGAAUUAGGUAUGGAUUCUUUGCAAUGACUGUGGUUCAAACACGAAUGUUCGGUUUCAUUUGAUUGCGCAUAAGUGCACUAGCUGCGGUUCAUACAACACUAGACAGACGCAGAGAGGGCCUGAUACUACUCACUCUUGCUCUUCAGGAGUUCCUCAGGUUGUUGGCUCAACCGGUUAAUCAAGACCUGAACCGGGACUGGUUUGGUGUUUGAAUUUCCCAAGGGAGAUUAUUUAUGUACCUUCUUAACUAUAACAUCAGUCAAUACUGGUCUAUAUCAGCACAAAUUCAAAUGCUAUUUCACUGUUUUCGAUCCUGGGCAUUGUCUCAUAUAUUCAAUAUGAUAUAUAUAAUAAACGAACUUUGAAUUUAAAAUGUCGUUUAUUAGUAUAGAAUUUGAUUUUUUUCAUAUUUAGUCACAUGAUUCUACAAGGAAAAAAAAUGUAUUGAAAGAUGUCUUCUAGAACUUAAAUUUGUGUAAAUAGUAUAAAUGCAUGUAGUUAACAAGAAAUAUAUAAAAUUUCCAACGAAUAAAUCAAGCCCACCGACAAAAAAUAGAAGUUCUUGCAGAUAUUGAAAUAUUCAAGCUUGAGAUUUUUUCGUUUGCUACCUAACAAGUAACAACAAUAGUUAAGGCGGUUUGUCGUUACUUAAACUUUGUUACAACAAGUAUGAAUCGAGGAGUAGGUUAGCUAUCAGCUACGUUAGAAAUUAUGAAACAAACAAAACCCGUAAUCAAUUAUAAUUACAUUAUAAGAUUUGAGCUUAUAUGAUGACUGGUGACCCUAUAAACCCUAGUGGGCAGUUCUUUCAAACUCGUGAAUCCAUUAUCAUCCACAAACUCAAUUUUAUAAAUUUAGUUUGAAAGUAGUAAUUCUAACCUCUACAAAUAAUAUACUGACCAUCACCAAGGUCAAACAAUCUAUGAACUAACCUAUGUUGACACAAAACACUACUUACAUUACAGGACAAGAAGAUCCGACUCUAGAUCUUCAGGACCUACCCGACCCGACAAAGUUGCUUUGGGCUCUUAGGACUUUUGGUUGUUGGUCGUUAUCUCCCACCCAUCUCUCCGUAAAUCAAAAUAUUAAAAUAAAAUAUCUCAAAAGUUAAAAAUCAUUCAAGCACACCCCCACAAAGGCGACAAGUAAAACCUCUAUAAUUAAUUAAUUACUAAAUUUCAGUUAUUACUAGAGAAAACUGAUUACAUUAUGAAGCCAGAAACAUAACAUCACAUUUAGAAGAGAAAAAAAAUCAGUGAAGCUAAUGUCUUGAGCUUUAGAUACAACAUAAUAUCCAUCUCCACCAACCGGUGGUAGAUGGAAAAACCUUAAGCAUAAAAAGAAGAAAACAUAGAAACCUUAGUUCAACACAUCAUGGAGCCAACACAUGAGUGUGAAAAUGCAUUUGAGAUACAACACUCAAAAAAACAAAACCACAGCCAGCAUCCCUAUAGAAAUAAAUAAAAAUAGCAAACUCUCACAUAGUAUUAAAUAAAACCAAGGGAGUUUUUUUUGUGGUCUUUCUUUCUCAUCACUCUAAAUCUAAACCCUAAAUGGAUCAGACUCUGUCUCCCACAAUGGAGCAUAACCAAAAACCCUAAUGUACAAAGACCACUCUCACUUGACCCACUAAGGCACUAAGUGAGAUUAAAACCCUGAAAUUGACCUAUGUGAUGGAAUAUUAGAUGACUAAUAGUACUACUUGAGUAAGAAUCAAGAUCAGCAGCAGCCAGAAGUGUGUCGGUUAGUGGAGAAGAACUUUCUGAUACUUAGUUUUUGAAUACGACCCAUCUGAGAAUAAUACUCUCUUUCUGUUGAAUUUUCCACAGCCAUUGCUGACAUUUGGGCACUGGAUGGUGACUAGAGGGAUCUCGAAAGUCUUGAGAAGCGGUGGUGGGUGUUGCCAUUGAGGUAAUGGACCGGCUAAGAGCAGUGUCUGAAGCAAUGGCCCUGCCUUCAUAACAGCUUGUAAGAGCUUGCCCUUUUCAGGCAAUGGCUUGUCUGGAAACAAUGGAUCCAUAAUCUCAUUUCCUGAUACUUCUUCAAGCUGAGAUGAGUGUGGGUUCAUGACAUGAUCAUUUGGUGACAUAAAGCUCUCCUCACAAUCUGAGGAUGUGAAACACUUGUUGGAUGUAAGUUGUUGAGGAUGCAAUGUUUCAUCUUCAAUGCUUGAAGCUCCUGAUAAAGGAGGAGUCAUAUGAUUUUGCUGCUGGUGUUGUGGACGCGUGAGGUUAUCGGACAUGAGACGCUCGCAUUUCUGGAGAGCUUCGUCUCUUUCUUUAAUGGUUUUGGUUAAGAUGUCUUUGAGCUGGAUCAGUUGUUCAUCUCUUUUCCUUAUUUCCUCAUGAGCAAACAUCUUUGUUUGUUCGAGAUCUAGUGUUGUGCACAGAAGAGAGUGUCUUAAUUCUUCUGUAGUCUGUAAAUUUCACAGAAGUAGAAAAUAAAUUAGAUACACAAAAGAAAAAAAAAACAGAGGAAAAAAAUAUGUUUAAAUAAGCUAGAUGGGACAGAACAGAGGGAUCCCUAAGUUUGGUGUCACCUAGUUGCAUGUUGAGACAACCAUUAUAAAAAAUUCUAAAGAGAUCAAGGAUUGAGUGACCUGGUUGCAGAUUAAGGCCACCAUUAUGUAAAAUCCAGUUGAGUCUUAGCAACUAGGUCUAGAUUCAGGUAUUUAUUUAUUUAUUAGAACAACCAGGAAUAGUAAAAAGAAAUUCCACAUUAAAGUUCUUGUUUUGGACAGACAGCAUGCACCCAUUUGAGCAAAAACAUCAUUGAAAGAAAGAUAAAGCAAAAGCAGAAGAAGAGCAUUGCUUUGGUGAAGGGAAGAGAAGAAACUCGACUUUAGAAAGAGAGGGAAUAAAUUUUACCUUUCCAUGAGAAUAGUAAGGCCAGCCAAGAAGAGCAUUGCUCUGGUUAUCCAUAAAUUCUACUAAACUGAGCUUUUGAUUCUCUUUUAAAAUUGUGUUAGAGAGAGAUAGAAAGAGAAUGGAGUCUAACUUAGGGAGGGAAGGACAUAUAAAUAAAUAAAAACUUGUUGGACUGUUUAAAGCAGAUCAAGCUUUUUCAGGUAUGUAGCUUUCUUUCAAGAUUUCAAUAAUUAGUUAAAUAACUAAAAAGAUAAAGAUAAAAUGAUAGCACAUGAUUGUAUCAUUUCGUGUAACAUUAUCUCAACUAACUCCACUUUAUAUUUUACCGCGCAAACUAUAAGAAAAUUGUUUAGAGAUUUAUCAGUAGUAUAACUGUAUAUGAAAAUAAAAAAUCGCACAACUCAAAUUCAAAAUAAUAUAGUUGACUCAUAUUCAAAGAGAAACUAGUGUUUUUUUAAAUGAAUGUUAAAUUUAUUCAACUCAAAACCUUAUGUACAAUGGUGGUUGUAACUGUGUGUAAAAGUGGAUUGAAAUACAUUGAAAGAAUGAUCUUAAAUCAAAAAUUCAAGUCUUCACUCAUCUGGUAUCAAACCACAGCCCCAAAGAUGGUAUCAAACCACAACUUCAAAGAGCUGUUGUACCUGCCACUUCCCCCUAGCUCCUCUGAGAGAGUCAAUACGAUUCCUUACUUGUUUGUCAAUGAAAGAAACCAUUCGGCCUUGUUCCUUAGGUUGGUCUCCAUGUUUUCGUCCAUUACUAAUGUUUCACAUGAAAUUAACGAUCUUUUAAAUACUUGGUGAAUACUUUUCUUAGUAUGUGAACAGUAGAAUGAAACCAAAAGAAUCAUUUUAAAUUUUUAUCCCAAUACUUAAAAUUUUUAAAUAUAUAACUAUAAUUCAAUUUUUUUGCAAAUCAUUGUUAUACAUGUUUACAUGAUCGAGAUUAAAAUCAAUUUAGUGGGUGUAUCGUUUAAAUAUUAUAUAUGUAUAUAGUUUUUCCUUUUCCUUGUUUUGCUGAAAGUAGUAUUUAUACAAAAUUUUAAUAUUAUUUCUUUUGCUGUAACUAUUUGGUGGAAGACCAGUAUCGUAGUUUACUGACAUUGGUCUCACUCACUCACAAUAUAGUCUAAACUCUUUAAAUGUCUUUUGUUUUCUUCUUCGUUUUUUCUUGGAUACAAUACGGUUUCUUGUCUUUAUCCAAGAAAAAUGAAGUCCAACGAAAAGAGCGGGAAUGAAUGCUUCCUCUAAUAACAUAUUUUUCAAUUUUGUACAGAGAAAGCAUAUGAAGAUGAAAGAAUAUGUGUAUAAACAACUAAAGAUGCAUGGAGUCAAUGAGAAGUGGAUUCCAUUGUCAGCAAAAGAGGCAAGUAACCAAACUUUUUCCACCAAUACAUUGAGAAAAGUUUGAUGGAAUCCUUUUUUCAAUUAUUAAACCUAUCACUACUCGUGGAAAAAUAAGGACUCACAUCUUCGUUUCCAAAUUUCACGUGAAUAUUACAGAACUGAACAGCUCAGUUUUGAAAAAAGAAAAAAAAAACAGCUCAAUAUUUAAAAAUUUGAUAUAAACAUCGCUAUAAGCCUAUGCUAUAGCCACCGUCAAUAUUUUAAAUUUUUAAUAUAAUAGUCGUACAAAGAUCUACAAUAUAUGGUCGGAUUAUCAAUUUCUGUCUGCAGAUCUUGCCGAGUUUCUAGAAACCCUAAGCAAAUUAAAGUCUUUAAGAAAAAUAUAUAAUAACCUCAAGCAUAGCUAAGGAUUUUUUUAUCAGUUUUCUUUAUACUAAAAAGGUUACGAUGCAUGCAUUUUCAUUUCUACAAUAUUCAUAUCCUUUUUUGUGAUGGAAACAGCCAGCCAGUUUAUGUAACCAUCAAAUGUAUUCCUUCAUGAAAUUUUAAUAUUACCAGACGAAAAGAGUAUAAGGGGGUCAGUUGAGUGAAAACUCAAUUUUAAUUUCUUCGGCCAAAAUAUAUAAUGGAUACUCUGAUGAAAAUGAUUAAUUGACUUUUACUGCAAGUCUGCAAGUUGAAUUAAAGAAAGGAAAGUAAUAUCUCCAUAUUUGGUUGGGUCCCUGGGCAUGUUAAGUGAUUAUCAUGAAUAUCAUCGAUGGUCACAGUAAUAUUAUAAUAUAGAUGUAGUGCACGAUAUGUUCCUACCAAUUGUCAUAGUGGAGUGGUAUCCAUUAAAAAGAGCUAAAGGAUUCUCUCGUUCAACAAUAUACAUGCAGAUGGAUAUAUAUGUAAAGAAAAGAGAAAAGUACUUCCAAUACUAAAAGUAUGGAGACAAGAGUUAUCAUUUCAUGGUCUCUUUCACCAACAUUAAUCUAAGAGCAUGUGAAGCAAAACUUUUGAUUUUCUUUCUUUGUUCAUUGUGAUAGAAUUUUAAGGACUUCUGUCUUUUGGCUACUUAGGUUUCCCGUGUGAGUUGGUGCAAAACUUAGAUAUCUUUUGUGUAUUAGGUCUCGCGACCUUCAGCCUGUAUGCCUUUUAUACUAAAACACUAAACUGAUUAAUCUAUAACUCAAGUUAUUUUUCAACUAAGUUUUGCAACCGAAAAGGCAUAAACUCGAGAGGAAACACUCUUAACUAGGCGGAACCAAUGUGACAAUUUUACUAAAAUGUUAUUAUUAUAUUUAAAUAUCUUAUAUAUUAAUAGAGAAACAUUUAAAAAGUUAUAACAUGUAGUUUGUACUAAUUAAAAAAAUAUCAUGAUGAGUUGUCACAUAAUUGUAAUGAUAACUUUGUUUAAGUGACAACUUGAGAAUCAAUUGAGAAUUUUGUUUGUCCAAAAUUAAAUUGGUAGAAAAUGUUAUAUUAUAUAGUAUGUCCAUUAUGAACUAUUCAUUUAUCAAAUUAAAAUUAUUAUAUAUUAUUUUCUUAAAUAAAACAUACGAAAUUAUCUAAUAUGAUUAAGAUAUAUAUGACAGUUAAUAAUUUUAAAUAAUAAAGAUUUGCUAACAAUUUGUAUAUUUUCUAUCAUUUUUGUUUAAUUAUUUAUUAUUAAAAAUAAAUAACACAAUACAUUGGUCAUAUAAUAAAAGUUUAGAUUAUUUUUUUAUAUGUUGUAUUUUGAAUUUUUCAAAACGAGUAUAAAUUACCAAAACUGUUAAAAGUCUCACAUAAACUUUUGUGAUCAAAGUUUAAAUUUUUUUUCUAUAAUAAAAUACAAUGAUUGUAAAAUCAUAUGAAUAAAUAAUUUUAUUUUAAUAAGUGUUUAUGUUAAUAUAUAUAUUUCAUAUCGUUUAAAUUAAACUAUAUAUCAUAUGAAAAUACAUACUUAUAUUUUGAUAUUUGCGUUGAACAUAUAUUGAAAAGUUAAUAUUUUAAUUUUAAAAUCUUCAUUGUUAUUUUUUUAAAUAAUUAUAAAUUAUUGAAACCACUAAACAUUUCACAUUAAAAAAAAAAUCGUUGGUGUAAAAUUUUGGUACACAAAUAUACAAAUAAUCAUAAAAUCAUAGGAGUAGAAACCUCAUUUAAUAAAUAUCCAUAUUAAAAGUAUACUAUAUAUAUGUUAAUAUCAUUUAAAUUUAAUUAUAUAUCAUAUACAAUAGAUAAGAUUGAUUGUUUUGAUUUAUUUAUCCUAAAAUGAUUGCGAAUAAACAAGAGCGGUGAUUUGAUUUAUAUGUGUACAUCAAUUUAUUACAUAACAAUAACUGAUUUCUUGAUUCUUUAAUAUAUAAUUAUUAUUUUAUUAUUUCAUAAUAUGCAGAAAAAGAUAAAAUAAAUAAUUAAUAUAAAAUAUUUAUUUUGUACAAGGCGGAGAUAUUAACCUAAGUAUGUAUCUCUUUAAUAAUUUUAAAUCUUAAAUAUUUUCUAAAUCCAGACCAAAACAAAAUAACGAAAUGAGAAUAAACUCAAAAAUUAAUAUUUAUAUCGAGCAAUAAUCAAAAUGAAAAAAUGACACAAAAAUGAAAAAAAUAUUAAAGAUAUAUAGGAUUGGCACGUGAACGUAAACUUCUCAUAACCAUAAUUAACUUUUAAAUUGCUAAAUCAUGAUAUAAAACUGAAUUGACAUAGUUUUAUUGUAACCAAAUAGUAGGCCUAAGAUUCUUCUGCCUAAACGUUAGGUUCUUAUGCGAUAAGUAAUUUUUGACCUAAAAUAUUUUUUUAAAAAUGGAUAAGCUCAUCAGUAAACAAAUUAUGUAAUUAACAAAAAAAAUUUAUAAAAAUUGUUGAAGGGCAAAAAUAUUAAUUCGAUCAAAAAUAUAUAUUUUAUUUUUUUAUACGAUAUUUCUUAAAUAAUUUUCAUAUAAAUUUACUUUGCGCAAGGCGCAUGUUUAAUCCUAUUACUACUAUAAAAUGCUUUUAUCCGAGUGAGAAGCGCAAUGCCGAUGAUCUGAGGUAUAUAUUAUACUGUACAAAAUGAAUUUACGAGCUGCAUCUAUUUUAUGGGGUUUGUGAUUCUUUGUUUACACGUAUUGAAAAAGAAAUUAUAGACACAAAAAUAUUAGCUUCAAUCCAUAUAUCUAUGUUCUUACGCCUUAUGGGUCAUAUAGGCAAAAAGAAAAAAAAAAGAGAGCUCGUAUAUUACUCGUCCACAAAUUCACAAGAAUUUUCAUUGAUCACGGAAGAUAGAUUUGUUGAAUCGAAUCGACGACCAAAUCUAAUGUAUUAUAUAACUUUACAUAGAUUAUCCCCUAUAUAUUAUUUGAGAAGCAUUACAACAUUUUUUUGUAGUCACAUGUCAUCACUAGAAUGAUUCUUAAAAUCCUUAGAGAAAUAGGUUGGUCUAUCUAAAUACAUAAUAAUUUUUUUAUUAAACUAACCAUAAAUAUAUUAUUAAUGUGCUUCAUUAUUUUCAUAAAUAAAAUUACGGAAUUACCUGAUAUGACUAAAGUAUAUAUGACAAUUAAUGACUUUGAAUAAUAAAGAUUUGAUAAAAAUAUGUAUAUCUUAUAUUAUAUUUGUUUAAUUUUAAAUUAUUAAAAUAAAUUAAACAAUCAUAAUAACCAUUUAAUAAAAAUUAAAAAAAAAUUAUAUGUUGUAUUUUGAAUUUUUAAAAUGAGUUUAAAUUACUAAAACCAUUAAAACUUUCACAUUCAAAUUUUGUGAUCUAUGGUUUAAGAAAAUAUACUAUAUAUAUAUGUUACUAUCAUUUAAAUUUAAUUACAUAUCAUAUCAAAUAGAAAAAAAAUAUUCUUUUGGAUUAAUAAAAUUUAUUUAUAUGUUCGCACCAGCUUAAUUAUAUAGGUAAUAGUUACUGAUUUUUUAGUUAUUCAAUAUAUAUUUAUUAUUUCAUAAUAGGUUAGAAACAUAUAAUAUAUAAAAUAAUUUUUAUAUAUAACGUUUAUUACGCGCAAGGCGUGGAUCUUAACCUAGUAUACAUAGUAUUGUUAUCAACAACUAUAAGUAGUGUUGUUGUCAAUAACUAGUCAACAAAUAUGUAGUCUUUGAUUUAUUAUAGUAUUAGAUAUGGACUAUGAUAAGGUUCAACCAUUUAACCAUUACCGUUCCUCUUAAAUUAAUGGUAUUGUCUUCCCACUGAUACAUGUGGUAUCUGUGAAGAUUAGUAGUUAGUUUAUUACUUUAUAUAUUUUCUUGUGUAUAUGACACCAGUGUAUUUGGACUAGAUAUAAUAUUUGUUUAAGAAAAGUUUAUGUUUUUGUUGAUUUGGGAUCUUUAACAGACUAAUCUAGUCGAUGUCAAAAAACAGACUAAUCUAGUCACUGAUUGUUAUUCAUUUUGAAUUGAAAGCGAUCUGAAUAAACAUUGACAAUCAUUGAUACGAAUGUUUAUGUGACUUCGUAGAUUUCUGUAUCAUAUAUGAAUACUAUGUCCCACAAUAUUCAAAAUCUAAUUAAUGCCUUAUGAAUAUGAUCGUGUUGGCAAUUUAACAACAACGAUAUUUUACGGAUAAGAGCUGUUUAUACGAAGCCAGAAACAUGGGAGCUAUCCAUAAAUGCACUGGACAUGCUUCACUAUCAUAAUGAAUGAAACAAGUUUAUGCGCGUUUUAGUUUAAUCCAAUAUAUUCAGAUCCUUAAAUUUGAUAUUAAGGAAAACCAGAUUGCUUAUUCUGUCGGCCAAUAUAUUCAAUUACUCAUGAAUCAUGAUUGUUCUAAUGAAUGGAGGCAUGAACUACUAGCUUGAGAAAGUAAAAGAAACAAAACGAACUUACCGUUGUGGCAGUUAAAAGAUUCAUUAUUCUCCACACAUACCUUUGAAAAUUUGUCUAAGAAAAUUCUUCUCGUUUAUAUAAAUUAUAAGUUACCAUUUGUACGAACUACACUACAUCAUACUCAUACCUAAUUAUAUAUAUUCCAAAAAUGCAGAUCAUUUGCGAGAGUUUACUAGAUUUCAGAUCUACAAAGUUAUUUUACAUGACAUCGUGUUCUGUCCUAUAUCAAAGUUCAUACGUAUUUAAAUCAAACCCUGUGGAAUAUAUAUAAUUAGGUAUGAAAUAUGAUGUAGUCUACUUGUAUAUACUGACUGUAGUGCGUGUGAUAUAAGUCAAUGUAUAUAUUUUUAUAGUUAUAGUAUGCGGACUCGUCCAAGAGCCGGUUGUUUAUCCUGUAAGCAGACAAAACUAUUCGACCAAACUACUUCGGUUUAAUUUUUUUCUUUGACUAGGUAGCCCAUCUCAGAAUGUUCAACAAUUUUAGCCGUCUCGUGUUGAAAACAUGAAAAACGGGAUUUGAACAACUUUCUGUCCUAUCGAAAAGCUUAAACUAUAAACGUUUCAGUUUUCUCGAGGUCGAUCGGAUAAAUUGGUAAAGAAAAUAAAUGUUAUGAGUUUUAUUGAUCAAUUAUUUAUUUGUAACAUAAAAAUAACUAAUCAGGAUCAUGGAAAAAGGAGAAAAAUAUCUUUUGUAAAUCAACAAUCGUUUGAUGAUCUAUGCCAGGUACUAAAUAUACUUGUCGAUGAAAGGUGUUCUUAUUAGAUACCAAUUCCCAAUAGCCAACCCGUGGGCUUCGUAGAUUAGUCAGAGCCGGAUCCAACUCUAUGUUUAUUGGCUAUGUAUCAUCGUAGGAUGCAAUAGGAUAGUCUUUGUUCAAUAAUCAUAGACCACAAACUUCUCUUCUUCUUUUUGUGGUAAGAAGUAUUGGCUUCUGAAACUACAUUUUUCAGACCAAAAAUCAAAAAAAAAAAAACUUCUAAGUAAAUUUGGUAUUAAGAUCUGAUAGCAGUGAGACUUUUCUUAACUGGUUAAGUUUUUAACAUUGUCCAAUAAAUAUUAUAUUCUAUACACAUCAAUUUAAAUUACGUACAAUAUUGAGAUUUAAGAUCUUCAGUUUCUAAUGCCUGAUAAAUUCCAUGAAUAUAGUUUGCAAGAUGACAGUUCGCAUCAUUAGAAAGGUAGAAAGAAGGCAAAGUUGUAAACCAGAUGGGUUCUUGAAGUACCGCAUUUGAGUUUUAUAAAAACGGCUCCUUAUUCACGUGUAAGGCCCAUUUCUUACUUCUUAGUUCAUAAUGUUUACAAUGGGGGUGCAAAGUCCUCCAAAGCCUACUCUGAGUCUUAAAUAAUUAAGUGAUUGUCGGAUAUCUAUUUAUCGAAUUCGUUGUAGCACACCGGCCAAUUUCAACUGAUGAAAUCCGGGUUCAACCCCCGGCAGCGAAAAACUUUUGUUAUUAUUAUGCGUUUGUCAUGUUACUAAAUCAUCGCUAAACGUUUGUUAAAAUAAACUUGUGUUCAUAAAUCAAACAAUUUAACACUCUAUAUCAAGCACCUUGUGUGUGUUUUGUUUUUCAAUUGUAUAUGUAUUUCACGACGAACCAAUUUGUACUUUGUGGAACAGUGGAAGUCAAUGUUUUGUCAUCGAUAUGGGAAAACGGACAGUAGAAAAGUUCACCAUUUGAGGGAGAGCGACUAUUUACAUCCAAAGAUAAACAUAUAAAAACAAAAGUAUAAUUGCGAAUAUAUAAACAAUCUAAUUUCAAUAUAGAAUAUAGGUUUGGUUUGUGAAUCAGGCUGUAUAUAAGCACGUACAAUCCAUUUCUGUCUCCAUGUAUAUAAAUAUACACGUAGACUUUUUUGGCUAGAUGGGUAAAUGUGUGAAUUAUGUUGGUUACAAUAUUAAAUGUUACAUUUACUAUCGUACUGCCCAUUUAUGUGAUAAGAAAGUGCAACCAAUCAGUAGCUGAAAUCUACUAAAGUGAUAAAUACAUCAAAACUUUAACAAAAACUGUUGUUAAUUAAACCAUUUUUGUCACUGGUCCAGCCAUCCCACAGAUAAAAGCUGAAUUCUCAUCCAUGUGGCUGUGAAGAUAGAUUUUGUUUCCGUCAUUACAACCGCAAAAUCUAAAUGUUUGUAUCGUAAUGUCGCUUAACCAAUCACGUUAUUCACGUAUUUAUCAUACAAUGUCAACUGAUUAAGAAUGGGCUCUUUUAGGCAAAAAAUCACGUUAAGAUAUUUCACCAUUAAAAGAUCACACAAAAUAAAGGCAAGAUAUUGUAUUUCUGUUUUUUUUUCUUCUCUUUUCAUUGUUUUAUCAAGUGGGCAUCAUUUAUUUAUAUACUAAAAAAGAGAAGAAUAUGGUGAAAAUCUAUCGUCUCAGGCGUCAUCCGUGCUCGUAACCACUUCCUUAAGUCUUAACCACUUGACUACUUCGUGAUUAGUUUGAUGAUUAAUUUUGUGAUGAUUUAUUGACCAUUACUGGAAGUCUGGAACUAUGAUAAUGAAAUAAUUAUAACUGCAAAACAAUUAAUCAGCAAACCCUUCGUUUCACCAUAUGUUGGAUGUUUUAAAGUGUAACACAUUUAAAAAAUCAGAUUGGGCAGAUACUAUACUAGUAUCAUUUAGUCGUUUGUAAUUAUUGAAAUGCGAAAACGUUAUAGCUAAGCAAUCUAGUAGCAUUAUUAUACAAGGAGAACAAGAUUAAUGUAAAUACACGAACAACUAGGCAACCAAAAGUUGCAUACAAAAAGUUCAUGCAUGUAUGUAUGGGCACAAUAACACAUUGUGAUCACAAGUUAACACUUUGCAGUUCCCAUAAGCAAAAAAAAAACUACUUUAAUAACCUAAACAAGACAAGGAUUUUAAACUAUACUUUUCUGUUUGUAAAUGUAUUGCAUUCUUUCUCCCCUUCAGCCACUACUGGCCCAGUGCCCUUGUAAGCUUUUUAGAUGCUCUUUGCGCUUCUUUAAAAGCCACACGCUAUAAUGUGUAUUUGUGUGAGUACAUAUUAUAAUUAAUUUCAAAUUUUUAGAUACAAAAACGGCAUUCUCUUUAUACUACGAGUUUAGGAUAAAGUAUGAUGUAUGUUUGGCUUGAUCUGGCUAGGAAGUCCCGUACCGUACGUGACACUCACUUUCUAAUAGCCGAGAAACAAAUAGAUGAAGAAAGCUCGUAUUUUUCUUAUGUAUAUUCAUCCUUUUUAAUAACAUAUGAAGAAAAAAACAGUUUCAUUAAUUUAUCAAAGUUUGAUUUGGGUGUUGUUUGAUGAGCUAUAACUUAACAACAACAUGUGAGUUAUAUAAGUAAAUUUAUUAACAAUUUAACAGUUAAAAAAUUUCCCAGCUAGCUUCUAACACAAAGAAACAAACAAACACCUUCCAAUAAUUAGCUAAAAAUAUCCAAAACAACACUGUCAUUAGCUUAUCAAGAGACCAUUUAUGAACCACAUCACAUGCACUUCACGCCUCACGGGAUCAAAACAAGCCCCCAACUUACCAAAUACGCAAAGUAAUCAUUACAGGAGCCUCCAGGGGUGUUAUUGUAAUUUCAUUUUACAUGGUAUGAUAAAUAAGACUUGGACCAAGCGAUGAACCCGAGACCAUUGCUGCUCCAUUGCAUUCUUAUGUGACCUUCUCUCUCUAUACUCUGAAAACUUGAUUAUUUUCUUCUUUGUUUUUGUUGAAAAAAGUUAUGUUAUUUCUUAAUGUUAUCUUAUUCGAUUCCACUGGAUUCGAACCAAACCCAUGACAGGAGAGAAUGAUGAGAACCAGAUCACCAAUCUUGAUCCAAAUGUAAUAAAAAAAAAACUACUAUGACGGUGCAUUCUUGAGAAAGUCUCUUUCCUUCUUGAGAAAGUUUCUUUCCUUCUCUACAUUUCUCCCAAUCCCUAUCUGAUCUCUAAUUCUCAAUCAUUAUCAUCACCAGAAGAACAAAAAGAAAGCAAUGUCGCUUGACAUUAAAAGACCUAUCAGCAACAAGACCAAGAAGAAGACAGGGUUCAUCGUCAAUAUGCAGCAGCUGAAUCACAACAACAGAGGAGGAAACAACCUCUUCAUCGUCUUCUUCAGACAUUAUUACAGAUGGAUCCUCUGGUUUUUCCUCUCUCUCUACUUCUUCACAUCUUACUUCGCCGGAGACCAAUCCACCACCACCACAACAACUAGUCUCAUCUCUCACCACAAAACGUCGUCGUCUCUCCCGUCCCACGCCCUCAUCGAAUCUUCCGCCAUUGUCAAACCAGCUCACGCGUCUAUCUUCAGCGGGAUGAAGAUUUACGUUUACGACUUACCGGCGAGAUUCAACGCCGACUGGGUGACGUCAUCAGACCGGUGCGCUAGUCACCUCUUCGCGGCGGAGGUAGCCAUUCACCGCGCACUUCUCUCUGAUUCAAAUGUCCGUACGUUAGACCCGGAAGAAGCUGACUUCUUCUUCGUCCCCGUAUACGUCUCCUGCAACUUCUCCACCGCCAACGGCUUCCCUUCUCUUAGCCACGCUCGCUCCCUCAUCUCCUCCGCCGUUGAUUUCAUCUCAGAGAGUUACCCGUUUUGGAAUAGAGCACGAGGUUCCGACCACGUGUUUGUAGCUUCGCAUGACUUCGGUGCAUGCUUCCACGCCAUGGUAAGAUCCUCUGUUUAUUAAUUUCGCAUAAAGUUUUAAUUUUUAUAGAUUUUUGAAAAGUUAUAAUUUUAUACAAAUUUUUAUAGAAAACUGAUUUUGGAAAGUAUUAAUUUUUGUACAGAUUUUUAGAGAAAAACUGGUUUCGAAAAGUUUUAAUUUUUACACAGAUUUUAGAGAGAAACUGAUUUUUGAUUUUUUUUUUUAUAUAUAAUUUUAGAGGAAACUGAUUUUUUUAUUUUAUUUAUGUGAAGGAGGAUAUGGCGAUUGAAGAAGGCAUUCCAGAGUUUAUGAAGAAGUCGAUAAUUUUACAGACGUUUGGAGUAAACUACAAGCAUCCAUGUCAAGAAGCGGAGCAUGUGGUGAUCCCGCCGUAUAUUCCGCCGGAGAGUGUGCAUAGAGCAAUAGACAGAGCUCCGGCGAACAGACGGCGAGACAUUUGGGCGUUUUUUCGGGGGAAGAUGGAAGUCAACCCUAAGAAUAUUAGCGGACGUUAUUACAGCAAGUGCGUGCGUAGCGAAACCUUUUUUUUGUUUUCUCGUUGACUUUGACUUUUUGUGUUUGUUUUGUUCUUAAUUUCUAAAAUUGCCACUUUCCGGCGUGCAGGGGAGUAAGAACGGCGAUUCUGAAGAAAUACGGCGGAAGAAGACGGUUUCAUCUUAACCGGCACCGGUUUGCUGGAUACCGGUCUGAGAUCUUGCGGUCUGUGUUUUGCCUUUGUCCUCUCGGGUGGGCUCCAUGGAGUCCUCGGCUAGUGGAAUCAGCUGUUUUAGGUUGCGUCCCCGUAGUUAUCGCAGAUGGGAUUCAGUUACCGUUUUCGGAGACGGUACGGUGGCCGGAGAUAUCACUCACGGUGGCGGAGAAAGACGUGAAGAAUCUACGCAAGAUAUUGGAACACGUGACAGCGACCAAUUUGUCAACGAUACAGCGAAACUUACGUGAGCCGGCGUUUAAGCGGGCCCUCUUGUACAAUGUGCCGAUGAUGGAAGGUGACGCUACGUGGCAUAUUCUCGAUGCGUUGUCGAGGAAGUUAGUUCGGUCGUACAGAAGGUCAAGGGUUUUCAGCCAAUGAAGAGUUGACACGUAAGAUGCUGUCGCGAAAUGGAUGCUAGGCUGGAUAUUUUUGACUCUUUCGAUAUUGGAAACUGGAAUGUCUUGGUGUGGGGUCCAUAACGUGAGAAGCUUAACUCGGACACGUGAGAUGUUUGCUGAGCUGGCUACCACUGAGUGGAUCAGCAUGUACCUCAGGGAAGUGAAAGUGUAAAGUAUGCUGAUGUGUAAUUCUUUUGUAUGAGUAGGCAUUUAAUUCUUUGAAUAUAGAAAAUGACAUGUAAAUCGAAAUGCAUGCCGGGUAAAAUCUAUCCCAGCUCGUUUAAAAUCCAAGCAUAGUAAAUAACGGGAUCUAAUGAACACAAGUGUAGUCUACUCUAGUGUCAGGAAAUUUUAACUAUGUUUAAUAACUCGGUUAGCUUUUGAUAUCCUUUCUCCUACAAAAUAAUUUACAAUUAAACUUCAAUAGUUGUUAGUAAAAUAAAUAGGAAUUAAUAUAACAAAAGGGGUGGAGUUGCAUGGGGGAAGAUGAAAGACAGAGCAAUGUGAGCAAGGAGACAGCUAGUGUGUCAGAAGAUGCAUUAUACCCAAUAAAUGUAAUGUGCCGAACUAAUAAUAUGUACACAGUUUGUUUGUAGUCCCACCUCACGUCUAGUUGUUAUAACUAAAACAGUAGAAUUGAUCCGUUUAGAAUAUUACGGAGCUGAACGUUUAGAACCGGAGAGGCUGUGUCCAAAACUGAUACUAUUACUAUUACACAAUGUUGUGUUGUUUAUUGCAAAAAAGUGAGGUAAAUAAUUUUGUUUAGAACGAAAGUGACAUAUCUCCUUUACAAUGGUCCAAGUACCAUUCUCUUUCUCUAAGGAUUGGUGAGAGAGACAUGGGAGGAGGGGUCUGGAUCUAAGACCUAAACAAAAAUCACACAAAAGGGUCUCCAAAAAUUAGCUAAAAGGCGCUAGUUAUGUUUGAUUUAUCUUAGGAUCUAUAUUAUGUUGGGCCGAACCCAAUGAUACACAGGCCUAAAUUAAAAGUAUUUUAAUAUUCCCCUUUGCAAUAUGUUAUCCCUUUUUAGUUUAAGACAACCAAUUAUUUUAGUUUUGUUUUAAAUACUUUUGGUUCUUUGGACAGAACAUUGGGAGCAAACAGAUUAUUCUUGUAAAAUAAAAAAACAGAGCAGGGAGAAUGGAGAAAGUGAUGAACCUGAUAAAGCCGAAGCCUGAUCCGAAGCAAAUCUUACGUGAUUGGCAACGCAAGCUUCGUCAAGAGUGCCGUAACAUCGAACGCCAAAUCCGAGGUUCUUUCUUCCUCUCUGAUCAAUUUAGGGUUUUUCUAGAUUGAGCGAAAGUUCCGAACUUUGAUGAAUCUAUCUGAAAUUAGAUUGAUGGGUUUGUUCGAUCGCACCCCUAAUUGCGAAAAAUCAAUCUGAAUCGGAUCAUGAUCACGAAUCACGAGUGUCCUUAUAAGCUGAUUUUGAUUUCAAUUUGAAUCGUGUGUGUUGGGUUUAGGUUACAAUCUGAUUUUGAGAUUGUUUCGUUUUCAGAUAUACAGAAAGAAGAGAGAACCGUUCAGAAAGCUAUUAAAGAGGCUGCUAAGCGUAACGAUAUGGUCUCAGCAAAGGUAGACAGACUCUUAAAAGUUAGUUUUUUUUUAUUCUUUUGUAAUCUUUUGGCUGAUCCUCAUUCUAUGGUGUUCAUUCAAGGCGCUUGCUAAGGAGAUUGUUAGUGCGAGAAGAACAGUUAACCGUUUAUAUGAAAACAAGGCCCAGAUGAAUUCCAUAUCAAUGCACCUCGGAGAAAGUGUUGGUAAUAUACAGCUUACAGUUCUCAUCGUUUUGUCUUUACUAUGUUUGCAAUGUUAUUCUCUAACACAUAAGUAUCCUUUCUUUGAACCUUUCAGCUGUUGCUCGGACCGUUGGGCAUCUGUCCAAGAGCGCAGAGGUUAUGAAGCUAGUUAAUAACCUCAUGAAGGCUCCUCAAAUGGCUACAACUAUGCAGGAGUUCAGCAAAGAGAUGACUAAGGUAACCUUUAUUUCUUUUCCCUUUCUCUCAUCAUAUUAGUAUUCAUUUUAUAUUAAUCAAUCCAUAAUGAUUUUUAUUUUUGUUGCUUUGAUAUGUAGGCUGGAGUUAUUGAGGAGUUUGUGAACGAGGCCAUUGACAAUGCGCUAGAUUCAGAGGAUAUGGAGGAAGAGAUCGACGAAGAGGUUGAUAAAGUAUUGACUGCUAUCGCUGGAGAAACCGCUGCUGAGCUUCCAGAAGCUGUCAGGAAGGAAAGGAUAAAGGUGCCUGCACAGAAGGCGAGUACUUCCCGCGAGGUAAAAGCUUGUCCACCAAUAUGCUCUGCUUGAUUACGAGAUAAGGAGAUUAUGUUCUGAAAGAAGAUGUUGCGUUUUGUUUUGUUUCCCAGGAAGAGGCAAUUGCAGAAGGUGUUGAUGAUGAGGAAGAACUGGAGGAGAUUCGAGCUCGCCUCGCUAAAGUUAGAUCCUAACUUGAUUCCAGUGACUCUCUUUAUACACGAUUUUUAUUGAUCCGAGGAACUCUUGAAGGUGAUGAGAGAACAGAAGGAGAUUGAUGUGUAUUGUAAAAUAUAAUUGAAUUGCCUUAUACAUUGUAAUCAUAAGCUGUCUUUUGGUAACAAAAUUUUCUUUUAUUUUCAUCCGAAACUCUUAUACUAUGGUUCAGUGGUUGAGAAAACCGGGUUCUUUGAUUUUGGUUUAGUAUCCACUUUAAACAUGUAGUGGAGAGUUGGAGCAAACCGUAAUUCUGAUUACCUAAAUGUUUAGGCGAGAGUGAUAAAUGGUAAUAUAACUUUCGGUUGAUUAUUGGAUAUGUGAUAAUCCGAAUGCUAAUUCGACACCGAACCAACCUCGUGUUUUUUUAAGAACCAUCUAACGAGCUUGGUUUAUGAUCAUGAUCAUCAGCUGCACGAUCUACACAUGGCUGAGUGCAUAAUAUUUACUGAGAUAGUCAUAGCCAUAUUAGCACAUUAAUAUAUGUACAAUUGAUUGCUAGAGCAUUAGCAAUAUGCUCUACAUUAUACAAUUAACAAUCGCUACAAAAGUAUUUAGAAAAAUAUUUAUUAAAUGCUAAUGCUCUCUAAAUGUUCUCUGGUUAAUGUUCUCAAAUGAAGCUUUUAGAAAAACAUUUGCAUUUAUCAUUUAUAAAAUUAAAAAAAUAUAUAUUUAAUUCAUUUAUUUUAUUUAAUAAUAUCAUAAAAUUAUUUUUAUAUCCAGAAAAUAAAAUUUUGAUUUCUAAAAUUAAUUUACAACAAAAUAUUUUUUUUUAAAUAGGCAUUUCACAUUUAAAAUAUAAUAUAAUAUAUUUUAAAUGUAAAAUAUUAUUUUUAAAAAUAGAUAUUUUAAUUAUAAACUUUAUUUUUAGAUAAUAUUUUUUGAUAUAAACAUAAAUUUUAAAUUACUAAAUAAAGUAAGUAAAUUAUAUAUUUUUAAUAUUAUAUGUUAAUAUACUUAUAUAUACAUUAGAAAUAUAUUUAUUAAAAGUAAAUAUAUUGUAUAUUAUAUACUAAGUUUUAUAAUAUUUUUUAAAUUGCAUACUCAUACUGUUUUACCAAUAAUCUUAUCAAACAAUUUAGCAAAAACAUACAGCUUUUUCAGUAUACUGUUUUUAUAGCAUACGGCUACUGAUUUAUCAUCUGCUAUGUCAAUCAAGGCCGUAGAAUCAUACAUACAUAUAUUAGUUUGGACUCACACUAAGCAAGAGCACCCACUAUAUUUACCCAUUUCUCUGUCUUUGUUUAUACAAACAGUUAAUUGCAAAACGACAAAAAAAUAUUUAGAGCAUCAAAAGGAGUUUAUUCUUUUGGAAACAAUAUAUCUCUAGAUUUAUUCUCAGACUGAAUUUCAUAAUGUCGAAAGCAACUCGUAUGCAUAGGUCAACCUCAUGCAAUGUUUGACAUAGGAAUUUACCAGAUCGUCCACACCCAAAAUAGAAUUAAGAUCCUAAUGAACAAACUGGCAACAUGUUUGGUUGUAACAAAAAAUUUUUUGGCAUCAUAUACAAAAAAAUGAUUUUAAAAAAAAAGUAUCUAACAAGAAAGAAAGAGAAGGACAAGUAAAAUAAAUUCACGAAAAACAUUAAAUAAUCGAAGUAUAAUUAAUAAUAAUAAUCAGUCAUAACCAGUUCACACAUAAUUCAUCAACUUCAACCAAUUGAAUUGGCCCCUAAAUUACUUUAAAAGCCUUUUGCCAUAAGCUAAUGCUUGAUUGGUUUGUAGCCAAAACCGACUAUUUUGUUGAGUAUGUCUUCUUCAUAGGAUAUUAAUACUCAACAUCUUAAGAAGGAUACAUAUAUCGUAGUAUUCCGAAUAAUCUAGCUUUCUAAAUUCUAAUGUCUUCGUUAUCAUAUGAAAAUAUGUAUUCUUUUUUUUUUUAAACAAAAAAUAUGUAUUCUUUUUAUUUGCUGCGAGUGAGAAAAAGCUUAUGUUUUUUUUUUUUGUGACAAAAGCUUCCUUACAAAUGCUCCAGACAUGGUCCCGAUGGAUCAGCCAAAAGCUUCCUUACAAAUGCUCCAGACUUGGAUGCAAGGAAGGCUUUCUACUCCGACGGUUCCUCAGUGAUUAUUAUGUUUCUAAUGUCUAAGCAAAAAUAAUCCUAAGAAAAUAAUAACUGUCUGCUUAGUCUCUUGACGUUCUUAGUAGUUGUCCAAGCAUAUGACUGUUGAGUUGGAAUAAUAAUGAAUGAUAUAUUUAAGAUUAAGAAAAAACAAUGCUCUCGUUAUAUUUAAACCAUAAAGUAAAUUUCAGUAACCACAAAAUUUCAUUUCCAAGAUAAUGUUUACGUUAAUGGGUUAAUUUAUCAAAUGUUAACAAUAUGUGUAGUAUACGAAAAUAUAACAUUUGAAAUUGAAACGUAAAUUUGGAGCAAUUAGAUGAAAAUGAUCAUAGGACACUUGUGCCAAUAAUUCUUGUCAUUGUUCCAACAGUAAAACCCAUCAUCUUUUGCAACAACGAAACGCACCGCAGAAUCAGUGUCCGAAUCGUACAAACGGUACAUCCUCAAAGAGGGCACGAAUUGUGCUUCACCCCAAAACGUUCCUUCGCAAGACGUCCGCUGCGACACUCUAGGUCUCGCCGGUUUAUCGUUUUUUUCAGCGGUGGGUGGGAUAUCAUCAGUCGCAUUUUUUCCGCUAGUGGUUGGGAUCUUUAUCAACGAGACUUGACCCAAAGGUAUGGGUUUAGACAUCCUAGGAAUUGAGCCCUGGCACGUCACGAAGACGGGAACAUUAGCACGUCUCUGCAUCUGGUUGGAUACGAUAAGAGUGGCGGCACGUGCGGAUCCAGAGCUAACAAAGAGCACUAGGGUCAUGAUCGAUACCAUUAUAAGAGUGUCCAUGAGUUUUUAUUAUGUGGAAAAGAUGUGUUAUAGAAUGUAAAUAUAUAUCUUCUUUGGAAGUUUAUGUGUCUCUAUUUAUAUUAUCUGGCUUCAGUUUCUCAAAUUUUGAGCAUUAACAACAAUCACUACGUACGUUUAAGAAUUGAAAGGUGAUUAAUAAGUGAUUACGGUUACCAUUAGAAUUAAGAGACUCUAACAUUUAUUAGAGACAAUCUCGGUUUGGUACCUGUUCUGUGAUUGUUGCAAUUAGAGAGAGAUAAAAAAGAUUUCAGUGAUGUCAUCAUUAGUUUAUUUUUAUUUUUUGGAAAGAUGUGCUGCGACAUUUGGUGUGUAAUAUGUAUAAUGACAAAUCAAACCCAUUUUUUUAUUAUCAAAUACAAAUCAAACCUUUAUUCUUAAUAAGAAUGACCAACUGCAUAGUGUUAAGUGUGAAUAAAACGGUGUUUCACACAGCAUGUUCAAUAUAUACGAUUAAUCAACAGAAAAGCGAAGAGUAUUAUAGAGAAUAUGAUACUCUGUGACUUGACUGAAGGAAAAGGGGACUAUGGUGAGUGGUGAGGCAUGUCACGUCACCGUUGUCUAAUCCAUUUUCAGUUAACCAAUGGACCGUAAACAAAUAUUGGCCUUUUAUUAUGAAAUAUGGACCGUUUCACAUAUCUUCAGAAACCACCAUUGGCCCCUAUUGUUUUCUAUCGCCUCCCAAUUCACUCGGAGUUACUCUCCCCUUUCACCUCCUCCCUAAUAUAGGCGUCCCACUUUCAUGAUUCAUAAAGCUCCAUCAUUUCAUGAUUCAGUGGAGAGUAUGAGUGCUUGCAAGAUAUUUGAUCAAAAUGGUGCAUGGCUACGGAGAAGUAAGGGUUUUUGGUGUCGAGACAUUGAUCUAAAAAUUAUGUGAACCGAAAAGGGUACUUUCCACCUUCAAAACUGUAUUUGUUGUGUGUUACUUCGAAGUUUAGGAGAAACAAAGGCGAUUGGAAGCCAAUGAAGCAUGGAAUUCGGGCUUUCAUAUAUUAAAUAUAAUAUCGGCCAAAAAUUUGACAAAAGUGACUUUAGUCUAGUAGUCAAAUUUCUCUAAAUUCUGUAAGACAUGAAUGGUUCAAACCUAACCAGACACAUUAUUGUUUUUGGCUUGUGGUCUCAACAAAAUAUGGACCAGCUCUACUAUUGAGAUGGAAUAAUAAUGUGAUAUAUUUAAGAUUAAGAAAAAAAUGCUCUCGUUAUAUUUAAACCAUAAAGUUAAUCGGGCAAUUUUCCGAAAUAGACAAUUUUCAAGUUUUUGUUCACAAAAAUAGAUCACAAGAAGGAAAAUGACCAAAACGUUUCAUUUAAUAGGUAAAAUGACAUUAAUAACCUAGAUAUAAAAAAAAUUAAAAAAUUAAAAAAUAAUUUUUAUAGUUUUAGAUUAUAUAUUUUCAAAUUUGAACUUUAAAAAAAAAUCGAAUUUUUUUUUUGAAAAUUUUCUUUUUGUAAUUCGUAAAUACUUUUUGAAACUAUUUUUAAAAUUUUUAUUUUAAAAUUUUUAAUAUUUAUUUUUUAUUUUAUAAAAUUUUAAACCUCAAUCCCAAAUUUCCACUCCUUAAAUCUAAACCCUAAGAUUUGGAUUAGUUAACUCUAUGAGUGUAAAUGUAUAUUUACCUCUUCAAUAAAAUAUUUUGGUCAUUUUCUUUCUUGUGGUCUAUUUUUGUGAACAAAAUUUUUUUAUUGCUAUUUUAGAGUGUUUCUCAAGUAAAUUUCAGUAACCACAAAAUUUCAUUUCCAAGAUAAUGUUUACGUUAAUGGGUUAAUUUAUCAAAUGUUAACAAUAUGUGUAGUAUACGAAAAUAUAACAUUUGAAAUUGAAACGUAAAUUUGGAGCAAUUAGAUGAAAAUGAUCAUAGGACACUUGUGCCAAUAAUUCUUGUCAUUGUUCCAACAGUAAAACCAAUCAUCUUUUGCAACAACGAAACGCACCGCAGAAUCAGUGUCCGAAUCGUACAAACGGUACAUCCUCAAAGAGGGCACGAAUUGUGCUUCACCCCAAAACGUUCCUUCGCAAGACGUCCGCUGCGACACUCUAGGUCUCGCCGGUUUAUCGUUUUUUUCAGCGGUGGGUGGGAUAUCAUCAGUCGCAUUUUUUCCGCUAGUGGUUGGGAUCUUUAUCAACGAGACUUGACCCAAAGGUAUGGGUUUAGACAUCCUAGGAAUUGAGCCCUGGCACGUCACGAAGACGGGAACAUUAGCACGUCUCUGCAUCUGGUUGGAUACGAUAAGAGUGGCGGCACGUGCGGAUCCAGAGCUAACAAAGAGCACUAGGGUCAUGAUCGAUACCAUUAUAAGAGUGUCCAUGAGUUUUUAUUAUGUGGAAAAGAUGUGUUAUAGAAUGUAAAUAUAUAUCUUCUUUGGAAGUUUAUGUGUCUCUAUUUAUAUUAUCUGGCUUCAGUUUCUCAAAUUUUGAGCAUUAACAACAAUCACUACGUACGUUUAAGAAUUGAAAGGUGAUUAAUAAGUGAUUACGGUUACCAUUAGAAUUAAGAGACUCUAACAUUUAUUAGAGACAAUCUCGGUUUGGUACCUGUUCUGUGAUUGUUGCAAUUAGAGAGAGAUAAAAAAGAUUUCAGUGAUGUCAUCAUUAGUUUAUUUUUAUUUUUUGGAAAGAUGUGCUGCGACAUUUGGUGUGUAAUAUGUAUAAUGACAAAUCAAACCCAUUUUUUUAUUAUCAAAUACAAAUCAAACCUUUAUUCUUAAUAAGAAUGACCGACUGCAUAGUGUUAAGUGUGAAUAAAACGGUGUUUCACACAGCAUGUUCAAUAUAUACGAUUAAUCAACAGAAAAGCGAAGAGUAUUAUAGAGAAUAUGAUACUCUGUGACUUGACUGAAGGAAAAGGGGACUAUGGUGAGUGGUGAGGCAUGUCACGUCACCGUUGUCUAAUCCAUUUUCAGUUAACCAAUGGACCGUAAACAAAUAUUGGCCUUUUAUUAUGAAAUAUGGACCGUUUCACAUAUCUUCAGAAACCACCAUUGGCCCCUAUUGUUUUCUAUCGCCUCCCAAUUCACUCGGAGUUACUCUCCCCUUUCACCUCCUCCCUAAUAUAGGCGUCCCACUUUCAUGAUUCAUAAAGCUCCAUCAUUUCAUGAUUCAGUGGAGAGUAUGAGUGCUUGCAAGAUAUUUGAUCAAAAUGGUGCAUGGCUACGGAGAAGUAAGGGUUUUUGGUGUCGAGACAUUGAUCUAAAAAUUAUGUGAACCGAAAAGGGUACUUUCCACCUUCAAAACUGUAUUUGUUGUGUGUUACUUCGAAGUUUAGGAGAAACAAAGGCGAUUGGAAGCCAAUGAAGCAUGGAAUUCGGGCUUUCAUAUAUUAAAUAUAAUAUCGGCCAAAAAUUUGACAAAAGUGACUUUAGUCUAGUAGUCAAAUUUCUCUAAAUUCUGUAAGACAUGAAUGGUUCAAACCUAACCAGACACAUUAUUGUUUUUGGCUUGUGGUCUCAACAAAAUAUGGACCAGCUCUACUUUUAGCAUAGAGAACUUAUUACCAUUUCUUGUUAUCCAAGAAAAUGAGAUUUCAUCGGAAAAACUAGACGUUUGGAAGAUAUUCAUUAUACAUUUUCCUCAUUUCUUUGUACUCAUUUCCUCCAAUACAUGAGAAACAUGAAACAACAUGAAACUCUUUCUUUUCAUUUCUUUCCAUGCUCUCAUGUUACUUGAAGCAUUGGGGGAUACCCAUGAAACUGAUAAGCAAGCAUUACUCAAGUUCAAGUCUCAAGUUUCCGAGGAGAAAAAGUUUUGCUGUCUCCAUGGAACAACUCGUCCCCUCUCUGCAGAUGGGCAGGGGUUACAUGUGGCCGCAAAAACAAGAGAGUUACUCGUUUGGACCUCAGAGGCUUUCAGGUCUCCAUGGAACAACUCGUCCCCUCUCUGCAGAUGGGCAGGGGUUACAUGUGGCCGCAAAAACAAGAGAGUUACUCGUUUGGACCUCAGAGGCUUUCAGUUGGGUGGAGUGAUAUCGCCAUUUAUUGGUAAUCUUUCAUUUCUCACAUCAGUUGAUGUCACUGAUAUCUCUUUUGGUGGAAACAUCCCUCGAGAGCUGGUUAACUUGUUUAGACUUUAGCACUUGAAUAUGAGCUUCAACAUUUUGGAGGGGGGAUUCCAGCCAGUCUGUUCAACUGUUCUAAAUUGGUGGACCUUGAUUUAUAUUCAAAUCAUCUUGGACAAGGUACUCCUUCGGAACUGAGAUCAUUGAUGAAGCUUGAUAGACUUUGCUAAAAACAAUUCAAUAGAUUUUCAGACAAAUCUAAUACUUGUAGGCCUAUGAGAUUCCCAAUGCCAUGAGGAAUGCUUCCAGAUGCUUCCAGAUAUGAAAUUAUUUUGAAGAGCUACACUAGUGAGGCUCAUUGACAGAUUGGAAAUGGAGACAUGCAAGUCACCCUCGAGAUUAUUGAAUCCCUACUAUUUGCAGUUGGGAGCAGUUAGUCAAAUCUAAUACUUGUAGGCCUAUGAGAUUCCCAAUGCCAUGAGGAAUGCUUCCAGAUGCUUCCAGAUAUGAAAUUAUUUUGAAGAGCUACACUAGUGAGGCUCAUUGACAGAUUGGAAAUGGAGACAUGCAAGUCACCCUCGAGAUUAUUGAAUCCCUACUAUUUGCAGUUGGGAGCAGUUAGUCAAAGCAACAAGAAAUUCAAGAUCUCCCGCUGAAAAAAUUCCCAAAGAAUUUUCAGUAAGGCUUAAUCUUUACAAAUAUCAUAGUUUUGCGAAGCUCAGAGGAAUACUUCCAGUCAGGUUGUUAAGCUCCAUGCCCAGAUACUGAAGAGUUGAAAUAUUUCCAAGUGUUGGUGGAAUGGCUCCUGUGAGAAAAUUAUUUUCCAUAGCCCAUCGUUCAAUGUUUGGUAGCAAGUUACCAAAAUCUGGCCUCAAGUUCCAAGAGAAAUAAUUACCAAACAAGCUCAAAUACCAAAGGGAGGACAAAUUGUAAAUUGCAGGAGGACAAAUUGUUUGUUGAUAACAAGAAUAACUCUAUUUGAGUCAAUAUAGCUAUAGCCUCAAGAAUUCCUCCUUCCGGAUUGUUUUCAUAAACCAAUCCCAGCCUAUUUUGGGAAACUUUCAGGCUUGGUGGGAUAUAAUGCCUAUUCAAACAAAAUGUCGGGAGAGAUACCACAUUCUUUAGGCAACAUCACUCGGUUAGAAACACUCCAAUUGUCAGACAAUAGUUUUGAAGGAAUCAUUCCUCCAAGUCUUGGUAAAUGUGGUAAAUGUAGCUAUUUGCUAAAUUUACAUAUCCAGAAUAAUAAGCUCACUGGUAUUAUACUUGAGGAGAUUGUGCAAAUUUCAAUCAUUGUUUUCCUAAACAUGUCAAAUAAUUUACUGACUGGCUCUCUACCAGAAGAUGUUGGACGACUUGAAAAUCUUGGUAUGUUAAAUGUUGCUCACAAUAAGCUAUCAGGGAAACUCCCAAAGACUUUGGGUAGAAAUUAUUUUCCUUGUAUCAUUUCAUUUUUUAAUUAAAUUUUUGCUAAUGUUUUUCUCAUUUUUUACAUAUUUUUUCCCAAAUAUUUAUUUAUCCCUUUAAAUAGUAAGACAAACCAUAUAAUCAGUGAACCAAAAAUCCAUCUUAGAUUUUUUUUUCAAUCAUACCAUUACCUCAUUCAUUAUAUUAUUUGAUUUAAAUGAAAAAUAUAUUUUUUAAAUUCAAGUUCUCAAAUGUUCUGUUAAAUAUAAACCAUCCAAUCAAAGGCUAAUUAUUUAUAAAGCAUAUAUUGACAUUAUAAGAGAUUUAUAAGUAUUAUAGAUCAUAAAACUAUAUCUUUAUAUGAAUAUGCAAUCAUUAUAUUUAUUUUUAUUAAUUAUUUUCUAUCAAUUAUUUUAUGUAGUAUAUAAAUAGAAAAAGAACUGAUCAAACAUUAUUACAUUUCAUAUAAUUUUGAAAAUUAGCUACCAUAAAUUAUUAUUUGUAAUAUCAUUUAGGUUAUUUGGCAAGUGAUAAUAAUUAGUUUUAGAUUCACUUUUUAUUUUAGAUCUAAUUAAAAUAAUUAAAAUUAUAAAAAGUUUCGUUCAUUAUAUUAUGUAGUUUAUAAAUAUAAAAAAGAAUUAAACAAACGUUAUUAUUUUUUAUAUAAUUUCAACAAUUAGUUACCAUAAAUUAUUAUUUUAAUAUAAUUUAGAAUAUUUUGAAAACGAUAUUAAUUGGUUCUAUAUUUAUUUUAUUUUUAAUCUAGAUUUAAAUUAAAAAUUAAAAAUUAUCGACCAAACAAAUUAUAACAAUUUUGUUAAAACUUCACAAAUAAUCAUGUAAGGAAAAAUCAGUUAAGUGACUUUUCGUUGUUUAAUGUAUAGAAGGAUUUCUAUUUAUAUGAGACUUACUAUUUCAAGUAUACAUAUAUAGUACUUAGAGACCUUAUUAGUUAGCAGUAUUUGUUUAGCUAGAUAGUAUUGACUAUUGCGAGACCGUAUUAAUUAAUAGUAUAUGUUGAGUUGCUACAUUGUGUAUGAAAGUCACCACCUUUAUCAGUGUCUCCUGCGGCUAAGAGAAAUAGAUUGAUGGAAAUACAGAUACUGUUUCUAUGUUCCAGUUGACACAUUCCCAUGCCAGAUAUUGUUACAUCCAAAACCCUCCGAAUAUAAAAAGGAAACCACAACACUAGUUAUAUAACUUUUGAAUUAGGUUCCUGUUCGUAAUCGCGCUAGGUGCUAGUCGUGCACUCGAGCCGGGCCUAGCGCCUUGACGAAAAAUCGGAGAUUAAUUGGGGAGUACGCGGGGCAUUUAAUUUAAUUUUUUAAAUUAAAUAUAAUAUGUAAAUAUAUAUUAUAAUGUGAUAAUCUAUGUAUAUUGAAAUUCAUAUUAACAUUUAAAUUAACUAAAUCCCAUGUUAAGGACUUUAGUUUUAAAAAUUCAAAUCCAUAAAUUAAAAUGAUUUCACUGUCGAACCUAUCGUAGAAAUACAUAGUCAUUAGAAUCACCUAUCUAAGAUUUAUCAAAAUGUUUAUAUCAUGUACAAGAAAAGAGACAAUACAGUCUGUAGCAUAUACUGCAUUAUCAAUUUAUUUUGUAUAGAAAAAUUCAACAAUAAAAAACGAUUAAAAUAAGAAAAAGAUGCGCUGAAGUUAAAAAAACAAGAGUUCUAACUACAUCCCACAUCGGAAAGCAAAAUAAGAAGAAACAUGUCAAAUUAUCUAUAAAUAUAGAUGUUUCUGCUUCGCUUCAGUUUCAAGGUGGGCUUCCACAAAAGCCCUGUCAAAAGUGUUAAAAUUAAUCGGGAAAAAUCGGUUAAAAAUCGUUAAAACCCCGAUUAAUUAACUUAGGCGGCCGGUUUAUUGUGGUCCGAUUAGUUGACCCGAUUUGGUCCAAAUCGCCACGGUACUCGUGCGCCGAGCGCCUGGGCAGCCGAGUUUUCGGCUAGGCAGCCGCGUUUUCGAACAGGGGGUUUACCACAUCGCUACUAAACAAAAGCACAUAUGCAUAGGCUCAGUGAGGCCCAUAAUAUUUGGUUUGGUAGGGUUGGUGAACUUUAUGUCCACAACCCGUUUCGUCUCAACUAAAGAGAACCAAAAAAAAACAACUGUAUCAAGAGGAACUGAAAAAAUGGAAAAUUUUCAAAUAUUACAAUCUGUAAGCUAUUUAGAACUAAAAUUAUGUAUGGAAAACUAACUUUUCAUCUUUUCCUAAAUUAAGAUGCUGGAAUUCACUUUUCUUCAAAAAUGAAAAAGGAACCUUAACUUUCUUGUAAUGUUUUUAACUUUUUAACGAAAACAUAAAAUAUGUGCUGAAUGUAGUUUUUGGGUAUAAAGUGCGUGGAUUUGUUAAGUUUACACUUUCUUAACUAUAUGAUAUUGGUAAAAAAAAAACUAUAGAACAAUAUCAGAGGUCAUUUAUAUAACACCACUCAUCAUCAUCAUCAUAAAGCCCAUUUAAACCGAACUACUAUAAAUAGAAUGAAAGGUCUAGUCCUUCUCUCUUUCCUUCCGACUCUGGUCUCCGUCUACUUUCCUUCUCCCCACUACUUCCUCACUAAACCGAGUCACCAUGAGUAAGGUAACCGAGUCAAACCGCAGCUACCCUUUACAGCAGCCUCGAAUCUUCUCUCUCGACUUUAUCAGUUUAAUUAUACUGCAGAUCAUAUUUAUUGGGUUUAAAUUGCGCACUCUGUUUUGUCUCUGAACAGAACAACAACAAAAGAGAUGGCAGCGGUGAGAAGAAGACGGCGUCUAUCACCGUCGUUUUGAAGGUCGACAUGCAUUGCGAUGGUUGCGCUUCAAAACUCGUUAAAUCCGUUCGUGCUAUCCAAGGUUUGAUUUUCGUAUGAACAAAUCGAACGUUACCGUCCUUUUUACUCGGAACCUAUACUGGGUCAUUUAAAAAUCCCUACUUUAAUUGAAAAAUAACAAUAACGUGUAAUAAUAUCUCUCAGGCGUUGAGACGGUGAAAGCAGAGUCAGAGACUGGUAAAGUAACGGUGACCGGAGAUGUAGAUCCGGCUAAACUCCGGGAGCAACUUGAAGUGAAGAUAAAGAAGAAAGUCGAGUUGGUUUCUCCUCAGCCCAAUAAGGAGAAAGACAACAACAAGGACAGUAAGGACAAGAACAAAGAAAAGAAGUCAAAGGAGAAGAAACCUAAAGAGGUAAAGCUUUGAACUUUACUUAACCGUUCGUAUUAUUACAAAACCAAGAAUCUGAUUCUAAAAGUCUGUGUUAGGCUCCGGUUACAACGGCGGUACUGAAGGUGGACUUCCACCGUGAACGGUGUAUUGAGAAGAUUCAAAAGACUGUCUCUAAAACCAAAGGUUUGAAGAGAGAGAGACACAACAAAACCAAUGAGUUCUGUCAGCGUUUUCAAAACGCUGUUUUUAGUUUAAAACGCUGACGACGUUUUAUUUUUUGGUUUUUUGCAACGGCAGGUGUGAGUGGCUUCUCAAUAGAUCACGAGAAGCAGUUGGUGACGGUUAAAGGAACAAUGGACGUGAAAAAGCUCGUCAGGAGUUUGACUGAGAAGCUAAAACGUAGCGUGGAGAUUGUGGCGACGGCCAAGAAUGGUAACGCAAAAGAGAAACAGUACGUGGCGGCUCAGCCUGCUCACGGGUCUGCGUAUUUUCCGGUGAGGAUGGAGAUACGAUUGAAUACUUAGCACCUCAGAUUUUCAGCGAUGAUAAUCCGAAUGCUUGCGUCGUUAUGUGAAGCGGCGGAAGAACAUUGACGGGUAGUAGAAUAGACUGUAAAUAUGCGCUUAAGAUUUUUAAGGUACUUAUUGAAUAUUUAAAUACUUCUUUUCAGAUAUAAUUUCAAAAUAAAUAUAGAAUUGAAUAUUUUUAGUACAUAUUAAUGUGAUCUUUUAUUUAUGCCUCUGAAGAUGAUGUUUCUCAGGUCAUCGAACAAAAGUUUAAUCCUAUCUGUUGGACCGCGCAUAUCUUUGGAUUUGUUGGACGACUAUAUGAUGAAACAAAAGUUUACUAGGGAUCAUCUUCGCUUACUGAUCAAUACAUAAACCAUUUUCAAUCUAUUUGAUUGAUACAAACAUCGCCUUGAACUAGUGAACAACGAUCAUUGCUUCUCAAAAGUUUACAUACAAGUAUACAUAAUAUAACACCUUCUCAAAAGUUUAAAUUUUUUUCUUUUUUAAAUCUUAAUAAAAUUAAAGAAUGAAAAGAGAAAGACAUGCAGGAGUCAAUGAUUUCCCCCUUUUGCCUUUUACCUUUCUUCAUCUUCACAUUUUUCCUCUACUUUUGUACUUUUGUGAAAUUUAUAUUUGAUUCUAUUUCUUUCUCAACACUAAUUUCCAAAUUUUUUUUUUUUAAGAAUGGGUGGACGAUUGAUAAGGACGAGAACUUUCCUCUUCAUUUGAAAAAAACAUUUCACACCUUCAAAUGUCAUACCAAACAUAUACAUACAUAAUGGGGCUGGUAUAAGAAAGACAGUGGGGCUUCCACUUUCACCUAUGGAUCUUUACCUACAAACAUUGGGCCUUCAAUUCAACAAGCCUAAAUAAAAGCCCAUAUAAAAAAACGCACCAUAUUCGCAUAUUCGCGACCGACCAGAUGUGGGGAGUUGGUGUUAGAUUCCAAUACGCAAACUAAAAAAAAGUCUUGCAGCUAAACACAGUCUUGUCGUACACGUGGCACUCACCCUCUUAUAAAUAAAAAAAACACGAUUCUUUCCUUCCGCCUCCCUCGACAGAAACCACUUCUCUCAUUAACCCUAAUUCACACACCUUUGCAUCUGCGAAACUCGAUCUCCAGAUCUCUCCAAGCUCCCAAUCUCCAACAGGUAAAAAUCCAUUAUUUACAAAUCAUCCUCAAUUGUUUGAUUUCGAUCUGUAUCAUCCUCAAUUGUUUGAUUUCGAAUUUCAGGGAGAUUCGAAAGAUGGUGUCCGACGCUAGCAAGAAGAAGGCUCUCCAGAAGAAAGCCGCCGCCGCCGCCAAAAGAGGCGGUAAAGCAGCCGCCGCUAAAGCCGCCGCCUCUUCUUCAAACGGAGCUGAUAGCUUGUCGAGCGGCGUCGACGCUAUUCAGAUAUCCGACCGGACCUGUACCGGAAUCCUCUGCUCUCAUCCUCAGUCCAGAGACAUUCGUGUAAGUCUUUUUUUGAAGUUAGAUUUUUUUGAAGUUAGAGACGAACUCGUGUGAAUCAGUUAGAUUGAUUCUUUGUUUUGUUUUGUUUUGUUUUGAUUGCAGAUUGAAUCUCUGUCUGUUACGUUUCAUGGUUACGACCUGAUUGUUGAUUCGAUGCUGGAGCUUAACUACGGGAGACGUUACGGUCUCCUCGGGUUGAAUGGUUGUGGGAAGUCUACUCUCUUAACUGCGAUUGGACUCAGAGAGCUUCCGAUUCCUGAUCACAUGGACAUCUACCAUCUCUCCCACGAGAUUGAAGCCACUGAUAUGACUUCUCUCGAGGCUGUGAUGAGCUGUGACGAGGAGAGGUUGAAGCUGGAGAAGGAGAUUGAGACUCUUGUUGAGCAGGUUUUGUGUAAAACUCUAUUCUUGAUUUUGGUAUGUGUUGUGUUUGGAUGCUGAUUUUAGUUCUUUUUUUUUUGGCAACAGGAUGAUGGAGGCGGAGAGCGUCUUGACACAAUCUACGAGCGGUUAGAAGCCAUGGAUGCUUCGACGGCGGAGAAGCGUGCUGCUGAGAUUCUGUUUGGUCUUGGUUUCGACAAGGAGAUGCAGGCUAAGAAGACUAAGGACUUUUCUGGUGGGUGGAGGAUGAGAAUUGCGUUGGCGAGAGCUCUCUUCAUUAUGCCAACUAUCCUUUUGCUUGAUGAGCCCACUAAUCAUUUAGGUACGUUCUUACUUGCUUUGAUUGGUUUCUGUUUUGUUUUUCAUUAGUAUAUAUACUCCCUAAGUGUAGUUUUAGACUUUAAAAUCCAUUUCAUUUUAAGGGGUUUCUCUAUAAUUUUUCACUUAUAUCCCUACUUUUAGCUCAUUAAUUAGUAAAAUAAAAAAUAUUAAUUAGUGGUAUAGUAAAAUAUAUAAUGAAUUUUUAAUGUGUGAAGAAAUUUUUAACUACAUUAUAAGGGUUUGAUCUAUAACUUUUCAACUUAUAUCCCUACUUUUUAGCUCAUUAAUUAGUAAAAAGAGUUAAUUAGUGGUAUAGUACAAUAUUGAAUGAUUUUUUUAAUGUGUGAAGAAAUUUUUAACUACAUAUAAAAUAAAAGAGGUAGAGUAUAUAUAUAUAUUUUUUGAUAUUUGUGCCGAAUCUUAUUUCUCUCUUGCAUCAGAUUUGGAAGCUUGUGUCUGGUUAGAGGAGAGCCUGAAGAACUUUGACCGUAUCCUCGUCGUGGUCUCCCACUCGCAGGAUUUUUUGAACGGAGUGUGUACCAACAUCAUCCACAUGCAAAGCAAGCAGCUCAAGUACUACACCGGUAACUUCGACCAGUACUGCCAGACACGUUCCGAGCUAGAGGAGAAUCAGAUGAAACAGUACAGAUGGGAGCAGGAGCAGAUCUCCCACAUGAAGGAGUACAUCGCCCGGUUCGGUCACGGUUCAGCCAAACUCGCUCGCCAAGCGCAGAGCAAGGAGAAGACUCUGGCCAAGAUGGAGAGAGGUGGGCUCACGGAGAAGGUGGCGAGAGACAGUGUCCUCGUUUUCCGUUUUGCUGAUGUUGGGAAGCUUCCGCCGCCGGUGCUUCAGUUUGUGGAAGUGUCCUUUGGGUACACACCUGACUACCUUAUAUACAAGAACAUCGACUUUGGUGUUGACUUGGACUCUAGGGUGGCACUUGUGGGACCCAACGGAGCUGGGAAGAGUACUCUCUUGAAGCUCAUGACUGGUGAGCUGCAUCCAACUGAAGGAAUGGUGAGGCGUCACAACCACUUGAAGAUUGCUCAGUACCAUCAGCAUCUAGCUGAGAAGCUGGACCUUGAAGUGCCUGCGCUUAUCUACAUGAUGAACGAGUUUCCGGGUAACGAAGAGGAGAAGAUGAGAGCUGCUAUUGGUAGGUUCGGUCUGACCGGUAAGGCGCAAGUGAUGCCGAUGAAGAAUCUAUCUGAUGGACAGAGGAGCCGUGUGAUAUUCGCGUGGCUGGCUUAUAAGCAGCCUAACAUGCUUUUACUGGAUGAGCCUACUAACCAUCUGGAUAUUGAGACGAUCGACUCUCUUGCUGAGGCGUUGAACGAGUGGGAUGGUGGUUUGGUUCUUGUGAGUCACGACUUCAGGUUGAUUAACCAAGUGGCUCAUGAGAUAUGGGUGUGUGAGAAGCAGUGCAUCACGAAAUGGAAUGGUGAUAUUAUGGACUUCAAGAAGCAUCUCAAGGCUAAAGCUGGGCUUGAAGACUGAAGAUAAAGUCAAGUCAGAAGACUUGGUUGGGUCACAGGGCUAUAGAGAGUGAGAGGGAUUUUGUUUGGUGAUGGUUUUGAAGCCAACACGUUAAAGAGAGAGGGAGACACCAUACUCGUAAUCUCUGCACUUCUUACUCAUUUAAGAGGUCAGUGAUUCUUCUAUAUUAGUACUAUAAACAUCAAUCUGCACUUUUAUUUUUAUUGUUUUGACGUUUUUGGAGGAGAGACGGAUAUGAAAAACGAAAUAUUUUGGUUGUAUUGUAGGAUUUUUUUUUUUUAAUUAUUAAAAGACUCAGAUGUUGACGAUUAUGGUAUUAUUUAAUAUUAUCAAAGUUAAGAAAAACAUCGCAUCAGUUCCAAAGCUAUUGCAAGGGAGACGCAGAGGUGUGAUUGUGGUGUUUAUCAAAUAGUAUUGAAUAUUGAUUACAGUUUAGCCGAGGCAGAGGUCAGAGCUUGUAAUAGGUUCAAUCCAAAAAACAUUACUAAAAUUAAUCGAAACCUUCAAAAUAUAAAACAUGCUUGUUUGCUAAAAAUCAAAUGGAUAAUGGACGUAGAUAUAGGAGAGAUUAACUAAAAUAGGAAUGAGUUUCUUCUCAAGGGAAAUUAAAACGAAACAUAUUUUGAGCUGUGAUAUAUGCUUGUUUGGCUUAUCACUCGCUGUGGACCACUGAUGGAUAAUGGCUACAACAUCAAGCACUUCCCUCGUUACCUCAUCUUCCUUACACUAACCGGUAUCUUGAGCCGCUGUGCAGCGUUCUUUUGCAUGGUAACUUUCCAGAAGAAGUAGCUUUAAGCUCCUUCUAUGCAUGUAAAACUAUACUGGACUAAUCAAUAGAGAACAUAGACAAACCACAAAGGUUUUACAAGAAGAAAGAAUACAUCAAUUGCUGAAGAUCAUGGCCUGGUACAAUGUUCAUAGGUAGUUCCAUCGUCAGAGUUCAAGAUUUUCUUAUCUGUAAUUCUUCAUGUUGUACAUUAGGGGUGGGCGUUCGGGUACCCGUUCGGGUUCGGGUCGGGUAUUUCGGAUUUUCGGGUAUUUCGGUAUAGAGGUCUAGAACCCGUUCGGGUAUUUCUGUACUUCGGGUCGGGUUCGGGUAUUUUUAGUUCGGAUUCGGUUAUUUCGGAUCGGGUUCGGAUAUUUAGAUUUUGAAAAAAAAUAUUAAAAUUUUCAUUUCUCAAGUUUAUUGUAUUUAAAAAUAUAACUUUUAGUUAACUAAUUUUUUAUUUUUAAUAGAUUGAAUGGUUAAUAGAUUUGGACAUAACAUUUUAAAACUAAAAAGACACUAAUUUAGUUAUUUUUUUUUAAUUUUGGAUAUAACUUUUUGUUAAUUUUUGAAAUAAAAAACUUGACAUGCACUUUAAGUGAGUAGCAAAUCAUUUUUUCCGGAAUUGUAUGUAUAUCAUAUGAACUUAAAUUAUGUGUAGUAUCAAUAUAAAUAUUUUAUAUAAAAUGAGAGAUAUAAACUAGAAACAUAAGGUUAAUUAUACAUAUGUUCGGUUAUCUUCGGAUAUCCAUUCGGGUUCGGGUAUUAUCCGUUCGGGUUCGGGUAUCCAAUCUCUCCUUAUUCAAUACCCGUUCGGGUAUUUUGCUACUUCGGUUCGGAUUUCGGUUCGGUUUUUUCGGAUCGGGUUCGGGUGCCACUUCGGAUAUCGGGUAAAGUGCCCACCCCUAUUGUACAUCUUUCUAUUGUCUUAUAGAUAUAACGUAGAUCAUCAUCGUGUUGCAACUUGCUAUCAAUUAUGUUUUAUACACCAAGUAAAAAUGUAGAAGUACAUAGAAGAACCAAUGAGAAAACCUUCAAGAACUUCCAUUACUUUCUUGGCUUAAAAGUUAAUAACAAUGGUAAUUUGUUUUACUUUCAUCACCUAGAAUUUCAUAUUUCCAAAUGAGAUGACAUCAUUUGAUACAAAUUAUCAUUAUUAGUCUGGUACUAUACAGUGUGGAGAAGCAUUUAUUUAAGAACAAGGUAGAUCAGAAUGUAUUGAUUGUUUUUUGUUUAUAACAAAAAAAAGUAUGUAAAAGUUAAAUGAUUAUCCAAUUAAAAUAUUUUUUUUUGCUUACACAUUAAUCCUACAACUAGAUAUGCAAAUUGUUACGUAAUGAUUAGUGAGCCAAAAUCAUAAUCUCCCUUGUACUCAAACAACAAAUCAUAGCAGAAACCCAAAUAUGAAAUAUUUUAUAAUAAUGAAAUUAUUAUUAAAAAUUAAAAACCCACUACCCACCACUCUCUCUCAAGGACGGUUAAGAGCAUCAGCUACGAAAACUGCUUCUCGUCUUCCUUCACCAAACCCUCACAAUCGGUCGCUCUCUUCUUCAUCUUGAAGCCUAAGCCAAUCUAUACCUCAAUAUGUCCCAUUCUUCUUCUAUUAACCUCCUUCAUUACCAUUACCUCCCUCCUUGUCUAAAUCACUCUUCCUUCCGGUUUUGCGUCACUGCUCCAUCUUCAUCUCGUUGGUCUAGUCCCGACGACGACAUCUGCUCCAUCAUGGCCAUGCCCACCACAACUCUCCCUGGCUCCAUGUCUCCCUUCAAUGUCCCUCAUAGUGUUGUGAGUUUUUAUUUUGUUCCAUUCUUCGUCUUGUCAUUUUAAAUGUCAAAUUAAUGGAUUGUUUGCAUACAGCUCGAAAUGUAUAUGAAUCUUAAAUCUAAUAACUAGCUUAUGAAACCUCGAACCAAUGGAGUUUGUAUAAACCCUCAUAACCCUCUUUUCACAUAUAAAAGUACCUAAUACGUGUGUUUUAUGCUACGAAUAUGAAUUGAUUUUAGCGUUCAUUCACAUGAAUCUGAUCAUCAGUCUGUUUCUGCAUGAUUCUAUUGUUGUAUGAAUCGAUGCUUUCACUUAUUGGAUUUUUUCCUGUGAAACUUUGAUGUGUAUAGAGGACGAAAAGGCCAAAUGGGCAGCAGAAAAAGGAAGAAAUGGAGAAAGAGGUAUGGAAGUCCAUUUUAAAGCUACUUACCUAUUUAGGUGUAUAUCUAGGCAAACACCAAGGGAUGUUGUUAUAAAUCGACAUGCUAAUAUAUACAUAGAGCAGAGUUUUAAUAUAGGUAUCCAAUCUAAGUUUUAUGUUCAAUAUAUCUUUUGGCAUUAUCUAAAUUAGUCAAUGCAUGUUAUUAUCAUUAACAAACAGAAAUCACAUAAUAUGAUACUUCUGCAAUUGUGAAAUUGUAGACUAAAUAAUAAAAAUUAUCAUUUAUAUUUGUCAAAUUGUAGGCUAAUAUGUGGUAAAUAAUAGAAGGUUUAAUAAUUGUUAGGUGUAUAUGUUACGGGAGAUGCUUGAUCAAGAAGAGAAGACACGUGAGAUCUUGGAGAGAGUCCAAAAACAUCAGCUUCCUUCAUCUUCUUCUGUUGCCCUUCCUGCUUCUCUCCCUCCCAAGGUAACUAUUAUACCUUUGUACAUGCUUCUCCAUAUCCCUUUGUAAAUACGCGUGGAAGAGUAAGUAAAGUUUCUAAGUUUGGAUAGAGUGAAAAAGCAGCAAAACUAAAAUAUAUGAAUGUGAUGAUAAAUAACGAUCAUACACGUAUUUAUGGUAACGUUGCUUUUAAUCCAAGGCUUUAGGUCAACCAUAAAUGCAAUUAUUAAUUAAUAGUUCUCUAAAUCAAACAAAAUUGCUAGAUCACCUUACGGCCGGGACAAAAGGCAUAAUCAUAAGCAAAUAUACAAAGAGUUCAAAAAAAAAUACAAACUUCCGUUACAUGUUGCGAAGCUAUUCUAUGCAAUCAAGGCCCUUUCUAGUUUAGUAUAAUUACAUACUAUUUUCUAACAGGCAAUCACCUGCUAAUUAGCUUUCUGCUACAUGGUAGUCAAACUGAUGUAAUUAUCGUUCAAAAUCUAAAUUGAUUUUUCCUUGUUUUUAGUAAUUGAUGUUUCGAUUAUUUUGAUAAUGCUUUAUUAUUAUAUUCAUAAUUUUCUCAAUAACUUCAAAAAUUAGGGAAAUAGUUAUUAUAUAUGUAAAUAGAGCCAAGCUUCAAAAAUGAUUCACUUGCUUCUGAAGCGGUAAACUUUUCAUUUGCUAUGAGAGAAAUAAGACCAUGACAUUUAUUUAGCAGUAAAAAAGUUUAAAUAAGUUACCUAACACUAUUUUUUAAUGCAGAUGAAGGAACUAAUAACGGAACUUUCGAUAGUGGAAGGGGAAAUCUCAAGACUAGAGGUUCAGAUAAGCCAUCUCCAGAUAAAUCUCAAGGAAGAACAAGAUGAAACUUUGAGACAAGCAACAACAAGUUCAUCAAGAAGAACAUGGCAAGCUAGUGAGAGUGACAAUAAUGACUCUAUAACCUCUCAUCAAGCUCUGCCAAAGUACUCUAAUUUGCCACCUCCAAGCCCUAUGGUGGAUCAAUGCAUGAUGAAGAAUGGAAACAACAACACCAAAUCUUCUACUAAUCAUCGUCAAGAGAAUGCAACAUUUGAAACAAAGACUUUGCAUUUCAUCAACAAAGCCAUCAAAGGUGAUUACGUGACCCAAAGCUUCCACAAAUCUAAUGAGAAAGUUGGAUUAGUCAAGAAGGAAAAUCCUCGGUCAGUUCAACAAGAAAAUAAGUUGCAAGAGAAUACUAAUAUGAAGAAGAUGCUUAGGAGGAUGAAAUCGCCUUCUCCUCUACGUGAACCUAGAUACUCCUCUCCCAAGGUACGUAAUUUGUAUAAUACUUAUCAUGCAUCAUUCACUUCGUUCAAUUUACUCAUACAAUUUAUAGUUAAUUAUGAUUUUUUGUAGACUAAUAAGGAUCGUGUAGCACUUGAUACAUCACUAGACCUCCCACCAAAAUCUCUAUCAAGCACAAUUUUAAUGGAAGAUGGACAAAACAUACAGAAGUGGCAUCCAAACAAGCUCGCCGAGAACAUCAUGAAGUGUCUUAAUUUCAUCUACGUUCGUCUCCUUAGAACCACAAGAGUCAUGGAGCUAGAGAAAGGUCCGGUUUCGAGAUCCAAUCCUUUCUCUUUGAUCUCAAGAAGCUUUAGGGUGGACAAGGCAACAUCCGGUUUGUCUAAAUCCAUGAAUCUCGUGUCUUAUAAAGAAUCAAGACAACAAGAUCCCUAUGGAGUAUUUGAUGUAGAAGCAUCUUUGGCUAGAGACAUUGGUCCGUACAAGAAUCUCGUCAUCUUCACUUCAAGCUGUAUGGAUUCCAAGUGUAUUUCGAGUUCUAGCUCGGUUUCUUUGAUCCAGAAACUCAGGUAAAUUUCGAGAUAAACUUUGUGAAUUUAUUUUCUUACGUUGGCUAAACAUAUUGUUAUGUACAAAAUGCAGGGUGUUGAUGAACAAUCUUGAGACCGUGGAUUUGAGAGUGUUGAGCCAUCAACAAAAGCUGGCGUUUUGGAUCAACAUGUUCAAUGCAUGUGUUAUGCAUGUAUAUAUUCUGUACUUAUAUACUUCAUAUUUUGUUAAUUAAAAAAAAAAAUUCAUAUUUAUGUAUAUACUCAACGUACUUUCAUUACUUCCGCGUAUGACCAGGGAUAUCUACAAUAUGGAGUUCCUAAAACAACUGAGAAACUACAAUCUCUUGUUUAUAAUAAGGUAUGUUUCUCUUUUCCAUUCUAAAAUAAACACUAGAUUAAGUCAACUCCAUAUUGUUCAUACGUAUUUAAGUUUUGUGAUAAUCAAAGUAUAAAUUGUAGGCUACAAUAAAUGUUGGAGGCAAAAAUAUAAGUGCUCAUACCAUAGAGCAUUAUAUUCUACGGAAGCCUGCAAAUUCUAACAUGACUCAGGUACAUACUAUGUCAAUAAUCAUCUUCAUAUUUAUCUGAUUAAUCUUAUAAAUUCGCUAAGUAUGCAAAUAUGAUCACAGGAUCGACACGAAGAAAUGAUUAUUCGUAAACUAUACGGUAUAGAAUCAGCGGAUCCUAACAUCACAUUUGCUCUCUCAUGCGGAACUCGAUCCUCUCCUGCGGUAAGUUAAACUCAUUAAUCCACUUCUGUUAAGCUGAACAAACUGUGACAAUAGACGGUUUAAUAUCUAUACUUAAAUUAACUACAUAGAUGGUUAACUAGCAUUCUUAGUACCUGAUCAGUGUUGUAGUAUUUUUAAUUAUUCACUAUUUCAAGCACUUGAUAGAGUUAUAGACAGUUUUUGUAACUAUUAGAUUGAUGGUGAAAAUAUAUGGUUACAUACUAUAUACUAUCACAACAAAUGGUUAUUUUUCAAAUUAAAAAUUGAAGGUGAGGAUAUACACCGGAGAAGGAGUAGCAACAGAGCUAGAGAAAGCGAAACUGGAGUACCUGCAAGCGUCCGUUGUGGUUACAUUGGCUAAACGGGUAAUCUUGCCUGAGCUUCUUGUAAAACACGCCGUCGAUUUCGUGGCAAGGGAUGAUGGCAACGGCGUAGAGAUGGGAUCUCUGGUGAAAUGGGUUUGCAACCAAUUACCAACGUCUGGUUCCUUGAGAAAAUCAAUGGUGGAUUGUUUAAAGAAUCAAAACUCCAAAGCUUCUUCUUCUUCAUCCUCUCUGGUGGUUGAAAAGAUCCCUUAUGAUUUUGAGUUUCAGUAUCUUUUAGCUAUUUGAAAAAUACUAAUUUGUUAUUUUGUACUGUUGGAAAUCUUGUGUUUAAUAAAAGUAUCAAAGCUUGUUUUAUUUUAUUUUUAUGGAUGAUUGUUAUACUGACAUGUAUAUGGUUUAUCUCGACCAGUCAACAUCUUAUGAUCAUCUUCCACCUGUAAAAAAAAAAACAUUGCUUUAGAAAUAUUUUUCUCUUUUUCUUUUUAAUUUAAAUUGUUUUACAAAUCAAAUUCUAAAGUAAACUAUACAUUUACAACCAAACUAAUCAUCCACUCGAUCUUCUUUGAUAUGCAUCAUCUAGUGGAGUCUAUAUUGUUCCUUCCGCGGCGGCUCUUGUAAUUAAGGCGCUCAAGGAGCCAGAGAGAGACCGUAAGAUAACGGUAACAUUUCGUUUGAUGACGUCAUCCAGAUCGCAAAGAUUAUGCGUCCGAGAUCUAUUGCUAAGGAGUUGAGUAGAACGGUGAGGGAGAUUUUAGGGACUUCUGUUUCCGUGGGGUGUACGGUUGAUGGUAGGGACCCAAUGACAGCAUCUUCAUGAGGAGAUUGUAGAUGUUCCUAACGAGUAAAGAAGGUUCUUUGUCCAAAAAAAAAACGAGUAAAGAAGGUUCCUUUUUUUGUUCUCUUGUCGUUUUGCUGUAAUUGUGUUUGAUUUCGAGGAAUUGCUUUUUAGUACACUACAUUUCAGAUAUUGAGAUUUGGAACAUGAUAGUUUUGGAUUUGAACAUUUGAAUCCUUUCUUGGGAUGAAAUAUUAGAAUGUUUCAUUUAUAUAGCGAAGUAAGGUAAUGAUGCCUUAUUCAAAUAGUAACAUUGUUGGAUGCAUCAAAAGAUCUUAUAACAGUAUAAUCUUUACAUUUUACCAAAAAAAAAAAAAAUCUUAUAACAGUAUAGAGCAUGUGGUUGAUAGUUUGAGUGAGUACAAUGUGCAGUGUUAAUUUGCUUUUGCUCUUAUACUUUGGAACCUUUUCAUCAAUCAUUGAUUUCAUCUUGCUAUCAAACUCUAAACCAAAACUAAUGAACAUGCUCACUUGUAUUAUUUACAUGGAUGUAUAAGACGCACAUACUAUAUAUUUAUAUAUGCAACUAGAAAUAUAAUAUAUGCAUGCAUCAAGCAUGUAAGUCCAACAUGAAUUGAAUAAUUGGAAAAAUUAGGAUCAAAUCAUUGGGACAUAAUUUUACGAUGUACAGAAGAAAUCGUCUGGCAAAGAUAACAUAUAAUAACAUGUUCAACGUUGUUCAGAUUCUGCAUGUCAUGGAUCUCAUUCUUAUCAUCUUAUUUUACGUUUUCCUCGAUUUUAAAUCCGAAAUUUUAGUUUUCCCUUAUUUUUGAUAAUUGGUGGGUUAUAUUGAGGUUUCAUUAAUUCAUCAUUUUAAAUAUUGUCCAGUAAUUUUCUGUUGAAUUUUUAUGUCAUAUAUCAUAUUAUCAUAUAUGUAUAUUAUAUAGUAAAAUAUAUGCUAAGCAAGUCUAUUACCACAUAUAUGAAUACAUGAUUAAUAUAGCUUGAAAAUUUAGGUCGUGACGACGUUGAUACAGACUUGCUCGGGAAUGAUUUCUAUUCAAGCAUAAAAAACGUUCAUACAAAAAGUAUACCUUAAAUUAUCUUCGAUACAAAAAGUAUACCUUAAAACUAUUUUUAAACUAUUUCAGCAAGAAUUCAACUGGAAUUCCGAUGAUACGCUCUCUAUCUAUAACCAUUUUGUCCAUAAAGUUAUGGACAACUAUGGGAAGCAGAUGUACGAGUGGAAGAAGAAGUGGGAAGUAAACAAGGUAGUUUUUAAUUUAUUAACAAUUUUUAAUUUAUUAAACUAUUUUUUAAAUUAUUAAACUUUUUUUUUAAAAAAUUAAAAGGUCCCAAAGUCGAUGAACGACACGGUAUGGAAGGAGUUGUGUGAGCAUUGGGAUAAGGAAGAGACGAAAGAAACUUCUUCCACCAACUCCAACAACCGCAGGAGCGACCGUAAAGGGAAGGGCAUCUACAAGCAUAACUUGGGUGCCCAAUCUAUUGCCACUCUCGCGGAUCGCAUGGUAAGUUCAACCGCUUUUUCUUUAAUUAUUUAAGUUUCAGAAUUUUAUUUUUUAUGCAUUUUUUCAAAUUUCUAAUGUUUGUUUAAUUUAUUUUUUUUUCAAGGCGGAAGAAAAUGAGGGCGAGCCGGUUGAUGAUCUCGCCCUAAUGAAAAGGGCGUAUACCAACAAGAAGACCGGUCAGAUUGAUGAUGGUCUUGUGAGGGACGUGGUCGACCUGGUCCAAACUCAGGUGUACGACGAAGUGUCUCAGCUUCAAACCGAUGAUGACGAUUCGACGGCUUCGACCAACUUGUCCCGGGUUCGAAUCAACGAAAUCGUUGAAUCGGUAAGUUUUUUUUUUUAAAGUUCAAUUUAUUUAUUUCUUGAUUUUUAUUUUAUCAUCAAUUUAUAUUAUCUAAAUUUAGUUUUUUAUAUUUCAGUCGGUUCCAAAGAAGAAGGGACGUAUGGUCGGUUUGGGUCGUCGCUCCCGGUCGGCUGCUCCUUCUUCUGCACCACCGCCAUAUGUUGAUCCGGAAGUUCUUACGGCUCAGCUGAAGGACAAGGAUGAUCGGAUAUCUGCGUUGGAGACCCAGAUGGCAGCUCAACAGGCGGGCUAUGAGACCCAGAAGAGGCUCAACGAGCAGAUGAUGGAGAUGAUGAAGAGGAUGUAUCCGAACGAGGUGUUCCCGAACAUCCAAGACCCGUAGUUUUUUUUUUUUUUUACCAAAAACUCUGAAUGUUUUAUUUAACUUUGAAUAUUAUCUACUAUGUUUUAUUUAAUGUUUUAUUCAAUUUUAAUUUUAAUUUUAAAUUUUUAAAUUUAAAUUUAAAAAAUUUAAAUUUUUUUUAAAAAAAUAAAUUUUUUCGAAAUUCCGAGGGAAUGGAGUUCCUCGGAAAAUUCCGAGGAACUUUCUUCCCUCGGAAAAUUCCGAGGAACAAAUUUCCCUCGGAAUUUUCCGAUAAACAUUCCGAGGAAUGUUUUGUCGAAACUUCCGAGGAUUUGACCAUCGGAAUUCCAUCGGUAUAUUCCGAGGAACCUUCCGACGAACAUAUGUUUCUCGGAGUUUCCUCGGAAUUUUGUUUCCUCGGAAUUUCGUCGGAAAUUUCCGACGGAAUUCCGAGGAAGUAUGAAUUUCCGAGGAGAUAUUUCCGAGGACUUUUUUCGUCGGUAUGUCGUCGGAAUAGCGUUAUUCCGACGACAUACCGACGAUUUUUUCCCUCAGUAUCCCGAUGUUUUCUUGUAGUGAUAUAUUGUUUGGCCAUCUUUUUAUAUAUAUAUAUAUAUAUAGUUCGGCCAUCUUGUUAGACCGUAAUUCAGUUAUUCGCUAGAUAAUAUCAAUUUAAUGGAACAUGUAAGCUAGUAAUAACAUAAAUUUUAAUUGUAAAGAUUGAAAUCUGGAUAAAGAAAAAUAGGAGAUGAAAUUUGACGUUGCAACAACAAUUGAAAAAUAUUAAAUUAAGGCUCCAAUUAAACUAAUAUAAACACAAGAAUAUGUCUAAAUCAAGGGUUGGUCAGGAUAGCCUAAAACAAGUAUAUCUUCCACUAAUCAUACAAUUUAAAGACAGCUCUGACACGUAUUAUGUUAUUCGGAAAAUGUACGCAUAAUAUAGAAAAUGUUGAAUUGAAGAAACAUCUAUCUCCACACCACAUGGAUUAGUGGAGACUCUGGAGACAGAGGAUUGGCUAUACAAAUGCAUUUGUACAGGUCUGAACGAUUUUAAUUUACCUUGCUACGCAUAUCUGUUUUACGUUUUAUUUCUAGAAGAGCUUUUGGACCAACGCUCGUAGUUUCUGUUAACCCGGGAUCAGCCUACAUUCUGGUGCUUUAAGAGGAUUUGUUUCCAUUAUUCUUUAUUAUCAAUGAAAUUAGAAGUUGAGAAAAAGGAAAAAGAUUGAAGAGACAAAUAUUAUGAAAAUUACUCAAUAUUGAAAAACCUUAACUUUUUAAAAUAGCAUCAAUGUUAUGAUGUUUCUUUGGUGAGUGGGUGUAUUUCGUGUGAAUAAACUAAAGAUUACAACAAUUAACAGUAGUUUUUUUGGUACUGUAGGUAAAUGAUUUUCAGUAUGUGCAGUAAUCUGUUGCUUUUUCAGUUUCUUGGAUGACUUGUAUAUUGAAGAGUAAUUAAAUAACUUCCAUCAUAAAUUACACGGUUCCAAUAGUUUAAGACAUUUGCGAUUGUUCUAAGUUUUAACUCAAAAUCACUGAUGAGAAUCAUGAGAUACUCCAGAAUGUAUAAACAUAUAGUUAAGUCAUAAAAACUUUGAUCUAUUUUUACUCUUUUCUAUAUACCCAUUCCCACAUUCGACGAGACUGAAAAAUUAAACCCACCAUACCCAUAUUUAAGAAAGAAACAUAUAACAAAUGUUGGAAUUUCUUUAUAUAAACCAAUAUAUCAAUAUUCUGAAAAGGUAAAACAUAACACUGCAUGCAAUUGUGCAAAUCAUUCCUUCAUAACAUUUUUAAUUCCUAAAAAUGUUGAGAUGUUUCUCAUAAUACAACCAGCUCAUUUGAGGCAUAUACGGUUUAGAUAUGAUUCCUUCCAUUAUUAUUUCUAAUACUAUAUGUAUACUUAACUGUCCACAUAAUUAUUUCUAAUACUAUAUGUGUACUUAAUUAACUGUCCACAUUAUUAAUAGCCAUAAAAAUUAUCUGUCUUACAAUGUACUUAUACCAAACCUUUGCAUAGCAUCUGUGUAUAUAUAUACACACAACUAAACUAGAGAGUUACAACAAACAUCAAAAUACAUCCAUCUUUUCUCUCUCUCAUCAUCAUCUUUAGCCAUGGCAAAGGACUUGGAGGUGCAAGAGGGCGGAGCAAUGGCGGCGAGAGAUUACCAGGAUCCGCCUCCGGCCCCAUUGUUUGACAUGGAGGAGCUUGGGAAGUGGUCGCUCUAUAGAGCGGUUAUAGCUGAGUUCGUGGCAACACUUCUCUUCCUUUACGUCUCAAUCCUCACCGUAAUUGGCUACAAAGCUCAGACCGACGCAAACGCCGGAGGAGUUGAUUGCGGCGGCGUUGGGAUAUUGGGGAUUGCGUGGGCUUUCGGUGGAAUGAUCUUUGUUCUCGUUUACUGUACCGCCGGUAUUUCUGGUACGUAUAGUAACGUUCGCGUCACGGCUCAUAGAUUUUUCCGUAAACAUAUAUAACGUUAGAAAUAUGGUAUAGUUUAUAAAUAUAUCACAUAUAGAUUAUAGUAAUACCUAAUCUGUAUAGAUCCAUGUGGUACUUUAAUUUCAAUGUUUUGUCGAAUAAGCCUAUGUACUGUCUAUCUAUCUUUUUGUUUUGGUCAAAAGCCAAUAAUAUCUUUCAUGUUUAAUAGAAAUUUUCAACUUUCUACUCAGUUCGAAAGUUUAGCUAAAUUCGGUAUGAGUUACUUUGGUUUGGCUUACCUAAACUAAAAUACAACCUUACAUUUUAAGUUGAUUAAUAAAUUAACAUUUCUUGCUUUUAUUGAAACAUUGAAGGUGGUCAUAUAAAUCCGGCUGUGACGGUGGGACUGUUCAUAGCUCGAAAAGUGUCAUUAGUGCGGACAGUGUUAUACAUUGUGGCUCAGUGCCUUGGUGCCAUAUGUGGUUGCGGUCUGGUCAAAGCAUUCCAAAGUUCUUACUACAACAGGUUCCAUCAUGUCUCAACACUCAUGCAUCAGCCAAUCAAAAGUCUAGAUAUCUUUUUAUUUUUUCUAAAUACAAAUGAAUAAUAACAUUAGAUAUGGAGGUGGAGCCAACCAGCUUGCCGACGGCUACAACAAAGGUACCGGACUAGGUGCCGAGAUCAUCGGAACAUUUGUCCUUGUCUACACCGUUUUCUCGGCCACCGAUCCCAAGCGAAGUGCACGUGACUCUCACAUUCCAGUUUUGGCGCCACUUCCCAUUGGUUUUGCCGUCUUCAUGGUUCACUUGGCCACCAUUCCCAUCACUGGAACCGGAAUCAACCCCGCCCGUAGCUUCGGAGCCGCAGUUAUCUACAACCAAGAAAAGGCCUGGGACGACCAAGUACGUCAUUAACUUUUAUAUACAUGGACACAUUUUCUAUUAGUUAAAAAUAUAUAUCAAAUGAAACUAAUGAUGCUUAAUCAUAUAUUUUGAUAAUUUGAACAGUGGAUAUUUUGGGUGGGACCAAUGAUCGGAGCAGCAGCUGCUGCGUUAUACCAUCAGUUUGUUCUAAGAGCGGCUGGAAUUAAAUCUCUUGGCUCCUUUAGGAGCUCUGCUUAAUUUUAAUUGUUUGAAUUGAGCCACAAGUUGAUCUUAAAUCAAAAUGAUGAUUACCACUAUAUAUUAAGCGGAAGCUACGUGUAUCUUUUAUUUAAUUUUAUGUUCUGUUUUUAAAUUUCAAGGAAUUUCCCAUUGGUUGUAAAUGUGGUUUUAAUUAAUGUUGCUUUAAGAUAAAUCUCUUCUUUGCUUUUAUUUUAUUUUCUUUGUUUAUUUUCUUUAUAUUGCUGUUCCUUCAAGCUAACAACCUCUUCAUGCAUUCUUUGCCACCAACCUUCUACCAAAACAAAAUCGUAACUAGAUGAACAAACACCAUAUAUAUGGACCUAUUCUAUAAUCAUUUACCAUCGAUCAAAUAUAUAAAACAAUGUAAAGUAUUGUAAAACCAAUAAACUACAACUGUUUUGUUCUGUAACUAUUUAAGUACGUAUUGCCAACAUUUGUAUUGGAAGGAUACAAAAAAAAAAAAAAAGAAACUAUAAACAAAAGAGUGAAACUAACAAACAAACAAAAAACUGCAUUAGCCAAAAUGGUUUUCAUGACUUCUAUAGUUGUCUUCACAUACAAAAAAAAAAAAAAAGAAACUAUAAACAAAAGAGUGAAACUAACAAACAAACAAAAAACUGCAUUAGCCAAAAUGGUUUUCAUGACUUCUAUAGUUGUCUUCACUCAGUCAAAAAUAACCUUUUCUUCUUUUGUUAUUUAUUGCACAAUCAUACAAAUUUGCGCUACAAGCAACACCUCUCUUAAACCAAUCCUAUAAAACCCACAAACACACACACAAACUAAACAAAAAUCAAACAUUUACAAAGAUUAUAGAGAAGGAAAAAACAUGACAAACCUAACUCACUCUUUGCUCUUCUUCUCCUGUUCCUUAUCUCUACUUAUACGUGUGGCCAUUGCAGGAAGUAGACCUGCUCAUGGUCCAGCUUAUUCAAACCCAUCUGCUUUCUCUCCAGAAGCUUACGAUUUCUUUCACCCAAAAUCAUCACUACCUGACAAUAAUCCACCAAGAAACUCGCAUUCUUUGCCAUUUCUUUCACCUUCACCUUCACCUUCAAAGGCAUCUAAUGUAGAAGCAGACACACAAGGAAGUAAAGUUUCAUCAGACGAACGCAUAAGUGAGAGUAGGAGAGAAGAAGGACGAGGAGAAACUGUUGGCAUAGUGAUAGGCAUUUCUUUCACAGCUCUCCUUUUAAUGGGAAUUUACUUUGUGAUCAAGAAACGACUAGCUAAUUUAACCCGCACGAUUGUAAUCCACUCUGAUGCUUGAUCAUUAUCAAGUAAUUAGUUAUUGAUUUUGCAUGCAGAAUGGUAGCAAAAUAGCUGGACUUUGGUCUGGUUUAAUUUAAUAUUCCGUUUGAAUUUGGGGUUCGACAAAAAUUAGGAAAACAUCUUGAAACUAUAUAUGGAAAAUAAUUUAAUAUUUCAUAAAGUUAAAUGGAUCUUAAAUAUGUUUUAGUUGCUGUCAGAAAAUUAAACCUUAUUCAGUUUGGAUUCAAGUCUAGUCGUAUUUUAGUCAACGAAAUAAGAACUAGAUUUUUGGUCAGAGUUUCUUCCAAUUUCAGACAGUCGCACUAAAAUGGCGUUCCGCGUUUUCCUCCGCGUCCUCUCCCUCACAGCUCUUCUCAUUUUCUCCGCUGUUUCUCCUUCUUUUGCCGCCUCUUCCUCCGACGAUGAGGAUUUUAGCUUCCUGGAAGAUCUCAAUGAUGAAGGUCCCGGUGAGCCACUUACUUCCCCUGUGAGUCUGAGCCAGACGAAUUCGACGGAGGAGAAGCCGGAAGACCCCGAAGCGUACGACGACGUGGAAUACGGAGAUUUCUCCGAUCUAGGUAAUCAAGUUUCGGAUCGGUUCCCGGCGACAUUACGUGGUGGUCGUCAAAGAGCGUAACUUCACAGACGUGAUAGAGAACAACCAAUACGUCAUGGUUUAGUUCUACGCCUCGUGGUGUGGUCAUUGCCAGUGUCCUGCGGCUCAAGGGAGACGGUGUCGGUUUGGCUAAAGUCGAUGCGACGGAGGAGAAUGAGCUGACUCAUCAGUAUAGCGUUCAGGGCGUCCCUACUAUUAUUCUCUUCUUUGUAGAUGGGGAGCACAAGCCUUACACUGGAGGGAGGACAAAGUAAGUGGAACUAAAGUUCAAAUCUUUAGUGUGAUUAAAGCUAGUGUUACUGAAGUUAGUGUGUGUCUUACAGAAAUACGUCACCGCAAUUUAUAUUGUAUGAUCAGAACUGUUUCAAUGGACUACAGAAAGAUGAGGAUAAGUAAAUUUUAGUUUUGACAUUCCAACUUUUUUUAUUUUGGUUUUAAAGGCCAGCUUGUACAACUGUUUGUCCCACACUGAAACAAGGUCACACUACUAGAGAGUUCAACUUGAUAGGAGAAGACCCAUGUAUAUGAUUGCAUACAUUGAGUAGAACUAGAGGAACUGAUCUCAAGGGAAAGAGACUACAGUAUAUAAAAAAUCCCAAAGCUCAAAUCAGUCACAUUAAUAUUCCUAACGCUCUUUUUUUGUUUCAUUAAUAGUUACAUUUCCUCUUCGGUGAAGUUGCCAAAACUUGUGCAAUUAGUCAAAAGUCAACCCUUAAAAGAAAUAUAAUUAACUUUACGUAGGCGUCAACAUUAAUUUAAAGUGGUUACUUGCCUUGCAUUUCUUAUUAUUGACUCUAAUUAUUAUAUUCUUUUACUAGGAUUUGGUCCGCCCUACGGGCGGGUUAUUAAUAAAAUUAUUACAUAUAUAUCAUCAAUUUAAUAAAUAUUUUAAGAUGUUUAGCUUAUUUUAAACUAGGGUCGGCCCGCCCUACGGGCGGGAUAUUAGUUAUAUUUUUUAAUUUUAUCGUGAAUCUUUGAUUUUAGAUACCAUUGUUUAUAUGGUAAAUUAACUCUUAGAUUUUACUAAUUGUGUUAACUUUUUGGUAUUUUUUUAUUUCUAAUUCAAUAAGCAUUGAUUUAUCAUGGUUGGCAGAUAUAUUAAUUAAUUAAUUGAUAUGAGUGUGAUAUAAUUUACUUAAUGAAAUAUAUAUUUUAAUGAAUCACAUUUUUUUUUAAAUAUGUUUUGAGAGAUAGAAACAGUCGUGAAAAUAUUUGUACGACUCUGUUUUCUUAUUAAUUGUAACAACGUAUUCACAACAAUUUACUUUCAUAAAAUUUUCACAACAAUUUCAACAAUUUAUUUUUGAAAUUAUAUGAUGUCUAGUUAUUAUAAUAUUAUAAUAUAUUUUUUAGAUUCUCUCAAUGUUUAUUUCACUUUAAUAAAAAUAAGUAAAAUAAUAUUUUUAAAACACUACGGUCUAAUCACGUUAUAAAUAAUAAGUAAAAUGAACUUACUUCUGUCUCUUAGAUUUGUUCAUGAAAUAAAUUGUUUUUUUUUCUUUUUCUUUAUACAGUUUUUCUUAAAAUUAAUGAUUUAGACGAUGCAAAAGAAAUAACUUAUUCAUUUUAACUAAAAUUAUUUCAAAAUAGAAAAUCUGAAACUGGUGGAAUUUUUUUUGUAUCCCACUAAACUGAUUUACUGUAUAUAAUACUGGUGAAUUUUUUUGUAAGCACAAUUUGAAUUAGAGAAGUGAUCUGUUAACAUAUUUUAAAAGGCUUGCAGGUCACGUGUGCAGAGGAUGCAUGGUCAUGUUUCCAAAUUUAUAAGCACUUCAGUUAUUUUCUCAGCUAUACAUCUGCCUGCAGUUUCACUAAUGCUCAACCAAACACAUUAACAAAUUUGAACGAUAAAGAAGAAAUUUAUGAAGAAUCAUGAGACAUAUUUUUGUAACAGAAGGAAUGCUCCGCUCAAGAUGAAUGUACCAGAAUCAUCAGUCACCAAACACCAUCCAAGAAUCAUACGGCUGCGGAAGAGGAAAAGAUUCAAAUAGUUCUUACUUAUAAAAAGUACAAAAAGAACAUUCCAGGGUCAUUGUUCGUGUAGACAAUGAGAUGUAUCCCAAAAAUUGAAGAAACUGCAAGAGUAGAUGAUUAGAUAAGAUCAUGAGUUAUACAUACAGUUGAGAAACAUGUAGUGGAAGAUUGCAGGAGAUAUACAGAAGCUCAUCUUUCAAAACUUUAAAACAUUACAAAAGAUGCAGAUUUGUGACUUACCGAGACCAAGAAUUGUAAAGAGGUAAGCAUAAGGAUUGAAACUGUGAUAAGCGCCACCCUUCUGCAAUAAAGAAGAUGACCUGUUACACUGUUUUCAAGAUUUAACAUAAGGAUUCGUAACAGAUGGGUUGUUCUUACACGGAAUUGAGAACGUCUCUUAUGUCAUUGGAGCUAUUAGUGAUGGCAGCUAUAGAAGAAUUCAGUAUCUCUCCAAUCUGCUCGAUUUCAGUUUGGACAUUUGCAGGUAGAGACACCUGAAGAACCCCCAAAUGCUUUGCUGAAGCAAGUUGCUCUGAAAUAGCUUUAAGCUGAGAAACCGUGCUAUCCGCUUGUCAUAUGACAUUUGCUAAAUUUAACCGCAGAGCUGAAGAGAAAUCAAACUGAAAUCAAGAAAAGAAAACAAAAACUGUAAAAAUGUUGAAACUUAUUAAUCAUUUCUCAGAUUUUUUUUUUUAUUUUGGAAUCAAACUUGGGGUUUAUCAUUUUCAUGAAAAUUAACAAAAAGAGAAUGUAGGUGAAGAAGAAAUAGAUAAAAUGUCGAAGUUUCACUUUGCUUUCCCAGAAAAAAAAGCCUACUCAAGAACCAAAAAGUAGAAGAAAGAAAGACAACCUGUGGGAGGCUGAGUAGGUGCGAGUUGGUGACUACGAAGUAAGCUGUGCGGCUUCUUUGUGGAUAUAGAGCGGAUCUAGAUAGCAUGCUUCUGAGAGGAUUGGAUUGAACUGAUGAAAGAGUUACCUAUUUAUACUUGAAGAUUCACGCAAUAGAAGUAAUGGGGAUGCAUUCAAUGACAGAUCGUGUUGAGAAGUGGAAAGUUGUUGUUAAUGAUGGCGUGAAUUUAACCGACUUGCUGUAACGUAUCCAAAUUUUUCUGACAGCAGUAGAGAGAAUUCAAUAAGAUACCGGUUUGCGUUCAAUUAGGAUACGCUGGUACUCAAUCGACUAACAGAACACGACUGUGAAUCCAUGGCGGUAGCAUGACCAUGAUUAGGACGACGGUGAGAACCUUGACUUCGAGACCAUAAGAGAGACAACUUUAGGUUUAGAGAUGCAAGGCCCAAUACAUUUUCUAUUCAGGUCCUUUAAGCACAUAGAAAACGUGCCAUAAAACGUGAAUUAAAAAGCCCAUCAGAAGAGGAAUAAAUGAAACGGUGAGUUUCAGUCGUCUGGGACAGGUGUCGCGCGUACAGCAUUUGAAUUUGUGACCUGUCAGCUGAUGUGGAUAGCCUGGGAGGGAUACAAACCCUUCUUUAUAUAUAAAGAUUUAAAAAUGAUUUUAGUAUUUACUGGGCAUGUUUUGUUAUUCUUUUUAUAGAUUACGUUUAUCUUACUAUUGAACAUAUGUUCACGAAUACAUAAUCUAUAUAUAUAAAGAAGAGCUAAUUACAAUUAAAAUGAAAUAUGUAAUUAAAAUACUUAAAACUACAAUUAUGUAUUUGAAUAUAUUAUUUAUUUUGACAAUUCUGUUAUUUUGGUUUAAUUGCUGCUUGGUAUAUAUCCAUAAUAAGACACUAAUGUUUAUAUUGUAAAUCAAUUGUGUAUUUUUUUUUUUUUGAAAAAGAAUUGUGUAGUUGCUUAUUGUAGAUAAACUAUUGUUCUUUUUUUUGGCCAGUAGUACUCGACUUAUGGAUAUGUAGUAUUGGGGAAGGGAAACUAUGUUAUGGACAAUGUGUUUUUUUUUCUUACCUUUGUAGUUGAGCUAUAUUGGUAAUUUACUUGUGGUUGUUUUCUAUUUGGUUAAUUUUCUUUUUUCUGUAUGUUCGUUAAUUUUUUUCUUCUUCUUUAAAUUCUUAACUACUAAUUAAUAUAUCAGAUUUUUUUAUUGUUUUGCUAAAAGUAUACAUACAUAGUAUUCUUGGAAAUGAUUGAAAUGUAACGAAAAACUUGUUCAGGGGGGCUUUAAGAGAUGGGUAAAUCGUUUUGGAUGUUCAAGAAUGUCCGGAGUAGGUGCUAGGUGGCCCUCGAUGGUCUUUUGUGUGUGUUAUGCUUAAAAAGAAAGUGAAGAGUGAUUCGCUGAAAGUAAUGCAUCUCAUAGAAGAACCCAACCCAAAAAAUUGCUUACACCCAUUCAUGCGACUAAUUUUGAAUCAAAAGUCAAAUUCUUAUUGCUUGCAUUUGCAUAGAUUGCAAGUUUCCAAAUUGGCAAUGUAUUUUCCUUGCUUUACAACAACAGUUGCUUCUAAUGUCUUGGCAUCUGAGCUUUUGAUUCUUGGUUUGUUUUUGGUUCUCGAAUUUUUUUUUGAGAAAUUUUCCAUAGAAACACUCGUGCCGUUUGUCAAACCCACCAAUCAAUCCAUUGUCAGACCAAAAAAUUCAAGCCUUUUGUCUCUUUCAGGUGGUUUGACAUCCGCCAUCAACUUAUUGUCACCAUUGUAGCUAAUAGCUUGUCUCAUUUACAUGUACUUCUACUGAAAUACAAUGCAAUCUCAAGAGGAAACCUCACGGUCACAGCAACAGCUCAUAAAAACACAGUUAAUAACAUAGAGACUGAAUUGGUAGCAGUAUCCAUACCUGAGCACCGCAGAACUCAGCACUCAGCAGUCUGAGGUGCAAUGGCGUUAAGAACGUCAAAAGUCUAAGAAUUAGGAGUACAUAUAGCAAAGUGGAUUAGUUAGGCAAGAGACUUGGGAGGAGAAUUGGGGACAUAUGCGUAGUUCUGAAGAAUUUGAGGAGCAACUGAUGUCAGUGCCACACAACCUACGGUGAGUGAUCAUUGUGAUGUGUGAAAGAGGAACGAAGCAGACGCAUGAAAACAGUCUCCUGACAACGACAAGACUCCAAAUAUGGAAAUAUUCCAUUGUUGGAGCUUUGUGAUAAUAUAGCGUUAAUAGAGUUCAUGGUCAAACAACAUAAGUUAAUGUAAACGCCUAUUUAGCUCCAUACAUGACAAUCAAUCAUUUAUCUACUGAAUAUCACAAGUAUCUAGAGCUAAGGACGAUGGAUUUUCAGGACACAAACCCUACUUUGGUGAUGUUACGGGCUUUCCAGAAACGCAGAAGACGCGUCACGCCGGUAUUGAAACGACGACCGGUGUUAACAUCAGAGAAAAAGGUUUGGUAAGCGACCAUUGUUGAACGUCGUAUUGUAAGAAAAAAAAAGAUAAUAGAUUCUGUUUGAGCAGCGUGAUUAGUAAAUAUCUUAGACGGUAUUUAUAUAUAUUUCUUUAGAGAUUUCAUCUGAACUCUUGGGAAGGAGGUAAUUUAACUCAUCGUAGUGUGAGAGAUUGAAGGACUGAUUUAAUGGUGAGAAGUAAAGAUGAACGACCUCUUAUCGGCUAGGCAAAGCGUUACCAAAACCUGAAGCUGUAAUCAGAGGAUUACAUGGAAUGUCAAAAGAGCAGGGUAAAGUCAGGAGAAGAAUAGUCGCACAGACGAAAAAAAAGAAAAAGAAAGAAAGCCGAAGAAGAAUAGACCGAACGUGCUUGGAAAAUAUUGAGUUAGGUUGGGGUUUUGUAAACGUUGGGCUUUGCUAUUCUAAAAAAGGCCUUGUCCGAGUAGACAGUUGUUUGACUAUACGGGGAAAAAGGUUUUAUUGAGUGCUGACGUGUCGCGAUUUGCUUCCUCCUUCCAGCUGACGUGGCAGCAUCAGGAGAAGGGAAGUUCUCCUUUAUAGAUAUAGAUUUUCAUGCGCUUCUUCUCCCUAUUAAAUAUUUGUCCCUCCAUUAGCCAAAUAAUCCAAUAUUACUAUUUGUAAAUCCCCUAAGCGUUGACUGUUAGGUGCCAACUCAUUUCUCAAGUGUCACUCAUACGAAACUUUAAGUAGAAACUGAACAAUAUGACUUCUUGAUCUCUGUUUUCUAUACACUUCUGCAUACCCUAUAUAUUAUAUAUAUCUUCGAGAGAGAGAGAGAGAGAGAGAGAGAGAGAGAGAGAGAGAGAGAGAGAGAGACGAGGGAGGUUGAACCUUCGAGAUGAUGAAGAUCAGUUUCAUAAUCAUAGUUCUGUUAACGGUAGGAAUAGUAUCCGGUAAGAUAUCAACUAAAAAAGUUUCACCAGCUCCAUCUCCAUCUCCGUAUUCGUAUGCACCUCAAUCAGAAACCAGAAUGUCUCCAUCUCCUUCACCAUCGGCCUCUCCAACAACGAUGCCUCCCGGUUACAUUCACGGGCCACCGUCUCUGUCACCGGAAGAAAGUGAUCUCAAAUACAAAGACGGUAGUGGAACAGAGAGGGAAAGUUCCUCAGGAGGCGGAAAGAAGGCUGGAAUUGCGGUUGGAGCGAUUGCAGCAGCGAGUAUGGUUGGCGUCGCAGGGUACGUGUUGAAGAAACGGCGAGAGAACAUUCGUCGAUCACGAUAUGAAUACGCCGCCACUGAGAUCUUCUGAAGAGACAGAAACUUGGUCAUGGAUGUGGUGUGUCGUUUCCUACGUUUUGAGUUAAUGUACAAUUUAAUCAGCUUUUGUCCUAACAACGGUGGGUAAGAUAUGCGGCUCCUAGAGACAUGACUCUUUAUUAUAGUCUCUAGCUUCUUUUUUUUUUGGCAUCAAUUAUAGUCUCUAGCUAUGCUAUGGAACAUGUCAUGUCCAUGAAAGAUGUUGUAAAACUUGUAGAAAUCAUCAAUGUUCAAGAUUAUCUAUACUCCAUCCGUUUCAGAAAAUUAAAUGUUUAAGAAAAAAAAUUCAUUUAAAAUAGUUUUUUGUUGUUGUGUGUUUCUAUACAUUUUUAUUAGAUAAUACAAUAGUUUUUUUUUUUUGAGAAAGAGAUCUAGAUAAUAUAAUAAAUUACAGAUUUAAAAUAAAAUUAGUAUUAUAAAUUAUAGAUUUAAAAUAGUAAUUGUAUUUUUAAAAUUAUAUUGGUUUAAAAUAUUUGAAGUUACACAAUCUUAUAAAAUAAUGUAUUAAUAAUUUAAAUUUAAUAUAUAUUUUUAAUAUAAUUUGCAUUGAUUUGUAUGCAUGCACGUUAGCGGUUCUUGAAACUUUCAUAUAAUCAAAGUUACUCCUCUACCACCCAUCCUUUCUUAUCCUCACCAAGUUUAGAUGUAAGAAACGAAAGCCAAUGCUAUUUCAAGGAGAUCUAUUUUCUUUUAUUGCCACAUUAACCAUACAUUAUCUUCACUAUAUUUAAAAAUAAGUAAUAAAGAAUUACUAUAUUUAAAGCUAAUCUUAUGUAUAAAAACCCCAAAGACCGAUCGUAGUUUUUCCAAGCACAAAACAUCAAGUUGAAUAUCUUGUAUUAUUAAAAAUAAAUAAAACAAACUGCAAAAAAAAAAAUGGCCUCAUCAAGAUUUCAACUUGUUGCCCUUCUUGUCAUCUUCUCUCUCGUUAUUACUGCCCAAUCUAAUUUAACAGGUUACCCCACUCAUCUUAUUUAUUUUACAUUCGUAGAUAUUUCUUUUUUUUUGCUUUAAAUGAUAUUUCUUUUUAUUUCUACUAAACUUGUAAAUACGUCAUCAUCAUCACAAACCUAAUUCAAGUUUCUUGAAUUUUUGCAGAAAAGGAAGAAAUGGACGGACCAUGCCGCUUGAGAGGAACAUGCGAUGAGGACAGCGACUGCGACACCCAUUGCCACCGAAGCACCGACGCUGUAAAAAUGGACGGCCACUGUCUCUUCGACAGACCCACCCCCGUAUGCUGUUGCCUCUUUGAUUAAAUCGAUCCUUUUUUAUUCUUCAAGUCUCCAUGCAUGUUUUAAGCAAAAAAUAAAAAAAAGUUUCCAUGCAUGCAUGAUCAAUAUAUUCCUGAUUAAACUAAUGACGUAACAUAUAUAUAAAUGUUUACGUCCUAAUUACUUGAAGAAUAGAAGAAGUGAUCUUGUGUUUCUUAUAUUUUGAUUUCUUGUUUAUCAUAUGGGACAUUUAUAUGUUGUAAGAGAAUGGCUAUUUAUGAACAAUUAUACAUAUACAUUAAUAUUUUUGAAGAGAUCCCAGUUUUUAUAUUCUCUAUAACUCUUUUACAAACUCAUUUACAGUUUUUAUAUUCUCUAUAACUCUUUUACAAACUCAUUUACAGUUUUUAUUUUUGAAGCUUCCAUCACAAUGAUCAUAGUAUAACUAUAAUAGAUGAACAAAAUCAACAAUCUUUUCCUACUCUACAUACAUAUCUGACAUCUUAAACCAAUACCAAAAUAAAGUAAGAACCAAAGCAAAACCUUCAAUUCUUACAAAUCAGAUCAGAACUUAAACAACUUUUCUUCUACUCUUCUUCCAGCAAAUACUUCUCAAGAAUUGCUAAUGUUUCUUGCUUUGCGCUGAAUUUAACAACAACAAAAAACAACAUUUUUUAUAGUUUAUUAGCUCAAGAACCUCACAAGAUUCAAACUUUAAAUCCAUGAUCACAUACCUUCCAGGUCUAAUGACCUUAUACUUUCCAACUUUAGUCAAAUCAACUAUUGUUGAUCCUGCACGCCUUAAGGGAAGCAAACCACCAUCAUAGACACAAGCACAAUGCUGCCAAAGACUUUGAAAAUCAUUCACGCAAACGCUGCUUCUAUCACCGCUUAGAUUAGCACUUGUAAGAGCCAAAACACUCCCCGAACCUCUGGAUACUUUUCUAAUGAAUUCACAGUCUGGAACUCUUACUCCAAUAGUAUCAAUCCCAGGGUUUAAUGACCUUUAAAGAAUGCUUGACUCACCUGUUUAAAAAAACACUACAAGAACACUCUCACAUCAGAAGAUCAUAUCAAUGCAAUGCAACCCCACUUAAAGAAGACAAUGUGGAUUAGAAACUGGACUAAAACAAGCUUAGCGACCUAACAACACCAGUUCCCACAUUCGAUUCAAUGAUGGUAUACUUUUGAAACAGAGUAGAAAAGAGCAGAAACAUAGAGAAGAUGGAGAGCUUAAAGAGACAAAAGGGCAAGACUUUCAGCUGCAAAUUACAAACGGAGAGAAACCCAUAAAGAUUUAUUUCCUUUUUGAUUGAAUCCAAUCUUAUCAGAGAGCAAAACGAAAAAGCAAUACACAAAUGUCACGAGACGAGAAAACCAAGCGAGAGACAGUUGAAAACAGAUUAAAAGAGACAACCAUUACGCAAGAUAGGAGAAAGCGGCACCGGGGAGUUUCUCAGCGAGCCUCGUUGAGAAGUUCAUCUCAGUAAUCUUUCAACUUCGACGCUCACCGUCGUUGAGAAGAAAGGACAAAACAGUUUGCCAAAGCCUAGGAACAGAGAAAGAUGAGUCUUUCUUUUCUCCGUAUUGUCACGUGAUGGCCUCGUGACCUAUUUUUCAUAAACUACCAAUUUUAUUAUUUAACAUGAAAAUUACGAAUUGCAUAAUGCUGAGAGGUCGUUGCAUCCAGCGUCUGUCGCGUCUGAGCAUGGUUCAGCUGCCGCUCCAGCCUUCUAGCUCCCCAUCUUCGUUUAAACUCAAUCUAACCAACUUUGAUAGUAAUAAUUCGGUUUGAUUUUCGGUUUAAGAGAAAAGAGGCUGGUUUAAAUUAAACCGGUCAACUGUUUUUGCGCGUUUGACUUUUCUUUGGUGUCUCAUAAAGGUGCAAUGCAAGCUUUGUAGUAGUGGGCGGCUUGUGAACCAAUGAAAAGUCAAUAAAAAGUUUCUUAAAAUAAACACAUUUACAGACAUGAGGGCUUUCUUCUUCAUUUAAGGCAUCUUCACGUUCUAGCUAGGUCGUUCCUUGCACAUAAAGGUAUCAAGACCAGACAAUUGGAUUCUUUUCCCAUAAAAGUUUCUAGACAAAUAUUUGAAUUCCUGUACAUAAUGAUUUCAUAUAUAAUAUUGGCAAAUUACUCUGACUAAAUAACUGUGAAAAUUUUGGGUUAUUGAUACAAAAAAAACUAGAAGUAGAACAGAAUACGAAUAAAAUUUGGUUUGGAAUUAUAAUUAUUGUUCCUUUAUAUGUUUUUACUAGGAAAAAUGAAGUAUUGAAAUAUGUUUUGAUCAUAUAGCUUAAGAAUGGGUUAAAAAGAAUGUGAAAUGAUACGUACGGUUUUGACUUUUGACAAAAUUAAGUAACUCUUAUAGGCAUGUAGCUAAUACUUUUGAUAUUGAAGCUUCAUCAAGUAAGCUUUUUGACUUGAGAUAAACUCAAAGAGUCAUCUUUUUUCUUAAGAUAUAACCAUAGGAGGUUUUAAUAAGUCAAUUUAAUUAUUUCUUCACUCUAUAAAAUCCCUCCUUUUCCAAUAACAUUCCACACCAAAAACACAAGAAACAUCUUGAGAAACUAAAGAAUCUAAAAGAAGGCAAAGAAGAAGAAUUGAUAUUGAGAGAUGGAGCACAGAAAGUCAUACGUGCUUGUAGCUCUCUUCGCAUUGCUUCUCUUGACCGAUAUUGUCAUUGCUGCGAGCGAUGGCGGCAAAGACAACGGUAAUAACGGCCAGGGACAACUAGAGAAGGCUAAAGGAGAAGAUGCUGGCAAAGGCAAAGGCAACGGUAACGGUCCAAAGGACAAGGAGAAAGAGAAGAAGGACAAGAAGGAGAAAGACGAGAAGGAGAAGAAGGCCAAGAAGGAGAAGGAAAAGAAAGAGAAAGAGGAGAGGGAAAAGAAGGACAAGGAAAUGAAGGAGAAGGAGAAGAAGGAAAAAGAGAGGAAGGAGAAGGAGAAGAGGGACAAGGAGCAGAGUGAAGCAGCUGCUAGAUACAGGGUGCUUUCACCAUUGCCUACAGGACAAGAGCAAGCCAUGUGCCAGGCUAAGGGUGCAUGUUAUUACAAAACUCUUGUUUGUCCCGGUGAAUGUCCCAAGAGGAAGCCCACCAAGAACAGAAACACCAAAGGUUGCUUCAUUGACUGCACUAGCAAAUGCGAAGCUACAUGCAAAUGUAAGUACAUUCUAUUCAAUUGGUCUUUGUUUUAGAUUCAGUUUUGCUUCUUUCACAAGUUAUCUCGUUGUAGAUUGGUUACUUGUCUCACAAGGGAAUGUUAACUUAUUAAACACGUAACUUGUCUUUACAGGGAGAAAAACGAACUGCAACGGCUACGGUUCUCUAUGCUACGACCCUAGAUUUGUUGGAGGGGACGGUAGGAUGUUCUAUUUCCACGGAUCUAAAGGAGGAAACUUUGCGAUCGUUUCAGACAACAAUCUCCAGAUCAACGCUCACUUCAUCGGUACAAGACCCGCUGGAAGAACCAGAGACUUUACAUGGGUUCAAGCCCUAAAUGUCAUGUUCGAAACUCACAACCUCGUGAUCACAGCCAAUAGAGUGACACAAUGGGAUGAAAACUCUGACGCAUUUACCCUUAGAUACAACGAAGAAUUCAUCACACUACCUGAAGACGAACAAACCGAGUGGAGGGCAACUUCGGGAAAAAGAGAGAUUGUCAUCGAAAGAACCGACGAGAGAAACAGCGUGAGAGUACUUGUCUCUGGUCUUGUUCAGAUGGACAUCAGAGUAAGACCAAUAGGGAAAGAAGAGAACAGAGUUCACAACUAUCAGUUGCCUCAAGAUGACGCUUUUGCCCAUCUUGAGACUCAGUUCAAGUUCUUAGACCUAAGUGAGCUCGUGGAGGGCGUUUUGGGGAAAACCUACCGUCCUGAUUACGUUAGCUCCGCCAAGGUUGGAGUUCCAAUGCCUGUGGUGGGAGGAGAAGACAAAUACCAAACGCCUUCUCUGUUCUCGCCGACUUGUAGACUCUGCAGGUUUAAGCCUCAUGAAGAACCACUCUCUGCUGAUAUCUAAUGAGAAGAAGAAGACUGAUGGAAACUUCCAUUAUGUUAAAAUAAAUUUAUUAAAAUUUUGUAUUUGUAAUUGUUUUAUAUUCAUAAAAAGUAAUGUAAUAAGAGCCAAAAAAAUAAUGUUUGGCCCGUUUGUGAUGUUUUUGAGGGUUUAAGAAAUGUAAGACGUUUCUUGCGCCAGAAUCAAACCCUUGAUUUCUGUUUUUCCUUGUUGCUUUGUUGUGUUUUGAAUACGAAUGAAUACGUUUAUAUAAUAAGUUUUCUGUGUAAGUUAAUAUAUUUUAGUUUUUUGUUUGGUGUAAUAUUAUAUAUCUGUGUUUGACACAUUGUUUUCCUUGUGUUUUGAAAACAACGUAAGUCCGGUUAAAAUCGGAGUCCCCAUGCCCAUGAUGGGUGGAGAAGACAUAUUAUCUGCUUUUAUGUACCAAAUUGUGUUUAAACUAUGCCUCUAAUUGUUGUGUGUUUACCAUUUGCUUAUUUGAACGAUUAUCGUGCUUGCAGAAUAAUAGGGUUUUCUUAUGUUUUUUCGUUCGGAUUCAUUGUUUCUUAGCCGCAAGAAACAUGUACCGCCAUUAAAAUUUCUACUUUGAAAAUGAAAGAAAUAGAAAUGGCAAUUCAAGCAGUCUAAAACUUUUUUUGGUUGCAUCGUAAGAGUCUAGAACUACAAAUAUAAAUAAUUGAAUCGUGGUUGAAAUUUUAUACAUGAAAUUAUUUAAUAUAUUAAUGAAACAGAUGAGAGAUGCCAAUUAAAAUCCAAUUUGAUAAAUGCAUAAACAUCGUUAGUAGGAUGACAACGCUGUUUUAAGAGAGUUUUAGUUAUGCUCCACUUACCCUCACAAAACAUUUUCGGACCUACCUUCACAAAUUACAAACUUAUAUACAUUUACAUUAUUUUUUAUUCGAGUUCAUUUAUGGUCACAGAAAAGUGAAAAUAUGUUCCAACAAUUUAUUGAUUUGAGCGUGGAAUGUCUAGAAAAAAAAUACUGGAUCGGUUAUAGAAUGGUCUGAAGCUUUUUGUAUGAAUUAAGUGAAAUCAUGUAAACUGAAUGUGAUACACUGUCAACAUUACUACAAAUCAAAUAAAUAAAAGCUUAAGUAAUAAAUUUGAAAUAUGCUUAAAAUUGAAGAGAGCCCACCACAAAUCAAUUGAUAUGUUUGCUUUUUCUUAAUUUUCAAGCAAAGUUGCAAGUUGCUCCUUCCAUUAUCAUAUACCACACCCUCCAUUAUUCCUCCCACCUUUUCAUACAGAGGUUUUGAUAAUUACAAACAAUGUAAUGAUUUCCAUUUUGUCUAUGCAGACACACAUAAAUACACGGUCUGUGUAAAUACUAGAUACAUUCAUUAUCACCACCGUAAUAACUAAUACUAUUGUUGUUUUGUACUCUCUAAUAUAAUCUUUUGUUUUUAACUAGAAGAACUAAUAUCUAAAACCAAUGCAUAUGAUAUGCUUUUGAUUAAUAAGUUAAUGCAUUGUCUAUGCAGAAACACAUAGAUCUGAUUUUUUUUUGAAGCAAGUUUCAUUUAUUUUGACACACACACCUAACACACACAUAUAUAUAUAUAUAACCGUUGUAAUUGAUUUUCUGUUAUAAAAAUGAAAAAAAAAUUAACUACGUGCAUGGCUCCCAAUAAACAUCUAAUAAUUAAGUAAAAUGCUUUCAUAAUUUGCUCCUAAAAAAUCAUUACACUAAAUCCAAAAACAAUUAUCCUUCUUUUGUUACUAAUGGCAUAUGGCCACAUAUAGUUAUCACAUCACUUUUCCAAGAGGUAAAACAGUUCAUCUGACAAGAUGUGAUGGAAAUUUUACACACCAAACAAACAAAAAAAAUCAAAUCAUUACUGAUUUAAUUAACAAUCAACUUAGUUGUAAAAAUGUUGACUGUUUAACCAAUUAUUUUCCCCAUUUUAUUAUAACCCUGACUACUUCCUAUAAACUCGUAUCUCACCCAAACAGAAAACAUCAACACACACACACACACACAGAUCCACCACGAUGGAGCAUUCUCCCUUCUUUCUCCUCCUCUCCACCGUUCUCCUCCUCCUCACAGCAUCUCCUCUGGCCCAAUCUCAGCCAGCCGCCGCUCCGGCUCCACCAGGACCCACAAACGUCACCAAAAUCCUUGAAAAGGCAGGCCAAUUCACAGUCUUCAUCCGCCUACUCAAAUCAACCGGCGUUGCUAACCAACUAUACGGCCAGCUCAACAACUCCGACAACGGAAUCACUAUCUUCGCACCGAGCGACUCCUCCUUCUCCAGCCUCAAAGCCGGAACCCUAAACUCCUUAUCCGACGAGCAACAAGUAGAGCUAGUUCAGUUUCAUGUCAUACCAAGUUACGUCUCUUCCUCAAACUUCCAAACCAUCAGUAACCCUCUCCGGACCCAGGCCGGUGACUCCGCGGAAGGACAUUUCCCUCUCAACAUCACGACCAGUGGCAACACCGUAAAUAUCACCUCCGGUGUAACCAACACCACCGUCUCUGGCAGUGUCUACAGCGAUGGACAGCUCGCUGUUUAUCAGGUUGAUAAGGUUUUGCUUCCUCAACAAGUUUUCGACCCUCGUCCCCCUGCGCCGGCUCCGGCUCCUACGGUAGCGAAGUCGAAGAAGAAGAAGGAGGAUGGUGAUAGUCCCGAUGAUGAUUCUCCGGCGGACGCGUCGUUGGCUUUGCGUGAAGUUGGUUCUGUUCGUAGUGCCGUGUUGGUUUGCGUUAUUAGUAUAUCGCUUGCAUGGUUUUAUUUGUGAUGAUAAGUUUUUCUAUUAUAUUACUCAUGCAUUUUUCUUCCUUGUGAUUUUGAAGUAUUAUUUCUCCGUUGAUGGUCAUGGAUAUUGCGUUUGAUUAAUCAUAUUUGGUUUUUAUUUUGUUUCAUAUUUGUAAGAGUGAAUUUUUUUUUGUUUAUCUCUUAGAUUUUUUUUUGUUUUUGCCUUUUGAUCAUAUCUUCACAUUUUUUCAAUUUAAAUACGGUUGCUUUGAGGGAUUCUUACAAGAAUGCCACCAACUUUUAUCAAAUGGUGCACCAAAUUUUAGCAAAAAAAAAAAUUAUCAAAUGGUAGCGGCAGAUGAUAAUGCCAGUUUAUAAAAGAUUGGUCUCGAGCACCCUUUCGUAGAUGACUGACAUGGCAUAGACUAUAGCUAAAUAUUGUCUAGGUGCGUAAAAUCUGUAAGGGGGGUUGGAAAUAAUGAAUACUCCCUCUGUUUUUGUUUCUUGAAAUUUUUUAAACAUUUUUCUGUUAUGUCUUAAAAUUAAAAUUUUAGAUUUAAAAAAAAAGAAAAAAAAAUAUAUAUAUAUAUAUUAAUAGUAAUGAAUUUCAUAUAUCCAAAUUAUUUACAUUUUGAAUUGCUAUUGGUUGAGAGUGAUAAAAAAAUCUUUAGUUCAGAUAUUUUAUAUAUAUAUUUUAUUAUUGAGUUUAAAAUAUUUAAUUUUAAUAUGUGUGAAAAUUUUAUAAACGGAUCUUUAAAAACAGAAGAAAUAAAAUUUUGUCCUAUAUAUUAUCGAUUUUUGAGGAAACAUCAACCUGCAACUGUUGACUUGAUUCCUCAUAAUGGAGAGUCAUAUUAUCGAUUUUUGAGGAAACAUCAACCUGCAACUGUUGACUUGAUUCCUCAUAAUGGAGAGUCAUAUUAUCGAUUUUUGAGGAAACAUCAACUUGCAACUGUUGACUUGAUUCCUCAUAAUGGAGAGUCAUAUUAUCGAUUUUUGAGGAAACAUCAACCUGCAACUGUUGACUUGAUUCCUCAUAAUGGAGAGUCUCUUGCCUCUCAGCAAACAGUUGGGGAGGGCAUCAAACCAUCAAUGACAGGAAUGAUGUGGAUGGAAUAGAGAAAGCGGCUGAUUCUGAAUGCGGGGAGGGGAGCAGUGAUUCCAUGGUGGCCUGGAAGGAGCAGCCAAUGGAAAAGAAAAAAAUAAGAGAAAACAUGAGAGAAUCAAAUGAACUAAUAUAAUAAAUAUUUUCUAAGUUAUUUUCUAAUAAUCAAUAUGAUUCCUAAAGUAUAAAAACGCAACAACAGAAAACUAGGUCUAGACUUUUGUUUCGGUUAUUGGUUGCACAUAUUCAUGUACCAUUAUUGUGUAUAAACGCCAAUGUCUAAAUUUGAUCAUAUCAUGUAUUAUACAAUGAAAACAAAUCUAACCCAAAAAAACCAGUCAAUCGAAUUACUUUUGUAGGAAAAGAAUCUCAUUCAUAAUUCGGAAUCAAAACUUUAACCGUCAUAUUGGUGACGACAACUCCACCAAUGAAUCAUUUGUUUAAAUAUCACACCAACAUGGAGAUGGGAAGGAAUAUUAAAAACUAUCAAUUGCUUCCAAGUUGUGCGUGAAUAAGUACGGCUUAAUUAACAAAAAGUAUAUAUUUUAUCAAAAACAUCUGCAUUAUCCUUAAUUUGGAUGAAAUGUGAGGCUGUUAACCAAUUUUCAUCCUUAACUGAAAAAAGGCAAUAUAAGAGAACAAUAAUAGAGCUUGAAAGUGUUGUCCACAUGAACAAUAAUUAUGUUAAACCACGUAUCUUUCUUAGUUUAUGUCUACUUGCCUUUAAAGUUCAGGAGAUUCGUUCUAUUGAAUCAUCAAGAAUGGAUCACUUCUUGAAUUACUACUAUUCCAAAAGGUGUAUAGACAACGAGUUUUGGAUUUUAUUUUUAUAAUUCGGGCCAACUAAUGUAAGUGGUAUGUUUUGAACCCGGAGCGAUUAGCUCUUUUCUGAGCCGCCAUACCAUCCGACCAUACCCGAGUGGUUGUUUUGGAUGUUAAGGAAGCAAUUAUAUUUAGCAUUGCUAACUUCCAUCCCAUUAGGAACGGUCGCAGGUCAGCAUCGUUAGUCAUUCACCCAUUCAUGAUUUGUUUAGCAGCAUUGUUUCACCAAGAAAGCAUAGUAAAACGAAUAAGAUCGUAAUUUUAAUAAUCUUAAUUGUUGGAUAUAUGUAAAUUUUGUAAGAUUUUCCAAAAAAAAAUAAUACUAAGCACUGAAGCUUCAAAAUCUAUCUCAUGUGUAAGCUUCAAAAUUUUGUAAGAUUUUCUUAAUUGUUGUCUUAUAUAUUUAUUUUUUCAAGAAGACAAAACGCAUCAUCAACAUGAAAGAGAUCUAUAACUUUUGAAACAUAGAGGACGUUGUGUUUCUAUUCCUCCCGUUGGCAAAGUACUUAUUGUUGUGAAUCCAAACCUUCAGAACUUCUCUCUCUACUCCCACUUCCCUACAAAACUCUCUUACGUACUCAUCAUCACAGCCGUUGAUCUUCCAACCAGCUCUCUCUGCGAAAGCUCUCAUCAUCACCUUCUGCUUCACCGUGAAUUUUGUCCUCUUACGUUUCCUGUCCACCGUACUGAUUUUACCCAUGUCUUGAUCCGAGGGUCCAGAGAAACCGGAGCCGCUGAGAGAGAGAAGCAAGUGCGUGGAUGUAGCUGGCUGCAGCGGUGGUGGAGGCGGCGGUGAGUUGGUACGGUGAAUGAAGACGCUGGAAGGGUCACGGCGGUGGAAGUUGCGGUGGCAGCCACAUGCAUCGCAACUAAGGGACGGAGGGUCUGUGAGGAUGGUGGUGGACUUGGGCAUGAACUCACCGCAGCCGUCAAGAGCGUAGCCGCCGAAACUGACCGCUUGGUUUUUAAGGCACUCGUUGUACAAGAAACCCAUAUUCCACUAGUCUUUGUUGUUGGUGAUGAAAAUUUUUGUACUCAGUUUUGCAAGUGUUACUAAUGAUAUAUAUGUGAUAUAUAUAUAUAUAUAUAUAUUAGGAUUCCAACCCAGCAAUGUGGGAAAAAGAAAUAAUAUAUUUAUUUUUAAUUGCAUAUAUUUGUUAUCCAUCCGUUUAAACAAACCACAAAUUCCAUUGUUUAUCCAACUGAAGCGAACAGCUGAUACACACUAACAAAUACCGUUGAUUAAAAAAUUAUAGUAUACAAAGCAUACCCUUGAAAUCUUUCAAAGAGUUAACUGUUUAGACAAAAUUAUAGUAUAAAACUACGUAGAAGAGAAUCACCUCAUUUUCUGGUUGUAAUACAUAUUUUGAUAACAGUGUGGAACUUAACUCCCCUUCUCGACGGUUGUAUUUUCCGGUCUAGCUUGGAAUUCAGUCAUUUGGACUUUGCUUUAGUUUUGUUUUUUUGUACAUCAGAGAUUUUUUCUUUUUUUGUUUGCUUAGUUUUUUUCUCACAUGAAUAAUAUUUUGUUAUUUUUCUUGGUAGGGCCUUCAUGCAAACUACAUAAGCAAAGCCUCUUGCAAGAUGAAUGCAUGAGUCAGUCUAACUCUUGGCGAUUAAAGAGGAAUAAGUUUAGGUGAUAGAUAGAGGAAUGAGUCUCACCCGCACUUAUACACGAUCUUGAUAGGGGUGAAACUUCAUGACAGUGGAGAAUAAACAUGUAGUGGUGUCUGUGGGGGCUCUCAUGGCGUUUAGGCUAGAACGCCGACAAUAAUGAUGCAAGCGAAGGCGAUGCUUCCAAAGCGAGGAAAGCCAUGUGUGUUUGCCUUAUUCAUCCACUUACACUAUUUCAUUAUAUGUUUUGAUUUGAUGUUUGAGCCGUUACAAUUUAGAUUUAUGUGUAACAUUGUUGUUGCUCUUUUGAACUUUUUAAGGAAAUGGUCCAUAAAAAUAGUAUAAAAGAAAACAACAACAACAACAAAAACAAUACAUUUAGCAUGUAGUCGGACUCAGUUUUUCGUGUCAAAAGAGUGCUGCAAAUACACAAUUCCCACCAUAUCUUUAGCAAAAUUUCUUAUGUCUUCAUGUCCCUUUUUCUAAAUAUUUCAAUAUCUUCUCUAAUGGAAAUUACAAAACAAUAAGGCCCCAUAUUAUUCGGGCUUAGAUACAGUACAACAAAUCCGAGAAAAUCUUAAAUUUCAUAAACAAAACCCUUCCAUCAGGACCAAAAUAUUCACCAUAAUUCAUCCAUGUUUUUUCAUAAACUGUAGUAUAAAUUAUUUUGUGUAUUUAUAGAAACUUUACCCAAAAUACUAUUUGAUCGUACAACAUUCAACUCACCGAAAGUAACGCCCAACCAAAGCAGUUGACUCAUUGGUUUCUACUACGACUCCACGUUUCUUCCUGAUCAUUCUAUACACCUAAAAGUACCCCCAGAUUUGACUUUAUUUACCAUUUUGCCUUUCCUUCACCACCCUCCUUUAUCAUCUUCCUUCACCUCUCUCUUUACCCUUUUCCGUACAACACAACAAUGGCGAGAGGCUCUUCCCAGUCCCAACAAUCAACCUCCACCGCUUCAUCAACCGCCAGGCCCGGUCUGGCCGCUCCCCGUGGAUCCGCCGCCGCUACGGCCGGCAUGCGUCGUCGCAGGCUCGGUGGCGGUGGAGGCGCGUCAUCAGGGGGCGGAUCCGUCGCUGGAUCAGGAUCGAGCAACAUGCUGAGAUUCUACACAGAUGAAGCUCCUGGUUUGAAGAUUUCACCUACCGUCGUCCUCAUCAUGAGUCUCUGCUUCAUCGGCUUUGUCACCGCUCUUCACGUCUUCGGAAAACUCUACCUCCACAAGUCCGGAUCCAAAGCUUAGAUCCGGAUCCGGAUCUCUUCUUCCGUAUGUUGAAUCAGUGGUCGCUUCUUGUUUCUUUUUUUGGUUUCUUGUUUCUUGAAUCUUGAUGAUCCGUGUAAAACCGCUUAACUUUGAAUAAAACAUGUUUACUUAUGGAGUAGAUUAACUCAUUGACAUUAGUCAACUGAGAUUACAUUUUCUGAUGGAAAAAAAAAGUUGAAUAAAACAAAUUGUGUUUAACAGAAAUAAACACUAAAAUCAACAAAGUACAUGAAUAAAUCAAAAAGAAGACAUGGAAACAAGCUUUAGGUGACAAAAGCAUAUAUAGGUUUUUGAUGCUUUUGGAAGAUUGGAAAAAACAAGAGAAGUACGGGGGCACAUGUAGCUGUUCCGGUCAACAAGUUGGAGGAAGUAGACUUUGCGGAGAGUGGCAGACCAUCUUUUUGUGCGAGAUUAAUAGUCAACUCUGAGUGAGAUUCAUGCAUAUGAAAUGAACGGUGCCUUCAGGCCACGGUUUAAUGUGUUUAUACCAUCUACACCACCAAGCUUGGACUACCCAUACCGUGUCUUAGCAGUUAGCACCAAUGUCUUCCAGCAACACGUGUUUGUUGGUAUUCAUUAUCAAUUCAAGAUGAUGUUCUAAUUGAUUUUGUGAUGUAUGUAACUCUGCCGUGAGUACUUCAACGUCUCUUUCCGUAGUAAUUAAGAGAUUUGUGAAAUUUAUGGACUUAGGAGUAAAGGGUUUAUGAGCAGCACGACAAGGAUGAUAUAACGACAUUUUAGAAUGGUAUAAGAAUUUGUAGCCGAAUCACUAAGCAACCUUUGUUAAACGCCACAUGCAGCGAAUAAUCAUCGUCAGUCUCCUUUAUUAUGGAUAUCAAUUUAACAGCUGUUGGUUACCAAAAUCUUUUUUCUUAAAAUAUAUACAUAUGUAACACCAAAACUGAAGGGAAAGAAAUAUAAGUUGACUUAUGAUUAAUUUUAAUAGUUUAGAAGCUUAAGCCAUUUCCAACCCAAUGUGAUUUCCACAUAAAACAUCUCCAACAUAACACUAAAAGUUAGUAUAUUGUUUAGUGCAAUACUAUAAUUUCACAUCAAAUUUAGUAUCUAAAAUUUCUUCUUCUUCUUUUGGUAAUCAUCUUUAUCUAAAACUUCUACAAUCAUAUUUUAGAACAAUACUCAAACUCUAAUAAAAAGAUUUUAAACAAAUAUGUAUCAGUUGAUCAUACCAUUUUUUUUUGGUAAAAAGAUAUGUUCAGCGACAAUUAUGGUUUCGCAAACUGAAUGUCAUAUGUGAUCUUACAUUGUAUACCAAUAUUAUAUUACUAAAAACAUAAAUAUUCUUCUAUAUGAAAUAUAUUCCUUGUUCUGCUUAGUGAAGAUUCUUGAGCUUCAAUGUUAUCAUUGAGUUGAUCUAUUUUUGCUUAUAAUGGAUACUAAUUAACAUUGAGAUCAUGAUGUUGAUAGAUUCCAUAGAUUUGUCAACAUUUUCGUCUAAACCAUUUGCAUAGGCCCCUUGUCAAAUGAAAACAACCAAACAAACAAACAAAAAAAUAAAGAAAAUACAUUUUCUCUUGUGGGUUAGCGUCAAACCAUGUGAGUUCUGUAAACACAACUCAUAAAUUGCUAGGCUUUUCUUAAAAUGUUCAGGAUGGCGAUGUGCUAAUCUUUGAGAGCUCAUCCUGGUUCCUGUCAUCCAUGAAAAAACUUCACAAAGACCAAAACAUCUUCGAGCAAAGAGAGAAAACCUGUCUUGGAACAGAUUAUCAUUUCAAGUAUAGUAAAAAGAUCUAGAAGCUCAAACCAUGUCAUGUAACGACCAGUUUCAUGCUUUAGUCUCUUGCAAGUACAACGAGAAUAAUAGUGAAGUGAUGAUGACUUUAGAUUGAAGAAGAAGAAAAAAUCAAACAUGGUCUGAGAUGGUAUGCAUCAUUUGUUAGAGGGGAAGGUAAAAUAAGAGUAUUUAACUGAUAUACCUUUAAACUUCGAAUUGCAUCUCUUUGCAUUUAGAUGCACAUAUAAGGAUAGCUACGUAGGAGAGAUACCGUCAUCACCAUCAGCUAAACUCUUAGAAAAUGUGAUGGCGCUAUCUCUCCUGCGAAGCAAAUCUAUAUGUGCAGUUUUGAAACCUUCGAAGAAGCAAAGAACACUCAAAUGACGUUUCUGUAUAUAUGUGUAAUCACUCUAUGAGCUAUUAAGUUUCAUCACAUAUAUAUAUUACCAUAAAGGGUCUAAGAAGAAUGAACUUAGUUAUACCAUCACUAUCAUUGCUCUUUAAUUGUCUUUUUGUUUGCCGCUUUCUAUGUGGCUACAAUCAAAUGACAAAUUAUCACAAGUGAGGUCAUCGUGUGAAUGUCAUAUCCAAUGAUUUGGCACUACCUUGGGUAUUGUCACAUUUAUUUUGUUACUUGUGUGCAGGUUUCUUCGGUUAAUUUGAGCUCUUGACUUUGCAUUUGUUAUGAGAUGUGGAGUAUGAACUGGCGAAAUUUUUGUUAGGUUUUCACGCAUCAAGGUCCUAUUGUAAGUCUCAAAGGUAUUAACUUAUCGUUAACCAAUCCUUGUAUAGUGUUGGUACUAUGUACUGUGAGUAGCUACUGGAGUGUUACUUUGUAGCACAAGAUGAGCUAUUGUCUAUAUCGUUUGUGUGACACUUGUAUGUAAUCCAAACAAAAUUCAGUAACAUGUUGUAAGACAGCCGUUAUAUAGGUUAUCUUAUUAAUCUAGUGAUAAAUUUUGAUCAAAGAGUAUUUAUUAUUUAAUAUAGUUUGUUUUUGCAAUUGAUGAAAGAGUAUUUAUUUUUAUAUAGUUUGUUUUUGCAAACCAUUGCAAUGCAAGAUCAAUUUCAACCAUUAUUUUUAACAAAUGCUCUUUUUAACAAUACUGUGUAAUAAAUGGUGACAGUGAUGUCAAAACUAACACUACUGUGUUUAAGACUCUGCUUUGCUUUAUUGAACAAGUUGGGUUAGAAACACAAGUUGGAGACAUUGAUGAUGUAACAGGUGAGUGCUGCAUUUAUUCUCACUGAAAAAGAAAAACUGAAAAGCCUUAUUGUCCUCUUCGUAAUUUUAUCAGAAUCCAAAUGAGUAAAAGAAAAGAAAAAAGAAAGAAGAAUCCAAACUCGAGUUGUCAUGUGGAGAAAAGAGGUAAAGUGAAGCCAAUGUUUACUUUCACCGUUUACUAAAUUAUGAAGAAGAAGAAGAGACCAUACGGUCCAUACCUACUUCUACUACUCUAUUACCACAUAUCAAUUGCCACGCAACAAGAAAAAAAAGUCUCUCGUAGUAAAGUGGAUAUUAACUACACAGUACUUCUAUAUAAUCUUAUACCAUCCUUAAUCCUUUUCCAUUUCAUGAUCUUGUCUUUUUCUUCUCCUUCUUUAGGUUUCCUUCUUUAAAAAAAAAGAUCACAAAUUCUGAAUCUACAAAGAGAAAAAUGCUGACAACAACUCUUAGUGGCAACUAUGGCUUCCCUCUUUGCAUCUCUGGGAUCGCUCAGCAGUUAUCUCUCUCCAAAGAGUAAACAUGUUUCUUAUGUUUAUCUGUCUUCUCUCUCUUGAGAUCUCUGUUUUCUUUCUGACUUGUAUCUCUCUCCCUCUAUGUUGAAGAAUGGCAGAUCAUGACAAGAGAAGGAAGGGGAUGAAGAAGAGAAGUAGAUCAGAUGAGUCCAGUGUUGGGAUAAGCUUGAAAUAGCUUGGAAAUCAAGCUAUCCUAAUCCUAUAUUGUUUGUGUUUAUCUAUAAGGAUUAGGAAAAUAUAAAACCUAUUGAGUUUAGGAGUUAUCUAUUGAUAUAUAAGGAGUUGCAGACUUGUUGCAACACUUAAGCGUUUUGGUGACUGUUUGAGUUGACUUGAGUUUUGAGGAAUUUUCUCAAGUGAUUAAUAAGAGAGCAAGUUCUUGUUAAUUGUGUUCUUACAAUCAAAUACGUGAAACUUAGAAACUAUAUUUGGUAUCAGAGCUUCUAGGAAACGAUCGCACUAGCUAUGGGAGAUCUAGUUACUACGAAAGUUAAAGGAGGAGGUGGACCUACCACCAUAAGCUGUCCCAUGCUAUCAUCGACAAAUUACACUGUCUGGUCAAUACGGAUUAAGGUGCUACUGAAGAUACACAAGGUCUGGGACGUCAUUGAGGUCGAAUCUGAUAAUGGGGAAAAGAACGACAUGGCCACUGCUCUACUGUUUCAGUCAAUACCCGAGUCACUGAUUCUCCAAGUAGGAGAGUUAGACACAGCCAAGAAAGUAUGGGAUGCGAUUAAAGCAAGACAUAUGGGGGCAGAUCGAGUUCGAGAAGCAAGACUACAAACUCUAAUGGCUGAGUUCGACAGAUUAAAGAUGAAAGACAGUGAUACAAUCGAUGACUUUGUGGGGAAGUUAUCCGAAAUAUCAUCGAAGUCAGCUGCUUUGGGAGAAGUUAUUGAAGAAACAAAACUAGUAAAAAAGUUUCUGUCUAGUCUGCCACGACGCAAAUAUAUACACAUUGUGGCAUCAUUAGAACAGGUACUUGAUCUCAAGACGACAAGCUUCGAAGACAUUAUCGGACGGUUAAAAACCUAUGAGGAAAGAGUUGCAGAAGAGGAAGAAGAGACGCAGGAUAAACUCAUGUACGCAGCAAACUCUGAAUCUCAACCGGCUUCAAAUUCUUCAAACCGAGACUACAACAGUAACUAUAGGGGUCGAGGACGAGGAGGCCGAUUCUAUAACAGAGGACGAGGCAGAGGAAGGUAUAAUGAUCGAUACCAAGACAACUUUGAUAUGGCAAAGAUCAUGUGUUUCAGGUGCGACAAGAUGGGACAUUUUGCUUCUGUAUGUCCUGACCGUCUACUCAAACUACAAGAGGCAACAGAAACAAAGGACAAAGACGCUGACACAACGGAGGCUGAAGAACUGAUGGUUCAUGAGAUCGUUUACCUAAACGAAAAGAAGGUAAACCCGCUGAACUUUGAGACAAGUUCAGACAACGACAGAGUGUGGUAUCUAGACAAUGGGGCGAGCAACCACAUGACUGGAAAUCGAAGGUACUUCAAGACACUUGAUGAAACUAUUACUGGUAAAGUAAGGUUCGGUGAUGACUCUCGUAUCGACAUAAAGGGAAAGGGACCAAUACUGUUUCACACAAAGGACGGAGGAAAGAAAAUACUAACUGACGUUUACUACAUACCGGACUUGAAGAGCAAUAUAAUUAGUCUUGGUCAAGCCACAGAGUCCGGUUGCGACAUCAGGAUGAAAGAUGAGUUUCUUACGCUGCGAGACAAAGACGGAAAACUGAUAGUCAAAGCUCAACGGUCUAGAAAUCGUCUAUACAAAGUCACCAUUGAAAGCAACCAACAGUGCCUUCAGGUAUCAGUUGGUAGCGACUCUGCAAGAUGGCACGCGCGUUUGGGUCACAUAGGGAGAGAAGCAAUGCGAGUGAUGAUGAAAAAAGAGCUAGUAUACGGACUACCAAAGCUCGUGAUCGAGAAAGAGACAUGUUCUUCUUGCUUACUUGGGAAGCAAGCAAGACAAGCCUUCCCACAAGCUACUACGUAUCGAGCUGAGAAGACACUAGGUCUCAUACAUGGAGACCUUUGCGGACCCAUCACGCCACCAACACCAUCACAGAAGAGGUACAUUUUUGUUCUCAUAGAUGAUCACUCUAGAUACAUGUGGACUAUCUUGUUAAAAGAGAAGGGAGAAGCCUUCGACAAAUUCAAGAAAUUCAGAGCCAUUGUUGAGCAAGAAACCGGGGCUGUUAUCAAAACACUCAGGACAGACAGAGGAGGUGAAUUUGUAUCAAACGAAUUCAGAGAAUUUUGUGAGUCAAAAGGGAUAACAAGACAUCUAACAGCUCCCUAUACUCCCCAACAGAAUGGGGUAGUAGAAAGACGAAACAGAACGUUACUUGACAUGACCAGAAGUAUCUUGAGACACACAGAGCUACCAAACUACCUUUGGGGCGAAGCGGUAAGACACGCUACUUACCUAAUAAACAGAGCUGCAACUCGUGUCAUUAAGGCAAAGACGCCAUAUGAGCUGUUCAAAGGACGAAAGCCGAACAUAGAACAUCUGCGCGUUUUUGGAUGUAUUGGAUUUGCCAAGAUAGAGUCGCAGCAUCUCAGGAAACUAGACAACAGAUCCCGAAUGCUGGUUCACCUAGGGACAGAGCCAGGAUCGAAAGCUUACAGGCUACUUGAUCCAACAAAUAAGAAGGUGGUGGUGAGUAGGGACGUGAUAUUUGACGAAACUAGAAGUUGGGAUUGGAAGACAGGUAACAAGGAUGAAGGAACAGGAACAUUCCGCAUCGCUAUUGGUCAGUAUGGGAAUCAUGGCGUAGAUGAAACUGAUACACCUAAGGAUAUUGAAGAAACUGUAACUGAACCUCCAGAUAGUGGUACACUGGGCCAAGAAGAAGAAGUACUUGAUGAGGUCGAACCAGAGCUGAGGAGAUCGCAAAGAGAACGUCGAGCACCAAGCUACUUGGACGACUACAUUUUAUUGGCUGAGAUAGAAGGAGAGCGUCUAUUACUAAGUUUAAACGAUGAACCGUGGAGUUAUGAUGAAGCUAAAGAAAAGAAAGUAUGGAGAGAUGCAUGUGAAGAUGAAAUCAAGUCCAUUGUUAAGAACAAAACAUGGGAGUUAGCUGAGCUUCCAAUAGGGGCAAAACCAAUCGGUCUUAAAUGGAUCUUUAAGGUUAAACGCAACUCAGAUGGGAGCGUCAACAAGUUCAAAGCGAGGUUAGUAGCAAAAGGCUACAUACAGAGACACGGCAUUGACUUUGAUGAAGUGUUUGCGCCUGUAGCACGCAUUGAAACAGUCCGAUUCCUACUUGCUCUUGCGGCAUCUAGAGGAUGGCAAGUACAUCACCUAGACGUCAAAACCGCGUUCUUGCACGGAGACCUAAAAGAAGAAGUAUAUGUCUUACAGCCUGAAGGUUUUGAAGUCAAAGGGCAAGAGAGCAAGGUAUACAAGCUAAGAAAGGCACUCUACGGUUUGCGACAGGCUCCAAGAGCAUGGAAUGAGAAGUUAAACAAGGUACUAGGAGAUCUUAAGUUCGUGAAGUGUACAAAGGAGCCAGCAGUGUAUCGACGCCAAGAGAAAGAGCACGUACUGCUCAUAGCGGUCUAUGUUGAUGACCUCCUCGUGACUGGUUCGAGUAUUGAGAUGAUUGACGAGUUUAAAAAGGGAAUGUCUGAGAGGUUCGAGAUGAGUGAUUUGGGAACUUUAACCUAUUAUCUAGGGAUCGAGGUUGAUCAAAACGACGAAGGUAUUACGUUAAAGCAAGAACGUUAUGCCAUGAAAAUAUUGGAGGAAGGUGGAAUGCGUGACUGCAAUGCUGUUCACAUACCUAUAGAUCCGAGUUUAAAAUUGUCUAAAGCACAAGAUGAGCGAAGCGUGGAUGAGAAGGAAUAUAGAAGGAGCAUCGGAUGUCUUAGAUAUUUGUUGCAUACUCGACCUGAUCUAUCGUUCGCGGUAGGAGUCAUGAGCCGAUAUAUGCAGCAUCCAAAGACCUCUCAUGCCGCAGCAAUAAAACAGAUACUGAGAUACUUGCAAGGCACGCUUAGCUUCGGACUAGUGUUCAGACGUGCAGCAGAAACAAAGUUGAUAGGUUACAGUGAUGCAAGUCAUAAUGUAGAUGAAGACGAUGGCCGAAGCACCACAGGGCACGUUUUCUAUUUCGGAGAAUCACCUAUAACCUGGUGUUCUCAGAAACAAGAAACAGUUGCUCUCUCGUCUUGUGAAGCAGAGUUUAUGGCAGCGACUGAGGCGGCCAAGCAGGCUAUCUGGUUGCAAGAACUGCUUGCUGAGAUCGUAGGAAAGGAAAGCGAGAAAGUGGUGGUUCUGAUUGACAAUAAGUCUGCAAUAGCUUUGACGAAAAACCCGGUGUUCCAUGGGCGUAGCAAACAUAUACAUCGGCGCUAUCAUUUCAUUCGUGAGUGUGUUGAUAGCAGUCUGAUCGAGGUCCAUCAUGUACCAGGAAGUAAACAACGCGCUGACAUUCUAACGAAAGGACUUGCAAGAAUUCGAUACAAGGAAAUGAGACAGAUGAUUGGAGUUGAAGAUUUGUCUAAAGGAGACUUCAAGCUUAAGAGGGAGAUUGUUGGGAUAAGCUUGAAAUAGCUUGGAAAUCAAGCUAUCCUAAUCCUAUAUUGUUUGUGUUUAUCUAUAAGGAUUAGGAAAAUAUAAAACCUAUUGAGUUUAGGAGUUAUCUAUUGAUAUAUAAGGAGUUGCAGACUUGUUGCAACACUUAAGCGUUUUGGUGACUGUUUGAGUUGACUUGAGUUUUGAGGAAUUUUCUCAAGUGAUUAAUAAGAGAGCAAGUUCUUGUUAAUUGUGUUCUUACAAUCAAAUACGUGAAACUUAGAAACUAUAUCCAGAAGCCAUGGUGGAGAAGAAAUGGGUGUGGAGAGAUUCCAUGAGCUAUGGCUUCAAGAGAUGGCAGAGAGUGAGGAUUUUAGAGAUCUAGUUGCUUUACUAGAAGAUCUAGGGUCAUGGAGCUUUUCUUCUUACACAGCUAAAGCUCCUUAGUGUUUGAAGAAACCCAUAACAACUCUUUUAGAUCUCAUUGAGUUAUGUAUGCUUCUUGUAAAACUGCAGAUCAAAAAUCUUUAAAACAUUCCUGGUUGUUUUCAGUGUUGUUGACACGUCUACUCUGUCGCUGGUGUGAUGUUCUGCUGCCUCUUUUGGCCUUAUCCUAUUAUUAUUUUGGAAUUUUGUUCUGUGAUUCUUUGGUCGACGUCAUGAUCCAUUAACUCUAAUCUUUAAGAUCAGAAAGUAUUUGUUUGGUAAUAUCUGCUAUUACUCUUGUUCGCUUGUAUAAAGAACACUUAACAUCUAUCAGCAUUGAGUAAUUUCAAACAAUCCGUCAUCAAUUCAGAUCUUAAACAAAAGAAAAGCAACUUAACGUACACUCGAGAGCAUAAAGCAUUUAGGCAAAAUUAUCCAGAAGCUGCAUAAUUGAAAACCACAAUAGUCUCAGAGAUCCAAAAACAAGGUAGAAAAAAGUCGCAGAAAAUAAGGAAAAGGCUCAAACGCCAUCAAAGUUUUUGUAAUGCAAAGAAAAACCAAAGACUGAGAGGUCACUCAUCAUUUGGCUCCCUUCUUGACUGCAGCCUUGGUGACCUUAGCACCGGUUGGGUCCUUCUUGUCAACGCUCUUGAUAACACCAACAGCCACCGUCUGCCUCAUGUCCCUAACAGCGAAACGACCCAAUGGUGGGUACUCAGAGAAAGUCUCAACAACCAUGGGCUUGGUUGGAGUCAUCUUAACCAUACCAGCAUCACCAUUCUUCAAGAACUUGGGCUCCUUCUCAAUCUCCUUUCCAGAUCGCCUGUCAAUCUUGGUGAGGAUCUCAGAGAACUUGACUGCAAUGUGGGAUGUGUGACAAUCAAGAACCGGGGCGUAUCCGUUACCGAUCUGACCAGGGUGGUUCAUGAUGAUGACCUGGGAGGUGAAGUUGGCAGCACCCUUGGCAGGGUCAUCCUUGGAGUUGGAUGCAACAUACCCUCUCUUAAGAUCCUUGACAGCAACAUUCUUAACAUUGAACCCAACGUUGUCACCUGGAAGCGCCUCCACAAGAGACUCGUGGUGCAUCUCAACGGACUUAACCUCAGUGGUCAACCCUGAAGGAGCGAAGGUCACAACCAUACCGGGCUUGAGCAUACCGGUCUCAACACGUCCCACUGGCACCGUUCCAAUACCACCGAUCUUGUAGACAUCCUGAAGUGGGAGACGGAGGGGCUUGUCUGAGGGCCUCUUUGGCUCGUUGAUCUGGUCAAGAGCCUCAAGGAGAGUUGGUCCCUUGUACCAGUCAAGGUUGGUGGACCUCUCAAUCAUGUUGUCACCCUCGAACCCAGAGAUUGGAACGAAUGGGAUUUUGUCAGGGUUGUACCCAACCUUCUUCAAGUAGGAAGACACCUCCUUGAUGAUCUCAUCGUACCUAGCCUUGGAGUACUUAGGGGUAGUAGCAUCCAUCUGAAUCAACAAAACUUUGUGUUAGUUAAACCAAACUGAAUAAGCAAUCACAAUAAGAAAAUCAACAAUGUACAGUGACUUCACCUUGUUACAGCAGCAAAUCAUCUGCUUGACACCAAGGGUGAAAGCAAGAAGAGCAUGCUCACGGGUCUGACCAUCCUUGGAGAUACCAGCCUCGAAACCACCAGUGGUAGAGUCAAUGAUCAAAACAGCACAAUCAGCCUGGGAGGUACCAGUAAUCAUGUUCUUGAUGAAAUCACGAUGUCCAGGAGCGUCAAUGACCGUGCAGUAGUACUUGGUGGUCUCGAACUUCCAGAGAGCGAUAUCAAUGGUGAUACCACGCUCACGCUCGGCCUUAAGUUUGUCCAAGACCCAGGCGUACUUGAAGGACCUCUUGUUCAUCUCAGCAGCCUCCUUCUCGAACCUCUCGAUGACACGCUUGUCAAUACCACCGAGCUUGUAGAUCAAGUGACCAGUGGUGGUCGAUUUUCCAGAGUCGACAUGGCCGAUGACCACAAUGUUGAUGUGAAACUUCUCUUUACCCAUAGCUGCAACUCGAUUAUAACAAAUCAAACCAUUACAAGAGAAAAACAAAUCUCAAACUGAUACAAAUCAGUAUAAGCUAUCAACGAUAUAAUAUAACUACGAAAUCGAAGAUCUAACUCAAAAAUCUCAAAUCAGCGUGAUACGCAUCAGAACGAACAACAAUAGAAACAGAUCGCGAUGAUUAUAACUCGUAACAAUAAAAUAAGCUAAUUACAACAUCAGAGUUUUCAAAAUCCAGAGGACGAACAGUAAACAAGACGAUUCUCUAACAGAUCGGUGAAGAAUCAGAUCUUAAACACGAGAAUCUAUACAGUAUAACAUAAUAGAGCAAGCGAUGAAUCACAGUCUAAGUAAGUAGAAAUCUAGAUAACGAAAGCAUAAACGAUAAUACAGAAACAGAAUCAAGAAUCAUAUGAAGACGAUGAUGAUAAACAUUAAGGAGCGAGAGAGAGAGCUUUUCUCACCUGCGAGUUAGAAUGUGAGAGAUGCGGCUACGAAACUGAUGAGUGAGACAAGUAAAUGAGGACGCACCCUAAGUCAUUGUAAUUUAUAGCUGCGAGCUCUAGGGCUUUCGCAUUUGCUUUGUGGUCAUAGUAUUACUAAUUUGCCCUUUGUAUUUUAGCUUUCUGUUGGCAAAAUGUAUAUUAUAAAAUACUAGGGGCAUAGCCUCUGCGCCGGAUACGUUGUUGAUGAGUUGUGUAGUGUUGUAUAGUGUUGUAUACGGGAUGUUGUCUUUUUUUUAAAAAAAAAAUUGUUUUUCCGUGUUGUCUAUAGUGAUAAUGAAUGGAAUAUUGGAAAUCACACAACUUGAUUAGGGUAAUAUAAGAAUGACAGACGAAUUCAUAUGCGUUGAUAUUUUCUUAUCUUAUCUUCGUAAUGAUUUGAUGGAGAUUAAUUAGUGGUUUUAUGUUCAAAACCUGAGGUUUAAAGGAUUCGUUAGUGUUUACUUAGGUAGUUUUUAGUAUAUAAAUCAAAUAAUAUAAGGAAAAAGGUAUAAAAAUUCGGAUUUAAAAAUUUAACAAUUUAUACGAACAAUAAAUUAAAUUAUAUUUUUUAUUUUACCCAAAAUUAGUUUAAAAAAUAUAUAAUUGUAUUAUACUGUUUUUGUUAAAUUAAUAACUCUAUAAAUUUAUAAAAUUAUAGUUACAAAAUUAUUUAUUUUUAUAGUUUUUAGUGGACUUUGUUGAAAAUGAUUUGUAGUGGACAAAAAAAUCUUAAAUAGGUUGACCAAAUUUGUUAUAUUUCUUCUGAAUUAUAUAUUUAUAGGUUGUUGACCAAAAAAAAAUUUAUAGGUUAAUGGUUAUUCAGAAUGAGACAAGCAGAUGUUGGUAUCUCUUUUGGGGGCUCGUUUUUUGUAGUGGUUCAUCUGAUUUUGGUUAUGAUCGCUUGAGAUUUUGACGUAAAGAGUAUAUAAGAAAUCAAGAGAGAUGGGAGACUAUGAGUUGAAUGAAAAAAAAAGCAUAUUAAGAAGACAAUAAACAACUAUAAAGACUAAGUGGUAAACCAAAAUAGAAAAGACUAUUGUUUCAAACUUUAAAAAAAAAAACAUGUCAUGCAUAAGUUUGCAGAAACUCUAAAACUGACGACAACUAACAAUUAACAGACCGGCAAACACUCAGCAUGAAUCACUUCAGUCUUGAUGAGGAAAACUGAAGGAUAUAGCACGAGUUUCCAAGGAUGGUUACUUGCCCCCAAGAGAUGGGAACUGAGCAGUAUCUCCAAUGGCAGGCGCAACUUCACGACAGUAAGUCAGUAACCAUCAAAUCCACCACCAGAAGCACCUCCCCGGUCACGACCACCACGUCCCCUUCCACGACCUCCUCCUCAGUAUCUCUUAAAACUCGUUUAUGCUCACAGCCUGAAACCACAAAACACAUCCAUAAGCAAACUUAUUGACUUCUACAAACUCUUUCAUUCAGACAACAAUGUAAACCUUCUUAGCCUUCUCUGCGUUUGUCCUUAUCAGAACCGUGGGAGAUACAUCAAAAGCAAGGUUAAAUCACACAGAAACAUUCCUAAACAAAACAAAGGCAUAUAACUCUGAAAGCUAUCGAAAAUUGAUAAUAUUACGACAACAAACAAAAAAAAACUCAAAAGAGCAAAAUUAAUGUUUAGAUAGAUUGGCUUUCUUUUAUUGUGGAUGGAGGAAAAAUAUAAAGAGAUCAUUCUUCGCGCCAAGUUUGCUCGCAUUUGACGCAUCUAUAAAAUCUCGAUUCUGGCUCAUCCGCUGAACGAAUCUGCAUUGUUUUGAAGUAUGCCUUGUCGUGUCCGCAUCUUGGACAAGGUGCUGACAAACAAACACACAAAGAAUCCAAUAAAUAAAUACUCCCUCUGUUUUGUAUUGUAAGUAGUUUUAGUUAAAAGCACUAAUAUUAAGAAAUUGUUGCUUUUGUAAAAAAAUAUUAUUUAAUCUUAAAUUCAACCUAUUAUAAAAAAAACUAGCAUUAUUUAAUUGGUUACACAAUAUUCAAUAAAGAGAAAAUGUUCAUUGAAAUAUGAAAACUACUUAUAUUGUGAAACAAACAUUUUUUGUUAAAACUACUUACAAUAUAAAACAGAAGGAGUAGUUAUAAUCAAAGAAGAUCGAAGAUGAAAAAUAAAUGAGAUUCAUCCUGUAUAACCAGCAAAACAAUUGAGAAAAACGCUUUCAUAACUAAGUCAUCAAUGAUGUACUUUUGACUCACUAAUUCAAGUGUUCUACCAAUUUUUAUUGAUUUGCUUUUUCUAUCAUCAACCAAUCAACGAUACAUUAAGAAUACUAACAGAUCAUUAACCAAAAAGCGAAAAGAAUACCUUCAGUUUCAGGUCCUUUUGGUAUAUCAUCUUUCUUCACAACUGGGUCAAUGGAUUUCUUAACCAGCAAUUGCUUCUUCUUUAUCUCAACCUGUUCAAAAAAGCACCCAGAGAGAGAUAAACGACCUUUACCUCUCAAACAAAGGAGUGGUUUUUUAUUAGUUUAAGUAAGAAUUAAGAAAAACCUGUCUUUCUAUGCGGGCGAUGUAAGGACAUGUCGAGCAGAAGAACUGUGAUUGACCGUAACGCAGCAAGUUCCCACAUGUUGGACAGAACUCCAUCUCGAUCAAUCUCUGAAACAAGAAGUCUAUUUUUUUAAUCCAACAAAGAUAAGGACAACAUUAGGUGUCUUGCCCUAGGACCCAAUAGGAAGAUGACGCAAAACAUAUUUAUUUUAUGGCCAAUUUCCCUAAUAUAUCAAUACACCGUUUGUCAUUCCUAUAAUAUUGCUAUACUACCCUUUCAUUCCACCGGUGAAACCUGCAAAAGAAAGUAGUCUUAAUUAAUAAUUAGUGAUUGUAAAAAGAAAAAAUAUGGCCUUGGUUAUUCUCAUAUAUCUAACAAAGUAAAUUUUCAUUGAUAAAAUAUAGAAAGGUUAAUAGAUUCAUUUUCAGAUUUGAACGACAAAGAUACCAUUGACUACAUUUUUAGAGAAGUUUUGUGGAAGAGAAGACCAUUUUCGAAGGUUUGGUAGGUGACAGAAAGUGUUAUAUAUAAAUGGAAUAGUGAAGAUGAUAUGGAAUAAAAUUUAGAUGAUACGAACACAAUUUAAUAGGUUUCAAAAAAAAAAUCACAUAACAGAGAUAAUAAUUGACUCUGUUGGGCCAUUUAUUGAGAUACAUGUGAUUAAUGUGAAUUUGCGUUUAUGUAGAGGUGGAUAAAAAGAAAAUCACCAGUGGCUUUCUCGCAUUUAAUAUUCAAAAAUUAAAUAAUAUUAACUUUAAAUAUCAUGAAAAUUAUAUUAAAUAUUUGUAAACAAUAAUUGUUUAGUAUAAAUAAACUUAGUCUGAAAAAAUAACAAAUGAUGAUAAUAAGCCGUUGCUUAGCCCGCUAAUCUUAUAUUAUAUCCUCAUACAUAACAAAACAAAUAAAAGGGAGAUUGUGGUUUUGAUGUCUUGACCAUAUGCAUAAAAUGAGAUAAAGAUGGAUUGAUUGAAUUUAUAACCAAAAAAAAAAGAACUCCCGUAUACGCAUGAGAUGUAAAGCGAGUUUGAUAAUUUAUUUUACACUUAAUUAUUUGGAUGUGUUGGAACUCGUUUUUGACGAAAUGGUUUAAGACUAUUUUUCGGUAAAUUUCCGAACGAAGACAUUUGUCAGAAUAACCGAAUGUUAGGCACUACGAAGUAGUAGUGUAGAUACAUGUCAAAAUUGGAAUUGGUUUAAAUGAAAAAUGGAGAUCCAAAGUGAAUGUUUUACAAAGCUGGUAAAACUUUAAAUUAGCUAAAUAUGAAAAAUUAGCAAUUGUUUCACUUUGAAAUAUUUGGGUUGAAUUUAGAUUAAAUUUGUUAAUUGGAUUAAGUCCAUUAACUUAUUAAUCUUAUUCACAAUAACAUUUUAUGUUUUUACAAUAUAAAAUAUGAACCCAUUAUAUAGUAUUUUGUUGCAAUUGAUUUGGUCAAUCAAACAAAAUGAACUUUGAAAAGUAACGUGUUAUCAUUACUCAGGGGAAUCAUUUCACCAUAAUGAUAAUUCAAACGUUAUUGAAUACUCCAUAAUGGUCACAAUGUACGUUUUACUCUUUGAGAGUUAUAAAACAACACUUGUGCUCUCAUUUAGAAAGAUGGAUUCAUACGUUCAACAACAACAAAAAAAUUCUUCCACUUGAAUAAUUUAUUUUUUAGUUUUUGAGUAUGAGAGUACAUCACAGAAAUAUGGUCGAUAGAUUCUGUUUUUCGGUGAUGGUAAACAGAAGCAAUGCUGCAGUUGUAUCCUCGGAAUCUGAGCGCCAUGAAACUCUCACACUACGGGGCGUUUAAAAAUUUAAGGAAAGAGAUUAAUUAUCUCGACUCUGUAAUUCUUCUUUAUUCUUUUAUUUCAGUAUUAUAAUUUUAAUUUAUGUUCUUAUUAUUCUUUACAAAUAUCAGUUGUCAUAUAGUAGUAAAAUAAGUUUCUUACCGGAUGUGUAUUGAAGUUUUUAAUGUUAUACAUAAAAUUGACUGUACACUUAAUUGCCACAUGAUUCACGUUACCAGCAUAAUUGCACGUGACGAGCUGACAUAAAACGAAAUAUUCAUUUUCCCGCAGAAACAACCUACACGAAUUUUCUGUCAUGAUAUUUAAAAAAAAAAAAUGGCAAUGAACAACGUUGAAUCGUUGAUGUUAGUCAAAGCCAUAACUUUUUUUGGUGUAAAUGUUAAAUUUUAUACCAAAUUUUCUUUGUGACAGAAGUUACACAGAACACAAGUAGCGGAAAAAAAAUAUAAAUCUAAAGCAACACAAGAGAGAAAGAAAAAGCAAACCCAACUGAACAACAGACAUAACCAUAUUAACAAAAGGUUUUAUGGCUUGGAAGGAGCCAAAACUUGAUACAGGAAGCAUUGCCACAUGAGAAGGAAGCCUUUGAUAAUCCAUAAGACCACGCUUUGGUAGAAAUUGGCUUGCCCGCAGCGCUACUCCAAAUGAUUGACUUCCAUCCACACGCAGCUUUGCCAUCCUAGUCGCUGCAACUCAAGCCUCACACAACCACCGGUAAAGGAGGACCCAAGCCCCUAGAGCUUCAGUCAUCGAACCGCCCCAAAAAACCUUUAGAGCGCCUUCUGGGAUGCCGAUGAACAAUUAAAAUCUACACUUAUUAGACUCGUCUUCGGAAAUAAUUGCGAGCCAUAGCAGAAAACCGGGCGUGGUGAGGACCACAUCCUGAUGACGUUCAUCCUUCCUACAAACGAACCGAAGAUCGGCCCACCAAAGCGAUCCAAGCGAAUCACAGAGGUGCUGGGAAAACCAAUCCUCACACGAGUCUCCCACGGAGAGACAUCACUCCAAUGACCCAAAGGAGGUCUGAACUAACCGCCUCGUGCCACAACUGAGAACCAGAGGCAGCUCCGCAAUGCCUCAUCAACACAACAACACGGAGGGAGAUCGAACCAUUACCUGAUGAGCCGGAGAGAUAGAAACACCACGCCACACAACGACGCAGACGACAUCAAGAGCGGCGACAAACUGAGAGGAGAGAGAUGGAGCAACAAGCAACAAAGUCCACGGCAAUGUCAUAGACGACCCACCAUGAAACAGAGUACGAUUGUUGCACGCGAGCAACACAGCAGCUACGGCAUCCACACGAAAGCCUUCACCGCCACGGUCGCGCACCGGAGAGGACUCUAGACCCAAAUUUGUCCGGAGAAAACGGCUGGCUCAACGAACUCGACACCAAGCAAGUGAGCCAACACGCCGUCGGACUGGACCUCCAUGAACCCGGAGUAAGACACCAAACCACCGGAUCUGAAGAGAGGACCGGCCCCGCUCAGCCACGCGCCCUCACUGCUGUAGAGGAGUAGAUCUGGCGAAGGGGAAAACUGUGACCUAACCCUCUACACAACCCUAAACUCCGACUUCUCACUGAAUCCAGUCAAUCCAACCUCGUCGUAACACCAUCCUCUGUCAAGACUCGUCGGAUCUACACAGAUCGACGGAGCGGCUAGACUUCAUCGAACAGAGCCACAAACAUAUCGGCUAGAUAUGUGAACCGGCGGAGAAGCAAUACAUAAAACAACAAACGGACGCUUCCGACGGUGGAGCCGCCGGAGCAAACUGUCGGAGAUAAAAGCUUGACCUUCUUUUUUUUUUUUUUUUUGAGGGGGUUUUNNNNNNNNNNNNNNNNNNNNNNNNNNNNNNNNNNNNNNNNUUUUUUUUUUUUUUUUUUUGAGAGAGUUUCGUUUAGAGGAGAGAUAGUUUCCUCUUUUUGUUUCUCGCUGGCAUAAUCAAAAAGCCAUAACUUUGUAAGCUAUUAUUGUCUUUCGAUCAAGAAAGAAGAUAUUUAGGUCUAAGUAAUAUGUUGUUCGAUUAAACACGCAUGCAUAUAUUAUCAAGUAUUAUAUAUAUAUAUAUAUAUAUAUUAUUAUUAUUAUUAUCAAGUUUUGUCAUAUAUAUAGUUUUUGAUUUAGAAAAAAUAAGUUAUUGCUUUAUUCGGUACAUAUAAAGAGACCAUAAGUUACAACAAACAUAAACACUCCAAGGUGCCAACUUUCAAGAAAUCCAAUAAAUAUGCGAAUGCAUCAUGCAUUUAUAUGCUGAUCACCACAGAAUGGGGUACGCUGCAUAUGCCGCAACACCUGAAUUUCAACAACGAAUCAACACAAAGUGAGAAUCUGAGAAUCUGUAUCUCUUGCCAUUUUAUUUUGUAGACUAUAUCCAAAAUAAGGUAUAUGUAUACGAUUAUAGAUCUUAAAUUCCAUGAUAAAUGACUUACCACACAUGUUCUUCCCCAUCUCCACCUUGAUGUAACCUUUCUCGCCCCAAUCCGCUCCCCACGAGUUCUGUAUAAGCCAAUAUGGGACACCGUCUUCAACUCCAUAGCCAACCACCAACAUGAAAUGGUUCAAGUCCUGACCGCCACAUUUAAAAAACGAAUUACACACUAACUAUAUGAUAGGUUAAUGAUUCUACUUGCAACGAAGUGUAAUAAAGUCUCACCUCUGUAGUAUCUCCACACUCAUCACUAGUGUAGACUCCUUCCUCGUAAAAAGCGAAUGAGUUUGUAACGUGAAAUCCUACGGUGACUGGCCCGAUGGAUGCGACCCAUUGCUUCAGUUUAUUUUCGUCAAACUGUUGUUUAUCCAAUCAUCAUUAAUUACAGGUUACCUGAAAGUAUAUUUUAUAGGCGGGUGAAAACCAAAAUCCGUAAAAGACGCUUACCGAAACGCCUACGCCUACGCCAUAGCUCUUGAUUAAUUUACCGACCAGUAAAGGCUCAUAUCUGCAUUUUCCCUGUGUACCUCUGUAAGGGUAAGCUGCUUGAUAGUUGACUUAAUUUGCGCUCUACGUUGUACUGAAAGGCGUUGGCAGCAGCCCCGCCAUCGCAUCCAGUGUUAGUUGUAGAACAAUCCAGAAGCUGUUGCUCAGACAAGGAAAUUCGGCCGAGUGGAUAUUUCUUUCGGUAAGCGGCCUCAACAGCUCCAACUGAGCUGCUUACCAAAAUCGACCAAUAUAUGACAAUUGACAAACAACCUUGACUUUUAAUCUUACAUCAAGAGAUGGUACAAUUUUUAUUUACUUUUUACAUCAAGAGUUGCUACAAAAAUUUAAGGAGAUAAAUAUUCUAAUCACUAGUUUACCUGAUUGCCCACCCAGCUUCACAUUGUCCCUGAUCUCUAACCGGGCUAACUAUACCAGCUUUUGUCCAGUCUUUCUGCGGUUACACAAUUGAAAGACCAAACAAAUCAAAUCAAAUAUAAAAAGGGCUAAACAUGUUUUCUCAAAAAUGAAAAACAGGACGGAUGGUUCAUUACAGCACUAGGAAUUGUGGUUGUGUCUGUGACAUUGUGUCUGCCCUUGAAAAUGCCGAAGCGAGAACAAUCAAACUUGUUCCUUAGAAACUCUUGGUUGGUCAAAUCAGCAAAUUCUGUUCGGAUCAAGAGACAAUAAGAUGGGCCAAUCCUUAUCCAUUAAACCAAACAAGGAUCACGUAAAAGACACACACAAAGAACAAGAACUUGAUAUUAGCAAUGGGUUAUAUACAGCUAUAAUAUUAUAUUUAAUUAGUCAAUUGAUUUUUUAUUUACUUAGUUUGGAAGGCUUAUCACCAACGAAAUAUGAAUCAACUUGAUAUUCAUUUGGUUUACAUGAUAUAACUAAAAUCAAACCAGAUUAUUGAUGUUGGUUGGUUUAGACUGAUUUGGUUCAGUUUUAUCAAAUUGUACAUUUUAUUUUAUUUUUAAUAUUUUAAUACAGUUAGUUAGUUAUAUUUGACUAUAUUACGGUAUCAUUACCAAUGAAUUUUCAAGGAACCGCACCCAUCAAUUUAUUUGGCUCAUAGACUUCUUUCAAACCUCACCAUAAUAAUCCAUCAAGAGACUGGAAUUACAACUUCAUGAUAAGAACGAUAAACUUACUAUUGACACCGAGUUUGAAUGGUAAGCCUUUCUUGUUGGUGGAUCCGAUUAAAUCAAGAUUCUCCUGGAACACCGAGAAACGGUGUUUUAUCUCCUCCUUGUUUUGAUACUUUUUCCCAUACCUUUUCAUCACGAAAAUAACGAAUCAGUUUGUUUAUCAUAGAGAGGGACUCAAAGUCAAUGGUGAAUGCACCACUGGUAAAAGAUGGUACUUACUUUUGAGUGAAGCGAGCGAAGGAGAGAACGUCGUCCGAUUGGCCUAAGAUCUUGGCAAACAAGUCCUCUAGCUUCUUUAGAGCGUCGGAGAUCGGAGUGGACUCAUGGGAUCCGAUGAGAAGCACCAGAACCACCAAUGAUAGGAUUGCUCUCAUAGACAUGUUUCUCUUGUACUCACUCACGUUCUUGUUUUUUUUCUUUCUCUGCUACAGUGUUUAAGCUGAAGCGAUCGUGAGAAGUGAUCUUAAUAUGAUAUGACCUUUUUAUACCCAAAAAGUUUGUAAUAACUUUUAUUAUAAACUUCUUUUUGUAAUUUAUUCUUAUUUAUUAGCAUAGUAAGAAAUAGUUUAGGGCAAAUCUCCAAAAUAGCACAUUUCUAAGUUUAUAUCACAAAAAUAGCACUCAAAAACUAAAAUGACCAAAAUAGCAUUUUAUCUUUUGAAAAAUUUAAAUUUUUUUAUUUUUCAAAAUUUGAAAUCUUAUUCCCAAAACCUCACUUCUCAACUCUAAACCCUAAAACCUAAACUCUAAACCCUAAACCCUAAAUUCUAAACCCUAAACCCCACCCCUUAAGUGCUAUUUUUGUGACUUUUGGCCUUGAGUGCUAGUUUGGGAACAAAAAAUUGAUUUAGUGCUAUUUUGGUCUUUUUCUCAAUAGUUUAUCUUUAUUUUAUAUUUGGUCAAAAGUUUAUAUUUAUUCGUUAAGUCAACGAACCCAUGCAACCACGUUGUAUAAGGAACCGAGAGGGGAACCAAAUCAGACCGAAUAUCUGUUAAACGUGGUUCAUAAUUAGUCUGGACGUUUUUAAUAAGUGUAUUAUAUAAAAUAAAACAUGACGAUCAUAAAAUUAAACGUGAUCAAUUGUGUUAUAUGUUUUCAAAGUCUAUAAUAAUAAUAAAGUACAACUAAAUCAUUUGAAAAUAAGUUACUGGAGCAUCUUCCUAAGACCAUGAUUAACUCGGAGUUCUUAGAGUGAUGUUCUUAGCGGAAGUUAAAAAACAGUUUUUUAAUUUCCGUUAAAAACUCCAUCAUAAGAAUCCCAGUUUAAUCAUGUUUAAAGGCUUCUCAUGGGCCGUGCUCUCAUUCCUGCNNNNNNNNNNNNNNNNNNNNNNNNNNNNNNNNNNNNNNNNNNNNNNNNNNNNNNNNNNNNNNNNNNCCUGCUUGAAAUGCUCGAACCAUGUGUAAGUGAUUAGCUUUCAAUAUCCUAAUCUCUUAUCUCAAUAUAUUCCUCACUCUUCCGUAAGAUUUAAUUAUAUUCACAAUCAUUAUCUACUACUAUCUACUGUAGUGAGCUUCUUUUUUUUUUGAAAUAUCCUAAGAUAGUACUAAAUUUUUUUUGGUCAUAGAUAUAGAUCUAAGGAUCAAAAUGACCAAAUUAUUUCAUUAAAAAGGUAAAUAUAUAUUUAUACCUUUAGGGUUAACUAAUUCAAACUUUAAAGUUUAGAGUUAAAGGGUGGAGAUUUGGGAUUGAGAUUUAAAUUUUAUAAAAUAAAAAAUAAAUAUUAAAAAUUUUAAAAAUAGUUUUAAAAAGUAUUUUCGAAUUACAAAAAAAAAAUUGAUAAGAUAAAAAAAAAUUUCAACAAAAAAAAAUUAUAAAAAAAUUCGAAUUUGAAAACAUAUAAUCUAAGACUAUAAAAGAAAAAUUAUUUUUAACUUUUUUAUAUAUAUAGUAUUAUAAUUUUUUUACCUAUUAAAUAAAAUAUUUUCGUCAUUUUUGUCUUUGGAGUCUAUUUUUGUGACAAAAACUUGAAAAUAAUUUAUUUAAAAAAAUUGUCUUUUUUUUUGCAGCUGCUUGUUCCUUUUUUCUUACUCUUAUUGCCAGGAAUGCAAAUAAUUUGGAACCUAUACUAUUAAUCAUUUAAUUAAUAUUUUAGCAAACAUAACUUAGUCAGCUGUAUAUGUAAUUUGUUUUUGAUAAGUAUGUGAAUUUGCAACAGAAAAUGUAGUUAAUUUGUACAAUGACAAAAAGGUUUUUUGAUAAGUACGACUACUAAAAGGUGGAUGAGGUCAGACAGCUGUAUAUGUAUUAAAAAUCUAUAUUGAUCAGUUCUCAAAAAAAAAAAAUUAUAUUGACAGGUGUAACAUUUUUAUUUUUGUUUGACAAAAGGGUUUAGGUGUAACCGUGUAAGUAACAUGCAUGCAUAUAUAUUAUAAAGUUUCACGUUUUUCGGUACAAAUAACAGACCAUACAACAGGCAUAAACACAACGAUGUGCACUCCCAAGUGCCAACUAUCAAGUAAUGUUAAUCCGAUAAACAUGCGGCGAACAUCAUGCAUUCAUAUGCUGUUCAUCUCAGGUCAGAACCGGGGUACGUUGCACGUGUCGCAAAACCUGUAAUUCAACAACGAAUGAACAAAAGAUAGAGCAUCUAUUCUGAGGAUAUGUCUUUUUAAAUCUUUCUUUGACAUGCUAUAUCCAAAAUAAAAUUUAUAUAAAUAGAUUUAGCUUAACUGAUAAUGGUUUUAUGCAGGGCCGUCCGGAUCUGCGAUUUUAGCGACCAUAAACUAAGAACUUUAGUAAAAUAAUUUUCUUUCAUAAUUUGGGAACCCAUUUUUAUAUAUAGAACCUUCAAAAAAAUUGAAAAUCAAGGUAAAUGUUUUACUGAGUUAUGUCCAGAUCCCACACUUUGGCUUUAUGGUUUCACGAAAAAAACAUAACUUAUUCAGCUGUAUAUGUAAUACAAAUUGACUUACGAUCAAGAACAAAGAUAUUUCAUUCCAAAUCAUUUAUGUUGAUAGAUUUAACAUGUAUUCAUAUAUUAUUAACUUUGUCAUCUAUAGUUUUUGCUUUAUUCGGUACAUAUAAACAGACAAUAUGUUAUUUGGUCAAAAAAAAAACAGACAAUAUGUUACAACAACCAUAAACACGCUGUGAACUCCCAACUGUGCCAACUUUUAUUUAAUUAUAAUCCAAUAUGUAUGCGAACAUCAUGCAUUCAUAUGCUACUGAUCAUCUCACGCCACAACCGGGUAGGCUGCAAGUGUCGCGACACCUACAAUUCAAUAACGAUCAACAAAAAGUAGAGCAUCUGAGAAUCUCUCUCUCUCUAGAUCUUUCUUUUACAGGUUAUAUCCAAAAUAAGGUAUAUAUAGGCUUUACUGAUAAUGGUUUUAUGAAAAAGAACUUACCACACAUGUUCUUUCCCAUCUCGACCUUGAAGUAACCCUUUUCGCCCCAAUCCUCUCCCCAUGAGUUCUUUAUAAGCCAAUAUGGGACACCAUUUUCAAUUCCAUAACCAACCGCCAAAGCAAAAUGCCUCAGGUCCUAAAUGGCACAUUAAAAACGAAAGAGUAAUCUCAUCCAUAUCAUUUUUUUUUAUCGAACUCUCAUCCAUAUCAUCUAAGCAAAGUUCCAAAAAUGUAAUAAAAUAUAUGUGUACAGUAAGUAAAUAGUUUGGGAUGGGUAUCCCAAAGUUAAAUAUAAUACUUAUACACGUACAUUUAUAUUUGAAUUGAAAACUUUAUGGUGAUAUAACACGUACAUUUAUAUUUGAAUUGAAAACUUUAUGGUGAGAACCACAAAGGGUUUAAUAUAUAUGGUGGCUUUACCUAAGAUUAGGGUUAGAGUUUUCACGUUGUAAUUCUCAGAGAGAAACACAAAGGGUUUUGGAGUUUCAUAGCUGAGUGAAUUGGCAGACUUGAUCAACAAGUGUUGAGUCAAGCAAGUUGGGUAUGUUAGAAAUCGAUCCGUGUCGAGUUGUGUAAUUCGGAUCAAACAAGUCUGUAAGAGAUUGUGUAAAAGAUUUCUAAUAAAAAAUACACGAGUUCUUGGAAUUGCUCUGAUACCAAUUAUAAAAUCGAGAUAUAGCGAAAACACAAGGCACAAAGUAAUUCCAAGAUCACUUUAGGUGGAUUAUCGGUUGUUACCCUUGAUGAUAUUCAAAUAGGCAAAGGCAAACAUGUUUCCGCAUAAAACUUUUUAUUUUAAUGUAAAUAAUGGUAGCAUAGUAAAAGGAGAGUUUGGGACAUGACGUAAACAUGUUUGUGAUAGGUUUGGACUCCUGCGGAAGCCUAAAUUUCCAUUGUUUGACCAAGAUGAAUUAUAAUGCUUUCAUUUAGGAAACAUGCAUGCAUGGAGCCGUCGUAUUACUCGUAGAUACUAGUCUCCUAUGGAAUUAGUUGGGUAUUGGCUCAGACAACACUGGAUUACCAAAAGAAUAAUUAUUUUAUUUAACUUUGUGACACAAGAGUAACUAGAACCACUUCACUGUUCAAAACCUGUGAAUUCAAAGUAUUUCAAGUUCCAGCAGCAACGGAAAAGAGGAUUUAAACCCAAUUUAGUUUAUAGCCCACGGAUAUUAUUGGGCCUUAGCCCAUAACUUCUUUAGUUUAUAUAUGAAAAAUAAAAUCAAAGAUGUUUUAUUCCCUUUCUUUUGAAAAAGCUCCAUCGUCAAAUCGUUUCGACGGCGCCUCAGAGACUUAUCCUUAAAACCCUAAUCUUAAUAAGCCGGCGAAUCUGAACUUUCUUUCAAGACUAAAACAAUGGCGGGAGCUAACAGUGGAACAAGGCGACAAAAGCCGAACAUACUGAUCACGGGAACUCCCGGCACCGGUAAAUCGACGACUGCUUCUGCUCUGGCCGAAGCCACGAGCUUCAAGCAUAUCUGCGUCGGAGAUCUCGUCAAAGACAAGAACUUGCACGACGGCUGGGACGAUCAGUUCGAGUCCCACGUCAUCAACGAAGACUUGGUGAGUGAUUAAUCGAAUCGUGAUGUAACUUUGGAAUCUUUAGAGUCUUUUAUUAGCUGUGUAAUUGUUGUGUUUUGAAUUUUGGUUUCAGGUGGUUGAUGAGCUUGAAGAUGUAAUGGAAGGAGGAGGGAACAUUGUGGACUACCACGGCUGUGACUUCUUCCCUGAGCGGUGGUUUGAUCUUGUUGUGGUGCUUCAGACUGAGAACUCCAUCUUGUAUGACCGUUUAACGAGGAGGGGCUAUUCGGGGACCAAGCUUAGUAACAACAUUGAAUGCGAGAUCUUCCAAGUCAUGCUUGAAGAAGCAAGUGAUAGUUACGAAGAGGAGAUUGUCACCGCGAUGCAGAGUGACACCAUCGAAGAUAUCAAUGACAAUGUGGCGAGCUUGACGGAAUGGAUUGAAUCAUGGAAGCCCUGAGUAAUCAGUCAUCUUAUGAAGGAUGCAUAUUUAGUGGUUCUAAAGUUUGGUUUUUAGUAGUUUUUUUUUUUUUUUUNNNNNNNNNNNNNNNNNNNNNNNNNNNNNNGGGGUUUUAAAGUUUGGUUUUUUGUAGUUUUUUUUUUUUUUUUUGUGUGGUAUUAUUAUGCAUUGAUCUUUGUUGCAAUUUAGUUUAUAAGCACAGUUCAGCUGUUGCGUGACCAGCUUAUGACGUAUGUAUUGUUUUCUCUCUUUUAACGUGACUACUCUGUUCUUGUUCUUUCAUAUCUGCUGUCUUUGAAGACUAUGGUCUGAAACUUGUGAGAUUUUUGUUGCAUGUUUUAUUAGUAAUGAAUUUUGAUUGCUAUUAUAUAAUAACCUUCUAUGCUGUUUCAAUCACAGUUUCACAUUCAAAUUUUUAUUUACAAAUCAACAAAGUAGCUAGAACUGAUAUACACACACACUGAUUACAUUAGAAUUUUUAUAUAUCUCAGAGUAACACAACUUGGUUAGCUCCUGUGUGCAGGGGUAACUGAGAACAGAGGCAAUAUCCUUCAGAAUCACAAACCUUUGUGGCCAUGAAAGAGGCGGCUUUUCUCUGUGAAACAAGUACCGAUCAAGACUUCCAUUAGACAUAUACUCAGAGACCAGAAGAAGCUCUCCUUUCCUUCUUCAGUUUCCAAGAAGAGGAGCCAAGUUUCUGAUUCACUGUUCGGGUCAGUAAAAAGUUUUAUUAGCACCAGCCACCAGGAGUUCAAAUAAUUUAGACCUAUAUUCAUUAAUCAUUUAGUAAGCUGUAUAUUGUAUUCCAAAGUUGACUUACGAAGAUAUUUCAUUCUAAAUAAUUUAUAUUGAUAUAUUUAACAUGCACGCAUAUAUAUAUAUUAUUAAGUUUCACAUAUAUUUUACCUUUAUUCGGUACAUAUGAACAGACCAUAUGUUACAACAAGCAUAAACACAACAAUGUGCACUCCCAAGUCCCAAGUGCCAACUUUCAAGUAAUGUCUUAAUCAAAUAAAUAUGCAAACGUAUCAUGCUUUCACAUGCUGAUCAUCUCAGGCCACAAUCGGGUAUAUUGGCAUUGUUGUAAUACCUGCAAAACAACGAAUCAGCAAAAGACAGAUCAUCUGAGAAUCUCUCUCUCUGAAUCGUUCUUUUACCGGUUAUAUCCAAAAGAAGAUAUAUAUAUGUAGCUUUAACUCAUAAUGGUUUUAUGGUUUCAUAAAAAUAACUUACCGCACAUGUUACUUCCCCUCUCCAACUUGAAGUAACCAUUAUCGCCCCAAUUCUCUCCCCAUGAGUUCUUUAUAAUCCAAUAGUCGCGACUUCCAUCAUUUCCAUAACCAACCACCAAAGCAUGAUGUUGGACGCUCUAUUACCACAUUUAAAAAAAAAAACUAAUUGAACACUUACUAUAAUACCACAGGUACUUGCAACAGAGUGUAAGAAAGUCUCACUGAAACUUCACAGUCGCUACCAGUGAAGACUCCGCUGAUGUAAUGCUGGAGUGUGGAUGAAACGCCUAAUGAUACGCUAACUGGCCCGAUGGUUCCAACCGCUUUCAUCAGUUCAAGUUCAUCACGCUGUUGCUAUAGUAGUACUAGUCGUCAUCAUUACAGAGUACUUGAAUGUAUGUUCUACAAGUGAGUGAAAACCAAAUCCGUAUAAGAUGCUUACCAAAGCGACAGCGACAUAUCCUGUGACAUUUACAACAGAGUCCGAGUUACUUCUGCACAGUCCUUGGACAGCUAGGUAAGGAUACUGUGUGGCAUUGUUGAUUCCUUUGGAUUUCAUGUAAUCAAAGGCUUGGUAAGGAUGACCAUCAAUGCAGCCAGCUGAACCGAAGGAUGACGAACAAUCUAUCAGCUGUUGCUCAGAUAAUUCUAUUCCGGUACCAUGUUUAAUAUGGUAAGCUGACUCAACAGCUCCAGUUGCGCUGCAGUACCAGAACCGACCAUAUGACAAAACAACCUUGAAUUUUUAUUAUCUUACAUCAAGGGAUGCUACAAAAAUAUAGGGAAAUAUCAGUAGUAUCCUAAUCAUUGGUUUACCUAAAUGCCCAAGAACCUUCUAAACAUGAUCCCUGAUUUUUGACCCGGCUAACAACACCAUCUUCUCUCCAGUCUUUCUGCAGUCAUACAUUUUGAAGACAAAAAAAAAAUCAAUUAUAAAAAGGGUAUAUGUAGCUAAACAUGUGUUCUCAAAUUUGAAAAACAGGACGGAUGGUUCAGUACAGCACUAGGAGCUGAGGUUUGCAAAAGCGCUCUUUUUGUGGGACUGUGGCUGCCCUUUGAAGUGGCAAAGGGGUGUUGCGAAGCACCGAUCUUGUUCCUUUGAAACUCUUCUUUGGUCAUAUCAGCAAAUUCUGUUUGGAUUUAAAAGACGUUCAGAUGGGUCAAAAUCCUUAUCCAUCAAACCACUAAACAAACAAGGAUUCUUUAAUCACACAAGUAUCCUAACCAGUGGCCAAGCUACAUGCACUAAGUGAGAGCCAUGCAUUUGCCCACCAUGAUUUUUCUUUAUCUAAUAAUAAUAACUAAUUUGAAUAUUUUUCGUAAUCUAACUGGACAAUGAAGUAAAUACUCAUUUGUCUUUUCAAAAAGUUUUUUUUUGCAUUUUAAUUUUGAUAUAAAUUCAUUCUAAUUAGGUUUAUUUGUAUAAUUAGAUAUUUAUAUAUCUGCAACUUUUUUAAACGUGACUAUGCUUAUACAACUAUUGUAUUUCCGGAGAUGACACGGAUGACAAAAUGGAAUGCUAACAAAUUUUGUCACAAAACAUAACUAUAUAUAUAACUACAUAAUACUAUGACUAACUAGAAGAUUUUUUUUUUUAUAUUUUCUAUAAAUAUAUUAUUUAUAUGCUUAUCAAUUUUAAUAAAUUUAAACUUAUAAAAAUUAAUAAAAUAAACUUUAAAAUUUCGAGUUAUUAAUUAUUAAAUAAAAAAAAAUAAAAAAUAUAUUUUUUUGAAAUACUUUAUCCGCAAACCAUCUAUCUUUGUAGAGUAAUAAAUAAAUAAAAAUUAAUAUGAAUAUCUCCAAAAAAAAAUAUCACGUACAUAAUUCCAAUGAGCCUGCUGUAAUAAGAAUCCAUCAUUAGACUGGAACUACAGUUUCAGUUUCAGGACAAGAACGAUGUGAUGAACUUACGAUUGACACCGAGUUUGUAAGAUAAGUCUUUCUUGUUGGUGGAUCUGAUCAAAUCAAGAUUCUCUUUGAACACCGAGAAACGGUGCUUUAUCUCCUCCGCAUGCUGAUACUUUUUCCCAUACCUUCAAUCACCAAAACGAACCAUCAGUUUGUUUUAUCAAAGAGACGGAACUAGAACUCAAGGGCGAUUGCAUUUGCACCAGUGGUAAAGGAUGCAUGGACUUACUUGUGAGUGAAGCGAGCGAAGGAGAGAAGGUGACUGGAUUGGCCUAAGAUCUUGACAAAGGCUUCCUCUACCUUCCGGAGACCGUCGGGGAUAGGAGUGGACUCAUGGGAUCCGAUGAGAAUAACCAGAACCACCAAUGAUUGGAUUGCUCUCACAGACAUGCUUCUCUCUUUUGUUCUUACUUUUUUUUUUCCCUCAACACUUCUUCUGCUUUAGUGUUUAGAUGGAGCGAUUGUGAGAAGUGAUCAUAACCUGAGAUGAUAUUAUAUAGUCCCUCAACAAAUGCCCUUUCUCAAAAAAAAAAAAAAAUUUUCUUAAACAACUAUUCAUCUUUUAAGUUAAUGAACGGAAGCCACGUUGAAUGAGAAACCCAUAUUGGGGAACCAAUACAGAUAGAAUCUCUGUUAGACGUGGGAGAUCAUAAAUUCAUAAUAGUCAACUGAACUUUUUUUGUUUUAUAAUGAUCAUUAUAUAAAAUUAAGCUAGAUAAUUAGCCCAGUAAAUGCGACGAUUUUACAUUGAUAAUUGAGGUUCAUAUGUUUUUUUAUUUUUGUCACACCGACUACAGAGUCCUUGAGGAGUCGAUGUUCCAUGUCUUUGAUACUAGGCGCAUCGAUGGGUAUCGAAAGCAGAGAAGAAGAUGAUAUGAGGGUGAUCGACGUUCUUUACUAAGGUUAUAAAGAAAGAGAUUUUGUAAAGCAGGCGCAUCGACGAUCUGAAUCCCCAUCGAAAAGAAAAAAAGAGAAGAAAUGGAAGGUUUGAUUCCAUUUUUGUACAAAGCCAUGGUCAUGUAUAAAAGAGAAGGAAGCUUUUCGUCAGUUUUUCUCAGCGAUCAUCAUUCUCAUCAACUUCCGGUUACUACCGGAGACUUCCUGGCGAUUCCUCCGGUAUAUUUCGAACGUCAGACCUCAGGCGAUUUGGGACCGACCGUCUUAGAUUGCUUAAAACGACGCCUUCUUCACCAUCUCGCUUGCCCACUAGGAACAUCACGAAACGUACGUAAGGAGUGUUCUUGAAAAUAAUAUUUACAUAAAGAGAUACGAAUCUUUCUUGACGUGUCCUCUUAUCCUAAGGUAUAUUUCUUAUGAAUAACUACCCAAUGACUUAAUAGAGUGAUUUUAUAUUAUGAUCUUGAUUUUUAAUUUGAUAUUAUUAGGGACGUUCAAAUACGUUCUACCCAGAUUUUCCAAUUGUUCUGAAGACUCAGAGGUAAUAUAUUUAUUGACUAUUAGAAAUUUUGUUUUAAGUUGUAGACCUUUUAUUAUCUACAUAACAAUUCGUGUGUUUCAGGGUUCUGUUCUGAUAGCUGGUAGUUCUGUGCAUCGCUCUAAGUCUAAUCUGAAGACAGCUGCUAAACGUGAAAGAUCCCAUAUCGAAAGUUUAGAGGCAGCUAUCUACGAGGGAACUGUUAACAAAUAUCGACAUUCGGAUUCGAUUAAGAAAGUGAAGACUGAAAAUAGUGGCUGAAGAAUUAUUGGAAACCUGUCUACGAUGAAGAUAGGCUUUUCUCUUUUAUUGUUAUAAGUAUUUAAUUGUUUUAAUCUUCGUAUUAUGCUUGGUUUUUGGGUUCUGUUUAACAAUUUUGGAAGUUUGAAGUGUUUUAUUUUUUAACAUUUUUACGUACUCUAAGCAUAUGUUGGUCGUUUUUAAUAUAAUCCCUCUUAUCAUAUUUUGUCUGAUCGGGUCGAUUGGUUGAAGUUAUCUAAUAUAUUUGGGCAAUAUAAAAUACCUUAAAAGGAAUUAUUAUUUCUGUAAAGUUUAUUUUCCAUGGAUAUAGUCUAUAGCUUUGUAAAUAUGAAUAUAUCCCUUUUAUAAAAUAUCCUAUACAAAUUGUUAUAGCACAUACUAUAUACAAGUACAAUAAACAGAAGAGAGCAAAUAUAUUUUGUCCUUUUUAAAAUCGAAUAUAAUAUUAUUGUACGUGCAUUUUAUUUGAUCCUCAGAUUCCUCAAAUAAAGAAUUAUUUUUUAAUCAAUGUGAGUAUAAAAUUAUUUUAAAUUUGAUAUAGUUACUAUAUGUUAACAGAUAUGAUUUUUUUUUUACUUUCAGGAUUCAAUUCCGUGCAUUUUGAUUAAACUUCAAAAAAAAUUUAGACUAUAAUUUCUUAUCGUAUCAAUUAAUUAUGUUAUUUUGGUUUUUAUAUUAAAACAAAUUAUGUGUUUUAAAGGGUGGAAUCACAUUCAAUUUCUUUUCUCUUAAAUUUUUUAUAUAAUAAAAAUAACUAUAUUUUAUUUAUUUAAGGUAGUUAUAGUAUUACUUUUCAAAUGUUAUUGUUCCACUAAAAAACCAGAAAUUCCGGUGUUUUUCACUUUCUCUUCAAAUAUAUAUUUAUGUCUUACAAAAUUAUAGUAUAUAACUUAAAAUAAUGAUACAUAUGCUUCAUCCCGCGCAAAGCGCGGAUUACUACCUAGUCUUAUAUUAUAUUUGCGGACAAAUAAAAAAAAGGAGAUCGUGGUUUUGAUGUCUUGAUAGAGCAGAAAAUUAGUUGAAGAUAUUGAUUUUAUAACAAAAAAACUCGUUCUAUCAUAAGGCAUGAGAUGUAAAGCGAGAUUGAGACUUUAUUCUUAACUUAAUAAUUUGGAUGUGUAUUGAAAUUUUUUAAUGUACGUACGUUAUUACAAUCAAAUUGACUUUGCACUGCCACAUGUUUCACGUUACCAACAUAAUUUCACGUGGCGAGUUGACCUCACCACCGCUUUGAUCAUUUCUUCAAUUUGCCUAGUUCAUUCCAAUGACUCUCGAGACUCGAUUGCGCCAUGAUCACAUGGUACAUAUAUGGAUAUACAAAAAAAACUCUUCAUUUUAAUUUGUGUAGUGAAAUAUUGAAUGGGAAAGUGAGUUAUCCUACUAUAUAAAAGUGACUAAAUCUCUCUCUCCUAAACCUUGCCACAUAGGCAAAAAUAUUGAGAACCAAUCAAUAUGCCAUGUCAUUUUGGACUGGACUUAAAAUUUAAAAAAAAAAUCAAUAUGGCAUAUUGGUCGGAGCCCAUUACAUAUUCUCUUGGUUUUACGUAUUGGUCGGAGCCCAUUACAUAUUCUCUCCCUAUAAAAGUGUCCACAUGGCAUAUUUUGGGUUCCACAAUUUUUUUAAUUUUUUUACAACAUAAAUUGUUGACAAAAACCUAAAUAAGCACGAUGAUGUCAUAGUCAUCCCGCCCCUACGUUUACCGUUUCAGUUAGCGAAGAUAAUCAAUCCAUAUAUCAGCCUUUAAUUCUAACAACUACAACUAAACUUUCAUCGAUACGUUUCAGAAGCUUCUCAGUUGAAUCCUAUAAAUAUACGUCCACAUAUAACACAAUCCCCAUCUCUUAGAGCUGCCAGAAUCAAGAAGUACUCAGCAGCAGAAGAACACGGUAAAGUUUCCGCUUUCGCCUUUGAAUUUCAAGUCGUAACUGAUUCUGUAGAUCGGAUUUCGGCCUGAGAAUUUUUUUUAUAAGGAGAUUUGCUCUGAGCAAAUAGAUUUGCACUUGAUCCUCUCGACAUCUAUGAUAUCCUUUUAACUUCGGUUAGAUUAGUUUUUUUGAUAUUUUUCUUUUUUUUGGAUUUUUGAGCUAUUUAGGAUUCUUUGACGAAAAUAGACAAAGUAUGUAAGAGACAUAAGAGAUCUGGAACACCCUUACUCCUUGGAGCAACUAAGUGUUCUGUCUGAAGACUCCAUCACUCUCGAUGACAAGCUUAAUCGCGUCCAGUGAGUAUUAUUAGUCCUCUGUUUAAUGAUCUCACUGUGUAGUCCCAAUGAUAGUGAGAAAAAAAAGUUUAAUUUUGGAUCCAAAAGUGUGAGGCUUUUUUUUGUGUGUACAUGAUCUUUAAUGAUUUGUGAGUUUGUGGGUUUUGGUUAUGUGAUCAAUUCACGAUAACGUUUACACCGACCAUACGGAUUAUAUGGCAACUAUAUUUGGUAUGCGUUUGAGAACUAAGCUUAAAGAAUGCUUGCCUCUCCACUAUAAGGUCAACUAUCCUUUUAAGUAAAAAGACAAGUUUUUUCAAUGGUCAUUUGUUAUAUAUGUGUGAUUGUUUCUGUUUCCUUUUACUUAUGUUCAGGUUGAUAUCAGACUCAUGCCGAUGAACAUUCAGGUAAGGAAGUUAGGAGAUGGCUUAAGUCACUUAAUUCAUUUGUGGUCUCUUUUAAAACCUUAACAACUGUAUAGUUUGCAAGAGUAUGGAUGAUAUGUCAAGUGAAAAAAAAUUAACGAAUGUAACGCUCAUGGAUUUUGCUAUACAAAUUCAUUUGUGCUUUGUUAUUGCAGAUGCUUCGUGGAUUUUAUUUGGUUUGGAUAAUUGCCCAUGUGGCCUGUGAAUGCAUCCAUGCAGAUUGGAAUGUUUUUAUUUUAUUUUAAACAGUACAGAUCAGAGCAGAGGGUCUAAGGCUGAACAGACGUGUGGGGAUCGAAUACUUAGCAGUGUGGCUAACACGAUCAGGAUCUGUCCCACGCUAUAACCUGAUGGAAGAUGCGGCUCCAGCUGAGAUAAGUCGUGUCCAGAACUGGCAAUGGAUUAGGUAUGAAGUGGAGUUGGACGGAGAUGGGCUUGGAGUCAGGGUGAACAAAGAGUUGUUUGAGAGAGUUGUGGAAGAAGAGAUGGAAAGAAUCGAGAAAGAAGUUGGUAAAGAUAAGUUUAAGAAAGGAAUGUAUAAGGACAACUGCAAGAAGUUUACAAAGCAAUGUACUGCAAGUGAGCUUGAUGAUUUUCUUACACUUGCUGUUUAUGAUCAUAUUGUAGCUCACUACCCAAACAAUGUGUCAAGGCCCUGAGAGAAGAAAAGAAGAUGCUGGGAGAGAGAGUUUGAGAUAUGAGUGUUGUACUUUUGUCUUCUAUGUUUGUUUCUCAUUUGCUUUUUUUCUAUAUGUCUGUAUAUUGGAUGAACUUGAUGUUUUUAUCUCCAAUAUGAAAUAAAUGUUUCUAUAACAUCGCUUAUAAUGUGUAAGGGGCUAUAUAGCAUUGUUUAUUUUGAUAUUAAACAAUCUAUAGAGUUCAAAAUAUAUAAAAUACAAUUGGCUGUUUGUUAUUUCUUUUUCUAUUUUUGAUCUUCUGAUUCUUUGGAGCUGCUAGGUUUUUAUUAUAACCGUGAAAAAUAUAUGAAUGAUAAAUGUAAAAACUUUGCAAGUUAAUUGCCUGAUUAUUGAAGUGUUGUCCUGACUCUUGAGAAAGAAUAUCGUAGAAAGAUGACUGUUGAUGACAUACACAACAUAAUAUUUUGCAGGAGAAGAAUAACUGAUCUGAAUAAGCAACAAAAAAACAAUAACACUAUAUAUAUAUAUAUAUAUGAAUACAUUAAUCGUAGCUCAAAAUGUACACAAAUUAACCAGUAAUUGCAAGCAUAAUGAACUGCUGUAAUACACCAAACACAGAUCUCCGCGCUUGCGCGGAGUUGACGAUUCCUAGUUUGAGUAAUCUGAGACUGAAAUAGAGGAUCAUAAAAUAUGAUUAAUUACUAGCUUCAUUUUGUUCAUUUGAGUGGAAAAAGCCGAGACCAAGGAAUUUUAAGUCCCUUCUCGCUGCUAUUUAUUACACCUCUCAAAUUAAUCAAACGUCUUCACCUUGCUAAAUGCAUCACUCAUAUAGUAUAGUCAUAUCCCCACUCGUCUUACACCACAUGGUUUAAAUAAUGUGUUUUCAAGAUCCUCUUGCGACGGAGUUUGGAUUGACUCCCAGACACCAAAAUUUGGCUAAGCUGCAAUGAUAUAAAUGGAACACACAAAAUUUAACAAAACUUACCUCCUUUAAACAAAGUAUUUUAAGGUAAAAGAUAGUACGUAUUCGAUCGAACUAGAGAUAUAUUUUAAGGUAGUAAAUUUUUAAAGCAUCUAAACACACAUUGGAGUUCUAUACACACAUAUACAUAUGUAAUUGUGGGGUUCAUAUUGCAAACAUUAUGGUAAAUAAUUACAUUUUCGCCAAAAAGUCAACUGUAGUAAAUUAUAAAUCCGUAGUAUUUAUAACUUGCCUCUCUCAUUUUAUACUUCUUAAAAUUGUUAUAAAAUUACAUACAAAAUAAAUGAGCAAACCCCUUUUUUUUUAAAACACCAAGUUUUUCUGAGGAGGAUUCCCGAUUUGUGAUGUUUUUCUCCUACGUUAACGAACGGCUAUUACAAUGGGGACGGUACGUUGAUUUUAGUAUAUCACAACUUCGUAGUUUUUGAUGAAAAAGAAGCCAUAACUUAAAUCAGCUAGCUGUAUAUGUAAUACAAAUUGACUUAAACGAAUAUAUUUCAUUCUAAAUCAUUUAUAUCGAUUGAUUUAGCAUAUGCAUGCAUAUAUUAUUAAGAUUGUCAUAUACAAUUUUUUUUUAUUGGGUACGAUACCGUUCAUAUGUACCCAAUAAAGAAAUUAAAAAUUUCUUUAUUGCCAAAAAAAAAAAUAAUAAUAAUAAUUCUUUAUUGCCUACUGUGUAAUAAACUGCAAGACAAGUAAGGUACGAUUAAACUUGCAGAAGAAGUUUGCGUCUUUUCUCUUACACGAGUUGUUUCUUGCGUUAUAAAUUUUUUUGAGAAUUUUGAUUGUAAGAUUGGGAGAAUAUUUUAGCAAACUCUGUACCUUUUGACUUUCAACGGCGGUGCCUAUAAUCUGUUCGACAAAAUGUCUCAACGAGUAACAGGUUUCCAGCGAAGAAGAGGAAGUAAUAAUAAUACAUAAAAUUUGUUUUCUCUGGUUGUUCAGGUGUAACAAUGCUCGCGAAGACAUUUGUUCCGAGACAACUCCUUGUGUCGAGGUGUUUCUCAUCUGUUACUUCGAAGACACUCAAGGUGGGAGAUGUUUUGAGAGAAGCAAGAGUGUUUUCAAGUGAAGAUGUUAAGAGCUAUGCUGAGGUGAGCCAUGAUUGGAACCCACUUCAUUUUGAUCAAGAAUCUGCCCGUAAAGCUGGAUUCGAGAGUUGUCUUGUCCAUGGAAUGCUUGUGUCUUCCAUGUUUCCGCGUAUCAUCUCUGCCCAUUUCGUAAGUUCUCUAGCUUUAGUUUGCUUUUAACCAUCUUUUUACAUGUCCUUUCGGUCUUGUUGCAGCCUGGAGCAGUGUAUGUAUCUCAAACUCUGCAUUUUCGAUCACCAGUUUACAUAGGAGAUGAUAUUCUCGGAAUUGUACAAGCUACAACUUUAAGACAAACCAAGAAUAAGUACAUGUAAGCUCAUUUAUUAAAACUUAUUCAAAAAGUUGAGUUCUGUUGUUCUACUAUCAUAACUAGAUCUUCAUUUCGCUUUGUUAGUGUCAAAUUCUCAACCAAAUGCAUCAAGAAUCACAGUGAACUUGUACUUCUUGAUGGUGAAGCUACUGCAAUCUUACCAAACCUCGAGGUGCUACAACCAUGUCAUUCGGAAUGAUAAACUGAUCCGACAUGUAAGUUUCUGUGUGUUUACCAUGUUCUUGUUCUGUUUUGUUCUUUCAUUUCUGCUGUCUUUGAAGAGUCUGGAAUUUGUGAGAUUUUUGUUGUAAGUUAUAUUACUAAUGAAUUCAAUUGCUACUAUAUAACCUUCUAUAUUGUUUCAAUCACAGUUUCACAUUCAAAUCUUUAUUAGAAAAAUCAUGAAAGUUGCUAAAACUGAUAUACACACACUGAUUACAUUGUAUUUGUCUGAAAAAAGUAAGAAAAUUUUUCACCUUCCAUCUCCGUAUGUGAUUGUGUGGGUAACAAACAUGGAGUUAUGAGGCGAAGGAAGAGAGUCUGAUGGUGCUAAAGAGCUUCUUGAAGUGAAAGCCGCUUCCAGCAAUACUGGAAUAUAAACUCCAAUCCCUGGAGAAUCUGGUGAGAAGAUGGGCAGUGGCAGAUUCUGGCUUAUGUAUUGCACCACCUGUUCCAUGUUUGGUCUUGAUUCCGCCGAAACAUUUGUGCAGAGCAACCCAAGUCUCAGAACCAUAUCAACUUCCGCUUCUGAGUAUUCACCUCCCAUUCUAGUAUCUACAGCAUCCAGCAGAGAAUCACUUCUCCAGCAAUCACAAACCCAUUUGACCAAAUGCCUUUUCUCAGCUGGAACCUUGGUAUCUAGUGGUCUCCUUCCACAGGAUACUUCAAGCAUGAAAGCACCAAAUGCAUAAACAUCUGUUCUUGUGGAAGUUCCCAUUGUUGUUAGCUCAGGUGCCAUGUAACCCACUGUUCCUAUAACAGCCGUUGCGGGCAAGCUAUCUCCGUAAUCUUCAAACCUAGCCAUUCCAAAAUCUCCUAACCGUCCAUUGAAACCAGAAUCCAACAAGACGUUAGAAGCUUUUAUAUCUCUGUGUAACACAACUUGGUUAGCUCCUGUGUGCAGGUAGCUCAGAGCAGAUGCAAUAUCCUUCAAAAUCACAAACCUCUGUGGCCAUGAGAGAGGAGGUUUUUCUCUGUGAAACAAGUACCGAUCAAGACUCCCAUUAGACAUGUACUCAGAGACAAGAAGAAGCUCUCCUUUCCUUCUGCAAUAUCCAAGAAGAGGAACCAAGUUUCUGUGCUUUAAACUUCCCAUAGUCACUACUUCAGCUACAAACUGUUUCAUCCCUUGCUUCGCGUCAUGGCACACUCUCUUCACCGCUAUAUCUCCAAUGUGAGGUAGAUUCCCUCUGUAGACUUCUCCAAAACCGCCUUUCCCUAAACGAUGCUCAAAACCUCUUGUUGCUUUGUAUAGAGAUUUAUAUGAAAACCGGUGUGGGCCAUAGUCUUUCUCCCAUGCUUCUCUAACUUCUGCAUACUUCUUCCUCCUGUAUAAGUGAACUCCUCCAAGAACAGCCAACACUAUGAGUGAUAGUAACACAAACAAAACAACAAGCAGUGGAGAUGUUUGCUUCUGUUUGGCUCUUGGAUGAGGAAUCUGAGGAAGUUUUAACAAGUCCAGUCUCUGCAACAGCUCUCUCCUUCUGCUGAAACUCCAUCCUAAGAUGUAUUGGUAACUAACCAAUGACCCUGUUGCUGCAGAGAAUCCAAAGAACAGUUUGUGAUCCGGGAAGAUUUCAGUAAGAUUGAUGGAUCUUGCCAAGAGAGGAUGGUUUGGCUUCUGGAUUCUUAGAGGAGCCACUGUGACAUUGAGUAAAGAUCUUUCAUAAUCCACCCAUACCUGUAAAGGCUCUUCACUUAAGAUUUGAAGGCUUUGAUUCUUCCCUUUGGUGUUUGAAUAGUAAGAAGCUGAAGCAGACUCUAUAGACCUGAGGCUGUUGAUGUCUAUACCGACAUGAUUCUUGUUUAUAUCAUCAAACUCUGCGCUUUUAGCAGUAUCAAGCUCAAUAGCUAGAAGCUGAUAAGAUGGAGAUCCGUUUGUUGAGAUGUUGGAGAGUCCCAAGUACUGUGUUGGAUCUGCAUGUGUGAAAUCCAAGGAGGAAGAUACGACAAAGGCGAUUCCAUGGCCGCCUUCAGCUCCUGGUUUAGGCACAAGUGCGCACACAAAGUGAGUUGAGAAUGAGAAGUUCUUCUCAGAUGAGUCAAAUGGAUGCUUGAAGAAGGCAUGACCCAUUUGCUGUGAUGAGGCGUUGGUCAGCUGCAGCAAUCCAUCUGGAGAGAGGAUUUUUGCAGAUCCAUCUAGAUGAAGAUCAGCUUGAGCUUGGGGAAAGCCGUUGUAGAUGAAACCUGCUCCUUGUUUACGACCUAACAAGCAAAUCAGGUGAUUAAAGAAGAUCAGCAAGAUCAGAUGCAGUCCUUGAGUAGCCAUUGCUAAUGAAUUAAAGAGACAUAUGAUUUGGUUUAUAUGUUUCAAUUUUAGAUUAAUUCUUCAAGACAUGCAUUCAAGGCCAAUUAUCUUUAGGAAAUGCAUUUCAUAUGGGCAUUUUCUGAGUUGAAAUUUACCAAAUGAAAUGGAACCAUGACAGUUACCUUCAACCUUUAUUUUAUGUCAUGUUGUUCAUAUAAUAAUUGUAUGGUCUUCUCUCUGGUUCUAACAAUGUCUAACUCAAAAGACAUUAGACACAUGGCUUGGAGAAUGAAGACAAUCUAUCAUAUUAAAAGUAUAAUGAUCCCAAAAAAAGUAUUAUGAUCAUGCCGACCAAACCAAAGCUUGGUAUUAUGAAAAGAGAGGUUAUAUAUAGGAAAUUAAGUCCAUUAUUCUCUGCAAAAUAACUAUUACAUUGGUGUUAACAAACUAAUAAAACAUUUAUCAUCUGCCACUUUAAAUCAGACUUAUCACCUUUCUUGUUUAAAUGUUUGUUUAUUCCUCAUAGUUUGUACUGGUUGAUCUUGGUUUUGUAUAUCAUUUUCUUUAGAUUUGUUGGAUGAUACAAAUGUCUUUUUGCACAUGAUAUAUCCUAACUGAAAGACUAUUAAAAUCCAUGUACAAGUUGUAAUAAUAGCUUCAGAAUAGUAUUGUAAAUGGAUGUUAUCAGAAGAAGAAUACUUAUUUCACACAUUAGUCACGUUUAAACGGAUGUGUGACUAGUUAAGUCCAAGUCAAUAAUGGCAAAUUAAGAGAUGUAUGUAUCUUGAAAUGAUCCAAGUCAAUGACGGCAAAAAGAUAAUAUUAUGUUUUAAGAUCUGGAAAUCUUUCAUUGAAAUAAUAUAACCCCUAAGGUUAACAAAUAAAGCAUAUCAUAAUUAAGCAAAGGCUUACCAAUAUUAUAACAUUAAAUGACCCCAAGUUGAAACUAUGCAGUGCUGCAUAUGGUGUACCCAGAAACAGGUUUGUUUGUUUGUUUGUGUAUUGGGAUCAAAUAGUUUAGUUAAGGAUUAAACAUCAAUUUAUAUUUACAACCAUCAUUUCUAAUAUAAACUACAGAAACGACCGACAUACAACUUCUCACAUGUAUGAAUGUCAGGGAUCUAUUAUCACCGAUUUGGCAUCUCUCCUAGGUGUGUUAUGCUAUAGUCACAGCACAUGUGCUUAACACGUUCUCAAAUACAUGCAAAUUCUAAGCAUUUAGAAGUUUUCCAAUAACCAUACAUUUUUUUUCUAAAACAACCAUUUACAAAGGUACAAACUGAUUAGUCUUCGGAUUCAUUACUACAACAUAGCACACAUAAACCAAAACAGCUUUCUACAACAUAGCCUGAGGAGAAAUCUCAUCUCAUUGCUUGGUAACAGAGAGAGCAAACAUGUAUACGGUAAACAUUUACAAAUGAAGAAACUGAUUAUAUUGGGACAAGUGAGACAGAUUAUUAAAAAACAAUCUUGAGACUAAGAUCUGUUUGCUGAUAUGAAUGUACAUCAGAGAUUACCUCUGACUGCUGAUGCUGGAAAGAUUGGACUCGAGAUCUUCUGCAGAAGAUGUGACAGUAGUUUUGACAGCAGAUGAGAGAGUCUGAGUCUUAGGCUUCUCUAGUUCUGAAACUAUGUGAAGAGAGUUCUUCGUCUCUACCGUCUGUCCCCAUGGCAGAUCUGUUCCCUGAUAAGCGUAAGGUGAGUGGUUGGCCGAAGAAGAAGCUGACCAACUCCAUGAAGCGGAUGAGACUACAAGAGAAGCUGCAUCAACCAGAACCGGAGCAAAUGUACCAAUCCCCAAAGUAUACGGUGAAAAAUCAGGCAAAGGCAUGUUUUCAUUUAGGUACAAGACCACUUGCUCCAUCGUUGGUCUGGACUCCGGCACUAUAUUUGAACAUAGCAAACCGAGUUUCAUAACCAUCUCCACUUCCUCUGGUGAGAACUCAUCUCCCAGCCUCGGGUCGAUAGCAUUAAGCAGAGAAUCCUUCUUCCAGCACUCACACACCCAUUUGAUCAUAUGCCGUUUCUCAACUUCCAACUGUGGUUCCACCGGUCUCCUCCCACAUGUUACUUCAAGCAUGAAAACACCAAAGGCGUAAACAUCAGUUCCAGUGGAAGCUCCCAUUGUGAUUAACUCAGGCGCCAUGUAACCAACAGUUCCCACUGCAGCCGUUGUGGCUGCACUCCCUCCGUGUUCAUGAAACCUAGCCAUCCCAAAAUCCCCUAACCUACCGUUGAACUCUUCGUCCAACAUUAUGUUUGAAGCUUUGAUAUCUCGGUGCAGAACAACUUGGUCAGCACCUGUGUGCAAGUACCAGAGAGCAGACGCUAUUCCCUUAACAACCACAAGCCUUUCUUUCCAAGAAAGAAUCCGUUUCGCCUCAUCAAACAAAUGCUCGUCAAGACUACCGUUAGGCAUGUACUCAGAGACCAAAAGAAGCUCCCGUUUUCUCCUGCAAUAACCGAAAAGCGGAACAAGAUUCCUGUGUUUCAGACACCUCAUGCUGACAACCUCAGCCACAAACUGCUUCACACCUUCAUCACCAUUGUGGGAAACUCUCUUCACUGCUAUCUCUCUCCCUUGAGGAAGUUUUCCUCUAUAGACUUCACCAAAACCUCCUUUCCCAAGAAACUCAUCCUUACUAAACCCUUUUGUUGCUUUGUACAAUGACUUGUAAGAGAACCUAUGCGCAUCAAACUCCUUCUCCCACGUUUCAGAAACUUCUGAAAACUUCUUCCUCCUGUGGAAAUAAACUCCCGCAAGAACAGCCAACACCGCAACACCCAGACAAACAAUCAUGAUUAUAAUCCACUGAGGAAGCUUCUUAGGAUGAGAUGUAGGAUGAGGAACUUGAGGAAGUUUCGAGAUGUCAAGUUUCUCCAAUGAUCCUCCUCCGCUUGUGGUGAAACUCCACCAAAGAAUAUAGUGAUCACACACUGAGUUCCCUGUUGCAGCUGAGAAUCCAACAAAGAGUUUCGAUCUAUUAGGAAAAAUAUCUGAAAGGUUGAUUGGAUGUGACAACAGAGGCCGGCUUGGCUUCUCCACUUCAAGAGGUGCCAACGAGACAUUAAGCAUAGAGCCUUCGUAAUCCACCCAAACCUGUAUAGGGUUUCCAGACAAGAGGUUUAAGCUUACGUUUCCUCCUUUGGAAUAGUAAGACGCUGGAGCCACUUCGAUAGAUAUAGGAUCGUUGACAUCGAUACCAACGUGACCGCCACGGACUUUGAUAUCAUUAAACUCCGGGUUCCAAAUAGUGUCGAGCUCGACAGCAAGAGCGGGAGAUCUUGACGCGUUGAAAGCCCCCAAGUAUCUUGUUGACUCUGCGUAAGAAAAAUCCAGAGAAGGAGAUAUUAAAAAGGUGAGACCGUGCCCGGGUUCAACGCCUGGCUUAGCCACCAGAGCACAGACGAAAUGAGUUGAGAAGGAAGUGAUCAACUGAAUUGGUUUCUUGUGGAAAGCUCGGCCCAUUUGAUAAUCUGAAGUGUUUGUCAGCUGCAGUAAUCCACUGGGGAGAAGUACCUUUGCGGAAGCGUCUAGGUAGAGGUUUUCUUGGGAGGUGAAGUUUUCAUAGACAAACCUUGUCUCUUGUUGACUUGAUGGAGAGAUGAGAUGAAGAGAAGUGAUUAUCAGGAUCUGAAGCAACACACGAGCCAUUGAAGAUGAUGAAACAGAGAGUCUGGAUCUGAUAUGCAUCUCAUAACCUUGCAAGCUGAAGAAAAAGUGAACAAAAAAGGAUGUGAGGUUCUCUUUAAUAUUGUUUAUUUAUUUUAACCAAAGGAAUCACCAUUUUUUUGGCUUUACAAACUGUCCUCCAUUAACACGAUGAUAUUAAAUUAAUCUAUAAAUAAAGCUUUAACGUGGUUUCCAAAAAUUCUAUUUGAGACAAUAAUAUUUUUAACGUACAACCUCAAUCUGAAUAGACAACGCAACGUCUACAUGGGGUACCAUGGAACAAAAUAAUAUAAUGCGUGUAACAAACAUAUGAAAUGAAUUAGUAUAUGUGUCGGAAUAGAUCGUGCACCAACCUUCAUUGGAUUUGUCUGCUACUUCUAUAGUCUUCUACUUGAAGCUAUCUUCUAAGGAAGCAGACAAAUAAAACAUCAUAUUUUAAACAUGCACUUGACCUUUCAGACGCCGAAUAAAAAAAGAGCCAAUGUUAUUGUAAUGAUAUUUCAAUUCAAUUAUGAGCCAGACCGAAGGUAAGAAGCCUAGGAAUGCGUGGAAUAAUUAUGACAACUAGGAAUGUUCUUCAAAUGAUGGUUAUCACAACUAAUAGAAAAUAGACACUAGAGUUAGGUCCUACCUUGCCAACCUAAUCUUUACUAUUUCCUAAUUUAGCCCUGUAGGUAGGUGCAAGAGAAUACAUCCUCGUAUGAAUGACCAUCUAUCUUAUGUUCUGAAGUUGUUGGUCAGCAAGUUUCUUGUUGACUUGACUGGUGAAUCAGGAGAAGAAAGGAGAUCACCAUUCACCGUCCAUAUCAGAUCCAAUCCUUGAGCCAUUGCUAAUACAACAGAGUUUUUGCUAUUCUUAGAAAUUUUUUUUGUCUCUGUGUUAGUGGUAUGGUGGUAAAUAACUAUCCUCUCCAUUUGCAAAACAAGGUCUGAUCAUUACUUCACAAGAAGAACCAAAGCUUUUGCACAACAAUUAUAGACACAAACAUCCGACAUUAAAUGUCAUAACAAGAUUAUGUAUCAGCUUUCUCAUUCUAAAACAAACAAUUGGUUCACUCAUUCCCAAGUACUGAACAAAUAGUGAUGAAAGUAUCUCAUACAAAGUUCAUGAUUUAAAGAUCAAUGAUGUUUGACUGGCUUUAGAUGUGUAACUGGCUCAUCAUGCCUUGAAUUAAGAGACUGGCAACAACUUUCUUUACAAAUAUUUUAGCAAAGUAAUCGCAAAACUUUCAUCGUCCGCUCCCAUAGACCACCGAGUGAGUAACAAACAUAGAGUUGUUGGAGGAGGACGACAGUGAAGGUGAAGGUAUCGUUAGCCUUGCUGGCGAAAGCGCCAUUGGAGUUAGAACACCAAUCCCUGGAGAAUGUGGCCAAAACUCCGGCAAAGCCAUGUUUCCAUUCACAUAUUGCACAACCUGUUCCAUGGUAGGCCUUGCGUCCGGGACAAGGUUAGCACAUAGCAAACCGAGUUUCAGAACCCUCUCCACUUCCUGAGAUGAGAACUCUAUCAACCUCGGAUCUUUAGCAUCAACCAAACAAGACUUUCUCCAACAAUCACAAACCCAAGUGACCAGAAACCGUUUCUCAGCAGACAAGGUAGACUCCACAGGCCGUCUCCCGCAAGCUACUUCAAGCAAGAAAACACCAAACGCAUACACAUCAGUUCCAGUGGAAGGCCCCAUCGUUAUAAGCUCAGGCGCCAUGUAACCAACGGUUCCCACCGCAGCCGUUGUGGUCGGAUCAGCCCCUCUGUCGUAUAGCCUCGACAUACCGAAAUCUCCCAGCCUUCCGUUGAACUCGGCGUCCAGCAUAACGUUAGCAGCUUUGAUAUCUCUGUGUAUAACAACUUGGUCAGCUUCCGUGUGUAAGUAACUAAGCGCCGACGCGAUGUCUUUGACAAUCGCCAGUCUUCUCCACCAGGGGAUAGAGGUUAUACUAUGAUCAAACAAGUAAUGGUCAAGACUACCGUUUGGCAUGUACUCAGAGACUAACAGUAACUCGCGUUUCCUUCUACAAUACCCGAGAAGUGGAACCAAGCUCCGGUGUUUUAAACUCUUCAUGCAAACAAUCUCAGCGACAAACUGCUUCAUACCUUCCUCGCCUUCGUGUGAUACUCUCUUCACAGCCACUUCUCUGCUCUUAGAGAGUGUUCCUCUAUAGACUUCGCCGAAACCUCCUCUCCCAAGAAACUCAUUCUUACUAAACCCUUUUGUUGCUUUGUAUAGAGACUUGUACGAGUACCUGAGCGGACCAUACUCCUUCUCCCAUUCCUCUCUCACUUCCGCAUACAAGUUCCUCCUAUACAUAUAACCUCCAACAAGAAGCCCCAAAACUAAGCAAGCUAUUAAACUCAGGAGAGCAUCCAGCACCAGAGGAGAUGACUCAUGUUUGUUGCUAGGAUGAUCAACUUUGGGAAGCUUUGAGAUGUCAAUGCUCUGCAACGUCCCCAUGGUUUUGCUUAAACUCCACCCGAGUACGUACUGGUAGCUCAUGAUCGACCCGGUUGCACCGGAGAACCCGAAGAACAUUCUUCUACCUUGCACAAUCUCUGUGAGAUUGAUGGAAGCUGCCGACAAAAGAGGCCGGCUCGGCUUCUCCGUUUUAAGAGGUGCUAAUGUAACGUUGAGCAUGGUUCCUUGGUAGUCAACCCAAACCUGAAUAGGAUCUCCACUCAAGAGAUUUAUCUCUAUGCUCCUACCUUCCUUGUCUGAAAAAUAAGAAGCGUUGGCUGAUAGUUUAGACACAGCGCUAUUCACAUCAAUCCCGACAUGGUUAUCACUGAUGUCUUUCAACUCCGGAGCUAGAGCGGUAUCUAGCUCUACUGCCAACACGCGCGCGGAGGUAGAUUCGUUUGAAGAUGCAUUGAAGAUACCAAAGUACCGAGUCGGCUCGGCGUGGCUGAAAUCUGUGGAUUGAGAGACGACGAAAGCCAUGCCGUGUCCGCUCGGAUAACCAGCAGGGAGAAGUGCGCAGACGAAAUGUGUUGAGAAGGAUACUGGUUCGGAUGAGUUGUAAUCGAUCGGCUGCUGGAGAAAAGCGUGACCCAUCUGGCGAAGAGUAUCGUUUGUGAGUUGCAGGGCACCAUUGUGGGGGAGGAUUCUUGCACCACCGUCGAGGUGGAGAUUGUUACCUGCUUGGUCGAAGCCGUUGUAGACAAACGGUGGCUCUUGUUGAAACGAUGGGCAAAGACAAUAUAUCAUCAAGAACAUUCGUAGAACCAAUCGUGAAGUUAUCAUUGGUAAUGAAACUGAGAGGGUUAUCGUUUUGCUUUUGUUUUUGUUUUUUAAUUAUUGGCUUUUCUCUGUUCUAGUGGUUAAUAAUAAGGAUCUCUUAGUCGCUCUGGCUGUAUAGUAGACCCAUUGAAUAUGACAUGAAAGUCAACUUAAGAGUUAAGACUGCUUCGGAAUCUAUAUGGUAUACGUAUAUUAUUACGUUAGUAAAAGACUUUUGAACAGAUGUCUUAGUCAAGACAGCAAAAUUAAUUCCGAGAAGAAAAGUAGAGGUGUAGAGGAAGUGUGACUAGAUGGGUCUUUUGUAUUAAUGCGAGAGGAAGAGGUCAAAAGACUGAUCACUCAAAGAAGAUAAAGAUGACGGUGAAGAAUGCAAAAAACAAAAUUUCCUCAAAAGUUAAAAGCCGAUUUGGAAGUAACUUCAAAGUCAAACUUUCAAGUUGACUAAUUACGUUUCUAAAGAUAUUUUGCCUUAUGAAUUGAGGGGAGAGAAAUUUACUGACAUUUAGGUGAUGCAGAGUAAUAUGAGGUGGAUUAUUUUCUUAAUAUAUAGAUAUGCACAAGAUAUGUUAUUAUUUAAGUCAAGGUCAAUUUCAUUGAAUAUUUCAAUUCCACUGUUAGCAAUCAAGAACAUCAUGUCCACACACACUUAUUGGUAGUUUAUAGAAAACCGAACCUGAACCAAAAACCGUAAACAAAAACAGGCGACAACUCAAAAUAAAACGUGUGGGUCGCCAACGGACAACACAAAUUGUCAUCAUGAUGUUGAUUCACAUAUGACUAGAAUGCGAGUUAUGGAAUCAACGGAUUCUCCAAUGUGGAGUUUAGACAUGACUUCACAUAUCAAUCUGACUUUAUGAACUAUUGUAGUCAAUCAUGAUCCAUCGUUGAGAUUUGAGUGUCUAAAGUUGAUUAAAACUGUUUUUUUUAUCACCUUGCUCGAGUGUGUCACUCAAACUCAUUAGUGGAAGCAAGUAGAAUAGAUAGAUACGUUACUACAAGUUCUGAAUCAACCAAACUCAAACGGAACAAGUCACGGAAACAUGAACCUCAAAACAAAGAGGUUAAAGACAGAAACAAAGAGUUUGGUCCUGGAAAAGUAAAAUGCGAAAAGAGAACAACAAGCUUGGUUCCAGACAGAAACCUCAGUCGUAGUCAGGAUGGAAAGGGUUGGAGUAAUCGUCGUAUUCAUAGCCGUCCGAGUCAUAAAAUGUAGCGUACUUGCCAUACUUUCCAAAGUAUGGGCAGUCCUCACUUGCAAACUCCUCACCCGGGCGGAGCAUGUCGUGGAGAGCUUUAUACUCCAGCAUCCGACGGGAAUGGGGCACACCUACAUGAUUUUUCAACAGAUUGUGAUUUUGAGUAAUAGAAUUUACUUAAGAGAGAUUUAGAAUGGGCACAUUACCAUGUGGCAGUUCGGAGUAAGGAUCAAAGGGAUCUUUAGCAUCAUUCAUAUUCUGCCCAAAACCAAAGGGGAAGUCACCAAAGCCGUAAUCAAAAUCUUCAUCAUCUUCAUAGUCGUCAUAAUCUUCAUUAUCAUCUUCAUAGUCUUCUUCAUCAUCAUAAUCAUAGUAGCCACGCGCUGGACCUUGACGCGUGAAGUAUGCUUCCUCCAAGGUCGGGCAGUUUUUAGCACAAGUCCUUGUCUCCUUGUUCCUUUCUCCUCCACAGUUGUAGCAAAACACAUAACCACACCUAACGACAAAUACCAAAUGGAUAUAACAUUAGUGUGGUUAAAGAAGAAACGCAUCAAGAAGUAGAUAAAGAGAUACCUGCAAGUUAUGUGAUUGCACCCUUGUGUAAGUCCAAUCACGUGUUGGCACUUGUCACAUUGCCCCCACGUUUUGUUAUUUGCCAUAGAGUUCAGCUUCACAUCAUCAGCUGGAGGAUUAGGAUGCUGAUUCUUGUAUUCAGUGCACGACACCUUCCCAUGCCACGGGACCUUACAGUCCACACAGAAGAGUCCACGACACUCAACGCAUCUCCUGACUCCAGAUUCAGGGUAGACAGAGAGCAAGCUCUUGGCGGAUUCAGUUAUCUUGGCUUUGGACAUCAAAGCCGAACACCUCGGGUAAGGGCAGUAGACUCUCUCCGCGACAGGUAUCGCGUUAUCUUUAACCCUUUGCUUCCACAUUUCACUCAGUUUGGGAGUCAGAAGCUUGCGACACGCGUCCAUAGCCAUCUCAGAGUUGCAGCCAUCGUGAGGACAGUUUGGAACCGUUCCGUGAAGCAGCUUCACCUCUACGUGUUGCUUCGAGCAGUGGAAGCAAAAGCGGUGAGGGCAUUUACCGACGGAGAACAUGCGCUCGAUAUCGGUUUCGUUGUAGCAGAUGAGACAUUCUUCUUUCCAAGCUACUUUUGCUCGGCGAGCAACACCACGAGGGUUGGAUUUAGAAGCUAUCGAUUCCCUGGCGAGUUUAUAAGCAAAUUUGACUUCGUUUCCAGGUACCAGAACAGGGUUAGUAAACGUGAACUGUUGCCUGAUCCGUGAAAGAUCAUCCAUCAGCAUUGAAAUCUUUUUUUGAUUAGGCACCCAGUUCCCCCUGACCUGCAUUGCAAUAAAUAAAAAACAUUUUUUAUGAAACAUAGGACAGAGAAAAGCUGGAUAAAGAAUCAUAACAAUAGCAAACACACAAGCAUAGGACUUUAGAACUCAGAGACUACAGUUUAAUGGCUAGUGAAGGUUCUUUAUAUCUCAAAGCAAAGAGAAAUAACAAUGGCUUAAAAAAAAAUCAUCAGGAUAUAUAAUUAAAGAGUAGUCAUUGCAACUCUUUCUUCAAAUUAUUAUAAUGCAACUUGUUACUAUUAUUUUUCUCUAUGUCAUAACAGUUACCAGAUGAAACCCCCCAACAGAGAAACAAACACACUUAGCUACAUUUUUUUUUAUUACAGAAGAGAGGAAACUUGGACUCGGCAAGAGCAACAAAAAAGAACACAUCUUUCUAGACGGAUUCAGCAAAAAGAGCAAGUGAGAGUGAACUAAUCACAGUCUACAGUCUAAUAGCUAGUGAAGGUUCUUUUUUAUUUCAAGAACAUACCUUUCUAUACAGAUUCAACAACACAAAGAGCAAGUGAGAGUGAAGCGUAACGAUGAAGAACAGGGAAAGUCAGAAACUUACGUAUUGGAAAAUGGGAUACGAGUCGCAGAACAUAACAACAUGUUUGAUCCCCAGCUUCGAGGCUUCGGUUAGCCCACGUGUCAACGCCUUAAUCUCCGCUCCCUGAGGGUUCGUGUCACGACCAAUCAGUUCCCCCUUCAACUCAAACAACAAACCACCCCUCUGGUCGCAAAUCGCAACCCCAAAUCCAGCCGCCACGUCAGCCGUAUUCCCUUUCCCCUUCCCCUUCCCAGCCACACUCUCUUCACUCACCAAACCCUUAAAGUAAAGUCUGUACAACACAUCUCCGCUAAACUUUCCCGUAACGGCAUUAACCGUCGAACCACCCUCGCCGACUGAUUUCGCCGAACUAACAACCGACGGCGAAGGCUUCUUAGGAACAUACACGUACUCAUUUCGAAAGUUGCCGACUUUAGCGUUAGGGUUUCGGUAACCUCCCCGUACUCCAGCGGCGGCUGCUUCGUGGGCUUUCCCUUUGCCUCCGGAGUUUCUUCGACGCGCGUUCUUCGAACCUCCUUUAGGCGCCGAACUGUUCCGGCCGUUUUCCGCGGCGGUAGCGGGAGCAGACGUUUGCACACUCGGUUGCUGUUGGGGAGUACGAGAUCGGGAAGAGAGAGAGGCUAAAACCUCCUCCGUCUGCAACCGGCGAGCGUUGUCGGAAUCAGUGUCAGGACGUUCCAUGACUUUUGCCUAGGUUUGUGUCGUGUUAGGGACGAGUGAGUGGUUUCUUCGCUCUACAUAGGCAUUUUCAAAAUAUAUGCUACAAGAGAGCGCAAGUUAGUCACGCACGUGUGUGUGGACCGUCAAACUAUAUACGUUUCAAAAUACAUACUACAGUGGCUUAUCCAAAACAUAUACUACAAGAGAGCGCAAGUUAGUCACUCACGUGUGGGUGCAAGAUAUUUAUUUACUUGGUUGACUUUUAGUCAAAAGGGUAUAACCGUCAUACGUGUUUAUUUCUUAAGACAAGUAAGUUCCGUUGUUUACUCCGGCGUCGAUCAAUUCCAAUAGCUCAGUCCAAUUCCUCGGCUGUUUCGAACGAUAUAGCGGCGGAUUGAUAGAGAACUUACACCGACAUUAUACACGACAAUCCAGGUAAUUCAUGUUUUUGUGUUUGGUAACUCGUGUUGUGAAUGAAUCUCGAGCAAGUUUCACAGAGUGGUAGAGUUAAUUUGGUUUAGUUAAUUACUUUGUUUGAAUUCAACUUCUAGAACCACGGGUUUGAUUUUGGAUGUGUAUGUUGUGAUAAAUUUGAGUGCUUUGUGUUGAUAUUUUAAGAAAAGAAAUAAUAAUAAUGUGCUGAAACUGUUCGACAAAAUGCCUGAAAGAAGUUUUUUUUUUGCGUGUAGAACUCUAAAGCUUAUAUAUGGUAAGUUUAUUGUAGUUUAUUGAGAACGUUGGUUCGGUUUAUCUGCUCUAGAAUAUGCAAUUGGUGUGUUAGGUGUAUGUGCAUGUCUCGCUGCUAGUAUAUAUAGCUCUUGACCUUUUGGGUAGUGAUUUAGUCUCCCGAUUCUUCAUGAUCUGACUCACAUCUGUCCUUGAACUAGUCAGAAAUUGGAAGUAAAAUUUAACAAAAUACUCAAUGAUAAACGCAAAAUUUCUUGUUUUUUUCAGUUGAUAACAAAACUAAGCAGAACCAUGUACAAUAUGUUUCAUGGGUUUUCUGUUUUUUUGUAUUUUUAUGUUCAAAAGGUUUGAUCUUUAGUGUUGCUAAAUGCAGAUUAGUUCCAUGGCGCCAAGAUGGAAAUGGAAAGGAGCUGAAGCAAAAGCUCUUGCAGAACCUAUUUCAAAAUCAGUCUCAGAGCUCCAGCUCUCUCUAGCCAAAACAGAGUCAACGGGUUCGCUCUCUAGUUGCAACGUGCUCCUAGCCGUUGAGCCAGAGCAGGCUGAGCUACUCGACCGCUGUUGUUUCGGCAGACUCGUCCUGUCCGCUGAGAAAGUCAAGAAAUGGAUUCAGUUAUCCUUUGAAGAAGCUUUCUACUUGCUCUACAUCCUCAAAUGCAUCAAACUCUCCCGUCAAGGCCGUUUCUUGGAGAGCGAAGUAGAGAUAUGGAUGUACAUGAGAACAAAAAGACCGAACUUUCCGGUAUUUUUCAAAGCUUAUUCACAUUUGCGAUCUAAGAACUGGGUUUUGAGAUCCGGGUUGCAGUACGGUGUGGAUUUCGUGGCGUACCGUCAUCAUCCUUCUCUUGUUCACUCUGAAUACUCCGUUUUGGUUCAGUCUGGUGACAGUGAUCGGUUAAGAGUGUGGUCUGAUGUCCAUUGUGCUGUUCGGUUAAGCGGAAGUGUUGCUAAAACGUUGUUAACUCUCCAUGUCAGUGGAGACUCUAGCAGAGAGGAUUUGAAUCUACCUACGUGUUUGGAGAACUACAGAGUUGAAGAGCAAACGAUAAGUAGAUGGAGCCCAGAACUCAGUCGUGAAGAUGAUGAAACCACAAGUCCAAAACCAAAAGUUACCAAUGUGAGUAAUUUGAAAACGCCAUGACGAACCGGUCCCGGUUAAUUGAGUACUGGUUUUGAUUUUUCACAUAAAUCUCUAAUCAAAAUUUUGUUUUCACAUCAAUCUCUAAUCAAAAUUUUGUUUUCAGUUUUAGUUGAGAUAGUGAGAUACACAACAUUUGUUUUCUAUAGUCACAAAUCUCAUACGCUUUUGAUUUUAGGUAUCUCGUAAUUUUGUUUGAGCAAGACAUUCUGAAUGGUUGGUUCAUUCAUAUGAAAACAAGUCAUUGUACACUUAUAAAAUGAUAAUUCUCAGUAGCAUAGAGAGAGCAGUGACAACUCACAUAAUCUACAAAACAACAAAGAUAGUGAUCAUAAUCAUCAUCAUACCCAUCCCAAACACAAACACAGAGAGUAUUAUAAAACAAAGCUCAAAGUUAUAUAAUUACAACAACAUAGUCCAUGGUAAGAGUAAUGGUUUAUGCGAGUUGCAUUUAGUUCAGUGAUCGAUAUACUGUUUUUUCCUAGUCAUCAGAUCUCAAAAUGACUAGGAUGAGAUUUGGUCAUCCUAGCCUCACCGGCCGGUUCGUCAUUAUCCAUCCUCUUAACAUUACGGUAAGCCGCAUAGGCGAUCACAUAGAAGAUAACAAGUAUGAUCAAAACCACAAUGUUGAUCACUGAUACUUUCCUCCAACUCUGUUUUAAGCUACCAAGAACACCAGCUUUGCAAGAGCUACACUGGUAACAUAGUAGUCUCUGGUCAUUGUUCCACAACAUACAGUCCGGGUUCGGUCCAAUCAUAUCUCCUCCUGGAAUCCACACCGUCUCGUUCACGUACGUGUAUCCACAUUCUGUUGGCGGCUUGCAACAUCCGGACUGCAGUUUGAGACAAAUAUGUAUCAUAGAAGGUUUGGUUCGUGUUAGACUGGAAGAUAUUUUACUGAAGUAUCACACACAUCAGUAAAAUAUCAAACCAAACCAGAGCAUUCUAGACUCAUUGUAAAUAAGACACACUUCAACAAAUACCCAUUGGAUCUUUCUAUUUUCAUCUAAUACUACUUGGUCACUACUAGGUUUUGCAUGGCGACUACAACUUUCAAAAUAAUAAUGAUUAUAGGUCAGAAUAUGAUGCGAAUAAAUUUUAUGAACAAAAGUACAAAAGCCAGGACUCAGAAUUGAGGAGCCUGACAAAACUACUCAUGACCUCUUACAUGCUAAUUAAAAAUACUUUAUUAAAAUUGAAUAUAAAUAACAAACUUCUAUGUUUUUUGGUUACACAAAUGUAACUAUGUUCCAGACUUCAGUUUACAAAAAAAAAAUCCAGACUUUCAGUUAGGUCGUUCAAGAAGUGUUAACUUUUUAUGUUUUAGAAUAAGACGUGUUAUUCUAAAUUAAACAAACAAACAAAAAAUGAUAAAGAAACAAGUUAAGACUUAAGAGUUUGAAAAUCCAUAUAUCUGUAUUAGAAAACAUUAUACUAAUAAUUUCUAAAUAUUUUGUUACCUCAAUAGGACUAAGCCUUCUGAAGUUAAACAUGAGUGGAGUUUCAGGAACACCGUUUAAACGUCUUCCUAUCUUCCUACAAACUCCAGAAUCUCUAACACACGACCGUAUCUGCCCCCAGUAUCCAUCAUCCGUGACCCUAUCCUUUAACCAACCCGAAUAAUCACCGAGAUAAUAAUCAAGAUACCUCCGGUUCAUCACAAACCGGCCUGAGCCUUUAUCAGUGACGGCGUAAGCAAAGAUGAUGAAACCGAUGAGAGCAGCUAUAACAAAGAACAUGACAAAGAGGUAAAGCCACAUGAGGAACUUGUUACCGUAACAAGCUCCGGCGAAACCGGCUAAGGAGACUACCAUGAUUGAGAUUCCUAUGACGAUGAGUGGCCACUGGAGGAAUCUCAUGCAGUCAGUGGAGUUAGCUCGGUUGCUAAGCCAUAUCCCACCGCCGAGGAUGGGGAUUGAGAGGAGGAAGGUGAUGAAGUUUACGAGGCCUAUAAGAUUGUUACUCGCUCUCAUGGUGUUUUAGAAAAAAAUAAAAGAGUAAUUAAGUUGCUCUUUGUUCUUGUGAGAUUAUGUGUGUGUGUUGUUGUUGAUGCAAUAGCGGUGAGGAAGAGGUGGUGAUGUAAUGUGACUUGCAUCAAAAUAUACACGAUGAGCAUGCUGUUUGACUACGACACGUGGUAAGUGACGGUUAGAUUAUGUAUGUGUGUAUUUUUGGUUAUAUAAACACGUGAAUACGUGAUUAGUGUAAACUGUGUUCACAAACAAGUUUUCUGAAAUACAGGAGAUCAACAAUUCCUAAAAUCAACUCAUUAGAAUUUUUAUUAUAAAAGGUUUGAUCUUUAGCUAAAAUAUUCAUUAGGUAAUGUGUAUGUAACGGCAAGAAUAAAAACAGAUAUUUCAGAGUAUAUUAUUAAGCUGGGCCCUCUGUGUCCUAAAAUGCACUUAACGAUAAAAAUGGAAGCUUUUUAGCUAACGUUCAAAGCUUUGAAAAAGUUUUCCUCGACCGACCAAAUACUAUCAUCAGUCACCUCAAUCCUAACCCCCUUCUAAAGCACGCCUUAUAGUAAAAUCUUAUUAUAUGUAAAUUUUUAAUAAAAUAUUUUUCCAUAUUUUUACUGGUAAGUGAGUGGGCUUGCCGAAAAUAUGAAUGUGCUUAACUUAUGGCCCAUUUAAGCAAGUAGACUUUACGGUUUCUGUCAAAUAGUAUGAAAAUACUUAGUUUCUGAUAAUUGGUUCAGAACUUGAGUUAUUCUGUCAAGUAGAUUUUCAUUUGAUUUUCUUACUAGUCAUACAGUAUAAGCUGCGACCGGAGAGGCAAAACUUAUAUAAAAGUAUAAGCAAGUAGAUUUUAAAUAGGCAGUAAUCAUUUGUUGAUAAAUACGAGUGAUUAAGAAAUAAAACUAUAUAAUAAUAAUUAUUGCAUAUAUAAAAGAUUCCAGGGUCUGGCUGGACCUGGAAAAUGUUUGUACAAACCGGAAAUUAAAAUUCAAAAACUCAAAAACUAUCAAAACGACAACGGAGUACGCUUUGUCUUGCUGCGUUUUGGAAUAAUCUUUUUGUUCUCUUCUCUCCUCUUUCUUUUUCACAGACUACUCACUGCCCGAAGCCACUAACUACUACACACAUUAUUAUCUCUCUCUCACAUCUCUACUGUUUACUCUUGGAUUCCACAAAGUAAGUAAAAAAAAGCAAACUCUGCUUCUCAAAUCUCUCUGUAGCCAUUUGCUCUCUCGCAUUUUCCUUUGACAAAAACUGAAUCUUUACUUCAAGCAGCGUAAGGUGCUCACUCUUUUUUGCUCCUCUGACUUUGGUUCUGUUGAUGAUAGAUUAAAUGUAUGUUUACAGUUCUUCAUACCUGGUGGUCAAACUCUUUUUUUUUCUUUGCUGUUUUGUAAGUUUUUAAGGUUUAAUGUUUAAAGCUAUUACUGUGAUGCACUGUGAUUGUUUGCUAAUGCUUUACUUUAAUCAACCUGAUGAUUGUUUGCUUCACUCAAGUGGUUUUUAUAAAUUAGAUUCUCCUUUUUCAUGGAAAAAAGUUUAUCCAGGAAUCCAAAUAGAUUUUAUUUUUUUGCUUGUCUUGUCUUUGAGUGGAGUAUUUUAAAUCUGUGUACUUUAUAUUAAAACGGUAAGAUGUUUAAACUCAAUAAUGAUUCAUGUAGUAGUUCUUCAACGUCUAGGUCCCCUCCUUUCACGGCAAUAAUGGAGGAGAUGAUGAAAUUUGACCUACAAAAUUACAGUUUAACCCUCAUGAGUUUCAUUUAGGAGUGCAUAUCUGGUAGGGACAUAAAAUGUAAAUCUACCAUAUUGUGUGUUGCUUGUGUAGUUUGUGUGUAGGACCCUUUGGUUACCAACCUUCAUGAUGAUAGGUUGUGAACAUUACAUAGUCAAGAGGAGUUCCCUUUUUUUAUGACUUUAUUAUAGUCAAACAACUUGUGUAGUUAACAUCAAUGGUUUCAAUGUCAAGAUACGAGUUAGUCUUUCAUUAUUUUGUUUGGUUUUAUUUGGGUAAAAACUCCAGAAUGAAAGCUCAGUUAUGCAAGUCUUUGAAAUCAUCUUUUGGCUUUAUACUUUUGGUUCACCUGAGAUUGUGACUCUGCUUGUAUCUCUCUCUCUCACUUUAAAAUAUUGACUCAACUGUAGUAUUCUCCUUUGAGUGAAAUGUUAAAGAGUUUAAAUUUCUUUUGUGGUGUUCUAGAGCUAUGAAUGAACAGAUUCGGUUGUGUAGAGUAGUCUUAAGCAAGAAAGAAGCCAUGCACUUGUUAUAAAAAUCAAAUGGUUGAUGAGGACACAAUCAAACGAAUCUCUAUGCCAACAUAAGAUAAUUAGUAAAGGAAAUGUUUUUUUUUAUUUUAAGCUUAUUCUUUCUUUGUAGUAACUCCCAUCAUGUUUUCUCUGCCAUUGGACUGUUAAACAUGUCUCCAUCUUUCUGCAUUAGAUACUUAUGAGCUCUCUACAAUUCUUGGUGGGACAGGCUCUACAUUGAAGAAGCUGGACAUAUCUUUCCGGUAAACUAAAAAAAGAUAUUCAUCUUGUGCAUUGGAGGGAUAAUAUUACAGUAUGCAGACCCAAAAGGCUAGGUAAAUCUUGGUUUAUCUUUCUAUAUAGUUUCUUUGCAUUUAUGGUUGAUUCUUCUCACCUUGUGGGAGUUGUUUUUCAUAUCUGGAUCUUAAAGGUUUCACUCUUGUGGUCCUUAAUAUUUAUUGCUUCUGUUUAAUCAAAUCAGAUCACAAUACUUCUAUAAGACAACAAAUUAUGACCCUUAGUUAGCUUAUCUAUUAGUAAGAAGAAUUUUUUUUUCAUUCGCUAGCACAGUUUGUUGCAGCUUGGAGUCUUAAUUCCAGUUUGUCGUCUUUUUGUUUUCUAUUUUGGGGGCAGUAAUGGAUCUCCGGAUGUUCCCAAGAAAGUGUCUCCUCGAGCUGCUCGGCCACUGAAGAUUACAGCUCUAGAGCCUGACUCUCCUGCCACUCCUAUCUCAGCUAAUAACAGAACACCAAAGAACAAAAGUCCAAAAUUUCUGGACCGUAGGUCUCCAAGAAGUCCUGUCUCAGAGGUAUGAGAUCCUCUUGUACUAAUCUUCUUUGCAUGAUCCAAGCUAAGCCUUUCCAUCAUAACAUGUUUCUGUAUUGACUUUGAUGAGGAAAAAGUUAGUAUACAUUAAAUUUUGGGAUAUAAAAUUAGGUAGAAACAUUUAAUUUGGAGUAGUUGAGUUCAUUCAAUUGUAUGUUUCUUUCUUUCUCUCCUAGAGAUUUCUGUAAACACUUGCCAUGUUUUGUUUUAAUAACAGAAGAAGAGGCCAAGCAGAAUAACGGAGCUCGAGUCACUAGUCUCACACCUUCAAGAGGAGCUGAAGAAGGCCAAAGAUCAAGCCACAGUGUCCGAGACAUCAAAGAAGCAAGCAGAGGAAGAAGCAGAAGAGUCCAGGAAACAUCUAGAAGAACUUUCCUCUAAGCUCCAGGAGACUCAUAAUCAGGAAUGCUAUUUGAAGUCUGGUGCUAGUGGUGAUGAAAUUGCAGGAUUGGCUUUUGUUGUUGAGGAGAUCAGACAACUCAAGCAUCAGAUUGAGAAUGUGGCUUCUUCUGAAGCUAAUCACAUGAAGCAAGCUGAGCUGCGUAACUCGGAGAUUCACCUUUUGAGAGGAAACUUGAUGGACACGCUUUUCCUUGUUGAGAAUUUUAGAAACCAGCUUAAGGACUGCGAGGUGUCAGAAGCUGAAACGGAGGCUUUAGCCACCGAGACUCUUAGGCAACUGGAGAAUGCUAAAAAGGCAGUGGAAGAGCUGAAGUCAGAUGGCGCAAAGGCUGUUGAGAGUUAUAAGAAGAUGGCUGGAGAGCUUGAACAUUCAAAAUCAAGAAUGGUACUGCUUGAAGGUCUUGUGACUAAAGAUAAAGACUAUGAAGAAGUAUCUUCCUUAAGAAGUGAGGUAGAGCGUCUGAGAGAGGCUUUAGAAGCUUCUGAUAGAAAGGGCCAAGAGGGGAGUGUGGAGGCUUCUUCUCGGUUAAGGAUACAAGCUGAGCUUCAGUCUGAGUUAAAGAUUGCUAGAUCCGAGAUAGAUGAGCUGAAGGCGAGGUUGGUGGAUAAGGAAGCAGAGUUAGAGUUUGUCUCAGAGGAGAAAGAUAACCUAUACCUGAAGGAGACAGAUGUUGAAGCUGAGCUGAAGCAACUAAGGGAGGUGGUGGAGACUUUUAAGGCGGAUGUGAUGGAUAAAGAGACAGAACUCCAGAUAGUUUCAGACGAGAACGAGACGUUGAAGUCAGAUAUCAACCAGAGGGAGAGGGAUGUGCAAGACGUGCUGGUGAAGCUAGGGAUUGCGAUGGAAGAAGCUGACAAGAGUAGCAAGAGAGCGGUGAGAGUGGCUGAGCAGCUGGAUGCAACUCAAGCGUCGAACUCUGAGAUGGAGAUAGAGCUCAGGAAGCUCAAAGUUCAGUCUAACCAGUGGAGGAAAGCUGCUGAAGCAGCUACGGCUAUGCUCUCUGCUGGAAACAACGGGAAGUGUGAUAAAACGAACUCUCCUUACUCUGAGGAUGUUGAUGAUGAAGUGGCAAAGAAGAAGAAUGGGAAUGUGCUUAAGAAGAUUGGUGUUUUGUGGAAGAAGAAUCAGAAAUAGAUAUAAUAAUUAGGUAAAAUCUAGUUCUGAAGUUCAUAUAUUUUUUAGAUUAAUGGUCUCUUUUAGUUCUCUAGAGGAAAUGACUUUCUCUUUGCUCAUCUUGGGUUCUGCUUCUCAGGUACUGGUGAUUUGGAGUUGGAUUAUAAAGAGCAACUACUAUGACUCUGGUAUUGAUGUGAAUUAGUAGUUUGAGGACUAUGUUCUGGAUAAAAAAAACACAUGUUUGAAAAGAUUUGAGUAAUGGUAAUUUUAAGUAUUCAGGAGGGGAAACUGUUAAUUCUGUUAUUGUGGAACUAGUUGACUGUUGAUAUCAAAUGCAACAAAGCCUCCGGCUCACUUGGAAGGUUUAGAAUGAUUACUUGAGCCAACAGUAAGGCCCAACAAGCCCUAUUGAGAGUAUCGGCCUCUGUGUUAUAUCUGGCUCAUCUUUUAUUUUCUGCUAGAUGAGAUGUUUCUUCUUCUUGGUUAGUAAUUGUCUGAUCUUUAUAGUUUCUAUGUUUAUACAAGAAAAUGAAAACAGAAGAAAAUAACGUCACAACAAUUAUUGAUAUUGGUUGAUAAGCCCAAGCCUAGGAGAUGAUCUCUAAAGUAUACAAUAAAAUGAAAUAAAAAAGCACUAAUGCUAAUUCCACAAUUCUAAGAGAUAGUUAAGCAUUUUACGAACCAAAUAACGAGUGGUUAACUGGGUUAUACAUGAUUUAUUCUAUUGUUUGAGCUUCCAUAGUAUGAAUGUUUUGGGUCUAAAGAAAGAUGUAACUAUUAGUAGAAAUGAGAAAGUGGAAGUUUCAUGAGUUUUGUGAUUCAGAUGUUAGAGCAUCAGCAUCAAUGAACCUUGAGGGAGGUUCAUAACUUUAAUUUUUUAUUAUUUUUUUAAAACUUUUCUGUUUGAUUUUUUUUUUUUAAAAAAAAAAUUAAGCGGACCAAUCACGGACCGCCACGUAGCGUGGGGCCUGCGAUACAGUGAUGAACCAGGUUCAUCCCAAUGAACCUGCAAGAGCUGAGUUCACCAAAAAUAAAAUAUUUUAAUAUUUUUUUUUUGGAAAAAGAUGUGAACUUCUGCAUUGAAGGUUCAAUGCAGAUGCUCUUAGGUUUGGUAGAGUUUCACUAACCCGACAUCUACAAUAUGUCACCAUGUCAGUUGUUGAUUGGAUCUUCUCUGAUACCCGACAAAAUCAACUUCAACACCUACAUAUUCUUUUUCACUUGUUCGAUCACUAAACUACGAUAGGUAAUAUACUACAAUGUACUAUUGUAAUUGGCUUUUAUAUGAUCAAUUAGUAUAUAUAUAAUAUAUGUAUGCGUGUUGCUGUAUGUAUACAUAAACACGUGUUUCUGUGUGUAGAGCAACUAGCCAACUACAAACCAACAAAAAUAUUCAAAACAUUCUCUUUAACUCUUAAGUGUCUAUUAGCAUAUGUAAGCAGAUUAGGUUAGGUGAGAUCUUUUCUAGGUAUCGCUCAUCAUUACUUCAGGUCUUACAUUCCCACCUCCAAAUAAUCAAUACUCCCUCCGUUUUUUAAUAUAAAUCGUUUUAAAGCUAUGCACAUAGAUUAAGAAAAUCAUUAAUUUCUUAUAUUUUCGAAACAAAAACAUCAUUAAUUAUUUACCUAACCACAAUUCAACCAAUAGAAAAAUAGAAGAUAUAUUAUCAUUGGUCAGACAACAUUAAUUAUUAAUAAAUGUUACAUAGAAAACCGAAAACGACAUAUAAUUUAGAACAAAAAAAUUUCUCUAAAGCGACUUAUAUUGAAAAACGGAGGGAGUAUAAACUAUUUAACUCGUGAUUUCAUCUGGUACUUAAUUGUCUUUUAAUUGCCUCUUAAAUCUCCGUCUAAAAUCAUCAGCUAGAUAGAUCACUACUAUGUCGCAGUAUUAAAUUAUCAAUCAGUCCACAUUAUACCAAAAUGUGUUUAUAUAAAAUCAUACAACAACAUUACAAAAAUUGAUUAUUUAUGUCACUAAAGCAAUUAAGUAGAUUCACAAAACGGUUAGAGGGAAAUAAGUUGUGAUAAUGAAAGUAAGUUGUGUUUCAAAAAACAAAUCACAAAAAGGAAAAAAGGAAGAUUAAUUAAGUGGAAACAUCAACGUCAUUGCACCAUUAAUAAGCCUCUAGAGAGAUAUAACUAUUAGGAUUCAGUGAGAAAAAUACAGUUUAGGGUUAAACACAAAAUUCAUUCAUUGGUAAAUUAAUUUAUAUCUUCCAGAAACUUUGCAAAUAAAUUAUUUUAAAAAAGAAACAAAGGAAAUGUCUUCAUUUAAAACAUAGGAGUGAAAUACUGAACAUACAAAAGAAAGAAACUCAACAAUUUAUAUGAGAAACAUAAAUAAAACCACCCCAACCUCCCCACCCCCAUAUUGCAAGUUUGAAACUCUUUGAAAGAGCCCUAAUAUAUCUAUAUUUCCAUAACCAUAUAAUGCUAUCCCCCAUCUUUUCUCCCAAUAACUACAAGGAACUCAAACCCUCAAUUAAACCCCAAAUAAAAUUGGGUUUUUAAGUUGAACUACAUCAAAGCACCAGAAUUAAUAUAGUUCAUAUUGGUCCAAAUUUCUUUCCCUGAGUCAAGCUGGUCUACAUGACCACCUCCUCCCAUGUUCAUCAUCCCAAAGCUCUCUCCAUUCAUCUGCCAGGGAAAUCCCCAUAAGACCUUGUUUGGAUCACUCAUGGCCAUAUCCAAACCGCUGCUACCGCUUCCAAACGCAUAACCAGCGUUCCCCUUCUGUUGGCUUGUUCCAAACACACUCUCCAUGUCAGACUGAUGAGAGCUACCGAACCCUAGCUGCGAAGAACUCCCCGGAGGUUGCUUGUUUAGCAAUGCAAAGGCUAAGCUGAGAUCAAUGUGGUCAUUGUUACUAUACCCACCGAAAAUCCCCCCCGAGAACGCUUUGCCGUCGUGGGACGCUGGUUCCGGGGUGGUUCUAAGGCUUCUUGUCGCCGACCGUUUGUUCUUCCGGCAGCCGCCUCCGACGGGAAUGUUCCUUAGGGUUCCGCCUUUGGUCCAAUAUCUCCGACAUGAUUUGCAGAAGUAGCGAGGCUGAGAGAGGCUGUAGUUGUUGUAGUAGCAAAACUUUGUGUUCGUUGAGUCGCAACGUGGACAUCUCACGGCUAGCUCCGGUGGCUGUGGCCUCGCCGCCCCAGUUGCCGGAGAAGGUUUCUUCUGAUCAUGGUCUAAACAUGAUCCUCCCAUGGCUUCUCUUGCUUUGUUAUAAUUCCCAAAAACAUCCUAUAAGAAAGAAAAAAAUAGAAAACACAUCAAGAUUUUAAUUUAAAUAGACAAAACCCGUCAAGGUUUUAGUUCAAAUAAACAAAACCAAUCAAGAUGUUAAAAUUUGUUGAUCUUUGCUGGAGCUUUACCUGUUGCUGUAGCAAAUGAUCCAUAAGAGCUGAAUGUGAGAAGCUCCUGGAAGAUUAUUAGAUGAGUGUGAGUUGUUUAUGUGUAGGAGAGAUGGAGACUGUUUCUUGAGAUAAAGAGAGAUAGAUAUGAGUAUAAAAGUACUACAAAAGGAAAAGCCAAGCAUAUGUAUAUAUAGAUGGGAAUGUGGGAGGAGAGAGGCACAUAAUUGUUGUGGCCUCGAUCCAAAACUAUUUGUAUAAUUUUAUAUUCUUAGAUUUAGUUGAUAUUUGAUAUUGUUAAACAAUAGUCUGAAGAAGAAUGAUGUGAACAAACUUCGGAAGGUGGCUUGGAGACCACAAAGCCGCCGCUUCUGAUUAAAUUAUUAAUGUACAUAAAUUGCAUCUUACUGUCAAUUGAAGUGUUUUGGACCUCACUGAAAUUAUUUUCUGUACACAACACAAAGUUUUUUUAAUAAAAUGUUAAAAUUUUUCAAAAGAAAAUACACAUUGUUACAGCAAGUACUACUUUGUUUUUUACUUUUCCAAAACUGAGGAAAAAUAAUCAGCCUAUAUUCUCACAUAUGCAAUCCAGAUUUGAAAAGCUCUCUCCAGUCUCUUGUCUUGAGUCUUAACAGACAUAAUCCUGUUUUGAUUAGCUUGUCGAUUGUACACAACACAAAGUUAUUGAACUACAUGUUAUAAUAUAAUUAACUCUUAUUCAGUUAUUGAUUUUCUCCUGGUAUACAAUAUAUAUAUAUAUGUGAAAAUACAAAUUUAUUUGUCGGUUUUUAACUAUAAUAAUGUGUUAAGUUGUCGUUAAGUUACUCCACAACAAGGGAUUGGUCAAUAUGAUGAUGAGUUUCAAUCGUUAUCAACAAUAUGAAUUCCAUCUAUUUGAUUCAAGAUGGAAAGUGACCGUACGAUGAUGGAUGAAAGAUGGCGUUCUACGUCUGGUUCCCAAUCCCACACAGUCUCAUGUUCUUAAUUUGUACUGUAAUUUCUGUUUUAUGUCCCAAUGGUCCGCUGAGUUGUCACCUCGUUGGACCCCAUACUCAUCCCGAUGUCUCGUUUCUUCAUUAUGGGACCGAUGUGAUCACCUUCGUGUCGUACUAGAGGAGUGGCCAAACAUCUCUUGUUUCCGUUGUGAUUUGUGAUCCACUAUAUAUUUGCUUAAAGACCAAAAAUCAUCUGUAAUUGAAUAAUUUUGUUUGACACAUGUUAAUAUAAAAUUAGACAGAACGUAGGAAACGCAUUGACGUUAAGAUAAAUGAUUUAUUUAUUGUUUUGAACAAAAAGUGAUUUAUUAAACCUUAUUAUCUAUGGAAAGGUCACUAACGAUAAUAGAAAUUUGGCAUUACCUCCAUCACAUAAUAGAGAUAUAUAUACCUCAGGUCCGUAGGGUUAUCACAUAAUGUCCGGCCGGAGAAUGUGUAGCUCUCAUGAUGUGGUUGCAUCAUCCCAUGGGAAUUUUAAAAUCAUAGAGACACGAAUCACAUAAACACAUCGGUUUUCGGGAAAAGGGUCUUCUAUGAAGACCGAGAUUUGGUCUAAGGACCAUAUCAACAACACCCACGCAUAUCCACCAGUUUUUAUAUUGAGUUAUACAUAAUUGUACUUGUAGAUAAUAUAUACGAUUCUUAAACGUUGUAGUUCGUACUAACUCGUACCAUUACUAAAAAUGGUUGAUUUCUUGUGAUUUUUUUGGGUUGGUCUACUACAAACAUGUUGUUUAUUACAAAAACAAAAACUAUUAGUUUUUAAUGAAAUUGCAGUAUGUUGCAUAUGAUUUUCAAAAAUAUUGCGUAACUUAAAAAAGUAAAAAUCCGUUAUCAAACCCACUUAGCAUACUUUUUCUGUCGUUUUGUUAUAAAUAAACAAAAAAUACAAAUUAACCUUAAGCAAAGAAACUUAAAAAGCAAAACACUAUUGAAACAAAUACUCAUUUAAUAUUUGUAUAUUGAUUAUUUUAAUGAAAAGAUUACAGUUGUUUAAAUCCGUAUGUAUACUAGCAAGCAUCAAAAUCUGAUAUUCAUUUUUCCUUUAGAAAAAGUUUUUUUUAUCACGUUAAACAUAUUUUUAAUCCUAUAAAGUGUAUACUACGGGGCUUUAGGCUUCCAUAUUCCUCAAAUGUUGAUUUUGAUUACGAAUCUAUCUUUCCUGUAUAGAGAUUUAAAAUAAUUUCAAACAUUUUUUUUUGAAAAGAAAAUAUUUCCAAACUUAACACGUUUUGUAUUCGAUAAAUUUAUAUGCUGGGAAAAAGUCAGUUUGUUACUGCCUGUAGUUUUCGUCCAGGAAAUAUGGUGAUUCAUUUCAAACAAUCAUUGGUCUCCAAAUAUAACUGAUGAUCAUUAUGUUUCCCUUUAGACCCUACCUACUUGUGGCUCCAGGUUUCGUCAAAGUAAUCAUGACGAUAAUUUAAAUUUAAUAUCUUUUUAUAUAAUAAAGUUAUUGCACUAACAGUUCAGACAUCUUUCGAUCAUAAACAUUUAUUUUAAUUUGUACUGCCAAUCUAUCGAUUUAAAAUGUCUUUUAUUAUACUAGGUAUAAAGUUUAGUCACAAUUCUAUUAAUUUCAUCAUAAAUCUGCUUUACUUUCUUAAAUUUAGAGAUAACAAAAAAAUAGCGUUUAGUACUUGAUGAUGAAAACAUAAUAUCUAAUUAGUUGAUUUUGUUGUUACAUGUUUGAAAACACACAAAUUUGAUCAGUACUAACUCUUAAAUAAGGGAUUUAUAAGAAAGUAGCAACUCACAAGAACUAUACAGGUUUAGCUGUAAGAAAAUAAGUAAAGAGGAUCAGAAGAUAAAGAUGAUGUUUUAUUGGUUCAUCAAACUAAUAUAAACAUAACAUAAAUCAAAACAUGUGGAGGUCAAGCAACAGGGAUGGGAGUGACAUAACAUGAAUCUUCCAUCCAAAAUCAGCAAUCAGGAAUCGAACACUAUAAUCUGAGUCUAGACAUUAAUCGGAAUGGUAGGACCACGGGAAAAUAGACAUAGAGUUUUGUGGUUGACCAGUCAAUGUUGUUAUAUUUUCAUCAGUUGCUUUAAACAAAGUGACAAAACUGGAAUGUCUUGGGAAACAAAAAGAAAUAAAAGCAGAUCGUAUGUAUUGAUAAGAGAGCUCUCAAAUAUAUGAAUCAUAUUGCAAUCUAUCUCGACGUGAUAGUACUUCUCAUUUAUUAUAGUUUAUAGAGUGAUCCGCUAUCUUAAUUUCUAAGUACUAUUUAUCAUACUCCUAUAUAGAUAUAUGAGUACUUUCUUUUAUAUUGAUAUUCUACUUUAUGGCUCGAUACUUGAAAUAAGUUUUAAAUAUAUGAAUACUAUUUUGGAUGUUUGAUCUUAUCAACUUUGAUUUGGUUUAUCGAGAGUGAAUGGUAAUUGCUAAUAAUGCGAACUGAGUUUUUUUGGGGUGGGGAGUAAAAUAAUGCCAAUUGAGUUGUUCAUGGUAAUAUAAGUUUUUUUUUUAUAAUUCUUAUGAUCAUUAUUAUAUGCCGUAGAUGAUUGUUUUGUUGGUGUAGCUGAUGGUCUAAGCAACUGAUGACAAUCGAAACUUUAUUACUUUUGCUAAAUCAAGUUGGUCCAUCUCAUAAUAAUGGUUGAAAAAAACCGUUGGUCCAUUUCUGCACUAGUAAGUGAACAGUGAUCAAGAAUGGGCUAGAAUUUCUGUUCGAAAAGAUUAAUUUGGACUUUAAAAAUGUAGGUCUAGGAAGUGUUCUUACAAGCUUAGGAAUUGACAUAAAUGACUCAACUUAAACCAACCUUUUCUAAACCUAAUUUGUAGUAUUUUGUUAAGAUAUGAUAGUUUACUACGAGGAGCACUUUGGUAGGAAAAAAAGUUCUGAAAUUUAUGGGAUCUAAAAUAUAUAGUUUUUAAUUAAUUUAGAAAUCAAAUAUUAUUUAUAUAUUAAUAAUUAUGGAUAAAUGCGAAUAUUUUAUUUCGCUGUAAUUAGAACAUCGGUUGUAUACUCGCUCAAAUGACAUGUGAAUCAAAUAAUAAACCCUAACGUCUGAAUUAUAAACGUAGAACCUUGAAACUUCCGGACAUAUAUUCCUUAACAACAGCAGGAACAGAGUGACUGGCCGGCAGUAUAAGUGGGACCUUGAUGCCGGGUAAUUGGGCAACACGUGACGGCAUGGCAAAGGAAUAAUUUGGAGAAAUCGAGGAAAGAUAAAAUGAUAGAGCAAGUGGUUGCAGCCAUAUUGGUUUUGCAUGUGGUGUCUCACUCACAGUCAGGGUUUCAAACUCUUGUAACUUUUUUUCAUUCUUUUUUUUGGUAAACAUGUUAUAAGAUUGCAUUACCAGUUUUUGAGUUUGUGACAGAAGGUACAAAGGAUACUAAUAGCAGAAAAUACAAACACCGAAAUGAAACUACUAAACAACAACAAAAUACAGUAAAGAAAAACACGAUUGAGGACGGACAUCGAAAGACGAAGGAGAGAGCACUCGAGAGAACUUGUGAGAGUUGCAAGAGUACGCAACAAGCAAGCUCAGAAACUCCAUAGUAAGGCAUCAGUUAUAAUAUGAGUCACGAGCCAGUAAUAUUGGCUUGCCCAGGCACUCGCCUCCAAAACAUGACCUCACCACGAAGCCCUUCCACCUGCAGAGAGCAAAGACACCAGCGAGAGCUCGGAGCUCGCAGCAGACGACAAUGAGGCCGCACCAAAGCGGCGAAAUCGACGAACCAGAGCCUGUCGAAGCAGACGACAAUGGGGCCGCACCACUUUUUUUCAUUCUUUGUUUACAUUAUAGCAAGAUCUAUCUAUUUCCAAAUAAUCUCAGACAAAAACUUUAGAAUCAAAUUUUAUUAUACUCUAGUUUGGUUGUAUAUGUAGGCAUAUGUUAGACAAUAUAUAAGACUUUGCUCAAAAAAAAUGACAAGACAUUCAUAUAAUAUAUUAUGUAAUCAUGUUUUCGAUUCCUUUUUAAAAUUAUAAUGUUAUCAUAUAUAUAUGUUUUUGGAAUAGUACAAACUUAGUAAAAAAAUUGUUUAAUUUUGUGUUGUAUUAUUGGCUUAUUAAUGUUCUUUCAGUUAGAACUGUUUUAGUUUCUUACAAAAACAACUUGCAUGCUCUGAAAGUUAAGAACACUAACCAAGAGCUGUGUAUAAAAUAAACGAAAGAAGAUUUAGGAUCGGAUUAGAGAUUUUGAGGCACUAUUCCCAAAGGGACCCCGCAUAUAUUCUUGCCUCCAUCUUCAAGCAAAGCAUCAAAGCGUAGAUUCCCAUGCAGUUCUUUCUUUUUAGCUGUUGUUCCCUUUUUAUUUAAUUUAAUAGUAGCUCUUUGGAGCUUUCUUUUGUUUGUUUCCACUUUAGUGAAAAUUUCUCUAGAUUUCAGAAAAUGGAUUCGUUUUUACGAUCUGUAUAUUUUUCAUUCACUCAUUAAGUUUUGAUUGGUAUUAUUAGAAUGUGCUCUUCUUACUCAAACUUAUGGUCUCUUUUCUUUAUCUCUUUCUUUUGUAGAAAGUUUUCUUUCAUCUUGUUUUUGUUUGCUUUCGUCUAUAUCAAGCUAGUUUCUCCAAAGUAAAAUGUAUACAAUUUGCUUUCAAAAUUCAUUUCAAAAAAAUCAUUUUAAAAUGUACUAUAUGGCUUAACAAAAAAAAACUGUCUCAAAGAAAUAAAUUUGUAAAUAGAAUAGGUUUUUGAUUCUGUUUAUAAAUAUCUAAAUAGGUAAAUUAAAUUAUAAAUUAUUAAACGAAAUUUUCUUUUUAUUCAAAAAAACAAAGAAUAAAAAAAACUUUUCCUCACUUACAAUAAAUCAUAAACUUUGUUAUAAUGAAAAUGUGUUAUCGACAAGAAUUUAAAUAAUCCCAUCAGUUAUUCAGUUUACAUAUAGUUUUUCAUUUGUUAAAUUUGUCUGAUAUGAAUGUCUUUUACAAAAAUGAUGUCGUCAUGUAGACGCGUCACUGGUUCGUGUGAUAAAAAGCAUCAGAUAUUGCAUUUUCUACCGCGGGCCUGUAAUAACUUUAUCACAAUGUAGUAAUUUGGGCCGGUGGGCUUAACUACACAUAUAGGAAAUAUCAAAUGUUAUUGUUCAAAAAUAAAACGAAAUAUCAAAUGUAAAAUCAUUCAGUAAAUUCUCUAAUUCAUUUACUCACUCUUCUCAGAGAUCAACCUUCUGAUCAACCCCAGUAUCUCUUCUCUCAAACGGUUAGCCAGAUCCGGUACAGUCUCCUUCACAUCAGUAAACCACAACUCAUCCCGGUUCUGCACUCCUCCAGAGCUAAACCAUUGGCAUAUAACCUGAGCGAUUGCAAGAAGGUAAACACCACAGUCGUACCCAUUCCUCUGCUGCGGUGUAUCACUGCACUCUCUGUAUAUCGCAUCUCCAUCAGACACAAACGGAGAAACCGCUUCGAAGAGCUGUUUUGCACUCCAUUUAUUCAGUCCCAUCAAGCUGUCGUGAUGAAAAAACGAGUUGGCUUCUUUGUAAUACACGAGUAAGGUCCAGUGUAAUCCUCCUUCGGCUAGCUCGACAUUGGUGUUGUCGUUUACGGGGAAUAUCAGGAGGUCGCUGUCGCGUAAUCCAAGGGGUUUGAUGAAGUCUUUGAGUGAUUCGGUGUCGGGGCAGUUUGAGAUCCAGAAGGCAAUGGAGGGAGGGAUCAGUGAGAUGGCAGAGGAAGUGUGGACCGUGGAUAAGUAGCUUAGGUAGAACUCGAUGACACGGUCGUUAAGAAAAUUGGGUCCGUUUAGGAUGUCCAAAUCUGAUCUCCGGAGGACAACAUCGUUGUAGCUAAGGAUCUUGUCGUCAUCUGAACUGUAUCCCAUGGCCGACAGUGGAGGAAUCUAUAAUAAAUCUGCAAUGUGCAAAUGUCAAUGAGGCAACCUUUAUGUAAGCUAAUAUCAAGAAAACAUAUACAGUUAGCGUGCGUAGCAAGACAUGCAUCAAAUAAAUACAAACCAGAACAUUCGUUGAGGCUUUUUGUCGAACAGUUUGCGUUCAUUAGAACAUUUUUUUUCGUACAAAAAUCACGCAAACUAAUGAAUCAACAGUUACCUUGAAUCUCUUUAAUCUAUACGUGAUGCCUCCUGAAAAAGGAUCAGAUCAAUCCACGGCUUGCAAAAGGAACUGUAAUCUGAGUUAAAUAAUAAUAAUAAUAAUCCCAGAAAGAAAGAAUGAAGAGAAAAAUGUGAAGAAAGGAAAGUUGAUUUGGUGUAUCAAAUGGAAAAGGAAUCUAACUUAAGGCCCAUGAGCCCAAUAUUGGAACUUCUUAGAUGCGUUUCAGCUUCCAGUCGCGUUGUCCACAAUAAAUGCUUUCAUUCAACAAUUUAUUACGUUAUUUUCUCUCUCAAUCUUCUGAAUUUUGAAGGAGUUUUAAAACGCAUAAUUGCUUCCUUUUUUUUAACAACUUUAAUUUAUUAUUGCUUCCUUAUGUGUGUAUGAUAUUCAAAUCUUCUAAUGCAUAUUUUCACGUAAUUGAUUAAUUUGUAUCUUGAUAAAAAAAGAUAAAAUUUUAGUUGUUUUAAAAGUUAUUAAACUGUAAUAUGAAAAUACACAAAAAGAAUCUCUGGAUAAUUGAGUAUUAAACUUUAAUGUUCCUUUGUGUCCGAGUUUAGUUUGAUCUUUCAACUUGAGAUUAAUCUUUCAUUUUCACUUAACAAAACUGAUCUUGUAAUUUGAUUUUCUACUAGAAUAUGUAUGUUAAGAAUAUUCUCACUAAGCUUUCCCUUUGUUCUUAUCCUUUUGCAGUUUUGUUAAAUCAAUUUUUUUGUCUUUUUAAUAUUUUCUUUGUUAUGGAUUUUUCAAUCGAUUUUUUUUUUGUUUCAUUCUAACAUAUAAAAAGAAAGUCAAUUUAUUUAGGCAUAGACAAUAUUGUAUUCUUUAUUGAUCUGGUCAGUUCUCUCCAAGUGAACGGAUCCGUGCCCAAUGCAGGAAGGCCAAGAGGUCCUCAAGGAAACUGGUGAAUCAUUUUUUUAUAUACAGAAGAAAGCACAUUUUAACCAACAACAUCAUUACAAUAACACAAAGAUCUUUUACUGUCAAACUAUUUUUGCUUUUGAACUAUACAAUUCACAGUCUAAUCCAUCUACGAUCUAAGAAACCUGAAUAAACUAUCAUCUUCUUUUCAUAUUUAAUGAAAAUAAGGAUAUAAUAUAUCGUAAUACACAACCUUUUUCAUUUUUAAUUUGGUUAAGGAAUUUCCUUUGUUAUAUGAAAACCGAAAAUGAUAUUAGAGGGUAGAGGCUCCAUCAUGUAGAUGGGGAGAUCAUUAAUUGAACUAUGUACAAUACAACAAAAUUAAGUGAUCUCAUUAACGAACUUGAUAUUGUACCAAUAUGGAAACUAUAUGAAAAAUAGGAAACACAUUUCCCUCUCCCAAGUAGAAAGUUUAUUAAUAAUAGAGAGUAAAGCUAUAAUUUAACAUCUCCGAUGAAUUAUAACUAAUCAAUCUGGUUAAGGAAUUUCCUUUGUUAAAAACGGAAAAAGGAAACUGGAGACAACAUGUGGUAUGCGGAGAUGGUUGGUAUAUUGUACAACAAAUAUGUUCAGGUAGUGAAUAAUCUACGUUUGACGAAUUAAUUAAAAGCCAAACCUGAAUAUGAAAACUAUAUAGCAAACAAAAACGCAAAAAGGAAAUUCUAGUGGUUUAUAUUCCUUUUCCUAGUAAGAAAACAAAUACAAUCUCUCUAACAAAGUAGUAUAAAUAUAGGUCAUUAUUACUCACCUUCACAGAUUCAAUCCAACAAAGCAUCCUAACACUCGAACAUCUCCAAAAGAUUAGUUUCAGUACAAUGGUAAUGUCCGAUAAUAGUCCGUUCUCCAUGUCGACCAUGUUCAAUGCUUUACAACAAAUCCACCUCUCAAAUACGCGCUUAAAACGGCUCUUUAACCUAAUGACUAGUUGUGAAGGCGUGGGACAGUUUAAGGAUCUGAUCUCAACGUUUGACCAAAGCCAGCUUCAGAUGAUGGCGUCGUUGCUGACGUCAGACUCCGAGUACUUCAUGGAGGUCGUCAGAAACAAGUACGGGUCGAGACGCGUGCAGAAGCUCCUCGGAGUAUCAGUUGACGUGGACGCGUUAUUCUACGAUGCUAUCUUGCAACGCUUCUUCGACAUCAUGACCGACAAGUACGCAUCCUACGUAGCGAUUCGAGCUGUGGUCGUUUUCGACCAGGUGAAGAAACAUGUGAUGUACAAGCACGUUCUCCACUACGCGCUCGACAUAGCGCGUUACCAAUACGGCUGUGUCGCGCUCAACGAGGUUAUAAUCGACGCGGAUGAUCCUUUAUACAGGAACCGGUUACUAGACGUAGUCGCGCGCAACGCUCUCUUCCUAAGCAACGAUCUUUGGGGGAACUUUGUGGUCCAACACGUGCUUAAACUGUAUGACUUGCGUUGCACGCACAACGUGGCGGUAAGUCUUCGUGGCCACUGCGUUGAUCUGUCGUUUAAGAAGUAUGGAAGCUACAUCGUGGAGAAGCUCUUGGAGGCUGAGGUGUCGAUGGGUAUGGUGGUUGUGGAGCUUUUGAAGUGCGAUAGAGAUAGGUUGAUGAGGCUGGCGAGGAGUGAGAUUGGGAAUUUCGUGGUGCUCAAGGCACUGGAAGUCACGCAAAAGAUGAAUAGGGUUGAUUUGUUUAGGGAUCUGGUGCAGAAGCUGAUGCCUCUUCGCCACCUUUUGCUUAGGUCUCACGGAAGCAACAUUGCAAACAUCUUGGAGUCAUGUUCCAUAGCUAAUAGGUGUUCAAAUUAAAAGUUUUCGAUUGUGUUAUGGUUGAUUAUAGAAUUCUGGUUUAAAGUAGAUUGUGAUUUUUUGUGCAAGAGGAUCCUGAUUUAAUAAAAAAAAAAAAAAAUUCUGAGUACAAUAAUUGAAUUAAAAAAGUGAUGGAAGACAACGAUUGCAUGCAGUAAUUCAACAUUAUAGAAUUUUCAGAAGUAUUCAUGAUAAAUUUGCGUUAACAAAAAAAAAAAAGAGAAUCAUGAUAAAUUUGUAGGACAUACGGGCAUAAAUAUAGUUCAACUGCUCAACAGUAAUAUUUUGAUUUCUUUUCUCUUUUUAUAUAUGUUUUUGCUAUAACAAUAUGAUUUUGUAUAAAAUUAUGUUUGAGAAAGAAAAAAUUUGUCUUAGAACUAAAUUGAAUUACAGUUUUCAAUAGAAAAACAAAUAAGAAGCGGCGACACAACUUCUAUCUCUGUUACCAGUGGACUUGGACACUUGCAUGCAUCAACAAGGCAACCAAACAUCAACAUCUUCAGCUCCUGCAAUAGAGAAAACAUCUUUAUUACCGGUCAAAAUACUAUCAAACCCCGUGGAUAAACUAACAUAACACUUUAUAAGAUAAAAGUUUACCUUUUGAGUUCAAAAAUGCUCUUGGUGAAAUUAUGUUGGGGCCAUGCAUCUUCACUCAAUAGCAUUGGAAGCAGUUUUUGAUGAUUCUUCCAGCAACUUGGGACCAACCAGAGCAAAUCCAACAAAGCAGAAAACCUCUCUUCAUGCCAGAAUUACAUCCCAUAUGUUCUCUUAUACACAUCUCCCGGACUUGGAAUCCGAAAAUUCGGUUCUUCAUAUCCGUUGUUGUAUAGGCUCCCAUUGAAUCCCAACCGUUCAUUCCUAAGAAGCUCGGCCAUGCCUAGAGAGUUCACACUUUGGCCUUCAUUCCACUUAUCCCAGUGACCAUUAGACAAGACUGGAUUUGCAGAUGGUUGUUGUCUUGGGUGCUGUGAGAAAAGAGAUAAAUUACUUCCAUGUGCCUGAUGGUCCAUUAGCCUUGAGCUAAAUCCGUAAGUUUCUGCAAGUGAAGGAGAUAAGUUUCUGAGAUCAUGAUGAAACCCAUUGACUUCUUGUUGUGCAGCAGACAUAGACUGAUGUCUCAACAUUUGGAGUCCUGUCUCGUUCCCAAAGGAAUUCAUUUGUGAUGAGAAACUUGAUCUCAUAUCCAAGUCUGCAUUUACCAUCCCUCUUCCAACAGCUAGUAUAGCAGGAUCCGCAAACUCUAUAUCACUCGCACCACUCGGGUUCCCAACUGGAGGCUGUACUUGAUAUGUAUUCCUCAACAUGGCAGCAGAGUCAAGAAAACGAGUUCCUAAGAUACAAGGAAGCAUGAGAGUUUUAGUCUGUAUCUGUAGCAUCAGUCGCACACUAAGCUACCACAAAACAGAGGUAAAGAACUACCUGGUGCCGUAUCUGAAGAUAGGCCCACUCUUUCAAGUGAAGAGAAGCCAGGAGGAGGUAACCUGCUGGGGGCAGAGAAUCCUGGGGGAGCAGAAACUUGAGGUCGUGAAACUGCUACAGAACAACAGAAAAAAUAUGAGAAAAAGAUUCAAUCCAAUCAAGAUACAAAGGAAAUUCAUCAACGAUAAAUACUAACCAGGAGUCUUGUACGAUGAAAAUAAAGGACUAGCAGAAACAUUAUCUAAUCCACCGGAAUAGUUUGAAGCAAAUCCAUUUAGAUUCCCGAGAUUACCCCGAUAAAUAUCUCGGCUAACUACAGACUCUUGAAUAGGCCUCUCUCUUGAAAACUGCCCAUAAAUGCUAUGGUUCUCCCUGUCAAAUGCUUGAUUACUAGAUUCUUGUGCAAAAGAAAAUCUAGACUGGCUGUUAUGUUGCUUUAGGAGGUUUGAAGGUUUCACAGGACUGGAUCGCUGAUCAACUUUACCGAGUAACUCAGCCAAAUUGUGGGGUGAAGUUAAGGAUUCAUCCCAUGGAUCAAAGUCGAGUGACAAAAUGUUUGAGAUUAUUUCAUCCUCUGCACUGCGAACUUUGUUCCUGCCUUCAUUAGCAAACAGAGAGUGAUCCACAUUGAACAUGGAUUUCUCACCAAACCCAUUUUGAAGAUGCAACCUAUCACUGCCUCUAUCCGAAGGGAAUCUCAAGUUUGAACCGUUUACACCUGAAGCUUCAGAAGGCAGGGAAGAACUAGACAAAAACCGCGAGUGGGUAACAUCCUCUUCACGGUGAUGCCUUUGGCUAUCAAAUGAUGACAUAUCCUCCACAUCCAAUUUUGAGUCGACUUUUAUUUGUGAUUGCAAAUCUAAUCUCCAAUCCCACUCUGGCCUUGUGCAGGGAACCCCAGUCUCUGAUGGAAAAGAUUCUUCAUCAGUGUUUAUAGAGCUAUCCAUCUUACAUUGCUCUAGCUCUGGCAACUUUGAUACUUCAUGAUCAGAUUGUCUAUUAGAAUCUUGAUCACACUCACUACUAAUCGCAAUAUCAGGACGGUUAUCUCUGGAAUUUGCAGUCAUCUCCAUUUGUGAAACACCAACAGACAAGUUGCCUACAGUAGGGCCAUCUUGUGUAACAGUAACACGCAAGUUUCCUACAGUAGGGCCAUCUUCUACACCAUCCUCUGAAUCGUCAGACGAGUUCACAGCAGCUAAAGGCUUGUCAAUGUCUCUGCCAUCGUAGGAAGAGUCGGUUGAACUGGAUAACCGAUUGCUAGGAGAAUCUCUAUCAGGUGAGGUGGUUCUCUUGGACCCAGAACCAACCACAACAUUAUGCUGCAAAGGCUUCAAAACCCUAAGCUUGCUUUUGUCAACAGCUUUUUGAUUUUCUUCUUUGCCUGAUGGUCUUUUAAGAAUGUUACUAGAGGAUACAGGCCCAUGAGCUGCGUUUGCAACAACAGCAGAGAAGGCCAAGGUUCCAUUUACUGGGGUCGCUCUUUGUAUAUCAGAAGAUCCAUUUGAGGUAACCGAAGUUGCUAAAGACAGCUGGUUUGCAUUAUGUGUCCCCCUGUAACAGAUAUCCCUAUUUUGUUAUAUUGACCCAUUCAAAUACCUCGCAUAAAAAAGCAGCAAGUGAAAAACUUACCAUGCCGCUGCAGCAGGAAGAGCAGUGGAUCUGCUAGAGCUCCCACUCCCACUAGGUGGAGAAUACCUGGGAACACUUACUGCAUUCUGCUCAUAGAAAAAAAUGAGAAAUGAAAAUAGUAAGCUUAGUCAACUGAAAUGAAUUUAUAAGCUAGUCAUGUCACAUCAUUAAGUUAGUCACCAAUUAGAAUUUAACAAACAUAAAACCUUCCGAUUUGUAAUAUUUUGUUGUUGGUUUUGGGGCCGUUUGAGGCUUGGAAGAGUAUAUGGAAACUAAAGCUUCUAGGAGAUGGUAAUAAAAUUUAAAUUGCACAUAAUGUCAGAAGAACUGUCACUUAACUGAACUUACACUUGAAGGAAUUUUUGCAAUUGGUUUAGCAGAGGAACUGUCACUGCAAAAAGCAUCUAGUGGUGGAGGUAGCAUGAUCCCUGAACGGUGCUGCAGAAUGUUUGUUGCUCCAGUGAUUUGCUGAACUCUACUCCUUCAAAAGUACUAUAAGACUUCAGCAAGCCAUCAUAUUACAUAUAUACUAGUAAGGUAAAAGAUCCAAGAAAGCGAACAAUCAUGAACGCAAGACAGAAUUAUAAAGGUUAAGAUGAUAAACGUACCUUGUAUGGGAAGAUAUGGCCUCAUCUUUUGUGAAACUAUCCUCUUGUGAACCGACCUCGUGCAGAUAGAGACAAUCAGGAUUAACACACGCCUGGAAACAAAAACAUGCAAUUAAUCAUUACAAAGACAUCAAUCUCAAUUUUUUAUCUGAAAAGAGGUAACCAAAAGAAAAACUCAGGGGGUCAGAAAGUAGAACAAUAAUCUAGGGAAGGCGUACCGCAUUUCUCAGCCAUGCAUGACAAUACUUGGUUGUCCCAAAACACGCCCUGCAAUAUAUAUAUAAAAAUACAUCUUAUCCACAACUGAAUGAAAACAAACUAAAAACACCAAAUACAUAGUUUCAAACAAAAAAAAGGAAGCGAGUCAAAACUUACUUCAGUGAUUUACCAUCCAAGAUAAACCCAUGAACAGCCUGGAUGCAACGGACAGCCUCUUCCUCUUUUGCAUAAGUAAUAUAUCUGAAUAAUAAAAAAUAUUACCAGAUGAGUACAAUAAUGACAAGCAAAAACUCAAUGAACUUUAUGAUAAAAGGAAAAAUUUUGGCUGACAGAAACGCACACACUGCAUGUAUCAUUCGGGAAUAGUUGGAUGGCACCAGAUGAUGUUCGGGACAUGGAAACCUUCAGAACUUUUCCAUACUGACCGAAAUAUUCUUUAUGAUAGAGUAGCUGCAAGGAAAAUGGAGCCUAGUCACAUAGCAAUUCACAAAGAAAUGAUAAAAAGGGUGUAGUGUAGAUAAGAGUUAUCAUACAUCUUCAUCUGCUAGAUUAAGGGGCAACCCGACAAUGUAAACAAGAUUCCUCUGGAUGACGCGCACACUAGUGAGUUGCUUUCUCCCUUCAGAAGGUUUUGAUUUUGACUUUUGAGUCUUCUUGCGCUCCAUGUUGGUUUCAAAGGCCAGACUGACAACAGCCAUUAUAAGCAAAUCAGUAAAAGAGAGCGUAAAGAAAGAUUAUCCCAUAAAUAUAAAAUUCACCGAAAAAAUCAAGUGUUAGAACCUGUCGCAGUCAACAGUCAUCCCUACAAUCUUUUCUUUGUCAUAUGGAGUGCGACAAGCAGGACAACGCCCUUCUAUCUGAUCUUUCUCUGCCAUGUCCACUAUGUGAUGCCAGCACCAAACACAAAUCUGUAUCACAUACAAAAGAAAUCAUUAACAGAGCAAAGUUCAAUGGUCAAUGAGGCCAAAAAAGACGUGCAUGCUUCAUGGAUAAAUUGCGGCAGAAACUUUGAGCUAAAAGCUAAAAUGUUAUGCUGAUUAUUGCUACUGAACACUGAUAACAUGUAAAUAAACAGAAGAUGGGAAGACCUGAUAGCCGCAUUUGCAAGGCUUCAAUUGCUGAUCAGUGAGAUCCAUCUCUUCAGCACAUAGUGGGCAAGUCUUCUCUCCUUGGUCGCUCAUGGUUGUCUACAAAAAGAAUUCGAAAUAUAUUACAAAAGCCAAACUAAUAAAAGACUGAAAGCACGAGCUCAGCCACCAAAUCUAGCUAAAAAGGCUAAACUUUUACGAUUCACACAUCCACAAAUCCUGAUGUGGAAACCUAAACUCGCAUGGAGGUUGUUUGGUAACGUAAAGAUAAACAUUUUCUAUGCCAUAAACAUCACUUAUCAUCAUCAGAAGAAAUAAAACUCAAAUGCAAAUUCAGCAUAUCCCCAAUCAAACCCUAAGAGUCUAUUACUCAUCAAAGCUAAUUAGCUCUAAAUAUUCAAACUUUCAGAUCGAUACUAAGAAUUAAAACAAAAAAGGAAUCUACGAUGAAGAGCUCCUAGGAAUCGAUCUGCGCACGCACCGUGCCCGAUUCAAUUUACAUCGUUCAGAUAUAAACAUAUGAACCAAUCCAAAAUCUCAAAUCAUAAUUUUACGAUCUAAACUAAUAAAAAAAAAUGAUGAUCCAAUUAAAAACCCAGAACUAGGGUUUUGAAGAGAAAGAGAGAAACAUACGAAUUGAGAAAAGAUUCGAUCGGAGAUUUUGCAGAGGGAAGAAGAUUGGUGAGAUGAGGAGGAAAACGAAGCUGGAGAUUUGCGAGCGAAACAGAGAAAUUGGAUGGCUGUGAUUUUGGGGGAUGUGAGAUUUCGCCUUUUUUUUUAACCCUUGAUCUCUCUGCCAGAUCCACGUUGCUGUCCGGUUCGGUUUUAUUACUAGAUUCUGUCCGGUUGUAAACCGGUAGAUUUCAGCCGGUUUUUAGGCGUUUUAUGUUAUUACCAAAAAUUUAAUGACAGCAUAUUAAGAAGUAACUUUGCAAACUUGACCAUGUAAAAAUUAUUAUGGAGUGGAUAAUGGAGUUAUUAAAUUAUUUAAAUAUAUGAAACUGAGUGGACGUAUAAUUAAUUAAUUACAGCUUUGACCCACAAUAAAGAAGAAUCAGUUUCAACAUGCCAUCAAUUGAAACAAAAGACUGGUGAAGGAGGGGGCAUUGAUCGAUUGAACUUUACAGUAUGAUUUCCAACAUAAACGGCUCUCUCAGUCACUCGUAAUUAUGAGCCUACAUAUUCUCUAAGAUACUUUUGUUGAGCAAAUCAAGCGUUACACAUUAAUGUUGCUACAAGAGUUAGGCACCAAAGAGAAAGAGAGAGAAGAUACUUGUUGGAGUCUUGAGCAAGACACAUAUCAUAAAGAUAACAAGACUGGGAAUGCGGUUUCAGUAUGACAUUGUUAUUUAAGCCCAUUUCUCUUUUUGUUCUGUCUUCCUCUACUUGUUUUCUUUCACCACAUUGGUCAUAUCUUGAAUCCAAGUAAAAGUAGUAAGUGUGUACCGUUAAUGUUUUCUUUUGCCAUUUGAAGCAACAAGCGUUCCAAGCCUGUGUGUUUAUACUGCAAAAAGGCACAAUCGCUGAAGCAAGCCAUGAGAUGGAAAGAUAUAAUAUUCCUUUUUUUUUUGCUUUCUUUUUUCUAUUUAGAAAGAACUUGUCUUAUCUUUUCACUUCUCAAAAUAAAUUAAGAUCAGAGCACAAAGAGGUGACAAUGAACAGAGGUUUCUCUUCUACUCUCUUCUCUGUUCUUGAUUCAGUGAAUUCAAUGUGGCAAACUAUUGACUGAUCUCAAGCUGAGUUUGAUGUGGGAAAUAGGCUACAUUAAUUUGGUAUAUUAUACUUUUCAUUUCGACGCGCAUGAUAUGAAGGGGUAAAUUUUAUACUUCAUUUUGUUGGAGUCAGUAGCUAUUCCAUCUACGUACGGUUAUAAUCAUUACCCUUGACAUCAUUUUAACUGAGGCGACCUCUCUUGUAAACCGAUGCUUCAUCUUUGUUGACCUCCUAUGAAAGCAUCAUCUCCACCUCGAGAUGAUGUUGUGAGUGAGGGAUCACCCAAUUUUUUUAUAACGACGGAUCACUACCAGAACUACUCUCCUCUGAAAUCAAAGAGGUCUUCCGUAUGUACAAACUUGCUUCAUUUUUAUGUUAAUUCACAUAUUUAUAAUAAAAAAAGGGGGUUUUCCCUUUAUCACUAUGUGCACAUGAAGGUGAUAUUGGCCCGCUAGUAUUCCCACCUUUUAUGAAUAGUAAUUUCAUGCAUUCGAAUAAUCUGGAUAAACAUAUUAGCUAUAACCUUACGGUGCCUGAUAUUUUAUUUUCACUGCCUACUUGAAAAGUGGAUAUCAUAAGUUUAUAGUCUUUUUAAUAGCUGUUUACUAUAUAUAUUUAAUUAUACCCAUAUAGAGUUAUCACCUAGAUGGACUUUUGUGUAUGAGAAUAAUUGGUUAUUGGUUUAUUUAUAAAUUUAGUUAGCAAUAAGCUUAAUAUUAACCCAUCAAAUAAAAAUAACUCUUUGUUUUUGUCCCUAAUUACGAUUUUAAAGAAAGUUGAGAGCAAAGAUAUAAUUCAAAAUCUAAUCCAUCUCCGAUGAAUUAUAAUUAAUCAAUCUGGUUAGGGAAUUUCCUUUGUUAAAAAACGGAAAAAGGAAACUGGAGGCGACAUGUGGUUUCAUCGACAUAUGUACAACAAAAUAUAUUCAGGUAGUGAAUUAUAUAAUCUACCUUUGACGAAUUAAUUAAAAGCAAAACCUGAAUAUGAAAACUAUAUAGCAAACCAAAACGCAAAAAGGAAAUUCUAGCGGUUUAUAUUUCCUUUUCCUAGUAAGAAAACAAAUACUCCCUCUAACAAAGCAGUAUAAAUAUAGGUCACUACAGCCCUUCACAGCAACAAUCAAACAAAGUAUCUCUCGAACAUCUCCAUAAGCUAUAGUCAAGAUUAGUUUCUGUACAAUGGCACCCGACAACAAUCCGUUCUCCAUGUCGACCAUGUUCAAUGCUUUACAACAAAUCCACCUCUCAAAUACGCGCUUAAAACGGCUCUUUAACCUAAUGACUAGUUGUGAAGGCGUGGGACAGUUUAAGGAUCUGAUCUCAACGUUUGACCAAAGUCAGCUUCAGAAGAUGGCGUCGUUGCUGACGUCAGACUCCGACUACUUCAUGGAGGUCGUCAGUAACAAGUACGGGUCGAGACGCGUGCAGAAGCUCCUCGGGAUAUCGGAUGACGUGGACGCGUUCUUCUACGGUGCUAUCUUGCAACGCUUCUUCGACAUCAUGACUGAUAAGUACGCAUCCUACGUGGCGAUUCGAGCUACGGUCGUUUUCGACCAGGUGAAGAAACAUGUGAUGUACAAGUACCUUCUCCACUACGCGCUCGACAUAGCGCGUAUACAAUACGGCUGCAUCGCGCUCAACGAGGUUUUAACCGACGCGGAUGAUCCUCUCUACAGAAACCGGUUACUAGACGUAGUCGCGCGCGACGCUCUCUUCCUAAGCAACGAUCUUUGGGGGAACUUUGUGGUCCAACACGUGCUUAAACUGUAUGACUUGCGUUGCACGUACCGCGUGGCGGUUAGUCUUCGUGGCCAUUGUGUUGAUCUGUCGUUUAAGAAGUACGGAAGCUACAUCGUGGAGAAGCUCUUGGAGGCUGAUGUGUCGAUGGGUAUGGUGGUUGUGGAGCUUUUGAAGUGCGAUGGAGAUAGGUUGAUGAGGCUGGCGAGGAGUGAGUUUGGGAAUUUCGUGGUGCUCACGGCACUGAGAGUCACGCAGGAGAUGAAUAGGGUUGAUUUGUUUAGGGAUCUGGUGCAGAAGCUGAUGCCUCUUCGCCACCUUUUGCUUAGGUCUCACGGAAACAAAAUUGCCAACGUCUUGGAGACAUGUUCUAUAGCUACUAGGUACUCAAAUUAAAAGUUCUCAUAUUGUUCUAUACUGAUGAAUUCUUGUUAAAAGAAGUUUGUCUUUGGUUUGAUCUUUUGUACAAGGAUCCAGAUUUAAUUCAAAGUAGACUUUUUUAUUCUUGAAAUCAAAAGUGAUGAAAGAUAACGAUUACAUGCAGUAAUUCUGACAUUUUAUACAAUAUUCAGAACUAUUCUUGAUAAAUUUGUAGGAAAGACGGCCAUAAAUGAUAGAUAGUAAUAUUUAGAUUUUUUUUUAAAUGAUUUUGCUAUAACAAUUUGAUUUUGUAUAAAUUAUGUUUAAAAAAAACCUUUAUUGUCUACAGAACUAAAAUGAAUUACAGUUUUGAAUAAGAAAACAAAUAAAGAGGUGGCCGGCCACACAACUUCUACCUCCGAUGCCCUUUCGCCACCUUUAGCGUAGGUCUCACGGAAGCAACAUUGCAAACAUAUUGGAUACAAGAUGCUCAAAUUAAAAGUUUUCGAAUGUUGUAUGGUUGAUUGCUGAAUUCUGGUUUAAAGUAGAUUGUUAUUGAAUUUUUUGUACAAGGAUCCUGAUUUAAUUCAAACAGUGUGGCUUUUUAUGUACAACGAUUGCAGGCAGUAAUUCAAACAUUAUACAAUUUUCAGAACUAUUCAUGAUAAAUUUGUAGGAAAGACGGGCAUAAAUAUACUUCAACAGUAAUAUUUCAAUUUCUUUUUAUAUAUAUGUUUUUGCUAUAACAAUUUUUUUUUGUAUAAAAUUAUGUUUUAGAAAAAAAAACUUUAUUUUCUGUAGAACUAAAUUGAAUUACAGUUUUGAAUAAGAAAUCAAAUAAGAAGACACAACUUCUACCUCUGUUACCAGUGGACUUACAUUUACAUGCAUCAACAAGGCAACCAAACAUAACAUCUUCAGCUCCUGCAAUAGAGAAAACAUAUUUAAUACCGGUCAUAUAUACUAUGGAUAAACCAACAUAACACUUGAUAAGAUAAAAGUUUGAAUACCUUUUAGAGUUCAAAAAUGCUCUUGGUGAAACUAUGUUGGGGCCAUGCAUCUUCACUCUGCGCAGCACUGGAAGCAGUUUUGGAUGAUUCUUCCAGUAAAACUUGGGACCAACCAGAGCAAAUCCAACAAGUAGAAUACCUCUCUUCAUGCCAGAAUUACAUCCCAUAUGUUCUAUUAUACACAUCCCCGGGACUUGGGAUACGGAAUUUCGGAUCUUCAUAUCCAUUGUUGUAUAGGCUCCCAUUGAAUCCCAGCCGUUCAUUCCUAAGUAGCUCAGCCAUGCCUAGAGAGUUCAAAUUUUGGCCUUCAUUCCACUUAUCCCAGUGACCAUUGGACAAGGCUUGAUUUGCAGAUGGUUGUUGUUGUCUUGGGUGCUGUGAGAAAAGAGAUAAGCUACUUCCCUGUGCCUGUUGAUCCAUUAGCCUCGAGUUAAAUCUGUAAGGAUCGAUAGGUGAAGGAGAUGAGUUCCUGAGAUCAUGAUGAAACCCAUUGACUUGUUGUUGUGCAGCAGACAGAGACUGCUGUCUCAACAUUUGGAGUCCUGUCUCAUUCCCAAAGGAAUUCAUUUGUGAUGAGAAACCUGAGCUCAUAUCCAAGUCUGCAUUUAUCAUCCCUCUUCCAACAGCUAGAAUUGCAGGAUCCGCAAACUCUAUAUCACUUGCACCAAUCGAAUUCCCAACUGGAGGUGGUACUUGAUAUGCAUUCCUCAACAUGGCAGCAGAGUCAAGAAAACGAGUUCCUAAGAUACAAGGAAGCAUGAGAGUUUUAGUCUGUAUAUGUAGCAUCAGUCGCACACUAAGCUACCAUAAAACAGAGGUAAAGAACUACCUGGUGCAGUAUCUGAAGAUAGGCCCAUUCUUUCAUGUGAAGAGAAGCCAGGAGGAGGUAACCUGCUGGGCGCAGAAAAUCCUGGAGGAGCAGAAACUUGGGGUCGUGUAACUGCAACAAGACAACGGAGAAACAAAUUGGCAAUAUAUCAGAAAAGGAUUCAAUCCAAACAAGAAACAACGGAAACUCAUCAACUAUAAAUACUAACCAGGAGUCUUGUAGGAUGAGAACAAAGGACUAGCAGUAACAUGUUCCAAUCCACCAGAAUAGUUUGAAGCAAAUCCAUUAAGAUUCCCGAGAUUAUCCCGAUAAAUAUCUCGGCUCACUACAGACUCUGGAAUAGGCUGUUCUCUUGAAAACUGCCCAUAAAUGCUAUGGUUGUCUCUGUCAAAUGCUCGAUUACUAGAUUCUUGUGCAAAAGAAAAUCUGGACUGGCUGUUUUGUUGCUUCAGGAGAUUUGACGGUUUUAGAGGACUGGAUCGCUGAUCAACUCUACCUAGUAACUCAGCCCAAUUUUGGGGUGAAGUUAAGGUUUCAUCCCAUGGAUCAAAGUCGAGUGACAAAAUGUUUGAGAUUACUUCAUCCUCUGCACUGCUAUCUUUGUUCCUGCCUUCAUUAGCAAACAGAGAGUGAUCCACAUUGAACAUGGAUUUCUCACCAAACCCAUUUUGAAGAUGCAACCUAUCACUGCCUCUAUCCGAAGGGAAUCUCAAGUUUGAACUGUUUACACCUAAAAGUUCACAAGGUAGGGAAGCACGAGAAGCCAGAUGAUUUGAAUCCAAAAUGGAACUUGAAGAACUAGACAAAAACCGCGAGUGGGUAACACCCUCUUCACGAUAAUGCCUUUGGCUCUCAAAUGAUGAGAUAUUAUCCUCCGCAUCCAGUUUUGAGCUGACUUGCAUUUGGGAUUGCAAAUCUGAUCUCCAAUCCCACUCUGGUCUUGUGCAGGGGACCCCUGAUGGAAUAGCCUUUUUAUCAAUGUUAGUAGAGCUAUCCAUCUUACAUUGCUCUAGAUGUGGCAACUUUGAUAUUUCAUGAUCAGGUUGUCUAUUAGAACCUUGAUCACACUUACUACCAAUCGCAAUAUCAGGACGGUCAUCUCUGGAAUCUGUAGUUAUCUCCAUUUGUGAAACACCAAGAGACAAGUUGGCUACAGUAGGGUCAUCUUCUACACCUUCCUCUGAAUCGUCAGACGAGUUCACAGCAGCUGAAGGCUGGACAACGUCUUUGCCAUCGUAGGAAGAGUCUGUUGAACUGGAUAACCGAUUGCUAGGAGAAUCUCUAUCAGGUGAGGUGGCUCUCUUGGUCCCAGAAUCAACCGCAACAUUGUGCUGCAAAGGCUUCAAACCCCUAAGCUUGCUCUUGUCAACAGCUUUUUGAUUUUCUUCUUUGCCUGAUGGUCUUUUAAGAAUGUUACUAGAGGUUACAGGGCCAUGAGCUGCGUUUGCAACAACAGCAGAAAAGGCCAAGGUUCCAUUUACUGAUGUUGUUCUUUGUAUAUCAGAAGAUCCAUUUGGGGUAACCGAAGUUGCUAAAGACGGCUGGUUUGCAAUAUGUGUCCCCCUGUAACAGAUAUCCCUAUGUUAUUAUAUUGAUCAAUCAAAAUACGUCGCCUAAGAAGCAGCUAGUGAAAACUCACCAUGACGCUGCAGCAGGAAGAGCAGUCGAUUUGCUAGAGCUCCCACUCCCACUAGGUGGAGAAUACCUGGCAACACUUGCUGCAUUCUGCUUAUAGAAAAAAAAAAGAGAAAUGAAAAUAGUAAGCUUAGUAAACUGAAAAGUUAGUAAGCAUCUACGAUUAACAAAUAUGAAAGCCUUCCGAUUUGUAAAAUUUUUGUGGUUUGUUUUUGGGUGGUUGUUUGAGGCUUGGGAGAGUAUUUGGUGACUAAAGCUCCUACGAAAUGGUGCGUAAUCAAUCUAAAUUGCACAUAAUGUCAGUAGAAGGCUGAGAUUUAACUGAACUUACACUUGAAGGGACUUUUGCAAUUGGUUUAGCAGAACUCUCACUGCAGAAAGCAUCUAGUGGUGGAGGUAGCAUGCUCCCUGAACGUUGAUGCAGAAUGUUUGUUGCUCCGGUGAUUUGCUGAACUCUACUCCUUCAAAAUUAUUAUAAGACUUAACAAAUCAUCCAAAAAUACUAGACCAGCCAUCAUAUUACAUAUAUACUAGCAAGGUAACGGAUCCAAGAAAGCAAACAAUCAUGAACGCAAGACGGAAUUAUAAAGGUUAAGAUGAUAAAAGUACCUUGUAUGGGCAGAUAUGGCCUCAUCUUUUGUGAAACUAUCCUCUUGUGAACCGACCUCGUGCAGAUAGAGACAAUCAGGAUUAACACACGCCUGGAAACAAAAACAUGCAAUUAAUCAUUACAAAGAUAUCAAUCUCAAAUUUUUAUCUGAAAAGAGUAACCAAAAGAAAAACUCAGGGGUCAGAAAGUAGAACAAGAAUCUAGGGAAGGCGUACCGCAUUUCUCAACCAUGCAUGACAAUACUUGGUUGUCCCAAAACACGCCCUGCAAUGUAUAUGUAUACACAUUUUAUUCAUAACUGAAUGAAAACAAACUAAAAAACACUACCUAGUACCUACAUAGUUUCAAACGAAAAGGAAACUUACUUCAGUGAUUUACCAUCCAAGGUAAACCCAUGAACGGCCUGGAUGCAACGGACAGCCUCUUCCUCUUUUGCAUAAGUAAUAUAUCUGAAUAAUAAUAAUUAUAUUAUCAAAUGACAACAAUAAUGACAAGCAAAAAACUCAAUGAACUUCAUGAUAAGAGGAAAAUUUUAGCUGACAGAAACGCACACACUGCAUGUAUCGUUUGGGAAUUGUUGGAUGGCACCAGAUGAUGUUCGGGACAUGGAAACCUUCAGAACUUUUCCAUACUGACCGAAAUAUUCUUUAUGAUAGAGUAGCUGCAAGGAAAAUGGAGCCUAGUCACAUAGCAAUUCACAAAGAAAUGAUAAAAAGGGUGUAGUGUAGAUAAGAGUUAUCAUACAUCUUCAUCUGCUAGAUUAAGGGGCAACCCGACAAUGUAAACAAGAUUCCUCUGGAUGACUCUGACACUAGUGAGUUGCUUUCUCCCAUCAGAAGGUUUUGAUUUUGACUUUUGAGUCUUCUUGCGCUCCAUGUUGGUUUCAAAGGCCAGACUAACAACAGGCCAUUAUAAGCAAAUCAGCAAAAGAGAGCGUAAAGAAAGAUUAUCCCAUAAAUAUUAAAUUCUCCGAAAGAUCAAGUAUUAGAACCUGUCGCAAUCAACAGUCAUUCCUACAAUCUUUUCUUUGUCAUAUGGAGUGCGACAAGCAGGACAACGCCCUUCUAUCUGAUCUUUCUCUGCCAUGUCCACUAUGUGAUGCCAGCACCAAACACAAAUCUGUAUCACAUACAAAAGAAAUCAUUAACAGAGCAAAGUUCAAUGGUCAAUGAGGCCAAAAAAGACGUGCAUGCUUCAUGGAUAAAUUGCGGCAGAAACUUUGAGCUAAAAGCUAAAAUGUUAUGCUGAUUAUUGCUACUGAACACUGAUAACAUGUAAAUAAACAGAAGAUGGGAAGACCUGAUAGCCGCAUUUGCAAGGCUUCAAUUGCUGAUCAGUGAGAUCCAUCUCUUCAGCACAUAGUGGGCAAGUCUUCUCUCCUUGGUCACUCAUGGUUGUCUACAACAAAAAUUCGAAAACUUAUUGUUUGCUAACGUAAAGAUAAACAUUUUCUAUGCCAUAAACAUCACUUAUCAUCAUCAGAAGAAAUAAAACUCAAAUGCAAAUUCAGCAUAUCCCCAAUCAAACCCUAAGAAUCUAUUACUCAUCAAAGCUAAUUAGCUCUAAAUAUUCAAACUUUCAGAUCGAUACUAAGAAUUUAAAAAAAAAAAAAAGAAGGAAUCUACGAUGAAGAGCUCUUAGGAAUCGAUCUGCGCACGCACCGUGCCCGAUUCAAUUUACUUCGUUCAGAUAUAAUCACAGACAAAACAUAUGAACCAAUCCAAAAUCUCAAUCACAAUUUUACGAUCUAAACUAAUAAAAAAAAACGAUGAUCCAAUCAAAAACCCAGAACUAGGGUUUUGAAGAUUCAAACACCACGAGAGAAAGAGAUUGAACAUACGAAUUGAGAAAAGAUUCGAUUGGAGAUUUGCAGAGGAUGAAGAUUUGUGAAAUGAGGAGGACAAGGAAGCUGGAGAUUUGCGAGCGAAAGAGAUAGAUUGGAUGGCUGUGAUUUUGUGAUGUGAGAUUUCGCCUCUUUUCAACCCUUGAUUUCUCUGCCAGAUCCACGUUGCUGUCUUCGUCAAUUAAUUAAAAAAGAGUUUCACAAAAACUUUUCAAAUUGCCCCUUUGAUUGCCAAUUUUAUUGUUAGAUUCUGACCCGGCGGCUAUAUUUUUUGUUAUAUAUUUUUUUCAGAAAUUUAAUAUUUAUAUUUGUAUUUUUUUAGUCAGUAUUUUUUUGUAAUUAUAUUUGUGUAGAAGAUUUUUCUUUUAACUAUUAGUAAGAGGUUUUGUGAAAAUUGGCAUCUAUAGAAGUAAUCUUGUGUUAUCCCUUAUCAUAACAUGUUAUCAUAUUAUCCUAAAUUAUGAUUGAAUCUAUACUAUUAAAAAUGAAUGAUUCUUAAAAAAUAAUUUAAACAAGAUUGUUAAACUAUUUUUUUAGACUUAACUAUUUUUUUGGUUUUACGGUUUUACCUUAAAAAAUUUCAAACUAUGUAAAUAUUUUACAUAAUUUAAAUGAACUCAUUUAUUAUUCUUCCAUAAUCUACUAUAUAAUUACUCUAACAAUAAAUCUUUAUGAAUAUAAGACAGCUUAUACAAACAUGUUUACACAUGACGUGACUAUUGUCACAUAUAGUUCCAUUAAUAGUAUAAAAUUUUCAAUGGUUUAGUUAUGGAGAAUCAUCUGGUUCAUAACAAUUUUUUUUCAUUUUUACGUGAAUUGGAAACUAAAAGUCUUAAUGUCAACUAUUCAACUAUAAAACAUUAAUUUAAUUAAUUACAUGCAAUCAAUUAUUAAAAUUUGAUCUUAUAUUCUUAUAUAUGAAUUAAAUGAUUAAUCUUAUCAUAGAAAAUAUUAAAUGGGUCUAAACGGGUCGGAGAUUUAAAUAAAAUUAAUAAAAAAAGACUGGUUUAAAUAUAACAUAUUUAUUUACUUUACAAAUUCUGACAAUGCAUAUGAUAUGUUUUAUUGAAUUUUCACAAAUGUAAAACAUAUUACAUAGUUGGAUGUGUUACUGAUGAUUUUGCAACUACUUCUAACGAUUUGAGAUGAAAAUCAGCGUGUGGCUUUUGAGAAUGCCAUCUGUAAACAUAUGUUAAUCAACGUUUAAGAUUUUUUCCUUAAUGUUUCUGUUAUCAAGCUUUCUUAAUAUAGGAGAGAACUUAUCAAAAAAAAUAUAGGAGAGAAGCUAAGGGAGAGAGGAAAAAAUAAACAGAACAGAAAAGUUCGUAACUUUGGAAUUUCAUUAGAUCUUAAGUUUUCAGAGCAACCUUUUUAAUUUCUUAUGCGUAGAUUUGGAUCCAAAUGGAUUGGAUCCAAUCAAUGAUUCUGCAACUUUAAAAUGCCAUGUCGUGAAAGGUCUUGUUAAUUCUUGAUCAUAUGAAACCACGAGAAGACUUCUUGCGCAAGUAAGCUUUACCCGUUGUUAGAUAUUACGUAUAGAUCCACAUAUGUUUGAAUGUUUCAGUUUAUAAUUAGGUUCUUGAUCCCAUUUGAUCUAGGAAUAUUUUGUUGGUAUUGAAUCUAUUUAUCUAAUGGAGGAAGCAUCAACGUCGACAUCAACACCGGUGGCUGCGAAGCCAACCGUUGUUAAGAAGACAAUGUCGAAGCAAUUUACCGGAAAACGUGAGGAUUCGCCGCUCCACUCCGCUGUAAGACGCGGAGAUUUCUCUGCGGUGAAGAAGAUUCUGAGUGAUCAUAUUGAAUCGGAGGAGGAACUAAGAGAGUUGUUGCAGAAACAGAACCAAUGCGGUGAGACCGCGCUUUAUGUGGCGGCAGAGUAUGGAGACGCCGAGGUGGUUGCUGAGCUCAUCAAGUAUUAUGAUUUAGAUGAUGCAGAGACCAAAGCUAGAAAUGGGUUUGAUCCUUUCCACAUUGCUGCUAAACAAGGCGAAUUAGGUAUGAAAUUUUGGUUUUCACAUUUUGAAAACGUUAUUCAUUAAAGUUACACUUUUCAAUGUAUUCAUAAUGAAUGUGAUACAAAAAUGUAACCACAAAAACAAAAUCAUUUAUUAAGCUAACAAUACUAGUUUGUAACGUUUUUAUGAUCAUUAUAUUGAACCUCUAUUUAACCAACGUGUUUUUGCUAUUUAAUCUUUGACAGUUUUGUUCUACUACUGAUCUAAUAUACUUGUUUUGUUUAAUCUUUUUUGGUCAAGAUUUUAUUUAAAUAUUUACUUUAUGGAAGUUGAAAUGUUUUUUUACGUUGAUAGAGGUUUUGAGAGUACUAAUGGAGGAACAUCCGGAGCUAGCAAUGACGGUGGACUUAUCAAACACGACUGCUCUACACACGGCGGCAGCUCAGGGACACGUGGAGGUCGUGGAGUACCUCCUAGAAGCUGCAGGGAGUAGCCUAGCAGCGAUUGCAAAGAGCAACGGAAAAACGGCGUUGCACUCUGCCGCAAGGAACGGUCACGCGGAAGUGGUGAAAGCUAUAGUGGCUGUUGAGCCAGACACAGCGACAAGGACCGAUAAAAAAGGUCAGACGGCACUUCACAUGGCGGUGAAAGGACAAAGCCUUGAUGUUGUCGUUGAGCUAAUGAAAGGGCAUCGGUCCUCGUUGAAUAUGGUUGAUUCUAAAGGGAACACUGCGUUACAUGUUGCUACUAGGAAAGGUCGCACUAAGGUACGUACGUUCUUGCAUGUUAACAUGUUAAUGAUUUGUGUUAUUGUAAUGACAUAAUUUAUUGAGAUUUUAAUUAAUGUCAUUUGUAGAUAGUGGAAUUGCUUCUAGAGAACAACGAGACAAGCACAAAAGCGAUAAACAGAGCUGGAGAAACGCCACUCGACACGGCCGAGAAAACCGGCCACCCCCAGCUAGCCGCGGUUCUCAAAACCCGCGGCGUUCCCUCAGCUAAAUCCAUCAACAACACUACUCGCCCAAACCCGGCGCGUGAGCUCAAACAAACUGUGAGCGACAUCAAACACGAGGUUCACGACCAGCUAGAACACGCUCGAGAGACAAGGAAACGCGUUCAAGGAAUCGCCAAACGCAUAAACAAAAUGCACGUCGAGGGUCUAGACAAUGCGAUUAACUCCACCACAGUCGUCGCCGUUCUAAUCGCCACAGUCGCUUUUGCCGCUAUUUUCACCGUGCCAGGACAAUACGCUGAUGAACGGAGUACUCUCACUCCGGGACAAUCUCUUGGAGAGGCUAACAUCGCGGAUAACCCCGCGUUUGCGAUUUUCUUUAUAUUUGAUUCCAUCGCUCUUUUUAUAUCUUUAGGGGUUGUUGUGGUUCAAACAUCGGUGGUUGCGAUUGAGCACAAGGCGAAAAAGAAUAUGAUGGCUAUCAUAAAUAAGCUGAUGUGGCUGGCUUGCGUUUUGAUAUCAGUAGCGUUUUUGGCAUUGGCGUUUGUGGUCGUUGGUGAGGACGAGAGGUGGCUAGCGGUUGGAGUAACGGUGUUUGGUGCGACGAUAAUGCUCACGACACUUGGGACUAUGUGUUAUUGGGUCAUUAGGCAUAGGAUUGAGGCUUCGAAUGUAAGAAGCGCGAGGAGAGAAUCAAUGGCAAGAACGAGACAAUCAGGAUUGAUGGAUUUUUCUGGGAUUUUGACAAAGAGAAUGUAUGCUAUUUAGUGAUCAAGAGACAAAGAGUAUGUGUUGAGUUAACGUCUCGAUCUUGAUACCGUGUGGAAUAAAUAUCGAAGUUAUCUUGGAAUCAUUUUUUUUUUGCAACUGAUUUUACUUCUUGGAAUCUUUGUUUGUGUUAUUUGUUUUUGAGGUCAUCAUUACUAGUGUUAACAUUAAAAAUCAAAGUACUCUCAUUUUAAAUAGAAAAUGUCAAUGAUACGAAAUAAAUAGUUUAAAACUGUAAAAUUAAAAAUAUAUUUCAGCCCAAACAUGUUUUUGAUGCAAACUUAUUAUAUUUGCCAGUUGCUAAGUGAAUGGCGUCACCCACUUCCCAAAAUAACUUUUAAAAAUUAGUUGGCAUCAACAAUUAAUGUGUUAUUAUUUUACUCUUUGAUUAUAUGUCAAACCUUGUUUUUGAAAUUGUAAACGCUCAUAUCACAAUUUUGGAUCAAUUUUGGAUGGCUCAACAAUCAACAAGCUUUCCCAGCAUGUUGAGAUAUUUACUUCCCGCAAUCAAGGACAAGAAUGAGGACGUCAGGAAGACAAAUGCACAAAUAUCUGUCUCCCGGUCUGGCCAGCUCCUAGUCUCCAAUAUGUUCUCAAAAAUAAAUGGAAUCGCAAGAGGUACUAUUUCAUCUCCACCUGUUCUGCUAACGAGGCAAAAGUAUUUGCUUGCAGUAUUUAUUAUAUUUAUUAUAUUUUUCAGUUGCUAAUUGAUUGCCGUCACUGCUUCCCAAAAUAACUUUUAGAAAUUAGUUGGUGUCAACAAUUUUUGUUAAUGUGUUAUUAAUUUACUCUGUGAUUAUAUGUCAAACCUUGUUUUUGAAAUUGUAACUAUAUAAAUUUGUCUAACACAAGCUCAAAGAUUCAACUAAAUCAUAUACUGAUCUUGGAAAAUUAAUAAAAUUUAGUAUCAACACCAAAACUUUUAAUCUAAUAUUUAUUAGCAAACAUCUAAUUCCAAAAAUCAGAUUUGAACAGUGGUGUAAUACAAAUUAGUAUAAUUUGAAGAUAAUGAUAAGAAAAACUAAAAUGAAAUGGUUACAAAAAAUAAUAAUAUCACUGGUCUGAGUAAAUUAAUCAUACAUUUACCAAUAAAAUUCACCUGAAAUGAGUUAGUUUACAACGACUUGACGAGUAUAAGCGUAUCUUCAUCCUAAAUAUAACUAUAAAAGUUAGUUUUUCAAAAACAUUAUCUAAUAGUCAAUAUGCUAAAAAUGCGACAAACAAGCUAACUUUUGGCUCUUAUAACUCUUUUUGAACAAAGGCUGUACAGUUCAUCUAGAUUUGUAAGCAAAGUUAUUUCUCUAUUGAUACUUACAGCUUUAUGUGGCCGUAUUUGGCAUAGUCGAUGAUUUGGAACAAGAAAGAUGUCAUUUUAUUUAAGCUUAAACUUCUUUUGUCAAGAACUUUAUUGUUAUUUGUGAAUAAUUUUUUAUCAAUAAGAUGUGUUUGCACUAUUGUAGACCUCGUCUCGUUUAAAUGGAGAAAUAGAAAGGUAUAUGUUCUCUUAAAAAUAUUGGUUUAGGUUUAUAACAUCAUUUUAAUACUAAAUUGAGUAAUAUAUUGUGUGUUUAUCCGUCAAAUUGAAAAUAAAUAGUUGAUUUUACUGUCAUAUGAUUCAUUAAUGACAAAAUAUGUUUUAGAAAAGUUGUUGAUUUUUACUUUUAGAUGAUGUGGUUAGCAUGCAUUUUGAUUAAUAUAUUCUAGUUAGUGAUUUUGAUACAAAAAUAAAUAUGCGUUAAAAGUUUCAAUCGUGAAAGCAUGUGAAAGAAGUAACCAUCUUAUAUUGAUCCAUGAAAGUUUUGUUAUUUGUUAUUUCCGUUUAUGACUUCGAGGCCAUCAUCAUUAGUGUCAACAUUAAACUCUUCUUUCUCUAUAGAUUUUGUUUUGUUACAAAACCUGUAAGUCUUUUUCAAAGAAAAUGGAAUAAGUAUCUAAAAAAUAAUAUCCGACAAAGUCAUUCAUUAUUACAAAACUUGAAGCUUUAAACAAUGAAAUUGGAAUAAGAAUUUCAGGCAGAAACCAAUCUAUAGGAUUGGUACCACUGGUUCAAGUGGGAUGAGUGGGUCUUCCUCAUUUUGGUACGCUUCAUCUCCAUCUUCGACAAGGUAAUGUAGAAGAAAUCUUGGAUCUCCUAAUAUAAAAUAUCGCCUGCAGACAACUCUUUGAAACUGAAAGAUCCUGGAUGAGUAACCAUUCCACGACAAUGCUCAAUCGCAACGAGUCCAGCGCCAUACUGAACAAACAUGUGUGUUAUACAAAAUGUUAGAUGCAACGUUUUUAAUUUCUUCCAAUCGAAACAUGAUUUUGAUGCAAUUUCUUUAAUUAGCUAGUUGAUAAGUGAAUGACCUCAACCCUCUUUUAGUAUAGCUAAUGUGUUAUUAUUUUUUUCUUUAAUUUAUAUACUAAACCAUGUUUUGAUAAUGGGAAAUUAGUAAAUUUUGUAACAUCGUCAUUAUUUUAAUCUAAGAGUUAAGUAGCAAUAUUUAACUCCAAAAAUCAAGUUUCAACAGUGUAAACAUAUAGCAUAGUGUUAUUGAUAUAUCUUUUGAAUAUAUUGGGAAAGAGUUAAAACAACUACUUUUUUGAUUAACCGUUAAACCUAAGAGCCCAAUGGUUAAAGAAAUUACAGUAUAAUAACUGAAUUGAAUGAACUAGUACUUGAAUCAAUAGAAAUAACCUGAAAUUGAGUUGGUUAAGAUCACCAGCUUGUGGUUCUACUUUAUUAUUUUUUUCAGAAAAAAAAAGACAAUAUCAAAUGAAUAAACAAAUUGAAAUCAUUGUGUAUCUCUGCACUUAAAAACAAAAACUAUAAUAAAUCAUCAAGCUGCUAUUACUAUACUCAUAAAAACCCUAUUGGUCAAUGAUGAUACAUUGUUACAUCAUCAUGCAACAUAUUUGAAGUUAUGAAACCAAAAGACAACCACAGAAGAAAUAGACAUUUAUGAAUUAUUUUUUAGAAAAUUGGGGAAAUGAUGUCAACAUCAGAGCUGAAUCAUAACGACAUUAUCUUGCCAUUAUAAAGUCACAUCCUCAUUCCCAAAAUCAAGAAACAGAACAAGUCCAUACCCUUUUGUUCAAAAAAAAAAAAAGAACAAGUCCAUACCCCACUUUUGUCUUCUUCCAUGGAGUCUUCUCUUGUUCUCCCUUCUCAAUGGUCUAACCUUCCUUUAGACCUUCUUGAGUUGAUCUCCGACUCCGAUUACGUUAACGAAUGCUCAUCAGACACCGUCGAUCUCCUCCGUCUCCGCUCUGUAUGUUCCACGUGGCGUCGCUCUCUUCCUCUCUCCAACAAAAAUCCUUUGUCUAAAUUUCCACCUCUCCUCCCUUUCUGGUCAUCUUCACCUUCUGGCUUCUUCAUUCUGAAACAGAGCAGUGUUUACAAACUCGAAGCUCAUCCCACAAGCUGGUUGGUGAAGCUUCAGGAGAUAUCUCCAGGGACAAUGCGAGUCUUGGAUCUCUUCUCAAACGACAGACUCCGUUUCUUACCAGAGAACUUCCCGGAAAAAGUCGAUCUGCGGGAAUCUCAUGUGAGGUUGGUCCGCAGAGCUUACCGUGUGGAGUACGCAAACAGAGGUGGUGGCGAGAUGUCUUCUUUCUGGUCACUGAGCUCCGACAAAGUUGUGGUCCUGUCUUCACGGGAACACUCAGCGGUCAUAGCUAUCCACAGCGGUGGAAAGCUAGGAUUCUUGAAAAACGGAGACGAUGAAAUAUGGAAGAUCUUGGAUAACUCGUGGAACGUGACUUACGAGGACAUAAUAACGUACGGAGAGAACUGCAUCGUCGUGGACGAUAAGGGCAAAACCGUAAUUUACGAUGUGGAGUUCAAGGUGUCCGAUUUGGCUGAAGGUUUAGCGGGAGGAGGCGGGCACAAGAAGCAUCUUGUGGAAUGUUACGGCGGAGAAGUAUUGCUUGUGGACAAAUACGUGAAACACGUUUGGUGCAAGUCGGAGUUUUCGAAGUCUGCGGUGGAGUUUAGAGUGUAUAAGCUGAAGAGAGAAGAGAAGAGAUGGGAAGAGGUGAGGGAGCUGGGAAGAGAUGUGGCUCUGUUUGUAGGAGAAGAUUGUUCUUUCUCCGUUGAGAUUACGGACGGUGAUUUGGCGGGAGGAGGUUGUAUAUUUUAUAGAGAUUAUAGGAAUGGAGGAAGAAGCAGAGGGGUUUACAGUGAUGGUGAUGGCGUUUUCAAUAUGGAGUUAAAAGACGCGGGGAAGUUUUGGGUUUCAUACUAAGCCCAAAUGUUUAGGCCCAUUAUAUGUUUGGGCUUAUUAGAACAUGAAAUAAUUGUGGAAGCUGUUGAUUCAUGAUUUUACUUUUUUUUUUUUUUUUGGAACACUUCGAUUCAUGAUUGUACAUUUUCAUAAGGUAUUUGAGUGUCCAAGUAUUUUUUCCUCUCUUAAAUAUAGAUUUUAAGACAUGAAAUGUAUAAUUAAUAGCUUAGAUACUUACAAAAUGUACACAAAACACCAUGAUAUUCAUCCAAAGUUUUGGAUCGGUUCGAGUAUUUUACGAGUUUCGAUUUGAGCUGGGUAUAACCCAAAAAAUAAAAUUGAACCAAAAUGAACCAAAACUGAAUUUGAAAUCAUACAAAUAAGUUAUUUUGCUAAAAUUCAAAUUUCGUCCUUUAUUUAAAAAAAUAAUAUUAAAACGCGAGAGAAAUCGCCCUAAUUUCUCCAGGAGGCGGCGCGACGAUUAUUCGAGCUUUUUUUUUUUUGCGAUGAAGACAGUCACCGGAAGUGUUAACAGUGCGAAACCAAUCUCCCUCGCUAAGGCGGCCACGCUUCUCUCCGGCUUCGUUUCCUCUGAGACCCAGGCCUCUCAAGACGUCACCGCCUACCUCCGACGCGCAACUGCUGCCUUCACCGAAUUGAGGAGCUUCCACAGAGAGAUUCGAUCGGCGAAUCAAAAAUCCGAGCUCCAGGAGCUGGGUAGAGCUAAGGGGGUUGAUGAUUCGGUGGAAAACGGAACUGUGACCGGAGAGGAAUCAGUUCAUGGUCGGAAGAAGAAAAAUAAGAGCAAAGAGAAGAAAGAAGAAGAUGAGCAAAGGAACAAAGAGAGAAAGAAGAAGAACAAAGAUGAAAAUGCUAUUAACGAGAAGGUGAAUGUGAAGUUGGAAGAAGAGAGAAAGGAGAAGAAGAAGAAGAAGAACAAAAAGGAAGAUGUUAUUGACGAGAAGUUUGAAGAAGCGAGGAAGAGCAAGAAAAAGAGGAAAUUAUCAAAGGAGACUGAUGCUUGAAGGUUUUACAGCUCAAGGUUUGCUGAACUAUAGUAUUGACAAACGAUUUGAUUUUUGGGAACACUCUGUUAUAGUUUUUAACUAUCUGCAAUGGAGUUAUCGUUGUUGUUUUUUUUACCCUCUUUGCCAUUACUGUAUUUUGAAGUUUCUUGAAUGCCAUAGUCGCAAGUAGUCUUUAGAAUUUCAAACCUGAAGAUGGGCACUUGAAAUAGCUUUAGCAUUCCCUCUAAACCUUUGAAUGCAUAAGACUUCAUAAUUGCUAUGCAGUGAAGUUUUUUUUUUUUAAAUCAAGGUAGCGAAUCCAUUUUCGAACCGGACAAGGCAUGUAUCUUCAACUAACAGUGUGCAUGAUUCAUUAGUUUGCUUUAUGAUUCAGCUUCAUACUUAUUGAUAAGAAGGCUACUUUUGAGUUCGUAAUAACUUGAGCUUAUUAGACUCCUGUAAUCCUUGAUGCGGGUUGAGGAAAUCUGUGGGAUAUCGUCAUUCCCAUGAACUUGUGAAAGAGUCAAUGUUGUUGUUUAACUCUUGCAGAUGUGGGUGUUGUAGCAUUGUUUACACGGACCAUCUGAUUCAAACUAUUUUGUGUAUAUUUUCAACAGUUACAGGGAUUCUGAUAAUCCCUGUAGAAGGUAAGCCCCAACUUUUGCAAAUUAAAUUGUGCAUACAUAUUAAUUUAGUAUGGUAUUACAUUACAUAGAUGUACACUUACAGAAAACAGAUCUUUGCGACAGUAAAUAAUUGAACAGGAAUGGACCUCAUGUCAAAUUAUUGAACAGGAACUGACCUCAUGUCAAACUGAUAAAUGGCCGGGGGGAAAAAAGAAUAGAAAAAAUGCGUGAAGCUUGGAAGAAAGAAGAGACAAGAAACAAAAUGAAUGAAGCAAGAAUCAUCAGCAUUUGGGCAAGUCUGCAGGAGGAGGAAGAAGUUUCUGAUCAGGCUUAUCUCCAUCAAGCACAAGCCAAGCCAUCCUCAGACCCCAACUGGUAUGUACUUCCAAGUGACAGUGCAUGAACCACACUCCUGUCCAAACAUUUUAAUUUAAGUUAUUAUCCUCCUCUUAGAUUAAACUAAUGUGCUUAUUAUUACCUGGGUUAUCUGCAAGGAAUCUAAUAGCAGCCCAUCCACCAGAUGGCACACCUACUGUGUUCCUCUCUAUUGGGUCAACAAGGUUGAAGUUCUUAGGAUCCUCCUUCGCGUCGAAGUUCCCAAACCCUUGGCCAACGACAAAGAAGUUAAACCCAUGAAGGUGAAGAGGAUGGCUCUCCGCACCGAGAAUGCUAGUAUCUUGCAUCACCAGCUCCACACUGGUGUUAUAAGGCAGAACCAUCAAGUUUGUCCCUGUGCUAACCAUAGUGUUGUUAGGUGGGGUGCCUGUGUAGUUAAAAGGCACUAUGGGACUCCACGGGAAGUUCGGAGAAUACACUCCGUUAGAUUGCCCAGAAUAGUGAGACUGAAGGAGAGCCUUUGUUGGCAUCGUGAAGGAGAUGUUGCUGAUCGAAGCAGCAAACAUUGUGGUGUUAGUAGGACCCUGGCAUGUCUGGUUGUUCUUAUGGUUGCAAGGGUUUGUUCCCAAUCCUACUGUGAAGAAAAACUUCCGAUCAACCUUCAGAGGCACGUUUGCUGGGAACUUUUUGCUGUUCAGGCUUCUCAGCUUGUUGCUGAACUUGGUAGCGAAGUUUGUAUCGUUUAGAGCAGGAAGUACUGGUGUGAAGAGCUGAAGGUUCUUCUUGAUAGAGGUCUUUGUAUGUUUAGGCUGUUCGUAUUCUAAGAUGCCUGCAACUGUAGAGUUAUCAAAAGUUCCUUGACCUGUGACGUAUGGUCUAGCAGUCAUCAAGAAAGAGGCCUUCGGGUAACUUUGUUUUGUCUUCAGCAAGAGGUUUGUGGUUUGUCCAGGAGCGAUUAAGAUGGUAUCCGUCUCAAACGGCUUGACGUAGAUCGCAUCAGCUUCAACAACUGUAACCGUGUGGUUUGCUAUGCUGAAAAAGAGCUCGUCGUUAAGUGCCGCGUUGAUUAGUCUUAGAAGGUAUGUUUUUCCUGGCUUCACUCUCAGUCUGAACGUAUCUUUAGCUGAGCAGUUGUAUAGCGGACCAGGAAGACCGUUGAUCGUGUAAGCAUCAGAGACAUUAGGACCACCUCCUGUUUGUGUUGCUUGGCGAAUGAUUGCCUCAGUGUCUGCGUUGAACCACUCCCCUGAAAAUCUCAACCAUAAAAAAAAAUCAGUAAUAAUGUUUUGAAAUUCUCAGUUUGCUAGUCAUCAUCCUCACCAAAGACCAUGGGAACUUCUUUGUGAGGUUUGUGAAACGGGUAAGGAACACCGUGUUUUGGAAGGAUGAUAAGAGGACCAUAGACUGUUGCUCUGAGCCAUGAAAUGUGAGCAUGGUACCACAGAGUGCCUCUUUGGCCAACAACGGUGUAGUUGUAGACAUAGCUUUGCCCUGUCUGAAUAGGACAUUGGGUUAUGUAAGCUGGUCCAUCAGCCCAACCAGACCGUAAUUGCCUGAUCCCAUGCCUGAGAUUUUCAGGGAUUAGUAAUCAAACAUUACUAUUAAUAGUGAUAAAAGUGUUUUAAAGAUUAUUUUUACCAGUGGAGAGAGAUAUUGUUUGGGACAUGGUUAACAACUUUGAUGAGAAGCUGGUCACCUUCUCUAGCAAUAAGCUUAGGCCCUGGAAACUUCCCGUUUACAGAAACAAGGCUCUUUGUGUGGCAAAGACGUGUCACGUUGUGCAUUUUUAUCUGCCAAAAGAAAAACGAAACAUCUAAUCAUAUCAUCUGCAACCCUUCAGGUACAAUCUCAACAUUUUUUCACAGAAUAAACAAAUCUUCACGUACGUCCAGCGUAUAAUGCCUUGUUUUACCAAAUGCAGGUUCAGGAAGAAGAAGAACACUAGAGAAAACAGCAAAUAGAAGCCAAAACGCCAUUUUUGGACCUUAAGGCGUUGAUUAUAGCUGGUAAGGCUACUGAACACUCUGCCUCUGUUAUUAUAUUUCUAUUUUCUUUUGCUGUAGAUUGUGGAUUCAUUGUUUCAACAUUUAGUGUAUAUAUAUAGGAAGGAAAGUUAGGUGUUUGUUUGCUUGGAGAUGUUGAAGAAAAAGAUUUAGUAGUUGUUUAUGCAAAAACAAAAAGAUAACUGGUAGAGAAGUUUGUGUAAUUGGAGACUCUCGAGACAAGGACUAGUUGUUAGAACAUAUAUGAACAGCUUAUGAAUGAGUGGUGUCAAAGAUAAGUCAAACUCUUUGACCAUGUUUAAUCCCUCAAAACUCUAGUUUCCUUUUCAAUAUUAUGGCGUGGAUUGUAAAUAUGAAUUGCAAAGUUGUCAAUUUAGUUUCUUUUAUGUGAUUUAGAUGAUUUGGCAGCUUUGAGUAUAUUGGACUUCAAAUUCAUACAUGAGAAAGUAAGUAACUUGGACCAAAUGUGGCAGUUGAUAUUGUUUGAUAUAGUCACUGGCCAAGUGUUGUUUUAGACCCGACAAAAAGGGUCUGUGAAACAGAAUUAUGCACACAGUUUUAGGAGUGUUGUAAACUUCUAGAAGGGUAACUUUUUUUGGUUAGCGGUUAUGUUUUUGCUAAUUGAAUUUCAUCAUUUCAUAAGCAUUUUAAGUGAUAAGUACUUCAUCUAAUUAUUAAUUGUUUAAUUUUUAAUUUGAAGGUGUGAACUCUUCAAGGAGGUUAAUCGAUGUUGAGUUAGUCAAAACAUUCGUAAGCUAAAAUUGCUUGGGGAUUAAGCAAAGAGAGGGAGAUUGUAGCUAUCAUAGAAGGUCACGCUUAGGGUUAGAUAUCAAAAUCCAUGAAGGCUAUUGUUCAGGAUGUUCAAAAACAUUGAGGAAGUCUCGAAUGAAGUGUUUGUAAUUUUAUUUUCCAAGCAAUUGACCUAACUCUCUUUUAAGUUCGUAUCCUCAAAGGCAUGCCAACCUUGUACAUAUGCUUUUCUCUCUAUAAACAACUAUAUAUUCAUAUAUUAGGAUUUUUUUUUUUUUGCAAUAAUAAUCUAUAUAUGCAAAUUGUUUGCUUGUUAUUCGUCUUUCAUAUUUAUAGUUUUGACAAUGUGAAGUCGAUCUACAAUCAAAAUAUGAUGUAGACAAGAUUGCUAACAAGUAGUUACCAACUCAUCUCCUAACCAUGCGAAGUCGGUCAUUAAAAUAUGUAAUUUUCUUUUGAUCAAAAAAAAAAUUGAUCAAAAAAAUGUAAUUUUCUUUUGUGACAUUCUUUUAUUUUUGUCACCUUCUUUUGUGACAUUCUAGAAAAGAAAAAUCAAUUAAGAAAUAUAGAAACUGAGAAAAUGGUUGAGUGAAUGUCUUUCGAACACAAUGAUGAAUGACAAGUUCACAUCAUUAGUGUGUAGUUCAAACCAUUUGUAGUUUUACAAUUAUGUUUUAACAAUACUUUAGUUGGUAACUCACAAUCAAUAAUAAUCGUAAAUAUAGUUCUACAUAUUUAUUUAGCUACGCUUGUGUUUCUGUCUGGGUAACUCACAGUGUCACACAUUAUUUGAAAACAAAGUUCUGAUAUCUCUCAACGAUUUCAACUAUGCCUUAAUUAUAUAGGAGUAAGAUCAGGGAUAUACACAUCCUUUAUAUAUUAACUAGAUUUUGACCCGCGCUUUGAAAGCGCGGGAUUAUUUUGUUUACAAAACUUAGUUUAUUAUAAACUAUAAUUUCUAUCUAAAGUUAUAUAUUUUAAGUUUUAUUUAAAUAAGCGUUGGCAUGUCUCUCAUUUGUUUUAGAUUAUUUUAAAAGUUAAAAACUGAAACGGAGUAAUACAUCGUCUAUGUCUUGCUUUGGUCAAAUUUUAUUUUUAUAAUUUUUUUUGUCAUAAAUGAUAGAGCUGGGCAACAUAUCAGGACCCAAAGAACUGAAUCAAACCCGAUCCGAAGAGUAGUACCGAACUUAAACCAAAAUUGAUUAAUACAUGAUUGGGUAUACAAUUUAAUAUAGGAAGAACCAGAUUCAAACCCGACUCGAACAAAAUAUUUCGGGAACCAUAAAAUGCUCAAAACACCGGAAAUAUCUAAAAACUUGUUUUCCAUCAUAAUUUCCAAAUAAAUCCAGUUUUAUUUUAAUUUUAUAUAUUUACUUUUACAUUAUUUAAAUUUAUAUGUUUUAUAUUAUUUCAGUUUCGGGUUUUUAGAAUUUAAGGUACAUUUUAAUUUUUCAAUUGUUUACAUAAUUUAAAUGGAUACCCAAACCAAACCCGUAAUGUUUAGAAUAGGGUUUAAAUCUAUAAGCCUAAAAAUCUGAAAUCCGAAUAGACUCAAAUCAAAACCAAACGGAUCCUGAUUAAGAUAUAUAAAAUUAUGUGUUUUAUUUAUUUAAUAAUAAUAUAAGAUUAUAUGUUUAGUUUUUCUCCUAGAAUAUUUAAAUGUUUAUUUGGGUUUAUAUAGAAACCGUUUUUAACAAAAAUCAAUACCAAAUAUAUGCAUCUAUAUAUACCGGGUUUGCUGACAUAUUAUAUAAUAUAAACGUGUUUUAAUCAUUUUUUAAAUAAUUUAAAAUUUUGUGCUAUAAUCAUUUUUAAAUAAGAAUAUGAGGAUAUAAUUAUUUUAGAUGUUAGUGCCCAAACAUAUUCAUUCAAUAAUAAUGAACAUCAAAAAUAUUCAUACCUAUGUAUUGUUAUGAAAUCCUCGUUUAUAGUAACAACUAUAGAUUCGGUAGAAUCAGGUCAUUAAUGGCCAAAGAUAUGAUCAUUGAUUUAUUUACGGUUGGUGACAUUUAAAUAUAUUGAUUAAAUCUUUCUUUAAGCUAGAUUUUAGGUUAUUUAUUUAUUUAUACUAAUUAAUAUAGUAAUGGCAUUUCAUUGUAAAUAACUCAAAAACUAAUGGCAGAAUCCUAGUAGGGAUUCUGCUUUAAUAGUAUUGAUUGAGGAACAUUUGAAAAGAUAUAACCUUAAUUUUGUAUUAAUUAAAAGAGGCCCCAAUGCAUAGGUGACACUCAAUUAGGUAGUCAAUUACAUUCAAUUGAAAAAUAAGUAGGUUCACAUUCGAUUUGUAUAUGUUGUUAGAUACAUAAGUUGGUCAAACUAUAUGAUAUAAUGAUAUGAUAUGAUAUUUUCUUUCCUUAAAUAAAACCUACGGAAUUACCAUAAAUGACUAAUAUAUAUAUGACAAUUAAUGAGUUUAAUAAUAAAGAUUUGAUAACAAUGUAUAUCUCCUUCAUCAUUUUUUGUUUAAUUUUAUAUUAUUAAAAUAAAUUAAACAAUCAAAUUAGCUAUAAAAAUAAAAUUUAGAUUUUUUCGUAUAUGUUAUAUUUUAAAUUUUUAAAAACGACAAUAAAUGACUAUAACUAUUAAAAUUAUUAUGUUAAAAAUUAAUGAUCAAUGGUUUAACAUUUUUAUUAUAAGAAGAUACACAUGAUUUUAAAACCAUAUGAGUAAAAAAUAUCAUUUAAUAAUAAAUAUAUAUAUAUAUAUAUAUAUAUAUAUAUAUAUUAAACACUAUAUACCAUAAGAUUACAUAAAUAUUUUAAUAUUAAAACUUUCAAUGAAUUUUCAAGAAUAUUUAUAAAUUAUAAACUUAUUAAAGAUUUCAGAUUGAAAAUUUUGUUAUCGAUGAUUUAAAUAUUUUGUUAUAAAACGAUAUGAACGAUCAUAGAACCAUAUGAUUAUAAAUUCUUAUUUAAUAAAUAACUAUACAAAAUAUACUAUUUCUAGAAAAAUAGGUUGGUCCAUCUUAACUUAUAUUACACUUUUUAUUAAACUAACUAUCGAAUUGAUAAAUAACGUACCAAAAAAUGUUUUGCACUUUCCUUAAAUAAAAGCUACGAAAUUACCUAAUAUGAUUAACGUAUAUGUGAAAAUUAAUUAUAAUGAAUAAUAAAUAUUUGAUAACAAUUUUUGUAUCUUAGUUCUUUUUUUAAUUUUAUAUUAUUAAAAUAUAUUUAAAAAUCACAUUAAAUAUAUAAUAAAAACAUUUUUAAUUUUUCUUAUAUGUUAUAUUUUGAAUUUUUCAAAACGUCUAUAAAUUAUUAGAAAUUUGAAGAUCCCCACUCUGAAAAUUUUGUGAUCAAUAGAUUAUUUUUUUUGUCAUAAUAAGUUACAAAUGAUCAUAAAAUUGUAUUAAUAUGAACUUUUAUUUAAUAUUAUAAGAAGAUACACAUUAUUUUAAAACCAUAUGAGUAAAAAAUAUCAUUUAAUAAUAAAACAUAUAUAUAUAUAUAUAUAUUAUACUAUAUACCAUAAGAUUACAUAAAUAUUUUAAUAUUAAAACUUUCAAUGAAUUUUCAAAAACAUUUAUAAAUUAUAAACUUAUUAAAGAUUUCACAUUGAAAAUUUUGUUAUCGAUGAUGUAAAUAUUCAGUUAUAAAAUGAUAUGAAUGAUCAUAGAACUGUAUGAUUAUAAAUUCUCAUUUAAUAAAUGACUAUAUAAAACAUACUAUUCUUAGAAAAAUAGGUUGGUUCAUCUUGACUUACAUUAUAUUUUUUAUUAAACUAACUAUCGAAUUGAUAAAUAAUCUACCAAAUUUUUUUUUGCACUUUCCUUAAUUAGAAGCUACGAAAUUACCUAAUAUGAUUAACGUAUAUAUGAAAAUUAAUUAUUAUGAAUAAUAAAUAUUUGAUAACAAUUUUGGUAUCUUAGUUGUUUUUUUUUAAUUUUAUAUUAUUGAAAGAUAUUAAAAAUCACAUUAAAUAUAUAAUAAAAACAUUUAUAUUUUUUCUUAUAUGUUAUAUUUGAAUUUUUCAAAACGUCUAUAUAUUAUUAGAAAUUUGAAUAUUCCCACUCUGAAAAUUUUGUGAUCAAUAGAUUAUUUUUUUGUUAUAAUAAGUUACAAAUGAUUUAUGAAUUUUUAUUUAAUAAAUAUUCAAACUAAAUAAUAUAUAUAUAUAUAUAUAAACACUAAUGAUUUAAAGCAACAAGAUUGGCUGAUCAAUUUAGUCGUCCAGUUGAAAUCUUUCAAAAGUAUGUGAAAGACUAAAGUCAAAGUAAAUAUGGAUUUAGAAUAUUAGUUAUAUUUUACUAACAAAAUACCGAAAAAACCGAACCGAACCGAAACCAACCCGAUAUCCGGAUUGAACGCCCGUAAUCCAAAUGAAGCCAAACUAUUGUUUCAUUCUCCAAAAUAUAAUAAAAAUAAUAACUUAAUCCCGCGCAAGGCGCGGGUCUUAUCCUAGUGAUUAGUAUUUGAAGAGAGUUUGAUUAAAUUGGCGAAUGCUUGUACAUGUUUAUCUUUUUUUUUUCUGAUGAACCAUUUAUCUUUUUUUUCACAUAUAUAUUAUAGUUGCACCAACCCUUGAUUUCUGAUUAAGGUUCCAACAAUAUAUAGUAUAGUGUAUUCACAUAUGUUAUAUGUAUAUAUAUAUAGUACUUAGACUAUACGAAUGUAUAUAUGUACAUCAGUGUGGACAGUUACUAGCCACCUUUUACGUGAAUAUAUAAAAAGAUCGGAAUAAUUAUAAAAUUCUCUAAAACUUAUGAGUUUCACGUAAAAAGUUAUAUAGGCAUGGUCCAUAUGAUAACUUUUUGGUAAAACGUAUGUUAACUUUCCUUUAAAAUAACAUUUUUAUGUUUCUUAUUUUAGCUGUGACACAGUGAUUCAUAUGAACUGUAAAUAGUUACAUUUUCAUUAAGAAAUCUGAACAUUUUAAAAGUUCAAAAUAUCUAAACCCGGUGAUCCGCAAUGUUAAUUUCACUUAUCAAGUGAAAUAUAUAUUCUAGCUAAAAUAAAUAAGAAUGGAUAUCCUCAUAUCCUGCAUAUUUUUCUCUAGUUUUCCUAUGUUUGAGAAAACACAACAAAUAUUCGAAGCUUCUUUUCAUUGAUAAGAAAUUGCCAUUAAAUUUUCUAGAUUGGUGCUGUGAAUCUGAAUCAUAAUAGGUUUUGGCAAAUGCUAAUGCGGAUUAGGCUUUUCGUUAUUCUCAUAAUCUAAUUCUAAAUCCGAGCCCAAUAAUACAUUGACAGGCCCGUAUAGAACAAUGUACUGGCCUUUUCAGGACGACAUAAAUAUCAAGUCAACUUGUACGUGUAUAGGCUUUACAAACUUUUACUGUGUCGCGUAACUAUUAAGUUGACAACAAAAAAAAGACAGGUAACUAUUUUCAAGUGUAUGAUCGGCUUGUCGUAUUGCAUAACAAAUUUUGAAAAAAGAAAAGGGUAGAAAACGACAUUAAAUCGAUAUGUCAUUAAUUCCAAAUCUGCGUCUCUUUAUUUCAGAAUAAAUACUUUAACCAUGUCUAUUCACUAAAAGAAAGAAGAUAACGAACCAGGAGGGCGUGCAGUGGCUACACGUGUCUUUAUUAAAAACAACACGCCAUCUCUGAAACCAGAUAGGUAACGACGUCGUUUUCAAUUUCUUUAAUUCAAACAAACAACAUCAUCUAUCUCCUCUCCUGUCUCUAUCGACUGGGUUCACAGUGUCAAAGAGAGAAACAAAAGCAAGUUGUGUUCGUAUUCUGCCUCACUCUCAAUUUAUAAAUUCAGAUUUUGAUUUUGAUUUCUUGGAGUCUUUGAGAAGAAGCAAUCUUUUUUCUAGAAUGGAGAAAGCUUCUUCUUCUUCUUCUUCACGUAGGUCUGCUUAUCUGGAAGCUCUAACACAAGAGAUUAAGAAGAAGCUUACUCGGGUUAGCCCUUGAUCUGUUUGUCUUCUCAUAAAAGACACAUGCAUUUUGACAAAUCUUGAUGAUUUCGAUUUAGAAGUUAUGGGGGUAGUAUCACCAGUGUGUUUCAAUGCCAAUCUGAUUUAGAAAGUGUUUGAUCUUUUUUAAGGCGGUAGUAUCACCAGCACAAACACGCAACUUGUUGCAAGACUUGUUUGCUGAUAUAGCUCUCGAAGUCGACCAACGUGCCAAAGGUCUUCUCACCUUUUCUUUUUUUUUUCCUUUCCUCAACGUUCACGAUUAGAUUGAGAUAUUGAUGAUCAGUAAUUUUUUAACUAAAGCAGAUGUGAUUCUUAGCAAAGAAGAGGAGGAUGGUCCGUUGUGUUUCUUCGACGUGCUUGCUGAUUACUAUGUGAAUGUCUCUGAGAGAGGGAAGGAUAUACUUGAUUUGAUGGUUCAGCUUUGGAGCCAGUCCUUUGCUUCCCACAUAUUCUCUCUUCUCUUCCAUAAAUGGGUAUUGCUAGCUUCUUCUCUCUAAUGUUUUUUUUUUUUAUUCACUCCCAAAGGCUUUAAUGUGUAAUUCCUCUCAGCUGUUUGAGGUUGAGGUUGAGAAUCAAGAGAUACUCCUUCGGUAUUCUUCUGCUUUGGUGCAGGGAGCUACUAAUGUGUUUUGGUAAGCACUUUCAACUUUGGUAAAGCAAUGAUAGAUUAACAUCCUCACUAGGUUCAUUCAUGUACUUGGAAUCUGUGGUAGUUGCAUUUGCCAUUUUUGUUAAGAAAUGGUUUUGAUAGUUUUUCUUGAGUCUCUUCCUACAUUGGAUGGGCUUUGCUAUAUAUACUAUGAGGUAACAUUUGAUAAUUUGCUACUCAUUUUUGUUUGCAGGAUAGACAUCCAGACAAAUACAAGACGCUUCCAAACUCUCUUUCGGGUACCUUCUUUUACCUCUCAUGUAUCAAGUUGUUACGCCACUUUGCUACUGUAACUAACACAGUCUCUGUUGUUUCUUGUAGUAUCUUCUUGAGGAAGUUGCUUUGGAGCCGAUCAGAUUAAAAAAUAUUCCCAUUCAGGUGAGUGGUUUGGUUCCUCUCCAUUUUCAUGAAGGUUCAACUGUUUUUUAGUCUGGAGGAGAUUGACUCUCCCAUAUGUAAUUUCAGGCACAGAGGGAACUCUAUCUCCUGAUCUCAAGGUUCAUUUUCUUUUACAAUUCAGGUAGUAAGUACAGUGUUUAUUUACUCAAGACCAAAGCGUGUCUUCUUGUACCCUGACAGUUGUUCUUUUUUUAAUUCCAGUGGAUAAACUCGAUAGCUUCUUGAGGAACUUCCCGGAGUUUCCUAAUGCUUUCCUAGUUGGAGGAGCCGGAGAUUUCCUUGUUAUAGAACUUACCGAUCAGGUAUAGAACCAACAAAGUCUUUCUUCUUCUCAAGAUUUAAACUACACACAUCACUCAUCUAAUAUGUUACUGUGGUGCAGCUGCAAAAACUGAAAGUGGAACCAGUGCUGCUACACUAUCUUUCUCAGAUGAAGGUCCUCCAAGGUACAUUUCUCUCCUCUAGAUAAAGAAAUAUUCUUCAAGAUAGAUGCUGCUUCUCGCACAGAGAAAUGUCUAACGCAGGUAUGGAACUGAGAAUGACAACAAGCACGAGGUUAAAGGCGUGUCUGUACAGUUUUACCUCACCCGGAGGUCCAAUGUACCCGACAAGAGCUGUCCGUCAUGCAGCCUGGGAUGCCUUGGAUUCCCUCUUUCCCGUGAGAAGUGUUUCCUUGCAAUAAAAAUCACACUAUUUAAAGCACCUAAGACUUUAGAGCACACAUAUAUUGAUAGGCUUGGAAUGUAAGAUUGUAAUAUGUUUGCCUUGCAGGUUGGGCGUUACCCUAGGCAUCUCAUCAGUCUAUUUUUCAGGCUGCUGUAUCCAUGGUACUGGCCAUCCUCGUGCUGGAACUUUGUGGUUUCUUGCAUUAAAGCAGUACUCUAUUCCAUCGUAAGGCUCAUCUUUUCACGGCGAGAAAAGCCGAGGCAGAGCUGAAUAGCUUUUAUAUAUUGGUGAAGCCUCCUGCAAUAUCCCAAUCCUUGUGUAUAGAAUGUGGUUUUGGUCACAAUGAGGCGGCACACCAAGGGAACUUUACCUACGCUUGUAUUGCUUUCUAUGGAGAACAUUAAAUUCCGCUUUGAGGAAGAUCCCACAGAAUAGCUUUUUGACGUGUUUUGUUGUCAUUGUUAAGAUGUUAUUUUGCUGUAGAGGAUGAUGUAUUUUGACAAGAACCCUUUUUGUAAAAGAAAAAAAAAUCUCUUCUCUAUAUAAUUGAAUCCUCAUGAUCAGAGUCUGUAAGUUUGUAACAAAACCUAACUUGAGUUAUGCUCAUGAAGAUGAAACCUGUUUUCCUUCCUCUGCAGUGAAUAAUAGAUUGUCUUUGCUUUAGUUGGAACUUAAGCAUUCAUGCUCUCAUAUAUCAAUGAGUUUAAUUGUCCACCUUCUUCAAUCUCUAUAUAUAUAUAUAUAUUGGUGUAUAAAAGUAACCAAGAUCUUAUCACUUGAAAAAAAAAAACGAGUCUCUACUUUGGAAAUAAGAUUUGUCAAAUUAGAUAGUGAAAGCAAAUGGCAAUAAUACAAAGAUGAAACAUAAUUACAAAUUUUUACAGUUUUCACACAAAGUAUGAACGCAAAUAAUUAGUUAAACAUGAACGGGAACAGAUGUAUCCAUUAUUCCCAUCACAAGCCUUUAGGACGACGGAGACCAUGCAUCUAGAGUGACACUGGCUGCAUAAUGGCCUAGUGCUGUUAUUAUUACGAACCACUUCAAAUCUAUUCCAUUCAUAGAAAAUGAGCUUUUCUGGCUUGAGGCGCGAGAAAUCUCCAAGUACACACCGUGUAUGAAAUGUGACUCCGCAAUCAAAGCAUGUGUAGAACCAUUUACAUUGAUCUAACUCCCUCUCACAAAUUUCGCAACAACUUUUUUGGCUCAGCUUUACACCGCAAUGUAAAGUGAUAGGGUGAUCAUCCUUCUUGUGCCACAUCUUUAUAGGCAAACUAGCACAAUACAAACAUAAAUCAAAGCCACAAGCAUCACAACACAUCAUAUACCCGCCAUGUACAAUGUCCUCACAUGCAACACAACAGCUUGAACCCCAUCUUUUAUAAAUAUAUAGGGGAUGUAAAUGGCCAUCAUGGAUAAACGGCUCACAGAGAGAACCACAAUGUACAUCUACUCUCCAAUCACCAUUAAAUGUGUAAUUGAAACCAUCAAAUAAUACUCUACACUCUCUACAUGCGGUUACAACUUCGUUAGUAACUUCCAACGAGUGUGCUACGCGAGAGAAGGCAAUUUUUUUCUUCCUAGAGAGAUUCACACAUUUAUAAUGAAGAAAAAAUCUACAUUCCUCACAACCAUAGAUGGAUUCAAAUGCAAGUGGAUACAUACAUGCUUCACAUUGUAGCCACUUAUCAUAAAGGAUCUUGUUCUUCUUGUAGAAUUUUAAAGGAUGUUUUUCAUGACUAAAAUGAAUUAUCAAGUCAUCACCCACCAUUUGGAAUGGUUCGGCAUCAUGAUUUGGGAUACCUUCCAAGUCUACACGAUCCCAUAAGUCACUCCUUGACGCACAUUUACAAUGAGUUGCAUAUUUUGGACAGACAGAGCAAGCAUAAGCUCCAUGGUACUGAUUUAAACUUUUGCGACAAACUCCACAUUUCGAGUAUCCAGCACCAAGAUGAGGAGUGAAAGAAAUGCGAUGCUCGUGGCGAUUGAUGCUGAUAAUACGAGGUAAGUCGAUACACUCUCCAUGGGUGAGAAAAGCACACUGAAGACAUACAUAAGGCCCCCCUUUUCCAUCUUCCCCACAAACAUCACAAGUAAAUGACAUGUUUUUCGAAAGAAGAGUAAGUGGGUGCACGUGGGUCCUUGUAUGUUCAAUUACAAGGGGUGGUGGGUUUCUAGUACACACAAGGCAUAUGCUGAAGUUGCAAGUGGGACAAUGAUAAAGCAUAUUUUCUGAUUGUUUUUCACACGAAAAACAAAUCUUUUCGGCAUCACCCAUAAGAUUUUCAGGUGCAAAAAGUUUUAUAGGAUGAUUAGAGUGACAAGGAUGAUUUACCUCUUUUGAAAGAAUGACGCAGUCCAAAUGGAAGUAGAGAUUGCAUUCGUGACAUAAAUAUGAUGGUCCUCCAAAAGUUUCCUUACAUACCUCACAAGGGAAUUUUUCUUUUCCUUUCUUCAAUAAAACAAGUGGAUGGUCAUGACAUAGCGGAUGUUCGAUAGCAGAUGGUGGUGGUUUCAUCCCACAAGUCAGAUUCACUUUGAAUUCGCAUGUGGAACAACUAUAAAAUGGAGUGCCUAUACUUUCUCCACACAAUUCACAUACACCAACUCCCAAUUUCUUUGUGAGUAGGAGAAGAUGUUGGGGGUGAGAAGGGUGCAGGUUGAUUUGCAAUGGGGCUUCAGCGCACUUCUUAUGGAAGAACCAAGCGGAACAAUAAUUAGGAUCAUUGCAAUAGUAGCCACCAUAAAUGGUUCCUUUUGUUUUGCAUCCCUGGCAAUAACUGAUAACAAACCGAGGUGAAGGGAAAAGAGGAUGAUCGUGAAAGGAGGUUUUAUACAUUGUUGUUGAUGUUAUUGUUGUAUCCAUGCGUUGAUUGGUGUAUGUGAGUGAGUUUAAGAGGUUUGUUUGAUUGGAUACAAAAUUGGAACGAGAAGACGGUAUUAUAUAUGCCUUUGUAAACUAAUAACAAUAUACGAGUUAUUUGCAAAAUAACCUUUUAUCUUUUCAAAGAAACAAAGAAUCGAGUAUUUUCAUCGAAACACGAUUUGUUACAUUGAUGAACGAAUAAAGGUUUUGAUUCUUUGUUUUUUUUUGAAAAUAAAAUUUACUCUCUUUUUUGUUUUCUUUUUCAAAUAUAGGUAAUGUCCAUUUCGCAAAUAAAUCUUGAACAAUUAUUUUUGUUAUUACUUUAUAGAGGGAUAUAGAAUAAGUCGUAUUGUGUUUCCCAUCAAACAAAGCAAAUGCAUAUGUGGGGAGUUAAGUCAUAUGCAAAUGCUUAUUCCCGGAAGAAAUCUGAAAAUAUGUUUUUUUCUUUCUUUCUCAAACAAACAAAACAAAACAAAACAAAACAAAACAAAGCAAAUGCUUUCUUCCAACAACAACAAAACAAAAUGCUUUUCUCUCUUUUUGAGUUUAACCCUUGAACAAUGUGCUUACUUUGCAGAGAGGAAAAUGAGAAAGUACAGAAAACGUUUGUGAAUAAAAAAAGUAGUAACAAUUAAGGAAAGAAUAUAUAUUUGAAAUGAUAUUCUAGUUAUUGUACACAAUACAUUUUGCUGUAGAGGAAUGUGUAUUUCUUUGACCAGGAAUCCUACUAUAUAAAAGGAACUAAUUUUGUGGCUUCUAAGAGUGUCCACUUCACCUAAAAUAUUCAGGACCAAUACAUGUCAUUUAACAUAUUCUUCAGCCCAAAAGUAAACUAUUGCAACAUAUAUCCGAGUCCAAUUAAUUUUGUGGGUUGGUCUUCCAGAAACUCACGUGGCUAGAAAGUAAACUCAAGCCCUGAGGAAGUAUGAAAAAUUAAGGUUAACGAAUAAUAAUUAUAAAAGUCUCUUCAUAUAUUAAAAUUUAAGCAUACAGCACGUGUUUUGGUUGCUCAGUAUUAUAUGCUUCAUUUUACUUUAGACUUGAUGUUUGUUUCGAUCGACAUACACUGGACAUUACUCAUCCAAUAAGAUUUUCUCUAAUUGCUUAUAACAUAUUGCGGCCCAAACUAUUUUUUCACAUCUCGCGUCACAAACUCGGAUAUAAUAAUUGAUUUAUUAAUGCUUUCACAUGAUAUCUGCAAAUGGUGAUGUGGGGUAGUCCACAGACCACAGCUUCAUGCUCAAUACUUGCGAUCCACAUGCACGUAAUGUGGAUUGAAGAACAUGUUUCAUUUCUAAUAGGCUGAACAAAUGUGAUGUGACUCAAAAUUCCUCUUUUAUUUUAAUCCCAAACUCUAAAAAAGGUUAUUUACUUUCAUAAUCCUAAUCAGACUUUUUAAUACUUAGCUUAAACCACCUAUACCAAUCAAAUGAACGGAGAAACCAUUUUAUUUUACAAACAUGAGCUUCACAUAACCACGCCAGUAAUAGGUCGCAUGCAUUAAUUACUCAACCCUCUAACCCGACGAUCAUAGAAACAACUCACUAUAAGUCGUUUAUUUACUCAUCCGUUAACAAAGUUCCCAUUCGUAAUAAAUAUAGGCAAAUAAAAACUUCAACAUUUUAACAUUAAAAUGUAACAACGUGUAGCAACUGCCCUGGAAAACAAAAAAAUGCUUGAACAUUAUUCAAAACAGAACAGUAGACGUUCUGACUUACGUUUACUUGAAAUAUAUGGGUUAUAUAAUCUCGCAACCACAAAGGUCAAAUAGAUUAACAAAAAAAAACACACUGCAGGUGCGUAUGAAGAAGGAAGUAACAGAUAGGAAUGGUUAAUCCAUCCCCACCACACACUCCCCUCACCCAGUUUCUUCAUUUUGAUCACAACAUUUACCUUCCUGUAAUUGAGUUCAUCAACAAUACAAAACCCAUAGAUACGGAUUGUUUUUCAAUCUUGGUUUCAUUUAAGACUUCUCCCAUUUACUCUAAAUUAUUGGAACUAUCUUUACCGGUUACAUUUCUUGGUAGAGGUUUAGAUUCUUAAGAAAAAAACUUUGGUCCAAUCUUACUCUACAUAAAUCAUUUUGCAAAUUUAAAAAACUUGGCAAAAAAGUUAUGGAAAAAUCAAAUACAAAAUUUAGUAUCAUCAUUCAAAUUUACAAUGGUCUGUAAACACAGAUAUACUGGCUAAUGAUUCUGCAUUUAUGAUUUGUGUUUACGUAUACAUACAUUAAAAUCAUAUUGAUGACUUCUCAAUAAUACCCCUUUAAUUUUAAAUUUUUUAGAAUUUAUACACGCUCAAUAUAAAAAAUUUAAAGGCAAACAACAGGGCCGACUAAAAAUACAACUAAAUCUAAUAAUGAAACUUAUACUAGAGUCUAACAGAAUAUAGUAAAAAAAUGUCUUCAACCAAAUAUUAUUACAGCAAUAAUAAAUUAUUUUUUUAUAACACAAGGCCCAUUUCAAAUCACAAAAAGAAGAAAAGAACAAAACGCAAAAGCUAUACCACUAACAAGAUUUCAAACUCCCAACUAGGUCUGCGCAUUUCGGGUAUCGGUUUGGUUCGGUUCGGGUAUUUCGGGUUUCGGAUAGUUUGGAUAGGGGCUAGAUGAUCCAUUUAGUACUUGAUCUAUUUUCGAUUCGAUUCGGUUCGGUUCAGGUAGUUUCGGGUUCGGUUCGGUUCGGAUAGUAAAUGCAGGAACCGGAAAAUAUCCGGAAAAAGUUCGGUUCUCAUUUGGAUCCGGUUCGGGCUCGGAUAGUUUGGGUAGUUCGGAUAAUUUGGAAAAAAUAUCGGUUAUUUAAGGUAAAAUAUCAAAUAAUUAGGAUGAUUUAGAUAAAGAUUUUGGAUAUCUUGGAUUGCUUUGGAUAUUUCGGAUAAAACUAUCCGGAUAGUUUCAGAUACUUUCGGGUAGUUUGGAUACUUUAUAAUAAUUUAGUUAUACUCAACUAUUUUCAGAUACUUUAAUAGAAUUUUAAAUUAAAAAAUAUAUAUUUAGUGAUGUUAUAUGUAUAUAUAAUGAAUAUUUUUAUAUAUUCGGGUACCCGUUCAGUUCUCGGUUUGGUUAUUUCGGAUAUAAAAAUAUAGGAACCGUUCGGGUAUUUGAAGAUAUUGAUCCGGUUUCGGUUUCGGGUAUUUCGGUUCGGUUCUUUGGUUCCGGUUAUUUUGCCCAGGCCUACUCCCAACUAUACAUUAUCCAUACCACCCCCACAAUUAAUACAACCUUAUACAUCAAUAUACACGUAGUCGGAACAAAGAACAACCAGAUCAAACAUACACACAAUAACUAACUAAUAAAUCCGCGCGAAGCGCGGACAACCCCCUAGUCCUUUUAAUGAAAAAGAAAAAAACAUCAAUAUCUUCUGUAUACAACUUAAUCCUCAUGAUCAGUCGUUAAGUUUGUAACAAACCGUAACUCGUGAAAGCCCUUUUGCCUGCACACGCUUCUGAACUUGAUAAUAUUAAAGGCAUCAUCAAGGUUUCGUGGUGUAGUUGGUUAUCACGUCAGUCUAACACACUGAAGGUCUCCGGUUCGAACCCGGGCGAAGCCAUUAUUUCGAAUUUUUUUUAUCUGUCCAGUUUUUGUAGAAUUCGUUUUUUUUUCCUCUAUUUGUUGUUUAAGAAUGUUAAUGAUCUUUUGACUGGAUGAUGAUGAUUUGUGGAUGUACAGGAACUUCUUUCGACCUUGACAAAAUCUAAUGUCAAUCCAUGUCCAACAAUGAUUAAAGUUUGCUUCUGAGCUCUCUGUUCAUAACCAACGGUUGAACGAAGACGCUACAAAUGACAGGAGUAAGAAUCAUAGGCCACACAGCCUACUGUCCUCAAAAGAUGUCACAAAUAGCGAAUUUAAACUUCAUUAGCAGAUCUCACAAUCUCAACGCACUAAAGAUACAAAGACACGACAUUAGAUUCCAAACAUACCAAUUCGCAGUACUUUACAAAACAUGAGAUUGCAAAACACAAGAGAAAGGACAUUCUACAAAGAAACUCUAAUUCAGACAGACAUUCCAGACAGUUCAGGAGCUCGUGAACUUAGUCACCGCCUUGGUCCCUUCGGAAACAGCGUGUUUCGCCAGCUCUCCAGGCAAGACGAGUCUCACCGCAGUCUGAAUCUCCCUGGAAGUAAUCGUCGGCUUCUUGUUGUACCUCGCGAGCUUGGAAGACUCGCCGGCAAGCUUCUCGAAGAUGUCGUUGAUGAAGCUGUUCAUGAUCCCCAUGGCUUUGCUCGAGAUCCCGAUGUCGGGGUGCACCUGCUUCAGCACCUUGAAGAUGUAGAUCUUGUAGGUCUCGACGCUCUUCUUNNNNNNNNNNNNNNNNNNNCUUCAGCACCUUGAAGGUGUAGAUCUUGGAGGUCUCGGCGCUCUUCUUGGACCGCUUCUUCUUCUUGUCUCCGGCGACGGCGGAGGGAUCCUUCGGGAGCUUCUUCCCGGCCUUUGGCUUCUUCUCCGCCGGUGCUUUCUCGGCAGGCUUCUUCUCCGCGGGCUUCUUCUCUGCUGCCUUGGGCGCCAUUGAUUUUUUCUAGAGGUACGAAACUGAGAUCGAAGUAGUAGUAGUAA
This 187543-nucleotide long non-coding RNA is filed under the name Brassica napus (rape). RNAcentral's name for it is "long non-coding RNA (BNAP_LNC002136)". The stretch from base 186465 to 186538 matches the Rfam family "tRNA". The record is from RNAcentral. Lineage: Eukaryota; Viridiplantae; Streptophyta; Magnoliopsida; Brassicales; Brassicaceae.